RNAcentral lists this long non-coding RNA (177368 nucleotides) under Populus tremula. RNAcentral describes it as "long non-coding RNA (PTRE_LNC001340)". The stretch from base 97600 to 97689 matches the Rfam family "MIR478 microRNA precursor family". The record is from RNAcentral. Lineage: Eukaryota; Viridiplantae; Streptophyta; Magnoliopsida; Malpighiales; Salicaceae.
GAGACAAUCUUUCCAGUUCCGGACCUUCUCCAAGUUUUCCUUGAAAUUUUGUUCAUGCUCACCGAAGGCUUCCUCGUAUUUCCGUUUCCGCUCGGUUACCUCUGAGGGAUCCACAUCAUAAAACUCUGAGGGAUCUACAUCAUAAAAAACUGGCAGAACAGUUUGCCCCAUCUCUUUCAUGCACUGAACAAUCUUGACAAGUUCAUCCAAGCACCAUGGUGAAGAUGCGUAAUCUCUUGAAAAUAUAAUGACUGAAAACCUUGAUUCUUCGAUGGCCUUCCAGAGAGCAGGUUCUAUGCUCUUUCCUCUCUCGAGCUCCCUAUCAUCCAUGUACACAUCGAUGCCUCUCUGUGCCAGAUUAGAAUAUAGAUGACUAGUAAAGUUGUUCCGAGUGUCUUUGCCUCUAAAACUAAGGAACACAUCAUGCAUAUAUAGUGGAGGAGGAGAAGAUGAAGAUGAAGAUGAGGUUAUUCCUUGCACGCUGGUGGAAGCCAUGAAAAUUCCUAUAGCGAUAAACUAGUACCGAUCCCUUCUGGCCUCAACUAGCUCGCUUGGUUCAGCAAUUGCUUUCCACGCUAUUUUGUAUAAGGCCUGCUCCUGUGCUCAAACAUGAAACAGAAGGUAAGAUCAAGAAAUUUGGCAAUUAAAUAUAGUAAUCUACCAAUUAGCAAUUUCAAGCUGGAACAUGUAUAAUUCUACUUAGAAAUCAGAAAACACCAAAUUUCUACGAGUAUUUCACGAAUCUAGACCAAACAAACCGUGUGGUAAGUGUUGGCUAAAGUGGCACAAUAUCCAGCCAAGCCCAAUAUUUUUUCUUCUUCUGGUAUCUUAGUAACCAACUUCCAAAGCCCUUUUCUUUCUUUUUAUUCCAAUGACUUCGAAUUUAUUCCGGUUUCUUGAGGUCAAGAACUCGUACUGGUAAGUUUCCAAUGAUUUUCUUACGGAUCUUUUUCUGACACUGUAAAGAAGAUGGAGUUUCGGUGGAGAAAAAACAAAAAGAGAAAUGAAAGGGAUAUCGAACGCCCCAUUGGGCAGCAGAGGCACCUUCCUGUCAAGAGCAGGGGUGGGCGACGACUCCUUUUUUUGCUAUAUUUAACAAAAAGAUUUUGUUUUUGAUAUUGGGGGAAAUGAAAAUUUUAUUGGAGUCGCCAUCUAGUAAUAUAAGGGAACUAGAAAUCCCAAAUUAGACACUGGUCUCAUAGAUUCGGGUACUGGGUUAGUUAUGAUUAAGGGAAGGUAGACACCACUCUUAAAACAUCCUUUCAAAAGAAAGGUUACCCUUACUUGUGUGUUUUUUAUUUGAUUCAAAUGCUAUUAUAUUUCGAGCUUAUUUGCAAAUUUUGAUUUUUUUUAAAAAAUGGUUAACGCCGGUCCCUAAAAAUAGGAGACACGUUAAAAAUGACAUCAGUCCCUAAAAAUAGGAGACUCGUCGAAAAUAUCAAUGUUAUUUACGUCUGAGUUACCAAAAGGAAAUUAUAAAAAUAAUCCAUAUUUGGUAUUUAAACUUUUGACAUCGGUCCUUUUCAGUAAAAAGAGACAUGUCGACAAACAAUAUUCGUUUAUAAAACAAAUUUUAUUUUGAUAUUAUUGAGAAAUGGGUAUAACCAUAUUCGAGAAUUGGGCUGUGGACCCAUGAACGAUAACAUGAUAAGAUGGGUGUUGGACCCGCAUCGUUUUUCCUUUUAUACUUUUUUUUGUUUUAUAACGUGCAAGAAAAUUUACAUACAAAAUAAAAAAAUGUUAGAAAUCUCAAAAAAAAUUAUCUGAAUGCCACUGUAUAGGUAAAAGACUAAAAUACCCUCGGAUUCUAGAAAAAUUAUGAAAAUGCCACUGGCAGUGCAUAUGGCUCAUACGCGGUUACUGUUGACGGCGGCAAAAUUUUCCGGCAAGAUUUCUGGCCAACCGAUGGUCGAUCCUGGUAGAUCUGAGGUCAAGGAUUCUGAUGGUGGUGGUCUUGACGGCCGUUGAUGGCUGAUGAGGGAGAAUAGACAACUUGAAGCUUCGGUGGUCGGCGAUGAUUGCGACCUUUUUCCGGCCAGAUGAGGCGGAGAAAACUAUGAAAACCACGGGGUUUUUCUUUAUAGCAGGGGAGAAACCUUUCUGUGGUGGUGCGGAGGCUGAAGACGGCCGGAAAGUGGAGAUUGGAUGAGAGAGAGGGCGUUGCCGGCGAUAGGAGAGAGAGAGUCCAAGAUUACGCUACGGUGUGAACGCAUGCAUGGUACACCGGUACCGCUGAACACUGUGCGCUGUUGGAUCUCGGACGAAACGACGGAUGGCUGUGAUUGGUUAGAUCUGCAGGUUGAUCGGACGGUCUGGAUGAACGGAGCUUUGAUCUGGUGUGGCGCGGUGCACCGAAAGCUCGGUACAUCGGAUGACGUGGCACAACGGGAUCAAAUCUUGGAUUAUUUCAAGGGCAGAGAUGUGUCGGGAUAUAUUUGGUAUUUUUCAAAUUGUUUUUUUUAAAAGACAAUAUCCUACUCUCGUGAAGAAAAGUUAAAAAAAAUGUGAACAAUAUCAAAUCAAUUCUUUCUCUUCUUUUCUUUUCUUUUUUUUUUCUUUUUUUUUUUUUGCCCUCUACUCUCAUGGCUAUUUAUAGUCAAUGAGCAGGGGACAACAAAUUUAAUUCUGAAGAAAUAAUUUGCAUCGCUGCAACUAACAUUACCUAACCUUACCUAAUAUAAUAAAUUUUUGAAUUAUUAAUUUUUUUUUUAUUAUAUAUUAUAAUAAAUAUUUAUAUGGGUAAAACUAAAAAAUUUAAAUCAGUAUUAGAAAAAGCCCGUUUCAACCGCUAACACAAAAAAACAUUUGAUGGGUAUCAACCCGGUGAACCGUGUUUUGACUUUUGACCCGAAAUAGCCUGAAAAUUCAUUUUUUACCCCGGUCGACAUGGUUUGACCCAUAUUAAUCCAGUGGACUCGGUUUUGACCGAAAAUGAUGGUUUUGACCCGAAACGUCAUGAAAACUCAUUUUUUACCCUGGUCGACAUGGUUUGACCUGUAUUGACCCGGUGAAAUCGGUUUUUAUGAAAAAUGACGGUUUUGACCGAAAAUGACGGUUUUGACUCGAAACGUCAUGAAAACUUUUUUUUACCCUGGUCGACAUGGUUUGACCCGUAUUGACCCGGUGAAAUCGGUUUUUAUGGAAAAUGAUGGUUUUGAUCGAAAAUGACAGUUUUGACUUGAAAAUCAUAAAAACUCAUUUUUAUCCUGAUUGACAUGGUUUGACCCGUAUUGACUUGGUGAAAUUGGUUUGUGGUCGGAAAUGACGGUUUUGACCCGAAACAGUCCGAAAUCAUUUUUAACCCUGGUCGACAUGGUUUGACCUGUAUUGACUCGGGUGAACUCGGUUUUGGUCGGAAAUGAUGGUUUAGACCCGAAACAACCUGAAACUUAUUUUUUACCCUAGUCGACAUGGUUUGACCUAGUGGACUUGGUUUUGAUGGAAAGAUGCGGUUGACUUGAGAAAAAUAUAUUUUUGAAUUUUAAACUUUUUCUUAAUUUUUUUGGAUUUUUAUAAAUAAUAAUAGAAAUAAAAUAACAUUCAAGAAAAAUCUUGAUGAAUCCAAAAUUGGGUUAUAACACACAUCACAGUUGAAAAGUAUUUUUUAAUGAAUUUUCAAACUAAUAACUUUUAAAUAAUAUUUAUGUAGUUUUAUUUAUUAAGGGUAGAAUAGUACUUUCAAUUUAACCUAUAUAUACUUUAUUUAUAUUUAGGUUAAGUUAAUGAACUCAUAAUAUACAGAUACAGAUUAUUCAGAAUUCUAGCCUCCCUUUUUGUAUUUGAUCUUAAUUAUUUCAACAUUGUAUUAGAGUUGGUUUUAUGAAACGAAGCUUAAUUCUAAACACAGCUUCACGGAUUCAAUUGUUUUUUUUUAGUGAUAUUUUGUCUUCCACUUCUGCAAAUUUUGGUAUUUCGAUAAUUUAUGUAAUUAGUUUGGUAUUUCGACAGUUUCUGCAAUUAUUUUGGUAUUUCGUCUUCCCUUUAGCUUCUGCAAUUUGAUAUUAACGUUCAAUUUUUGCAAAUUCUGUUUUGUGUUUUGGAGUGAUUGUAUAAUUUCGAGAAGAUAUUUGUUUAGUUUCUACAAUCUCUAUUCAGAUUCUGCAAAUUGGUAAUUAGUUUUCCACUGCUCUUGCAUUCUAGUUCUUUGUGACUGUUGAUUAUGGCUACUGAAAGAGAUGAUUAGCUUCAGUCUAUGAGUGUGAGGUUGGAUGGGAAGAACUAUUCGUAUUGGAGUUAUGUAAUGUGAAAUUUCCUUAAGGGUAAGAAGAUGUGGGGGUAUGUUAGUGGAACUUAUAUGAUACCUAAGAAUAUUGAGGAGGGGGAUGUUGUUUUAAUAGAUACAUGGGAAGCAAAUAAUGCAAAGAUUAUUACUUGGAUCAACAAUUCUAUUGAGCAUUCGAUAGGUAUGCAGUUGGCGAAGUAUGAGACAACAAAAGAGAUUUGGGAUCAUCCGCAAAGGAUUCACACAAUCAAAUUUUGCAAAACAGUAUCAAUUAGAGAAUGACAUACGAGCUCUUCAUCAAAAAAAUAUGAGUAUUCAAGAGUUUUAUUAUGCUAUGAUAGAUCUUUGGGAUAAAUUAGAUCUUACAGAAUUGAUAGAAUUAAAGGCAUGUGGUGCCUAUAUUGAGCGUAGAGAGCAGCAGCGAUUGGUACAGUUUUUAAUAGCACUUCGCAGUGAUUUCAAAGGACUUAGAGGUUAAAUUCUGCAUCGUUCUCCACUGCCUUCUAUUGACUUUGUUGUUAGUGAGUUAUUGGCUGAAGAAAUAUGUUUUCAGUCUUAUUCUGAAAAGGGAAUUUUUUUUGCUUCGAAUCCUUCAAUAUUAGCAGUGCCUUCUAAGCCAUUCUCUAAUCAUCAGAAUAAGCCUUACACAAGGGUUGGCUUCGAUGAGUGUAGUUUCUAUAAGCAGAAAGGUCAUUAGAAGGCUCAGUGUCCCAAAUUGAGACAACAAAAUUAAGCUUGGAAGUCUGGCAAUCAGUCACAAUCUAAUGCUCAUAGACCACCUCAGGGUUAUAAACCACCACACCACAAUACUGCAGCAGUAGCUUUCUCAAGCUCUAUUACCGAUCCUAAUAUUUUGGCUGAGUAAUUUUAGAAGUUUCUCUCCUUGCAGCCAUAAGCAAUGUCCGCUUCUUCUUCCAUAGGUCAGUUGCCUCAUAGUUCCUCAGGUACGUCAAAUUCUGAAUGGAUCUUGGAUUCUAGUGCUUCUCAUCAUAUGUCUCUAGAUUCCUCAUCUUUUACCUAUGUGUCCCAUUUGUCCUCCAUUCCUGUUAUGACUGCUGAUGGCACUCCUAUGCCCUUAGCAGGUGUUGGUUAUGUUGUCACACCUCACUUGUCUGUCCCUAAUGUUUAUCUAUUCCAAAACUCAAAUUGAAUCUUGCGUCUGUUGGUCAAAUAUGUGAUUCUGGUGAUUAUUUAGUCAUGUUUUUUGGUUCGUUUUGUUGUAUACAAGAUCUGCAGUCUCAGAAGCUGAUUGGGACAGGCCGUAGAGAGAAUGGACUAUAUAUUUUAGAUGAGUUAAAAGUGCAGUUACUGCUGCUGCCACUACCGUUGAUUUGUCUUCCUUUCUUUUGAGUCUUUCAUCUUCUAGUUUUUAUUUAUGGCAUUCUCGUUUAGGUUAUGUUUCAUCUUCUCAUUUGAGAUUUUUAGCAUCCACAGGAGCUUUAGGAAAUUUGAAAACUUGUGACAUUUUUUAUUGUAGUGGAUGUAAAUUGGCAAAAUUUUCCGCUUACCUUUUAAUCGAAGUAUUUAUGUUUCUUCUUCACCAUUUGAUUUGAUUUAUUCUGAUGUAUGGAGACCUUCUCCUGUUGCCACAAAAGGAGGGUCUCAAUAUUAUGUCUCUUUUAUUAAUGAUCAUACUCGUUAUUGUUGGGUUUAUUUAAUGAAACACCGUUCUGAAUUCUUUGAGAUAUAUGCAGCUUUUCGAGCUCUUAUCAAAACUCAACAUUCUGCUGUGAUUAAAUGUUUUAGGUGUGAUUUGGGUGGGGAAUACACCUCUAAUAAAUUUUGCCAAUUGCUUGCCCUAGAUGGAACCAUCCACCAAACUUCAUGUACAGAUACUCCUGAGCAAAAUGGUGUUGCUGAAAGAAAACAUAGGCACAUUGUUGAAACUACUCGUUCUCUCUUGUUGUCUGCCUUUGUUCCUAGUGAGUUUUGGGGAGAAGUUGUUCUUACUGCUGUAAGUUUAAUUAAUACAAUUCCAUCUUCUCAUAGUUCGGGUCUAUCUUCUUUUGAAAAGUUAUAUGGGUAUGUUCCUGAUUAUUCCUCAUUUAGAGUCCUUGGUUGUACUUGUUUCGUUCUUCGUCCUCAUGUAGAACGAAGUAAGCUAUCCUCUCGAUCCGCUAUUUGUGUUUUUCUAGGCUAUGGUGAAGGUAAAAAGGGUUAUCAUUGUUUUGAUCCAAUAACUCGGAAACUUUAUGUGUCUCGUCAUGUUGUCUUCCUUGAGUAUAUACCUUUUCUAUUCCAUCCACUACUUAUAACCUGACUAAAUCUGAUGUUAUUAGUAUAGAUCCGUUUUCUGAGGAUUCUGAUUAUGAUAUCUCUCGCUAUGUUCGAUCAAUUUGUACACAUAACUAUGUAGGUACUGGUACUUUACUCUCUGGCACACCUGAAGCUCCAUUCUCAUCUACAGCCCCUUAAGCUUCAUCUGAGAUUGUGGAUAUCCACCUCCACGUCAGUCCAUCUGUAUUUGUAAGUCUACAAAACUACCAAAUUUUGCUUAUUCUUGUUAUUCUUCAUCAUUUACUUCCUUUUUAGCUUCUAUUUGUCAUAACCCAAUUUUGACCUUUUUUUAUUAUUUUUAUUAUUUUAUUUUUAAAAAUGAUGAAAAACAAGUAAAAAUAAAUAAAUGAAGAGUGAAUUAAAAUUUGAGUUAAGGGCAACACGAUUGGAAGUUUAAAGAUUUAAUUAAACUCUUGACUAGUUUAAUUAAUUAAAUCAAAGGCUUAAUUGGAGAAUUGAUUUAAUUAAAAUUUAGAUGAUUUAAUUAAAUCAAGAGUUAAUUGAAGAAUUAAUGAGUUUGAUGACUUAAUUAAACUUUGAUUUAAUUAAUUAAAGGAAUCAGGGGUUUAAUUGAAAAAAUACCAAAGUUUGGAGCUGAUUCAAGGAAAAAUUGCUAGAAAAUUAAAGUCCAAUGACCAAAUUAAAUAGUCCAAAAAACCCAGGAUUGUUGUGUAAAUGGCACUAUAAAUCAAGGAUUCAAUUGAAUUAAUCCAAGGGUACAAUUAGAAAUUGAUUAUUAAUGAUUAAGAUCUCAAUUGUGAAGUUUAGAACAUCUAGGGACCAAAGUGAAAAUUGCCUCAAACACACAAACGGCGCCGUUUGGAAGCUGUGUUCUUCAUCCCUUCCAUUGCACACGAAGAAAAUCGUUUCAACAGAAAAUCUGCAGCAAAUCAUGGACCACGAUCCCGUUCGUGGGGGGGAUGGUUGGGGAAGCUCUCUGGCAUUGUUCCCAGAGAAAAAAGGAAGAACACAGAAAAAAAGACCUAGGUGACAGAGGAUCGAAAACACAGACUAAGAAAAGGAAGGAGCAAAAAGCCAUUGUUCCCAGCUUUGCUUUCGUAGAACGCAAACAAAGUGAACGAAAUAAAGCACAAUAGAGAGAGGGAGAGAGAUCAGAGGAGACGAAUGAACCCAUAGAAGUAAAGAAAGAGAGGGCAGGGAGAAGGAAGACCAGAGGAACACCAAAAGGAAAACAGAGGAGGAGAAAAUAGCAUCAGCCGGCCAGCCCUCCAUCACGUCUCCAUCUCCCUGCUUCCAAGUAAGUCUCUCCAGCUUUGCAAAAUAAUUCGCCCACACUGUACAAUUUUUUUUUUAUUUUAACGCUUUGAUUACUAGGGACUAGUAAUAAGCUGGUUAGGGGGUGUGAUUAGUACUUAAAAGUGCAUAUUUAUCAAGGUUUUAUAUCAUCAUUUUGCACUUAAAGUAUCAAUAACUCCUUAACUAAAACAUGUUUUAUAAUAACAAGUCUAAUACUAUAAAAUGCCUUAAUAUAUGGUAAAUGUUCAUCUUAAAUGCAGGCCUAUCAUAUAAAACAAAGGAUUGAUUGAUGAGUUCAAGUAUGGGAAAUUGAAAGGAUAAAGAGAGGGCCAAACUUAAAAAAGAAAUGUUGGUGCAGUCCAAACUGGAACAUUGUUCGGUAAUUGGGUCAUAUCUCGAGUUUUAGGUGUCCAAAUGACCUCCAAUUUUUACACAGAUUCAGUAAGAUAUAGGCCUACAACUUUCAUUUUUUCAUCAAGAUCUAAGAAAGCCGUUUUCAAGUCCAAAUUAUAGCAACAACGGAGAAGUCCAAAUCUGUCCUGCAGCCAGAACACUGUUCAGUGUUUGGCCCAUAUCUGGAGUUCUAGAAGUCCAAAUGACCUCUAUUUUUUUUUCCUGGAAAGCUGAGUCAGUUUCCUACAACUUUCAUGUUUCAAUUGGACCCAGUUCUGAUGCUAGCAUCUUUAUUUUAUUCAGACAAAAAGAUAAGGAUUUUCACAAAGUCAAGAGUUGGCCACCCACUCAACAAUUUGUCAUAAAUCAAUAAUUCGAAUUUUGGCCUAUAAAAGGAGGCAUUUGCCAUGUAUUUAGGGGCUUGGUUGUUCAGAUCAAGUUCAUGCUCUUUAUUUCUCUCUUUAUAUUUUUUUUGUAAUUUUUAAGUUUUGCUUUCAUUAAUAUCUUGUUUAUGCUUUUCAUUUCCUUUCCUUUCCUUAGUUAACUUGUAUCUUAUUUAUGUUCUUGUUUUGUUUAUUUAUGUUUCUCUUCUUCAUUAUGUUUAGCUAAGUUUAUUAUGUCAAGGUGAAAAGGUAACACUAAUGGUGUAAAAACAAGUAUAGUGUAAAUUCAACAUGGACUUAAUGUUUAAUAUUAACAUGUCUUAUCUUUUUAUCUUACUAAUUCUUAAUACCUUGCUUGUUAAAUGAUUAAUCUAGAUUUGUGUUGUAUAAUACUUGGUACAACAAAUGCUUGGCACUCUCAUAGCCCAACCGUAUGGUAUUACCUACAACUCGGCUAUGAAAGGAACUUGAUUUGUUGUUAACAUCAAUUAACAUCAUGAAUUCCUGACAAUAUUUAAAAGUUUGGUGUUAUGUAAAUAAGAUAAUUAAUAUGAUCAUGUUAAUAAUUUAUAAUGAGCUAUUAAUGACAAAUCAUCCGACUGGAACCUCCUUCGUAUGUAGUUUUCAAAUUGAGUAAUAAGAGUUUAUACUAUACUUGUUUGAAAUACCAUUGGUGGAUCCUCUAACCUUGACAUUUGUUUUUAUCAUUGUUUAAUCCUUACAUUAAUCUUCCAUCUCAAAGUUCUCAUUAAUUUCUUCCUCCUCUUCUUUUUAUUACUACUACUACUACUACUACUACUACUACUACUAGUAUUAUUAUUAUUAUUAUUAUUAUUAUUAUUGUCGCACCCCAAAAAAAAAUCAGCGCGCGGCAUCGGCUGGCGAUUUAAGUCUUGUUGUGGUUUGCUGGAAUUUGGUUCGUUGGAGUCGCCACCUAGUAAUUGAUUGCGGGCUACUAGGAAACCGGAUGUACUGGUCUUGUCAGAGAUUCGCGGGUAAGGGACUGGUUGUGGUUAGGGAAGGUAUUAGCACCCCUAACGCACCCUACCUGAGGUAAGCUGCUUCGUGAAUUUGAUGUGUUAAAGAAGUUUUAAUAAUUUGUCUUUUCAUCGGAAAUUAGAAAUAUCACUUACGUAUAAGUUAAUAAUUCCUAACCGUGAUCCGAUCAAAAUAUUAAAUUCUUCUUUAAUAUAUUUGCAAUUUUAUCAUCAUUAAAAAUAUAUACAAAUAAAUAAAACAAAAUACAAACACACACAUUCACUUUCACUAUUUUUAUUUCUUUUCUUUUCUUUUCCUUUUCUUUUCUUUUCUUUUACAUCCAUAUUUACAAAAUACAAUACUAAAUAAAAAAUUACAUCAACAACUCAAAAUUACAAAAUAAUCCCUAAAAUUCAUAACUGUGCUGGGACGACCUUCUGGGACCUCAGGAACAUCGGCGGAGCGUCUUCCCACGCGCCACCGCCACUGGCGGCGCGUGGGUUCACGCGCCGCAGGAAAAAAAACGCAGCAGGGGAGACCUUCCCUUCUUCCUCGCCGGCGGUGACUACUUCCUCUACCUGCAACAAGAAACGCAAAAAGGGGGCCACAAACAAUUGAUUUUAGAUUUUAAUUCCUUUGUUUUUGAGAUCCACUUCGGUCUCUUUCUUCUCUUUUUUUUUUCAGAUCUGCCUCCCUCCUUUCUCCUCUUUUAGAUUUGUUUCCUUUUUCCUUCUUCCCGGUUCGCUGUUAUUUCCUUCUUCAGAUGGAAGAUCUGGUGGAGGCGGGUCGUGGUGGCGAGGCCAAGGGGGGAACGACCGUGCGUGGGCUGCUGCUGUGUGGUCUUCACUCCGGUCGGUGGCAGCGGUGGUUGGCUUUUGCUGCCGGUGUCCGGCCGCAGAGGGAGAGGCUGUCUUGGGGCUGCUCUGGGUCGAUUGCUCUGACCACUGCUACUGGAGGAACACGGCGCUGCUGCUCGAGGAUGGGGCCGCCGCUGCUGUAUACCGUUUGAGAUUAGAGGAGCGGCGGCCGGUCUCUGUCGGGUGGAGCUGGAGACCGUGAGAAGAAAAUGGGAAGCUUAGCUAAACAUGGGUGGUGGCUCCGGUGAGGAAAAUGGAGAGUGAGACUUGACCGGCUGAAGGGAGAAGAAACUGAAAAUAAAAAGGGGGGGGGUCGGCUGCAGAGAAGAUGAGAGAUUAAGGUGGCCCGGGGAAAAAAAAAUGGCCAGCGGGAGGGAGACGGCUACUGUUUUUUUUGUUUCAAAGGGGUGAAGGAGAUGGUUGGACCGUGGGUUCAAAUGUGGGGGUCAGAUCCAGAAGAGAUGGGGGCGGCGGUUUCCAGAGAAAAGAGAAAGGGAGGGGGCUGCACCCUUUUGAAAAAGAUAGGUUUUUUUGUAUUUUUUUCUGAUAUUUCAAAACUACCCCCUUUUUUGCAAGUGUUGGAAACCAGUAUUUAUAGGCAAAAAAUAUUGCCAAGUUUUUCAACUUGGUCCCUCAACUUCUUUAUUUUUUUGUAAAUUUUGAUUUUUCUUAUUUUUUUGUAUUUUUUGAAAACGAGCAAUAUCAACAUCGACUCAAAUGAGGAAAAUCAAUGAUUUAAAAAUGACGCGUGAAAAGUCGAACGCGUUUGAAAAUCUUUUUUUUUUAAAAUUAAAUUCUUUUUUAGACGACAUUGAAAAUGCUAAAAUGAUGAAAAUAUAUUAAAAAACAUAUUUUUUGGAUUUUCUUUGUUUUUCUCUAUUUUUGAUUUUUUGAAAAUAUAUCAAAAACAUGGGUCAAAAAUUGGGUAGCAACAGAUGCCCCCUCUUUACAAUGCUUACGAAGCAAAACUCCUCAAAAUUUUACAGAGUAAGCUUUGUAAAGAAAACAAAAGGAAAAUGAUUUCAUUAUCUUGGGCGACCUACCCACACACUCACAUUGAUCUAUUUUCAGGGGCGACCGGCCCACACACUCACACUGGUCUACUUUCACGGGCGACCUGCCCAUAUAUACUCAAAGUGGUCUAUUUUCAGGGGCGAUCUGCCCACACAUACUCACUCUGGUCUAUUUUCACGGGCGACCUGCCCACACAUACUCACUCUGGUCUAUUUUCACGGGCGACCUGCCCACACAUACUCACUCUGGUCUAUUUUCACGGGCGACCUGCCCACACAUACUCACUCUGGUCUAUUUUCACGGGCGACCAGCCCACACCCUUACACUGGUCUAUUUUCACGGGCGACCUGCCCUUUUAAUUGGGUUUACCUGAGAUCCCAUCUGGCGACCUCAUUCAAUUGGAACGAAAAUAUUGUGUAACUCGGUUAACCUGAAAUCCCAUCUGGCGAUUCCCUUUAACCAAAGCUACAUGAGAUCCCAUCUGGCGACCUCAUUCAAUUGGAACUAAACUGUGUGUAACUCAGUUAACCUGAAAUCCCAUCUGGCGAUUCCCUUUAACCAAAGCUAACUAAGAUCACAUCUGGCGACCUCAUUUAACCAAAACAAAAGAAUGCGUAAAAAAUGGUCUCAUUGUACGGGUGACCUACCCAGAAAAAAUAAUGGUCUCAUUGUACGGGUGACCUACCCAGGAAAAAUGAUGGUCUCAUUGUAGGGGUGACUUACCCACGAAAAAUGAUGGUCUCAUUGUAUGGGUGACCUACCCAAGAAAAAUGAUGGUCUCAUUGUAUGGGUGACCUACCCAAGAAAAAAUGAUGGUCUCAUUGUAUGGGUGACCUACCUAGAAAAAAUGAUGGCCUCAUUGUAUGGGUGACCUACCCAAUGUGGAAAGAAGCGGUCUCGUUGUGAUGGGUGACCUACCCAAAUGGAAAAAAUGUGAAGUGCGGUCUCAUUGUAAUGGGUGACCUACCCAUGUGGAAAGAAUAUGAAAAAGUGGUCUCGUUGUGAUGGGCGACCUACCCAAAUAGAAAGAAUGUGAAAAAAAACGGUCUUAUUAUGAUGGGCGACCUACCCAGAUGGAAAAAAAAUAUGAUGAAGUGGUCUCGUUGUGAUGGGCGACCUACCCAAAAAGAAAGAAUAUGAAGUGCGGUCUCAUUGUAAUGGGUGACCUACCCAAAAAUGGAAAAAAUAUGAAAUGUGGUCUCGUUGUAAUGGGUGACCUACCCAAAUGGAAAAAAUAUGAUGAAGUGCGGUCUCAUUGUCAUGGGUGACCUACCCGGAUGGAAAAAAUGUGAAGUGCCAAGUGUGAAAAAUAGGACUUACCUGGCGAAGUCUUUGAGGGGAUGACAGAAGAAGGGCUGGAAAACUUGGUGUUUCCUGAUAAUUCUCGAUCAUAGGGUUUGAAAACUCGAUGUUUCCUGACUGCAAGGGUUGAAAACUCGAGGCUUCCCGAUUGCAAGGUUGAUCUUUUCAUUUCUUUGGGAUUUUCCUAAUGGUAAGGUUUAUCCCAUCUUCUUUUUAUUCCAUGAUCAAAAUCGAUUCUUUAUUAUUAUCACCACCAUGCUUCCUUCUUUUUCCACCAUCUUGCUGGACCUCAUUAAGGGUUUUCCUGUAACAAUUCAAAAAUAUGUGUAAAUUUUUUUUUUUUUUUUAGGUUAGAUGAUAUGCAUGCAUCCUUACCUGAUUCGAAAUAUAGGUCCCCAUUUCUUCAUGGUGUGUUUCUUUUCUCAAACGUUGGAGUGUUGGUAGUGAACUUCAAUGGCUUUUCGCUCUUGCUUACUCGAGUCAUCUCUUGUGAUUUUGACCUCUAGGAAAGACUUGAUACCAUCAUACUUCUUUGUCCUCUGCCUCUUUAUCUCAAGGGUUGCCAAUUUUGCUUGACAUUUUCUUAGAAUGGGAAUCAUGGAGCCAGCCCUAUCAUAUGUUUCGUUAUUGCCCCCUAGCUUGAUCAUGCCCCAAGUGUUCAAUUCAGGUUUGGGGAUGAGGCUAUGUGAAUGUAGGUUUGACAAGGAGGUGUUUUCAUGCAGAAUUUUUGGAAUUCCAAAGCUAUUCCAGACACAAAAAUUAUUUUGACAUCGAUUCAAAGCAAACUCAAAAAUUCAAGUGAUUCCUAUGGAGAGGUUAUCAGAAGUGAUGAAAACUUUUUGUUUUGGCUUUUGGUAAAAAAUAUGAAGUGACCUCUGGUUUGUCAGAAAAGGUUUAAAUUUCAAUUUGAGGGUUAUUGAGAACCGAGGUUCAAAGCAUUUAUUUUAUUUGCAUGAAUAAUGAUUUGGUUCACAUGAGAAAGCAUUGCCUACCGAUCCAGAUUGCUUGCCUUUGAUAAGAAAGGGCUUGAUUAGGCAUGUAAUGUAGGCUUGGGCUCUUGGUUAUGAAGAAAAUGAUAUUUGUAGGCUCAAAAGGUGUUUAAGGGAUUUGAAGACUAAGGAUCACUUGUGCUUGUUUCUUGACCUUUUGUCAUUUGACUGUCUUUCGAAAAUUGUCUGUGCCCCCUUGUGUUGGGAUUGGGCUUGUUCUCUUUGUUUUUGUUUUCUUCAUAUGGUUUUGAGCAUUAUAAUAUUGUUUUUUUUUUUUAAUGCUCAAAACUCUUGAUCCUUUGGAUUUUUCUUCAUGCCCCCUAACUUUGUUUGGGCACCUUUGAUGAUUGAGAAAUUUCUUUUAUGCCCCCUAGUAUUGCUUGGGCAUUUUCCAUCAUUUAGGUUUUCUCUAUGUCAUCGCACUUGCCCCCAGUGUGGGGUGUGAUCCUAGCCAAGGUUAUUUUUUCAAGAAAUAUUUAUUAGGCUCAAAAAGGGACUACAAAUGAUAUAUUUAAGCCUUGUGAAAGAAUUAUCAAGGAUGGCCUUUCUUCAUCUCAAAUGCAUGCAUUUAGGAUCGGUAAGUCUUGCUUUCAUGCGAGUAUGCAAAGUGAUUUCUCAUUAUUCAUGCAAUCAAAACUCAGCUUUAGAGUCACUCCAUGGUUUUUUUUUUUUUCUAGGUGUAUGGUUACCUUUCUAAGGAAUCACCUGAAUUUCCAGAACUCGUUUGUUUUGGACAAACAUCAACAUGAUUUCAGUUUCUGUACUAAACUUUGAAUUCCCAAAAAUUCUUGUGAACAUGUGCGAUUAUGCAUAGUUUUGAAAGAAAGGAAAACACACCCAAAGAUUCUUGGUGUGAUGGUUUCAUGCUUAAAGAUUAUGCUCAAUAUGUUAUUUGCAUGAAACAACAACAAAAAUGAAGGUAUGUUAUAAACACAUGAUCUUAUUAACAAGAAAGGCUCAUUUGACAAGGAAAGUGUUGUGCAAUUUUGAGCCAAACAAAAAUCAAGAAAUUUUGCAGGCAUGAUCAAACUAAGGUUUAUUAUUAUUAUUAUUAUUAUUAUAUUACUAUUACUAUUAAUAUUAUUGUUAUUGUUGUUGUUGUCUUGUUAUUUAUAAUUUAUACAAUUAACCUCUCUGUGGUUCGACCCCGGUCUUGCCGGGUUAUUUAUUAUUUCGACACUCCUGUACUUGGGAGAAGACAUCAAUCUUUUGGUCGUGUUAAAUCUCUAUUGACCAGUUAGGGUUCCUAGUGACCACAAUACUGAUAUUACUCAGGGAACAAGAUGCCAAAAAUUUGUUCUUUAAAAAUAAUCAAGGAUAAUUUUUAAGGCUGCGCGAUGUUGGGUGUGACAGAAUGACGACUCCACUGGGGACUAAUGGACUAAGCUUUGCCUUUUGUUUAUCAAUUGCUAUAAUGUUUGUUAUGUUAUGUUUAUUUGUUUAUUUUUCUUGAAUUUACUGCUUUAGCAUGCAUCCAUGUUAUAUUGUCAUGCAUCACGUUGAGAGCACACACCUGAAAAUCUAGGAUAGGUGGGAAAGUAACGGUACCCCAACGGCUUUAGCCUGGGUAAGACUCGUGAAACCAUCCAACUCUCGUUUGAUCGUUUACUUGGAAGUGGUUGAUAUGCCAAACUGAUAUUACUCAGGGCCUCUAUUUUCAUACUACUUGUAAGCCUCAUAUCAACCUUCCAUGGACGAUCACUGAGCAUGCAAGAGAUCCUUCAAAACUAGAUAAUGACCAACCUUUUGAUGCACUCAACAAUUAGGAUCUUUCUAUUAAGUUGUCAUCCCGUGAAGGGCGAGUCUACAUUUCAUACGCAUUUUUUUAAUUGCUUCAACAUUUUUGACAUAAUUGUAUGAUUUACAUAAGGGCAGGUUGAAAUAUAGGUUCCCCAUUGAAACCCAUUCGAGAAAAGGACAAAUGGAAGAUGAAGAAAGAGCCCAGUUGGAAGCCCAACAUCAAAAAGAGGUGGACAAUCUUAAAGAAGAAGUCGCAAGGCUUAGUAGUCUACUCGAGCAGGCCUUGAGAGAUAAAUUAGGAAAAGCAACACUUAUAGCUCAGCCUGAACCUAUGCUUGUAAAUCCCUUCAAUCCACAGAAUCUGGGGAAAUGGGUUGUCAUCUGAUUUUCAACAAGCCAUGCAUUUUCAACCAGCAUACCCCACGAGAAUGUCGUUUACCAUUGAUUCUACAGAGAAUGAAUCUCAAAAGGGCAAAAUAAUAAAAGAAGAUGAUCUGAACAAAUUCAUUACCUUAGAACAAAGGAUGAGGGCAUUUGAGGGAAUUCGCCUAUAUGAUCUUAUAAAGGCUGGUGAGAUGUGUUUGGUGCCUAAUGUUGUCAUUCCCAAAAAGUUUAGAGUGCCAGAAUUUAUCAAAUAUAUGGGAACUCAAUGCCCUAUAACUCAUCUCAAAGCAUACUGCAACAAAAUGGCUGAGGUGAUUGAUGAUGAGAAACUGCUGAUUCAUUUCUUUCAAGACAGCUUGAGUGAUGUUUCCCUCACUUGGUAUAUGCGGUUGGACAAUACCAAGGUUAAAAAAUGGAAGGAUUUAGUUGAUGCUUUCAUGAGGCAAUAUAAGUAAUAUAGACGUGGGCCUUGAUCAUUUAAGCUUGCAAGCUAUGGAGAGGGACAACAAGAAGUCCAUAAGGGAAUACGCCCGAAGAUGGAGUGAGGUAACUGCACAAGUUAACCCUCCCAUGUUGGAAAAAGAAAUGAUUAGUUUAUUUUCCAACACCUUUAAAGCUCCAUGUUGCUACCCAAACCCAUGUUUUGAUAAUUUUUCAUAUAAAAAUCCAAAAUAGAGAAAAAAACAUCGAAAAUCCAAAAAAUACUUUUUAAUAUAUUUGCGUUGUUUUUAGCAUUUUCAGCGUCGUCUAAAAAGAAUUUAAAUUUUUUAAAGGUUUUUGGAACGCGUUCGACUUUUAGCGUGUUAUUUUUAAAAUCAUUGAUUUUCCUCAUUGAGUCGACGUUGAUAUUGCUCGUUUUCAAAAAUACAAAAAAAUUUAAGAAAAAUCAAAUUUACAAAAAAAGAAGAAGUUGAGGGACCAAGUUCGGAAACCUGGCAACAUUUUGCCUAUAAAUAAUAGCUUCCAACACUUGCAUAGGGGGAGGGCAAUUUUACACAUUUAGAGGACACAAAAAUACCCAAACCCUAAACCUAACUCGAUCUUUUUUUCAAACAGCCGCCCCCCCGGCUUGCUUGAAUUUUUUUGCUCCCCCACACAGACCCCUCUAACCGGGACAGCCACAGCCGCCUCACCAUCUCCUCCCACUCUCCCUUGCCCUCCGCCAAACAAACCAGCCGCCACUUUCACUUUCCCCUCUCUCAGCCGAUCCCUCAUCUCCUUUUUCCUACAAACCAGCAAUACACCCGAACAAACCCCCACACACGGCCUCCUCCCCAUUUACCCUUUUUCCCCUUCAACCAGCAGACGACAGCAACCAAGAGGCAGGAGCCACUCCCUGCUCAACAGCAACCCCUCUCUCUGUAAAAAAAAUUUCCAUUGAAAAGUUAACAGUGCUCACAUUUUUUUUUUUCCAUUGAAAAGUAACUUUUAAUCCGAUCCACAACAAGAACUAGACAAGGACACGUUAUUUAUUGGAAGAACACGUGGUGCUAUGUUUUCUCGAGAAUGCUUCGAUAGUCAGAAAAUCAAGGGCCACCAUUCAUGUGCAUCCUAACACCUUUUUUCUUCAGUAAAAACAAAUCCUCAAACUCGUCCUAAUAUCUUCUGGAGACCUACUUCUAACUUCAAAAUCUAUUACAAUCCAAUAUAAUCGGUCUUAAAUUGAAAUCAAUGUUUUGAAAAAAAAUAUAUGAUCUAGGCUUCGAUCUAUCUAUAGUAAAACAUCAUGGUCUUUUAUUUCUUUAUUAAUUCUAAUAAAAAUAAUAAUGUUUUUAUUAUUAAUUUUUAAUAUACUAGCUAGUGCUUGUAUAACAAAACUGAAUCCAACCUCUUGGAUAAUGUAGCUAGCCACCAUAGCUUGAACACUAAGUUCAAACCCAAUAUUUGUUUAUUCUUCUGGUAUCUUAGCAACCAACUUCGAAAGCCCUUUUCUUUCUUCUUAUUCCAAUGACUUCGAAUUUUUUCAACAGGUUGCACGGUCUCGGAGAAAAUAGGCUGGGGACCAAGGAGAUCAAUUUCCAGGAAAUCCAUUUCAUUUAAUUAGGGUUCCUGCAGACCAAGGAGAUCAAAUUCCAGGAAAUCCAUUUCAUAGUCAGGGGAUGAAUGCGAAUGCAACGCCAUGUGCCUGAUGUGAUUGCAAUUUUGAGGUAGUUGGGUGGUUGAAGUUACAGCCAAGGUGAUUACAAUUUUGAGGUAGUUGGGUGUUCAUGUUUCGGAUCGAUCCAAUUUAGAUCUAAGAAAUUCACCAAACCAGGACAAUAAUUUUUUUAAAAAAUCAAAAAUCAAUUCAAAACAACCUCGUUCAGUUGGUCAAAAUCAGGAAACCAAAUACCUUGAUAAAGUCUGCAAAAAAGCAAAAGUCGUUCAAAUAUUUUAAAUUAUAUUUAUCUUUCAGUUUUUCUUGAUUUAGUCUUCACUUUACAUCAAUAUUAUAUUCUAACAUUUAUUUUUCUAUAUAAUUCUUGAUAUCACAUGCAUCAAUUCUUCUAUUAACAAUAAAAAAAUAUAUGUAGGCUUCGAUCUAUCUAUAGUAAAAACAUCAUGGUCUUUUAUUUCUUUAUUAAUUUUAAUAUUCAUUAACAAUAAUAAUGUUGUUAUUAUUAAUUAUUAAUUUUUAAUAUACUAGUGCUUGUAUAACAAAACUGAAUCCAACCUCUUGGAUAAUGUAGCCACCAUAACUUGAACACUAAGUACAAACCCAAUAUAUAUUUUUUCUACUUCUGGUAUCUUAGUAACCAACUUCGAAAGCCCUUUUCUUUUCUUUUUAUUCCAAUGACUUCGAAUUUUUUCCGGUUUCUUUAGGUCAAGAACUCGUACCGGCAAGUUUCCUGGAUUUUCUUACGGAUCUUUUUCUUACACUGUAAAGAAGAUAGAGUUUCGGAGGAGAAAAAGCAAAAAGAGAAAUGAAAGGGAUAGCGAACGCGCACUGGGCAGCAGUCAGCAGAGGCACCUUCCUGUCAAGAGCAGGGGUUGGGCCACACACAUCACAAUUGAGUUGAUUCAUGUUUUGUAAUGAAUUUUCAAGUCAAGCAUCUAUUUUUUAAAAGUAAAUAAGGACAUUUUACAUACAAUAAAAAGUAAUUACGUUGAACCUUGAUCAUUAUAUAUAUAGUUUAAUCAUUUUAUUUCUAUUUUUUAAAGAAAUUAUGAUUUAUGAUAACAUUUUAUGUCCUCACUAACAUAUAAAAAAAUCAAUAAAAAAUAUCUAAUUAUAUACAAAAAAUAUUAUUAUUUUCAAACUAAAAACUAUAAAGCUAGCUCUUAUAUUAAAUAUUAUAAAAUCUCAUUGAUUUUAUUUUUUUAAAAAAAACUUAGCCACACACUAUUAACUGAAUCUAAUUAACAAAAAAAAAAGAAAUUCAUAUUAAAUUGAGUUUAGAAUCUCAAAUUUUAAUAUUUUUUUAACAAACAGUCCAACUUUGAUUUUCUCCAAUAAAAAAAACCAAUUCUUCUCGCAUUGCUAGCAUACCAUCUCAAACCUAUUGUUGUAACCCAUUUUUGGAUCCCCACAUAAAAAAUAAUAAAAUACAAAAAAAUCAAAAAAAUACAUUAUAAAAAAAUAUAACAGUGAAAAAAAUGCCAGAGCGCCCUAAAAAUGCUCAAAAAUUGAUUGAGGAUGUUCAAAAUAAAAAAUUAAUUUUUGACAGUAUAUCAUUGACUGAUAAGAGCCCUGAUGAUAAAAACAAAUUCAAUUUGAGGAAGAAAAAUGCAAAAUUAGAAGUUUAUGGACUCAAUUAAAUUUUAUUGAAGGUUUAAUUGAAUUUAUAGAGGUUUUAAUUGCAAAACAAUUGAUUUUGGACUUAAUUUGGGCUUUAAUUAGAAGAAAUUAAUUUUCUGGGGUCAAAUUAUAAUUUUUGGAAGUUAAAUUGGUCAAAUCAGGGGCUUAAUUGCAUAAAUAUUGAAGUUUAAGGCCAAUUAGGGACUUAAUUGAAGAAAUCCGAGACUAGGGACCAAAAUGUAAAACGCGCGCAAAUUGAGGGCUUAAUUUUAAAUCUGACGCGUUCUAGCGCCAAAAUCCUUUUAAAUGAAACGACGCGUUUUGACCAAAACGACGCCGUUUCAAGCACUGUUUAUUAAAAAAAAAAAAGAGAAAACGCAAAACGGUGCUGUUUUGAAACGGCACCAUCGUCUUCUUCCCUGCGCGCGCAGAGAACAGCGGAGAAGAAUUUUUUUCUUCUCCACUUUUCGCCGAACUUUCUUUCCCAUUUUUUACGCAAUAAGACACCCACCAUUCGGCGCCCACUUGCCUCCUUUUUCUCCACUGAUCGAUAGUCGAGGGGGCGGCCAACAGUGGCCGCCCCACCGUGACGUCCUGCCCCUGUUUUUGCCUAUAAAAACAGGGGAAGCAGACCAAAGAAAAGAGAGAGAACAGAAGGGAUAAGAGAGGGAGAAGAGGGAGAAGACCGAGAGAAGAGAGGAGAGAAGGCAGAGCAGAGAAAAGAAGAAGCAGAGAAGAAAACGAAAAAAAAAACACAGAGGAGAGAGAGAGAAGGAAAACCGCAGGCCACCGUGCCUCCGCCACCAUCGCCACCGUGCCUACACCGCCAGCAGCACCGCCUCGACGCCACCGCAGGUAAUCUCCCGUUGCCCCGUCUCCUUCUCCUUUUGCAGCUCCUUUUUUUUUUUCAUGCAACGUGAAUUAAUUCACGUUCUGCAGCAGUUGAAGGAGGCUGGUUACUGUGCUUAGGCACAGUAACCAGCCCAUUUGGUAAUGGGCCGGGUCCGGCCCAUUUCAAAUUGUUUUUAUUAGAAUUUUUACAAUUUUUUCAGCACAUUUUUUUAUCAAUUUUGCUUAAUAUCGGUUUGUAUUUUACAUCGUAAAAAUAUAAAUCUGGUAUUAAAAUACCCGGUUUUCGUCCCACGGUACUGUUCACAUUCAGAAAGAAAAAAAUAAAAAAUAAUUGUUUCAGCAUUUUAUAAUUUUUCCGCGUAAUUUUUUAUGUCAUUUUGAUUAAUAUCGGGCAGUAUUUUUACAUCAAAAAAUAUAAAUCCGGUAUUAAAAUUCCAAAAAAUACAAAACAAAAUUAAAAAAAAAAUAAAAAAAUGUUUUUGUGCAUACGGCCAAGUGUCUCAAAUCUAAAAAUCAUAUCAUAUUUUUCAUAUGUCAAAAAAAAAAUAUUUAGCAUGCAUUUUGGCUUUAAUAACCAAUUUAUUAAAGUCAAGAGAACAUUGGCCAAAAUCUCAAAAAUAAUAAAAUAUUUUGUUUUGUUUGAUUUUAGUAUCAGGGAUUAUGAAUUUAUACGUAAAUCGUAUUCCUGAUAUUAAAAAGAUAUUUUCUUUGGACGACUUCAAAUUGUUAGUUUUUUACCCGAUAAAGAUAAGGAUCUCCUUACAGAGGAGGACUUUUCUUAAACCAUAAACGAACCAACAAUUCAAAAACCACAACACGAUUUUAGAUUUUUAUCAGACAUCAAAACAAUGCAGCCUACCUUAGGUAGGGCGUAGUUGGGGUGCUAAUACCUUCCCUUUACGCAACCAGUCUCCGUACCCCAUCUCUGAGACUAGUUAGGGUUCCUAGUAACCAGAAUACUAGGUGGCGACUCCCAGUCCAUAUUUUCACAUGUAUAGACAAGAAUUCCUUGUCUCUCCCUAUUUUCAAGGAAUAAAUAUUCCGAUUUUUCCUUGAGGGUGGACGAUCGCCGCGCCGCCGCACACGUGCGACACCUAUGAUUAUAAACAUAUCAAAACAAUUCAACAACAUAAAAAAAAAAAAAUUCAAACGGGUCAUGAACUGCUUUCCCAGCCAAAUUUGUAAUGCAGGAUGUUGUUUGUAAUGCUUCUUGUUUUUUGAAUCAUCAAUAUCCAAAUGAUGUGGAUGAACACACUAUGUAUAUAUAUGGAUUGUGUUGCUCUCGCUAUUUAAGCUGCUUCGCGAAUUUGAUGUGUUAAAGAAGUUUUAAUAAUUGUCUUUUCAUCGGAAAUUAGAAAUAUCACUUACGUAUAAGUUAAUAAUUCUUAACCGUGAUCCGAUCAAAAUAUUAAAUUCUUCUUUAAUAAAUUUGCAAUUUUAUCCUAAAAAAUAAAUAAAUAAAAUAACAAAAUUCAUAAAACAAAUACAAACACACACAUACACUUUCACUGUAUUUCUUUUCUUUUCUUUUCUUUUCUUUUGUUACAUCCAUAAUACAAAAUAAAAAAUACAAAAUACAAAAUACAAAUACAAAAUAAAUAAAUAAAAAUUACAUUACAUAAUUUAAAAUUUACAAAAACAGUCCCUAAAAUUCUAGAAAAUUGCAGGGAAGGACUUCUGGGGGCUGUAUGAACAGUCCCUAAAAUUCGUCCCUUGCUCCUGCAACUGAGAAGAAGUUGUGGUUGUCCAAAGGCGAAAGGAAAAUAAGGGCUGAGUUGGGAGGAAGACGAUCUAGUAACGGGGUGCUGGUGUUGGGAGAUUAUAGCAGUGAUGGGGGAUCGGCUAUGGGUUUCUUUUUUUUCAAGGCUGAGGGCCGCCGGCUGGCUUUCGUUGGCUGGGAGUUGGGUUUCCCUGAAGGCGCUGCUAUUGAGAAUAUAAAGGAACGGCCGGGGAUUGGAGAAUGAUUCAAACCGGGGAGGGGCUGUUUGGCCGGUUUUUGCAGGGGAUAAGAGCGGGUUGGUGUUUUCGUUUUGGUUUUGGCCGGGGCUAGGAGAAGUCAGGGGGCUCCAGUGUGAAAAAAAAUUCAAAACCGAGAGCCUAGGGGGGCGGCUGUAGAGGCAGCUGUGAGGAGAAGAUCAAAAACCAAGAGGGGUGGCCCGCGGCUCCCUUGUUAGAGAUAGACUUAGGGUUUUCUUUUUUGUAUUUUUGGUGUUUCCAAAAUUAGCCCCCAACCUUUUUUGUGUUGAGGAAACCAGUAUUUAUAGGUAAAAUGUUGCUAGGUUUUUCAACUUGGUCCCUCAACUGUUUUUUUUUUUGUAAAUUUUGAUUUUUCUUAUUUUUUUGUAUUUUUUGAAAACGAGCAAUAUCAACGUCGACUCAAAUGCGGAAAAUCAAUGAUUUUAAAAAUGACGCGUGAAAAGUCGAACGCGUUUGAAAAAUUAAAUUCUUUUUUAGACGACGUUGAAAAUGCUAAAAUGACGAAAAAUAUAUUAAAAAACAUAUUUUUUUUGGAUUUUCUUUGUUUUUCUCUAUUUUUGGAAUUUUUGAAAAUAUAUUAAAAACAUGGGUCAAAAAUUGGGUAGCAACAGAUGCCCCCUCUUUACAAUGCUUACAAAGCAAAACUCCUCAAUGUUUUGCAUAGUAAGCUUUGUAAAGAAAAACUUGUAUUUCUGUUUGCUCAAUAUCUACUUCAUCUAAAAACCUUAAUCUGUUCUUCGUUUUUUUUUUUUUUCAUUAUCCUGAGAUCCCAUCUGGCGACCCCUUUUAACCGAACCAAAGAAUGUGUGUAGCUCAGUCAACCUGAAAUCCCAUAUGGAGAUUCCCUUUAACUAAAGCUACAUGAGAUCCCAUCUGGCGACCUCUCGACUGACACGAAAAUAUGUGUAACUCAGUUAACCUGAAAUCCCAUCUGGCGAUUCCCUUUAACCAAAGCUACAUGAGAUCCCAUCUAGCGACCUCAUUCAACUGGAACGAACAUAUGUGUAACUCGUUUAACCUGAAAUCCCAUCUAGCGAUUCCCUUUAACCAAAGCUACAUGAGAUCCCAUCUGGUGACCUCAUUUAACCAAAACAAAAGAAUGUGUAAAAAAUGGUCUCAUUGUAAUGGGUGACCUCCCUAAGAAAAAUGAUGGUCUCAUUGUAUGGGUGACCGGCCCAAGAAAAAUGAUGGUCUCAUUGUAUGGGUGACCGGCCCAAGAAAAAUGAUGGUCUCAUUGUAUGGGUGACCGACCCAAGAAAAGUGAUGGUCUCAUUGUAUGGGUGACUGACCCAAGAAAAAUGAUGGUCUCAUUGUAUGGGUGACCGACCCAAGAAAAAAUGAUGGUCUCAUUGUAUGGGUGACCGACCCAAAUGGAAAAAAUAUGAUGAAGUGGUCUCGUUGUGAUGGGCGACCUACCCAAAUAGAAAGAAUGUGAAGUGCGGUCUCAUUGUAAUGGGUGACCCACCCAAAAAUGGAAAAAAUAUGAAGUGUGGUCUCAUUGUAAUGGGUGACCUACCCAGAUGGAAAAAAUAUGAUGAAGUGGUCUCGUUGUGAUGGGCGACCUACCCAAAUAGAAAGAAUGUGAAGUGCGGUCUCAUUGUAAUGGGUGACCCACCCAAAAUGGAAAAAAUAUGAAGUGUGGUCUCAUUGUAAUGGGUGACCUACCCAGAUGGAAAAAAUAUGAUGAAGUGGUCUCGUUGUGAUGGGCGACCUACCCAAAUAGAAAGAGUGUGAAGUGCGGUCUCAUUGUAAUGGGUGACCCACCCAAAAUGGAAAAAAUAUGAAGUGUGGUCUCAUUGUAAUGGGUGACCUACCCAGAUGGAAAAAAUAUGAUGAAGUGCGGUCUCAUUGUCAUGGGUGACCUACCCGGAUGGAAAAAAUGUGAAAAGUGCGGUCUCAUUGUCAUGGGUGACCAACCCAACUGAAGAUGUGAUAUGAGAAGUGUGAAAAAUAGGACUUACCUGGCGAAGUCUUUCAGGGGAUGACAGAAGAAGAGCUGGAAAACUUGGUGCUUCCUGAUAAUUCCCGAUCAUAGGAUUUGAAAACUCGGUGUUUCCUGACUGCAAGAGUUGAAAACUCGAGGCUUCCCGAUUGCAAGGUUGAUCUUUUCAUUUCUUUGGGAUUUUCCUAAUGGUAGGGUUCAUCCCAUCAUCCUUUUAUUCCAUGAUCAAAAUCGAUUCUUUAUUAUCAUCACCACAAUGCUUCUUUCUUUUUCCAACAUCUUGCUAGACCUCAUUAAGGAUUUUCCUGUAACAAUUAAAAAAAUAUGUGCAAAUUUUUUUUUUUUUUUGAGGUUAGAUGAUAUGCAUGCAUCCUUACCUGAUUUGAAAUAAUAGGUCCCCAUUUCUUCAUGGUGUGUUUCUUUUCUCAAAAGUUGGAGUGUUGGCAGUGAACUUCGAUGGCUUCUUCGCUCUUGCUUACUCGAGUCAACUCUUGUGAUUUUGACCUCUAGGAAGAAAUUGAUAUCAUCAUAGUUCUUUUUCCCCGUCCUUUACCUCAAGGGUUGCCAACUUUGCUCGACAUUUUCUUAGAAAAUGAAUCAUGGAGCCAGCCCUAUCAUAUGUUUUUUUAUUGCCCCCUAGCUUGAUCAUGCCCCCAAGUAUUCAAAUCAAGUUUGAGGAUAAGGCUAUGUGAAGGAAGGUUUGACAAGGAAUUGUUUUCAUGCAGAAUUUUUGGAAUUCCAAAGCUAUUCCAAACACAGAAAUCAUUUUGACAUCGAUUCAAAGCAAGCUCAUUUUGAAGAAAUUCAAGUGUUUCCUAUGGAGAGGUUAUCAGAAGUGAUGAAAACCUUUUUUUUUUUUUUUUUUUUGGCUUUUGGUAAAAAAAAAAUGAAGUGACAUCUGGUUUGUCAAAAAAGGUUUAAAUUUCAAUUUGAGGGUUAUUGAGAACCGAGGUUCAAAACAUUUAUUUUAUUUGCAUGAAUAAUGAUUUGGUUCACAUGAGAAAACAUUGCCUACCGAUCCAGAUUGCUUGCCUUUGAUCAGAAAGGGCUUGAUUAGGCACGUAAUGUAGGCUUGGGCUCUUGGUUAUGAAGAAAAUGAUAUUUGUAGGCUCAAAAGGUGUUUAAAGGAUUUGAAGACUAAGGAUCACUUGUGCUUGUUUCUUGACCUUUUGUCAUUUGACUGUCUUUCGAAAAUUAUCUAUCGUGCCCCCUUGUGUUGGGCUUGGGCUUGUUCUCUUUGUUUUUGUUUUCUUCAUAUGGUUUUGAGCAUCAUAAUAUUGUUUUUUUUUUAUGCCCAAAACUCUUGAUCCUUUGGAUUUUUCUUCAUGUCCCUCUAGAUUUGUUCGGGCACCUUUGAUGAUUGAGAAUUUUCUUUUAUGCCCCCUAGUAUUGCUUGGGCACUUUCGAUCAUUGAGGUUUUCUCUAUGUCAUCGCACUUGCCCCUAGUGUGGGGUGUGAUCCUAGCCAAGGUUAUUUUUCAAGAAAUAUUUAUUAGGCUCAAAAGGGGACUACAAAUGAUAUAUUUAAGCCUUGUGAAAGGAUUAUCAAGGAUGACCUUUCUUCAUCUCAAAUGCAUGCAUUUAGGAUCGAUAAGCCUUGCUUUCAUGCGAGUAUGCAAAGUGAUUUCUCAUUAUUCAUGCAAUCAAAACUCAGCUUUAGAGUCACUUCAUGGUUUUUUUUUUUUUUAGGUUUUUCUAGGUGUAUGGUUACCUUUCUAAGGAAUCACCUGAAUUUCCAGAACUCGUUUGUUUUGGACAAACAUCAACAUGAUUUCAGUUUCUGUACUAAACUUUGAAUUCCCAAAAAUCCUUGUGAACAUGUGCGAUCAUGCAUAGUUUUGAAAGAAAGGAAAACACACCCAAAGAUUCUUGGUGUGAUGGUUUCAUGCUUAAAGAUUAUGCUCAAUAUGUUAUUUGCAAGAAACAACAACAAAAAUGAAGGUAUGUUAUAAACACAUGAUUUUAUUAACAAGAAAGGCUCAUUUGACAAGGAAAGUGUUGUGGAAUUUUGAGCCAAGUUACCAACAAAAAUUGGAAUAGGUUGAAACAAAAAUGAAGAAAUUUUGCAGGCAUGAUCAAACUAAGGUUUUUCUUUUUUCUUUUUUCUUUUUUUGCAGAAUAGGCUCCAUUAUGCACCGGUAGUGCAAUUCCCUUUGGUUAGCCUUCCCACCAAAGCUUUUUGUAGAAAAUACAUGAUGCGCCGAGGCUCUUGACAAAUUUUGCCCCCAAUUUCUUCGGGCUGAGUCAUUGUUGGGUUUUGAAUAAAGAUGAUAGGUCGGUUGGAAGAAACUUCCCUAGAGUUAUUUUUCAGUAUCUACUCGAGUAAGCUAGAAGCAAGUCACACAUGUCUUCAAAAAUUACGACGAGCAUAUUCUUCAUCUUCAGAGUUUUUCUUCAUUCAAAGUCGGGUGUUGUAGACUCGUAGGGGACCUACUUUUCAUUCUGGUGCAUGCAUGACAAAUGUAUGAACAUGUAAUCUAUAUGAUGAACUCACCCUUCGAGAGGUGACAAUAUGGUCGUAACUCUUGUAUGAUGGAGCAAGAAUCGUGAUUUUUGCCCAAACUUUACAAUGAAAAUUUUCGGAGUAACGGCCAAUGUGUCACCCAUAAGUCUUGAGUUCAAGAUGCUUCAAGAAGAGUUUGUUCUUAUGCAAAAAACGAUAGCACAUACAACCUAAGGACAAGUUCUAUUCAUUAUGUGAACAUGGGUAGGUCUUCUAUCUGGUCUCAAAAGGGUCUCAUAUCUGUCCAGUGACGUUCUUCGUAAAGACAGUAUGGGGGCGUUGCAAGGAAUGGUUAAGGCACGUAUACCCACCAUUACCAAGCAGGCACUCAGAUAUGAGUUGGGUGUUUCACGCAUCUGAACCCUGACCAAUAGCCUUAGGGCAGAUCACUAGUUCCCCACCUAACCUAGAAGCUUGUGUGUGCUUUUAAAAAUAAAUACAGGUGAUGCAUGAAUCAAUUGUAUAAAAUGCAUGGAAAAAAAAUAUUAACAAAAAGAUAAAAAUGCAAAAAACUUAAACACAUCAAAUACACAAAGCUUAGUCCAAUAAUGUUAGAAACAAUACCUUCCCCAGUGGAGUCGCCACUUUGUCGCACCCAAAAACAAAAUCAGCGCGCGGCAUCGGCUGACGAUUUUUCUCUCGUUGUUAUUGUUUUUGCUUGAAUUUAGUUCGUUGGAGUCGCCACCUAGUAAUUGAUUGCGGGCUACUAGGAAACCGGAUGUACUGGUCUUAUCAAAGAUUCGCGGGUAAGGGACUGGUUGUGGUUAGGGAAGGUAUUAGCACCCCUAACGCACCUUACCUGAGGUAAGCUGCUUCGCGAAUUUGAUGUUUUAAAGAAGUUUUAAUAAUUGUCUUUUCAUCGAAAAUUAGAAAUAUCACUUACGUAUAAGUUAAUAAUUCUUAACCGUGAUCCGAUCAAAAUAUUAAAUUCUUCUUUAAUAAAAUUGCAAUUUUAUCAUUAAAAAAAUAUAUAUACAAAUAACUAAAACAAAAUACAAACAUCCACAUUCACUUUUACUAUAUUUUUCUUUUUUUUUCUUUUCUUUUACACCCAUAUUUACAAAAUAUAAAUUACAAAAAAAAUGAAAACUAAACAAAUAUUACAUUAAACCAUUUGGAAAUUACAAAAAUGACCCAAAACAAAUUCAGGAACAAUUCUGGGCUGCAUUCUGGGCUGCCUGAACAGUAGCGGCGCGUGAACCGCCCCGAAAAUCAGGCAGUGUGAGGGGGCUGUAAUGCUUCCUCCUCUCUUCAAUCUCUUGUUGUCCGUCACCUGCAAAUCCAAAAAACAACACAGCAAGGGCAGUCGAUUUUAAGUUUUUUUUUAGUUUUUCAAAUCUGUUUUUUGUUCUUUCUUUCUUCUCCGAUCUGCUCCUUCCUCUUCUUCUUCAGAUCGUCUUCUCCCCGGGUCAGUUCGUUAGGGUUUAUGUCUUCUUCUCUGCUUCCGGUGGUGGCGAGGCCAAGGGGGAACGGCUGCGCGGGUGCUGCUGGUGGCCUGUGAUGGUGCGGUGGAGCUGUGAAGGAGAGGGGACCGUGGAUCUGCCACCGUUGAAAAGGGAAGAUCUGUUGCUUGCUGCUGGUUGCUCGACCGCCGCUGGAGGCUGAUUGAAGAGGUGGUGUCGCCGUGUUCGGCGGUGACAGGAGGAGCUGUUGUGGUCGGCCGGUUGGAGAAGAAAAAAUCAAAGCCAAGGGGAAGGAGAGGAUGAGCGGCGGCUGCAAGCGGGGAAAGGAAGAAAAGCUUUUUGGGUGAUGACGGGGGGGGGGGGCUUUGGGAGAUGACAGUGAAGAGGCUGGGUUGUGUGAUCGGGAGAGGAGGAAAUACCGUGGGAUGAGCGGUGGUUUCCGGAGAGAAAAAAAAAGUCGUGAGGGGGCGGCUCCUUUUGUUAGAGAUGGGUCUAGGGUUAGAGAUUUUUUUGUAUUUUUUCAGAUGUUGUCAAAAUUGCCCCCUCCCUCUUGCAAGUGUUGGAAACCAGUAUUUAUAGGCAAAAAAUGUUGCCAAGUUUUUCAACUUGGUCCCUCAACUUCUUUCUUUUGUAAAUUUUGAUUUUUCUUUUUUUUUUUGUAUUUUUUUAAAACGAGCAAUAUCAACGUCGACUCAACAAGGAAAAUCAAUGAUUUUAAAAAUGACGCGUGAAAAGUUGAACGCGUUUGAAAAUCUUUUAAAAAUUUAAAUUCUUUUUUUUAGACGACGUUGAAAAUGCUAAAAUGACGAAAAUAUAUUAAAAACAUAUUUUUUUGGAUUUUCUUUGUUUUUCUCUAUUUUUGGAUUUUUUUGAAAAUAUAUCAAAAACAUGGGUCAAAAAAUAGGUAGCAACAGAUGCCCCCUCUUUACAAUGCUUACGAAGCAAACUCCUCAAAAUUUUGCAUAGUAAGCUUUGUAAAGAAAACAAAAGGAAAAUGAUUUCAUUAUCUUGGGCGACCUGCCCACACACUCACACUGAUCUAUUUUCACGUGCGACCUGCCCACACAUACUCACUCUAGUCUAUUUUCACGGGCGACCGACCCACACUCUCACACUGAUCUAUUUUCACGGGCGACCUGCCCACACAUACUCACUCUAGUCUAUUUUCACGGGCGACUGACCCACACUCUCACACUGGUCUAUUUUCACGGGCGACCUGCCCUUUUAAUUGGGUUUACCUGAGAUCCUAUCUGGCGACCUCAUUCAACUGGAACGAAAAUAUUGUGUAACUCGGUUAACCUGAAAUCUCAUCUGGCGAUUCCCUUUAACCAAAGCUACAUGAGAUCCCAUCUGGCGACCUCAUCCAACUGGAACGAAAAUAUUAUGCAACUCGGUUAACCUGAAAUCCCAUCUGGCGAUUCCCUUUAACCAAAGCUACAUGAGAUCCCAUCUGGCGAUCUCAUUCAAUUGAAACAAAAGAAUGUGUAAAAAAUGGUCUCAUUGUAUGGGUGACCUACCCAAGAAAAAAAAAAGAUGGUCUCAUUGUAUGGGUGACUUACCCAAGAAAAAUGAUGGUCUCAUUGUAUGGGUGACCUACCCAAGAAAAAAUGAUGGUCUCAUUGUAUGGGUGACCUACCCAAAAAAAAAUGAUGGUCUCAUUGUAUGGGUGACCUACCCAAGAAAAAUGAUGGUCUCAUUGUAUGAAUGUAAAAGAACUUAUCCACAUUGAAAAAUGGCAAGGUACACCCUAUCUUUUGAAUGGGCCAAAAAAAAGAAGGAAAAGCAUGAAACAGUGUUGACCCAAUAGUAACUAAGCAAUCCUUUAGUGACAGGAGACCACUCUGGUCAACAAUCAAAGCAUGCAGAAAACCUGGUUAAUUAAUUCUUUUGCACGCAAUGCAUCAGGAAAAACAUCUGGAUCUUUCUGUGCAUCCCUCAGCAUGAUAUCAAGUACUCUGCAUCACAAAAGUGCAUGUUUAUCACAGCAUCCUUUUGCAGAUAUCUGCUUGCUUCACAUCCAGAAAUGCACUACAGAAAUAUAGGAUUGAAAAAGAAAAAUUCUUGUAGAGGCUUUACAAAUUUGGCUCCAAUCAAACAUAUCCAAUGAAUACUACAGGACUUUGACUACUGCACAUGAAGGGCUAACAUAUGGAUCUGGUAAUAGGCCAUGAAAUAAGAGCAUUGCUGACUAAAGUUUUGCUUUGAUUGAAUUGAAACAAAUUAAAGUUCCUAAUAUAAGCAGAAAUAUUAACCUUCGAUUGGAUGUUACUACUUCAUUACAAAUGCCUGGAUUUCCUUGAAAGCCAGAAAACUCGGCCAGUGAAAGACAUUCUUCUUUUAGUUUUGUGAGAGUAGGGCUUCCAAACUCUUAGUCUUUGGGAUGAUAAUGUUAAUUGCAGAUUUCUAUUCGAUCCAAUACAUGCUGGCAGGUAUGUUUCAGAAAAACUGGGACCCAAUUAGGAAGCAUUUUUGGUUUAUAUCCCUAGGAUCAUAUUUGUAGGUCAUCCUAUUAAGAGUUGGUUAUAAAUCUAAAAAUUCAGAUUCUGUCCUCAUGUAAUUAAAUGGAACUUCAGAUUUAAAGAAGGGUAUCCCUUUAUUAAGCCCACUAACAAAGAGUUUCCACAAUUUUCAGCACAAGUUUUUUAGUUUCUCAAAAAAUCUGUGUUUUCAAAUCUUCGACCUAAUCUUUAAAUCAGUCUUGAGUAAAAACAACCAGCUCCAUUGGUUUGCUUCAACAAAAGCUCAUCUUAGCUCAAAUCUUUUCUACUGUAUCAUGAGGAAACCCCUUACCUAGCAGCUAUUCCCGAGUAGACAUCUGCAGGCUUCUCUCCUGCAACUAGAUUAACAGCAGCUGCUCCCAACUGUUCAAGAUUCCAAUGAUUUAACAAAAGCAGAGGGAUUCAAAAUAUAAUCAAAUGCAUUACUUUCCUUUUUCAAAAUUAAAAACGAAGUUCAAAAAAUAAAAGUUUGCAGACCACUUCUAAAAAACACGACUUGAAUUCAACAAUGAUUGGCAUCAGCAUAGUGCCUUAGGAAAUGAAAAUCAGACAAACAGAUUGCACAUAUUGGGUUUUUUUUUAUCAGCAGUAAUCAUAAAGAAAAGAAAAACUUCAUAACAUCAUCUAAUUCAAGUUAAGGACGUUACCUUGUCUCUUCCAAGUGCAGCGUAGUGUUGUAGGCCAUUGCAGGAACCAUCCUACAAAAAACCAUAAGAGGGAAGGGGUCCAUCAGAAGGCAGAACAGGUUAUGAGAAAAAUUAUAGGCCAGAAGUACAAAGAUAAGCCCAGGGAAGAGUACUUAAGUUGAUUGUCCCACAUAGUCCAACAGUUUUUUAUGUAAUACAACCAAUAGAAACCACUUAAGCUUAUCAUUUUAUUUGUUUUCCUAAAGCAUACAAGGUACAAUAACAAAGAAUCUUGACUCUCCUUUUACCAUUCAUCUUCCUAACACCUCUGCCUCUCUCAAUCCAUUCCCUACCAUUCCAGUAAAACUGUGCUCAAUUGGGUAGGAUGCUUUACAAUCCUUAAAAAAUGUCCAUAAAAAGUUUAUAUGAGCACAAUGCAAUACAUUGAUAAGAUAUACCUGAUGAACAGGAAUAUGUGAAAUAUAUGUUUCUGGCGAGGAGCUUCUCAAAGCUUCAGUUAGGUUAAUGCACACAGCCAAGAACUGAAAUGGAUCUUCUGCAUGCAACCACCAAUGCUUUCCGUCAAGUGGUUUGUCUGCAGAAUCAAAUAUAUCAUCAAGGUGAUUCUCAGUACGUAAAAGCUAUCCGUCCCUCAUAAGAUAGCUUGUCUACACCACCAGCAAAUAGAUUUGCAAUGUGUAUCUUCAGCCAGCGUAAGCCUGACUUUCCAAGAGGGCGUCCCUCUGCGAACUCCAAAAUCCCUCGGCACAGAUCUGAUCCAAGAUGGUUUAAGUAUGGGUGCAUGGGGUAGGCACGCCCACGAAAGUCAAUAUUGUGUGGAUAAUAGAAACCUUCUUCAUCUUUCAUCUUCCGUGCUACCUGGAGCCAAUUAAGAAUGAUGGCAUGAACGCCAUCAAGAAGAUUGAAAGUGUACUGUCUAAAAUAAAGUAAAUUGAGUCUUACAGCAAGUUUAAGUUCUAUGUCACAACGCUGUGCAUGUCUUUCCCUGUUCUCUUUUUGCACUCCUCUGAGUUUCCACUUCCACUUCUUAAGAAGUGCUUCAUCUUCUGUUUCUGGCUUCUCAGGUAAAGGAACCUGAAAUGAAGAAAUUAAAUGAGAAAGGUUUUUUAGUUGCUAUCAUGAUCAAUUCUUGGAACACAAAGGUAAAGGUAAAAGAGUUUCUCAGAAAAAAAAAAGUUACAUUGAGGAAAGUUAGAAAAGAUACUCACAUCACUGUGGUCUACCAAAUCAGCAAGACAGCCUCCAUUACUCCAUAUUCUAUCAACAACACUAAGUACCCUCUUAUUUACCCUCCAUCUGGUAUUCCCUAGUGUAUCCAGGGCCUGGAAAAUUAAUUCAAACAAAAGAGAAUCCUUGUUAAACCAGAAGCUAAGCUGGUAAAAUCUACACAUGUGAUAGCAUGUGAAGGUAUACACAAUUAUCAGUAUAAGAUUGUGUUCAAUGAACAUCACAUGUUAGUACCAAAAGAUGAUUUAGUUCUAACAAUAAAAUACGCAUCAGUAACCAUGCAAUGCAUCUAAUGUGUACAGACCUCAAAAACUGGUUGUAGCUGCCUCCUAGGUGCCCUCUAAACUGCUUCACGUUGCUGUUUAGCACCAUGUAUCCGCAUGACAUAGGAUGGUAAAAACAAGUGAGCUCCUUUAUCAUAACUGCAAAGGGCAUUGAGGUUAUGCUCGACACGAGUAAGAGAGAGGUAAAUAUCACAAGCUAUGACACAAUUAUCAAAGAAGAGCUUAGAACACACCAAAAAGCUGCUUAAAUGCCAGGUCCUGAUUUGUUACUAGAAGCAAUGGUGUUAAGAGUUGCUACAACUACAUGGGAACCAGCAUCCAACCACAAACUCAUUAGAUGCCAGAUUAAAGUAGCGUAUGUAAGGAACAUGUAUGAAGAAUUUGUAUCUUCCAAAUUUGUAUACAAGGAUCUAAAAUUAAUUUUAGUGGGGACUAUGCUAAUGUGCCUCCUGCAACUUGCAUGAUGAUUGAGUGAAAGAGCCAAGACCACUAUAAACUUGCUAGUAAACAAAGUGCUCUUUCCCCAAAACCAAUUCAUGAAACGGUUUUCAUCUGAUGCUCAAUCUGAUCAAAUUAAGAUAUUUAGAGUGCAAUCACUGGUUUAAAUCUUUUCUUUUUGUAGAUAGAAAGUGUGUCCAGGAAUCUCAGUCCUAAUGGGCAAUUUACAACCAAAAGCGCUAGGGAGCUUAUCAGAUUUAAAGGCAAUAGGUUGAAUGGCAGAAGCUGCCAUAGAGGCCUAUUCAUAUUCCAAAGCAUGUGUAGUUUUUCCAAUGAGGAUUGUGAUCACCUAUUCAUGAAAAAGUUAACCAAAGUCCAUGAAAAACAUAUCCUAACUAACUUGCCAAACAAUAAGGUUAAAAAAUCUCAGUUUGACAGCAGAGAUCUGUCUGUGCCAUUUCUCUCAUGUAAUCAUCUGUUGUCUCCUUGCGCUUCUGGCACAUUUGAAAUUUGAAAUAAAUACCUAUAUAUGAAUCUUCACCUAAAGAAACUAAACUACUUCAAUCAAGUUCUCUAUGUACUAUCCUAAUCCUAAAUUAACUACAUGUCUGACUUCACAUGAAAACAACAAUUCGAUACUCUUAUCUUUUCUUGAGCUAAAAUAAUCCACCACAACAUCCUUGUAGAAAACCUAACACCUUUUCUUUCUCUAUAUUUUAUCUCUAACUGCCAGCCAUUCUUUUCCAUGAAGUAUACCUCUCCCUUUAACAUCAAAAACAUUAUAAUAAAGAAUUCCAUAGCAAUCCCUAAAUUCUCCUGCCUGUGGCAAUAAUGUUAAUUUUCCGGUAUUAGACAUGGCUGUGAUUAGCAAAUGCUCUUCAAUGUUUAAAGACAGUGUUCUCCGUUUUGUUGAGAAUCGUAGACAAAACCUUCCAUCUCAUAUCUCACAUUCACCAUGUUUUGAAUAAACACCUGCAAGACAAUUAGUUUCCCUUCCAAUGGAGGUUACAGAAAUGGAGAGGCAAAGCCUUGAAACAUGCUGAAAUGUUAAUUUCAAUUAGCUGAAAUUGGGAUUGGAAUUCCAGUCUUUAUAAUCAGAGAUUCAUUCCUUUAUCUAUUAUACCAUUUUAAGCAUUUAACUUGACAUGAAAAUUGAAAACAGCUCCAGGCAUCAAACAGAAGUAACCAAAACACUAUGUUAAUAUUUCUAAACUUGGAAUAUAUCCAACUAAAAAAUAUAAAAUUAAAACAAGACAAUCGUGGAAAAAAUGUGGUGGCACCAACAUUGGCAUAUAAGGAAUCACCAUGUGCCUAGCCUGUUUGGAGAAACAACAUUUUUAUGACUUCUUGUGCAAGAAAAAAGAAUGAAAGACAAACAUCUGCAACUUAAGAGGCACCAUGGAAAUUGCCUCCAAAUCUGAUCUGUUUCAGCUCUAAAAUCUAGAAACUAACCUAUCUGCUUUGAAAGUAUAACAGGGUUACUCACAAUUUUCUCUAGGCCUUUGAGGACUAGAGGGUCACAUUGUAUAACACCAUAUUUUUUCGCGCCCUUCCUUUUUAAGAAAAGGCCAUUGUGCAUCAGUUAGGAGCAAUUACAAGGAAGAAAAGAUAAAUUGAGCACAUCGAGUCAAUUAAAGAAUGACGCCAUACUUAUUUUCAUAUGACACAGUUCUGAAUGUAUGUACAAAUGCAGGUCGAGGUUCAGAUGGACUAUCAGCUAACUGAUCACAGGGAGGCUGUAUAUAAGCUGUUUGUAACAGCAAUUCAAUUAGAUGGCUUCCAACCUUCAAAGUGCAACGACAGAAAUCAAAUUCGCACACGAUACAUUUGUUCAAGAAAAUUAGCUUUUAUCAAUGAUUACAAGCACACAAACCUUAGCCCUAGCAUCUGCAUUCCAUGGUUUUGAAUCAUCCUUCCCCUUCACAAUCUUCCUCACAGCUGGUAGCUUUUGUUUUUUAAUCAAAUCAGUAACCUUUUUUCUUAGGUUUUCUUGUUCCUUCAUGACAGCAGGGGAUUCACCUUCUACACCAUUCUUAGGUUUUUUAAUCAAAUCAGUAGCCUUUUCUUGUUUUCUCCAAGAUAUUUUGUAUUCUAAUCUGUUUCAUCACAGAAACUGUUACAGAUUCAGUCCUCAGUUCAAAGAAAGAGAACAAAACUGAAGAGUUAGGAGGUCCAAAACAUGGAUUAAGAAUGGUACACCUAAAUAUCUCUGCAUUCUAAAGUCCUUUUUUUAAAAAAAAAAAAAAAAGGAAAAGAAAAGAGGAAGCAACUCCCAUAGUCAGAAGAGACAGUAGAGCAAAGUGUCAUGCAUGCCUUUAACGUCUAAACGAAGAGAAAAACUUAAACAACUUACAAAACAAAGGCACAAACAAGAACACACAUAAUUGAAAUGAUAAAGAUAAUUGCUGUCCCCAACAGGGAAAUGCAAAAGUAUAAAUCCAUAGUGAAACAAUGUCGAAACAUGAGAUGAGCUCUGACAAAGGAAAGUUGAAUGUCACUCUUAUGAGUCCACCAUGCCCGUGCUUUGAAGAAAUUGUAGCUCAAAAAAGAAAGGCGUAAUAGAAUAUUCAGCCUAAUAAGGCCCGUGAUAUGAAAAGUUUAACACUUAAUGAAAAAAAUUGUAAAAACUUACUAUCUAAAGGAUCUUACACUACAUUGUUUUUCGUACCUACAUUUAGUGUCCUCCCUGGAACCAUGAACAGCAGAAGAACUUGGACUGAAAGUAAAAACUAUAGAUAUAUAAAAAAGAAAUCCAGAAAAACCCCAUUCAACAUUCGACGGAACGUAACUUCAAAAUCUAAUUUUCCAGGCACUACUAGCUCCAUAGCUGAUUUUUAUCUCAUGAUUGUACAUAGUAACUUUCAUCUUUCUUCCUAGUUCAUCACCUCAGAUGAAGGUUGUCUAAAAGUUAAUUUAAGAAACUUUAUGUUUUCCCUUAUCUUUCAAUACUUUUAUACGGGCACUCAUUAUCCUCUGUCUACAAAUCAAACCGCAAGUAAAAAUAAGCAAAUAAAACAUUAAAAAUUACUUACCUUCUGCUCAAUUGCAUCACCAAUCAUACAAGCAGCAGUCACAACUCUUGCACAUCCAUGUUCCCCACCUGUCAUUACCAUUGCUGCGAGUUGAUGCAUUGCAAUAACAGACAUCUUGUCAGCUGGCAACAGAUCAAAAUACGGAGCAUAACCCUGCCUACUCUUCCCCGUUCCAAUCAACUCCUGCUCUUUCGCAAUUGCAUCUCUAAAAGGCUCAAACCAACCAAGGAACAAACUCUUCAUAUAUGGUAAAUUAGGAGCCAACUUAUGUUCACACAUAUCCUUCAAAAGCUCCUUAUAUUCUUUCGUUGACAGUUCCCAUGCUUCCGCCUCAAUCUUCACUUGCCUUCUCCUUAAGACCCUAUGCUUCCUUGACCCUAUUCCAGGGUUAGCAUGUAGCCUCCUCCUCCUAAAGUGCUCCUCUUUCUCCUCUUCUUUCCUCAUUUCUGGCAGCAAUUCUUGCACUUCAUCCGCACCAGACACAUUAUCUUCAACAUCUGUUGAUGACACUGCCUCAGCUACACUCACAUACCCUCUUGGACAAAAUCCAGCACACCGAUUCCCGUUAGUACUUUCACUAUUUCUCAAAAAAAUAGAACUGGGUUUUCCCAUAAAAUCUUCAUGGGUUGAUAAUUCGCCAAUUGCUCGAAAACUCAGUCGUGGACUUGUCUUAUUAAGCAAAUGGAACUUGAGUUUCUCAAAAAAGAUGGGUUCUUUAGAGGCUCCUAAAAAGCUGUAAGUUCUUGGAAAUGAAGGGAAAUUGAGGGACUUUGAUUGGGAUUUCAAAGUGGCUUGUUUUGCGACGUUUCUCCACAUAACUAUGGAUGGUUUAGAGAUAGAAUUGUGGGUUUCUUAUCAAAAUCAAAAGAUCAAAAGUUUUGGUAGAAAAUAUAUGGGAGUUGGUCCUCUAAUUAAAGGAAAUGAAAAAAGAAGAAGAAAUGGAAUUGAAAUGAUUGAGAGAUGAAUUGAAAUGCGCGGGUAAUGCAACUUGAGAAAAGAAAUGAGUUCAUAGAGAGGGUAUGGUAGUGGUAUUAGCAUACCGGCCGCCCUAAACCCUGCAUAAACCUUCUUUGGGGUUUUUGGCUAAAUCGUCUUGUUUGUUUCUCUCUUUUCACUACUUGUGUUGCCAUGAAUCGACUAGAAGGGGCAUUUGUAUGAUCUCAAAAGUUUCCAAGGGCUUGGGGUUAUAAAAUUGCAAGUCAUGUGUGGAUUCUUAAGAUAAAGUUGGGCCAAUUUGAAAUAACAAAGAAAAAUAAUUUUGGCAUAUAAUUUUAUUAAUCUUUAUUGUUUGUAAUUUGCAGAGCAUAAUUAGGAAUGUAGAAUUAAAUUUUAUUAUUUUUGUCUCAAACCAGUUACAAACGAAGCAAGUCCAAUUUUGGAGUAAGUGAUUAUAUAUAUUAAUAUUUAUGUGUUUAUAUAGUUGUUAAUAUAAAGCUAUUAAUAAUAAAAAUUGUUGGUGCAUCUAAGAGAAAAGUAUAGAAGUUUAUCAAAUUGUCAUGCUUAUAAAAAAAAAUUGUUACUAAAUUAAUUUUUAUUAAAUUAUUGAAUUGAAUUAAUUAUUUUAACAGUUAGAAGAUAUUAGUUUUAAAACAUAGUUAUUGUAUUUAAAUUUUAAUCAAAAAUUAAAUUGAUUAGUUAAGAUUUUGUUGAAAAAUAGUUUUUUGCAUGAAUAUUAAUUAUAACAUAAAAUAUUAAAAUAUUUAAAAUUAAUUAUAGAUAAAUAAAAAAAUAAUUUCAAAGAAUUCUAAUGAAAUUGAUGUAAAAAAAAUUCAUAUUGAUAAGAAAUUAUUGGUUUUAUCUUUGAGAAAUAUAUAUUGUUUUUAAUUUAAAUCUAACACAGACACCAAAUCUAGAGUUAAAAAAAUACGUUGUCAAAAAACUAUAUCAAUCCAAUAGCUUAACCUGAUAAGUAAGGUCAUCCUUAAGUGAAAGCUUUUUGAGCUUGAAACUUGCACAUAUUCACAUUAUCUUGUACUUUAAUACUUAUCAAAUAAAUGGAGAUAAUAAAAUUUAAAUUUAUGACCGUAUACCACGUCAAAAAACCAAUUCAAUCCAUAAAAAAUUUAAAAUAUAAUUUAUAUUAUUCUUUAAUAUAAGUGAAACCAAAAUAAUGGUUGAAAUUUUCCAAGGAUGGGCUUUCCGCAAUGUAAAAGUUUUAGAUCUUGUUUAAUACGGAAACAAUCCUUCCAUCCGCAAACAUGGGAUUAUCCUAAAUUUAAGAAGAAAAUCCAUACAAAGUAAAAUGUGAAUCUAAUUCCCCAAACCAAAACCAUGAGCAAAAACUACUGAAGAUCUUCAAGCUAAAGCAACCGCUGGAGCAGCUGCUGCAACUCCCGCUGCUCCUGCUAUAGCCGCUGCGGCUGCAGCUGCACCUGCUCCUGAUGUAACCCCUGCAGUUGCUGUUGCCAGAGCACCUGUUGCCGCCGCUGCAAGAGCACCUGCCGCCGCUCAUCGAGGUGCUGCCGCUGCUGCUGCUAGAGCACCUGCUGCAGCUGCUACUCCUCCUGCGUGAGCUGCUGCUGCAGCUCAGGUAUAGUGAAACUAUACAUGGAAUCGAUGUUACAUGUUUUGUUGGGUGUUAAAAAAAAAUUUCAACAUGUUUUUGUAUUUAAAAAAUUCUAAAUCAUAAAUAUAAUCAAAUAAAUUAAGAAUUAUGUGUGUUAAUAAAAAAAACAACUAUAAACUAUAACUAAAAAUAAAAGUGAAAAAAUCAAGAAACAAGUGUAGAUUAAAAUAUUUAAUUUCAAAAAACAAGAUAUUUAUGUGAUUGUAUUUACUAAAUUUAUUAAUUAAAACAAGUUUUUUAUUCAAUCAAACGAUAAUAAAAAUAGAUAUACACAUCAAAUUGAUUGAAUAAAAUAAAAAAAAUAUGCAAGGCUGCAAUUAUUAAAAUAUUAUUUGAAAAUAAAAAAUUUAUUUUCAAGAAUAAAGUUUAUUUGUACAAAAAGUUAAAAAAAUUAUAAAUGAAUCAGAAAAACUUUCUCAAAAAUUAAAUGCAUAACUAAAAAAUAAACUAUCAUACAAAGAGGACCUCUAAACAACAUAAAAAAAAAAAAAAAAAGAGAAGGGAUGUUAAUCAAAAUAUAAAAUAAAAAAAACAUAUAAAAAAAAAAAGAAGAAGCAAAGGUCAUUCGUUUUGGGCUACUAAGUUAAGCAAGUCCAAUUGCCGCAUUUUGUUAAGGCCCCGCUCACUAACCUUUAAUUUUUUGUUGCAAGAUGUUUGCGGGAAAAAAAAAGAUGACAGUCUUUUAUAGACCAUAUAUUUUUUUCUCUUACAAAAAAGUUGUGCAUGCAUGUUUUUUCGAUGCAAAUUUAUACAUAAAAAAUUUAAACCGUAAAUUAAAAAGUUCAUACAUAAAUGUAAUCAAAUAAAUUGAUAACUAUAUGAAUUAAUAAUAAUAAAAAUAUAUUAACAAUAACUAAAAAUAAAAUUUUAAAAAAUUCAAAUGUGUUAAUAAACGGAACAUUUACCUAGUUAUAUUUUUGAAUUUAUUUAUUAAAAUUAAUUUUUUAUUCAAUCAAAUGAUAUUAAAAAAAACACAUACGUAUUAAAUUGAUUAAAUAAAAUAAAAAUAGAAAACAUAUUAUGCAAGGUUGCUAUAUAUAUUAUGAUAUCUGAAAAUAUUUUUUUAUACAAAAAGAUAAAAAAAAUUAUCGAUGAAUCAUAAUAAGUUUUUUAAAAAUUAAAUAUGAACAACACCAUAAAAAUUAUAUCUAUCCAAAAAUAAAUAAAUAAAUAAAUAAUAAUAAUUAUAGAUGAGUAAUAUUAGUUGAAACAUAAAUUUAAAAAAUAUUUUUUAAAAAAUAUAUAAAAAGGAAGAAUUAAUUAUUACCUUUUCGAUACAUAUGAAAUCUCAACUUUAUUGAGAAUAUGCAUCCAUCUUUGUACCUUCUCCUUGUUUUCCCUGAAAUUUUCUUCAUUCUUAUCAAAACAAUUGUGUAACUUCUGUUUGAUCAUCUAUCUUUGAUUGUUCGACAUCAUAAGAAACUGGAAACACAGUGUCCGAUCUCAUCUCAUCCAUGAAUCCGAAAAUCUUGACAAGUUCGUCAAAGCACCAAGGUAAAGAAGCACAUCUCUUGCAAAUAUAAUAAUUGACAACCCUGAUUCUUCAAUGGCCUCAAAGAGUCUGGAUCUAAUUUCCAUUACUUUCUCUGGUUCCUUCUUGACCGGGAUAAUGACUCUCCGCGCUAGAUCUGACUUUAAAUAGGUGAUAGCAUUACUAGUGCCUGCGGCUCUGAUGCUAGGGAAAACACUAGCCAUCCAAUGAUGGUAAGAUGAAGAAAAAGCUAAAGAAGCUUUACAUGAAGAAGCUGUUUGUAAACUUGUAACAAUAAAAUGGGCAGAUGGUUGUGAUGAUAACAAACAAACACCACAAUUCUUCACCUUUACUCGUCGCUGGUAGGAAUGAAAUGACAACUCAAUGUUGCUAAAGGAUCCAUGCUUCCAUUCUUUAAGCUCUUUAAGGUAAUCAAAAGAUAGAUAGAAUAGCCAAAUAUGAUCUGACAGAACUUGGAUAGAGUUACAACUAAUACUCAUCGGCGAACGAUAAUUCUCUCUUCCAUUGGCUUUGAAAUGACAAGAAAGAGAAGGACUUUCACCAUUUGCACUGAAUGCAACACACGCAACAAACCCCAUGCUCCAACUAGGCACUUGCACACUAAUUGAAGAUCCCUUACUUUGAUGGUUAAACCAGCCUGGAAUUUCAUUUAACUGCGAUACCAAAUCUAGGUCUUGGAUUAGGCAAACCCUGUACCUGAAGAACCAAAAUGUUAGAUAGAUAAAGGGAGAGGGAGAGAGAUACAAAGAGGUUGAGUAUGAUUAAGAGAAGACCUUGAGGUAUCUUUCAAGCAUCGCCAACCCCAUGUUGUCCUGGCCAUUAUGCUCGUACAAUUCCCAGCAGUUAAGACAUAUGAACUCUGAUCUUUUGGAACUGCUUAGCUUUAUCGGAUCUGGAAUUUCUUUUAGGCGUAUACAACCAUUCAAAUUUAAUGUUUGAACUUUUGAUGGAACCUCAGGCAAUGAUUCAAGCAUCCUACAAUCCUCCAAGACAAGCAUUUCGAGUCUAGAAAGCUGAUUUAUGCUUUCAGGCAGGGUAAUAAAGUUAUUCUGGCUCAGAUCUAAAGACUUCAAUGAAGAUAAGCAGCCAAUAUCUUCAGGAAGUGCCCCUUCUCUUAGAUUGCAGGCGCAUAAAUCCAAUACUUCUAAAGAACACAAACCCAACAAAGAAGGCAACUUGUGAUCCGUGGGAUUCACAGCUAUUCUUUUGCAUCCAUCAAAAGAUAAUACUUUAAGAUUCUUUAAAAGAAAAAUGGAUGCUGGCGGUUGUCUUAUUGAAGUUCCACUUACAUCAAACUCCUCCAAACUUUCAACUUUCCCCAAAUUCUCUGGUAUAUAUUUAAGUUUAGAGCAACCAGACAGAUCAAGUUUUUUAAGGGAUUUCAAACAACCUAUGCUACUUGGAAUGCUUUCAAGGUUCUUGCAAUUGUUCAUGCUCAAUAGACCUAAGCUAAUCAAAUGAUGCAUCGAUGAAGAUAGUUUUGUAAUACCAGUCCCAUCCAAUCGAAGCACCAUCAAACAGUUCAUGUUUCCUACUAUAUCUGGAAACUUCUCAAGUUUUGAGCAGCCAUCAAGAAUGCAAACUUUAAGUGAUUCCAUUUCUAGAUUGUUCGGGAGAAUCCUAAUGCUUUUGCAGUUCACAAGAUAUAUAUUGAAGCUUUUGUGAUGUGCAAGUGAUGGAUGGACCUCAGACAAACUAGUACAACCUUCAAGAAUCAGGUUCUUGAGAUUCGGAAUUCCAGUAAAAUCUGGAGUCUUGAUCAGGUUUAGUGAAUUGCUGAGAUUGAUGAUUUUCAAAUUAACUGCACUCUGCAAUCAGUCAGGGGAGAAUAAAUAUGGAUACUACUAUCAUACAUAUAUAGAAAACGAUAAAAAAAUACAAAGGCUUUAAAUUAGUUGAUCUCACCUUAUACCCAUACCAUAAUUGCUCAAAACUACUGUUAGCCAUGUGAAGUUCAACUAGCUGAUCCACCUGCAAACCAACUGGCAAUGAUUUUGAAGGGUAAGAAUGCCAUUCAAGAAAUUGUAACUUAUUAAAAGAUCUUCAGGUCCUUCAGAAAGCUGCACGUUGUUGAUUUUGAGCAAUCUUAGUCUGCUCAUUUUAGAGAAGGCUUCCAUGUUCCAUUGUGAAUCUUUUUUUCAGGCAUGUCCAGGAAAAUGGCUUCUAUUUUUUCUUUUCCCUGUCAACCAAAAGGGGAAUACAAAUAAAAAACAAAUACAAAGUAGAGAUGGAGUGUAAAUUAAAAUAAACUUCAUGAAAUCUUAUGGAUAAUGUUCUCUAUCAGCUACUUACUGUGUUGUCCAUCAGUGCAAGGCAAACAUCCUCGUAUGUCCACAAUCUACUACGCCUUCCAGGCUCUUCAGGGGAUUCACAACGAAUAAUUUCCUUACCCAUUAUCUGUAAUAAAUUAUGCAUCCAGACUUGAUCCCGAGAGACACUUAUGAGUGAUUUCUCAAUAAGAACUUGUGUUCCAAUAUGUGCAUGGAAUCCACAACUGUCAAGUAUCCUUAUUAUUUGAUCUCUUUUAAAUCCUUUAAGGAAACAAGCAAUGUCUAAAAAUAUUUUCUUCUCUAAUUCAUGGAGGCCAUCAAAACUAAUGCGAAGCACAUCAAUAAUUUCACGGUCAGGAAUAUCAUUUAGUCUAUUAAUCGCACUUCCCCAUUCAAGGAUACUUCUUCCAUGCAUAAACGAACCUAUAACUUCAAGAGCCAAUGGAAGGCCAUUAGCAUAACCCACAACUUGCUUGGAUAGUUCCACAAAAUCUUCAGCAGGCUGGUCAUUUUUGAAAGCUUUCUGGCUAAACAACAUAAGAGCAUCAUCAUCAUUCAAUUUCUCAGCCUCAUAAAUUCUAGCAACACCAUUUCUAGUUAACAUUUGUCUAUCUCUGCUUGUUAUGAUAAUUCUGCUCCCUGGACCAAACCAUUUACUCUCUGCAGCCAGGGAUUCUAGUUGUUUAUGGUCAUCUAUAUCAUCAAGAACAACAAGAAUCUUUUUAUGUUGUAGCCUCCGCUUUAUCAUUUCAAUACCUCUAAAUGAAUCACAUAUAUUAGCACGUUCCAUUAAUAUUUCAGAAAGAAGUUGUUCCUGCAAACGACGUGGUCCAUCUUUCUCAGCAAAAACUUCUCUGACAUUUGCUAAGAAGCAGCUGCCUUUAAAUUGCCAACGAAAGCUAUCAUAUACUACCCUUGCAACAGUCGUCUUACCUAUGCCACCCAUUCCACAAAUCCCUAUGAAGAUUGCUUCGCCAACAUCUUCACCUAUAAAACCAUUUAAUAUCUCUAGACGAGAAUCUAUUCCCACUAAUUUUUUGCUAACUGGCAUAGUGAUGCUUAGUUUGUAGGAUAUGUAUUCAACAAUUAUAUUAAUUGAUUCCGAUUCUUUCCUGCAUAGGAGGGGGCAAAACAUUAAUCAUGUUGUGUGCAAAUCAAAUCAGAUAGUGAUAAUGGGAAAAUAAAUAUGUAGCUAGAAAAUGUAUGGCUGUUAGCCAGAAAUUAAUACAUCAAUCUUUGAGAAAGAUAGGGCUCUGACAAUAGAUAGCUUCAACAACAAAGAGAAAAGGAAAGAAUAAACUGAAAAAGAAACUAAGAUUGUAUUAAUGCUAAGAAUGGUCCGUACAAUAGUUAUCUUAUUGCCAAUAAAAUCACACAGUUACUAAAAAAGCAUGCAUACAAGAACAAAAACUCUCCAUUAAGUUUGGUUUUGACAGACCAAAAGGAAAAUGGAGUUCUAUCAUAUUUUUUGCUGACCACUAAGUUAUUUUUAUAAUUAUUUUUAACAAAAAUUUCAAUUAUCUUGCAUAGUAAACUUUUAAAAAACAACUUUAAAUUUAUUAAUUUUUGAGUUUUUUCCCAUAUGCUACCCAAAAAACAUUUCUUAGACUAACAUAGUUUAAGUGGAUGCCCAAAUCCAAUCCACGCACCUUGAGAUGCACAAAUAUCACAUAUGUUAAUAUUCUUCUUUUUUUUGCAAAUUAAUGGAUGAAAUAAUCGUAAUAAUAGAACUAAAGUUAACUAAAUAUAAAAAUUGAGAAGGAAUUGUGAUAGGAAUUGUGAUUCAAAGUGUUUUUUUGCUUAGAAAUGCAUCAAAAUAAUUUUUUUUUUUAAAAAAUUAUUUUUGAUAUCAGCACAUCAAAACGAUUUGAAAACAUUAAAAAAAACUAAUUUUAAAAAAAUUCAAAAUUUAAAAAAACACGGCAAACCACGUUCCCAAACGGACUCUACAACUCGUGAAACAAUGCUAGUUUGGAAAGUUUUAUUACCCACCUAUACUAGUUUGAAAUUGUUUUUACAUUAAUUUUAUAUUUUUUUAACAAAAAGGCACCUAUCAAAAUUUAAUUCCAAAUUAAAAAGAAAAACAUAAAAAUAAAAAUAUUCACAAUAUAUAUAUAUAUAUAUAUAUAUCUUUUAUUUAUAAAUAGUCAGAAUUUUUUUAUUAAUUCAUGAUGGAAAAUAUUUUUAUUUUAUUUUGAAAAGUUAAAACCAAUAUAUUCAAAAAAUUUAGUCAAAUGUUUAUUUCUUAUGAUGAAUAUGUUGUCAUUUCUUCACAAAUUUUAUUUUUUUAAGCUAACUUUUUAUUUGUUCAUGCUAGAUUUGUGUUUCAACUUUUUUAAAAAAAUUUCAUUUUUCUAUUCGAUAUUUUUUUUUUUCAAAAUAUAUAUAAAGAAAAACCAAAGAAAACAAAGGAAUUUUAUGUAAAUAUUAGAAUGCUUGAUCACAUAAGAUCAAUAUUUCAUAAGAAUUAAAUUCUAAAAAUCAUGCAUAUGAAAAAAUAUACAUUUACUACCAAGUGUUUCAUCAUCGAAUCCAUAAUUUUAUCAUUCAUUGAAUAUUAUUUACCAGUUUUUGAUUAACAAAACUCAAAGAACACUAAAGCAUUUGCUAAUUGAUUUGCGAUAAAGAAUAUAUAAUAAAUUGAAAAAUAAAUUUUCUAGUGUGAACAAAACAUUCAAAAAAGAUUAAAUAAAAAACAAACAAAAGGAUUUUCAUUGGUAAAUAAAUGAAAAAUUAGCAAGAAAUUUGAGAUUUUUUCUUUAAUUUUUUGUUCAAUAUGUAUUUCUUAAAAACUGUAACAAUUGAAAUUUGAGACGUGCUCCUCUUUUAUUUUAAAAGUCAAAAUUAAGGAAAAAUUAGUUAGAUCAUAGAGAAAAGAAUCGUUAAAUAGCUAUUUAAUGGAUAAAAAACAUAUACUAAUAAUUAUUUAUUCAAGAAUUAGUUUUGAAAUUCUUGUUGUAUUGUGAUUAUUUUGAUAUUUAAUCACACGUUUUAAUUGAAAAAUAUUUUAAAAAAAUAAAAGAAGCAAAGUUGAAACACUACAGGGUGAAUUUGAGAAUAAAAAGAUGUAGAUAGAUGAUUUACCUAUUCCGUAAGUCCCAGCCUGAUAGAUUGGCCACCGUAGAGAGACAAUCUUUCCAGUUCCGGACCCUCUCCAAAUUUUCCUUGAAAUUUUGUUCAUGCUCACCGAAGGCUUUCUCAUAUUUCCGUUUCCGCUCGGCUACCUCUGAGGGAUCCACAUCAUAAAAAACUGGCAGAACAGUUUGGCCCAUCUCUUUCAUGCACUGAACAAUCUUGACAAGUUCAUCCAAGCACCAUGGUGAAGAUGCGUAAUCUCUUGAAAAUAUAAUGACAGAAAACCUUGAUUCUUCGAUGGCCUUCCAGAGAGCAGGUUCUAUGGUCUUUCCUCUCUCGAGCUCCCUAUCAUCCAUGUACACAUCGAUGCCUCUCUGUGCCAGACUAGUAUAUAGAUGACUAGUAAAGUUGUUCCGGGUGUCUUUGCCUCUAAAACUAAGGAACACAUCAUACAUAUAUAGUGGAGGAGGAGAAGAUGAAGAUGAAGAUGAGGUUAUUCCUUGCACGCUGGUGGAAGCCAUGAAAAUCCCUAUAGCGAUAUAGUACCAAUCCUUCUAGCCUCAACUAGCUCGCUUGGUUCAGCAAUUGUUUUCCACGCUCCUGUGGUCAAACAUGAAACAGAAGGUAAGAUCAAGAAAGUCGGCAAUUAAAUCUACUAAUUAGCAAUUUCAAGCUGGAACAUGUAUAAUUCUACUUAGAAAUCAGAAAACACCAAAUUUCUACGAGUAUUUCACGAAUCUAGACCAAACAAACCGUGUGGUAAGUGUUGGCUAAAGAGGCACAAUAUCCAGCCAAGCCCAGUAUUUUUUCUUCUUCUGGUAUCUUAGUAACCAACUUCCAAAGCCCUUUUCUUUCUUUUUAUUCCAAUGACUUCGAAUUUUUUCCGGUUUCUUGAGGUCAAGAACUCGUACUGGUAAGUUUCCAAUGAUUUUCUUACGGAUCUUUUUCUUUACACUAUAAAGAAGAUGGAGUUUCGGUGGACAAAAAACAAAAAGAGAAAUGAAAGGGAUAUCGAACGCGCAUUGGCCACACCCAUCACAAUUGAGUGAUUCAUAAUUUUUAAUGAAUUAUCAAGUCCAUAUUAUUUAACAAAAUUUGUCUCUUUUCCAGCGCAUAAAGCUUUUGCAUUCCAAGAACUUUGCAUUAAUAUGUGCAUGCAAAAGUUCCAAGGUGAAUCACAAAAAUCGUUAAUUAUUGUCUACAUAAAAAUAGUUAAAAUGAAAAUAAUAAGAAUUUAUAGAAAUAUUUUUAAGAGCAGGGGUUGGGACACACACAUCACAGUUGAAAAGUAUUUUUUAAUGAAUUUUCAAACUAAUAACUACAAAACUCUUACAUUAAAUAUUAUAAAUUCCAAUUGAUUUUUUUUAAAAAAUAAACUUAGGCGCCACCACCCGAUGAACUGGAACUAAUUAACGAAAAACAAAAAAAAUAUUCAUAUUAAAUUGAGUUUAGAAUCUCCAACUUUAAUAUUUUUAUCACAAACACCCAACUUUAAUUCCUCUCCGAUCCCAAAUACCACUUCUUCUCCCAUUCCCAAUAUCUAAUCUCAAACCUUUUAACAACGGUGCUUGGAGAUAUUAUAGCAGCUAUUUUUUUAAAAUAUGUUUUUUUAAAUAUAUUAAAAUAAUUUUUUUAUUAAUUUUUUAAAAAAUAAUUUUGAUUUAAGUAUGUUAAAACAAUUUAAAAAUAUAAAAAAGUUAAUUUAAAAAAAUCAAAUUUCCAAACGGUCUGAAACUGCUUUUCCAAUCCAACUUUUUGGGAUAUUAAUUCAAUCUCUUUAAGCACUCUGCUACACAAAUCAUUAGGAUUAUUCUUGAGGUACCAACACUAUUUUUAUAGAAAGGCCUUAUUGAAAUAAUCAAAUUCUUUAAAACUUAUGUCGUCGUAAGCUUUUAUUUUAACGGAUAUUUCCAACUUCUCCGGUGCACCUUCCAAUUUUCCAUAGAUUUAUAAGUUUCCGAUUAAAAACUGGUAAGGAAUAAGAUACACAAUUUGCCGCCGCCAUAGCUUUCAAUAACACUUCCCUUGGUGAUGCCAUUUUUUGCUUUCAAGAUUGUAGUUUUUCUCCAUUUCUAUCAAUACAAAAACCUCAAUUCUUGAUCGCCCUCACCUUGUCAGAAACCUUAACCAAUGAACUAGCCCCUCUGUCAUCGUUGCAACAACUCCACUCCUUCACUCCAACCCAAAUAGCCACAUCAAACCACCACAACAUCCACCACCCACACCAGCAGCCCCAACAGCCACUCUACAAUCACCUCUUUCCCUCUCGUCAACAAUUCAAUAAUUAUAGCUUUGUUGUUAGUAGGUCUUUUCUUUUUAUUGCUCCCCCAAAAAUUGGUCCUUCAAUAAAUUUUUUUUAUUUUCAUCAUUGAGCCUUUAAUAAAAGUUUUAUUUCUUUUUAAUUUAGUCCUUCAAUUCUAAUUUAUAAUACAUUAUACUUUUUAAUUUGGUCCUCAAUUUAUAUUUUUGUUUCCUUUUGCCCUUUUGUAUACGUGUUAUUUCUUUUCAAUUUAACCUUUCAAUUUUGAAUUUUCACAUAUUCUUUUUUUUAUUUGAUCUAUAUUCUUUGGAUUUUUUUUUCCUUAAUCUUUUAUAAAGUUUUAUUGGCUUUUAAUCUCACCAUUCAUCCAGUUUAUGGUGGAUUAUUUUUUUCAAUUUUAUCUUCAUUAUUUUUUAUUUUUGUUUUUGUUCAAGUUUUUUUCUUUUCAGUUAACCUUCAAUUGAAAAUUUUAGUUAUACUCUAAUUUAUUUUAUAUUUUGAUUUUUUCCUUAUUUUUUUAUUAUUUUUUUUAAAUUUUAAUAUAUUAGUGUUGUAUAACAAAUUGAAUCCAACCUCUAGGAUAAUGUAGCCACCAUAGCUCGAACACCAAAUGCAACUCAUAAAAAUGGUUCUCCGUCCAAUAAUGAAAAUUCUUAACGCCGCUAAUCAUUAAUGAAUCCCAGCCAUCAUCUCCCGAGACUUUCUACCCGUAAUGAAGAUAGCAUAGACGAAGACUCCAAGAGAUAAUCCAAUAUUUCUUCUGCUGAAGCACCAUUAAUUGCCUGCCUCAACUGUAAUGUGGUUGAUGUUAAUCUCCGAGGCCGACGGCCCAAAUACUCACAAAGGAGGAAGAGAACAACCAUCAGCGACAUCACCCUCUCGCGACCUUUAUUUUCAUUGGCUCAAAGUAUAAAUUUUGAUGGAUUAGCACAAACACAUCAAGCAGUUGGUUGGAAAGGAUUGUCAAGGUGUAAUCAUGAAUACGUUUCUCUCACAUUGGUGGAUGCCGUUGCAAGAGCCAAUAUAUAUAUGAUAGUUGGAAGUAUCUCCUAUAAUUAAAAAAAAAUUGAAUUUUAAAUAUGCACCUCGAGUUAGUUAUGCAAAGCCACGUCGUCCUUGUGUAUUAUUUUUUAUGAAAGUUACUUUAUAUAUAUAUUUAAUUCUAAUUUUUUUAUUGCUGUUAAUUAUACUAUAUUUUUUAAAAAUUUCUUUUGAUUAAAAAAAAAUAUAUUUUAACGUUGGUUCCCAAAAAUUGAACACACGUUGAUUUUAUUGUUUAAAUUUAAUAUCAAUUCUAAAAAAUAUAUGAUAAUAAAUAUGCAUAAAAGAGACUUUCAUAACCAUGAGCUUAUUCUUCAUUCAACUAAAUCCUUUACCACAGUUUUUAGUGGAGCUAUGUUUUUUUUUUUUCCAUCAUCCCUGUAUGGCUAUAUGACAAGUUGGUUAAUCUAUUAUAUAUAUAUUAUAAUUAAUGACAAGCCCAAGCAUUUAUUCCUUAACAAACAUAUAAUCAACAUAAAUCUAUGCAUUCAACCAUCAUAAUAUCAAUAAUCCACCUUCACAUAUACCAAUUCUACUCUUCCAAGAAAAACAUGAAAAGCAACAUGAUGGAUCAUCAUGGAAAGUUUUCUUACACUUAGAAAAUAUGAAGAAUCAAAAGCCAAAACAAAUUGAGUCAAGUUCUCCUCCACCCCUCCCUCUUUUCUUUUCUUGUUGACAGUAAUCGAGAGAAUUAUAUAUAAGGCAACCCCAUUGAGUAGGUGGAGCUAAAAGAAAGAUAGAAUACAAGGGGAACUUGUAAAAAAAAGAACUAAGCAACGAUGGACCUAAUUAGUUAAUUCAGUUCAUUAUAAUUUAGGAUUUCUAAAACGAUCUGGUCUGUAGUUGAAAUUUUUAACUGAAGACUUCAACUAAAAGCUAAACGGUAAAAGGUGAGAUAAAAUUCACAUCCCAAUCUGGAGCCUUAGACUUGAGAAUUAGAUGGUUGCGUGCUAUCCAGAUUGACCAGUAUAGACCUUUACAAAGAAGGGUAAUGGCACGACGUUGAAAAUUUCCAUGAUCAAGCCGACCAUUCAACCUGAACGACCGAGCCAGUUCAAGAAUCUACCCUAGAGAAACCAUGUUAUAGGACACAUAUGGAAAAGAUGAUUUAUUGUCUCAAUUUCCUUGCAGUAGAAAGGGCAAAGAGCUUCCUUAUUAAUGUCCUCCUCUCAGCUAUAAAACAUUUGUACUAAGGCUGCCAUUUAGAAGGAGCCAUAUGCCCACAUCCACUUUUGGAGGGGCAUACCCUUUCCAAAGCAGAACAGGGAGGGUGAUUUUCUGUAGCCGAGAGACUAUCAAAGAAGAGGCAUCUUGAGUGAACUGAGUAGAGUCAGAGGUGUGGAAUUUCCAUAUCUUGCGGUCUUCACCAUCAGAGAAGACGAGACCAUGUUGCACCUCUACAAUCAAGCUCUCCGUAUGUAGAUCUCACAGGGUCGAAGGGGUCUUCUCCAAGUCAGGUUGAGCAAAGUAUCUAUCGAAUUAUAUAUAUCUGCAAGGCUGGUUGUUUGCUGCAGGGAGAGGUUAUAAAGUCUGGGGAAUAAGAGCUAGAGAGUGGUUGCAGAGCCUAGCCAACAGUCAGUCUAAAACUGGUGCUCCUCCUGUCACUCACCUUGAACCCGACAUUGGGAUGUAGAGGAGUGGCUAUGCUUUGAUUCGAGGAGAUUGACAAAACCAUGUCAUGCUAAGUUGGAGAUAAAGAACCUGCAAACACAAAAAAGCAUUUGUAAAUGAGGCUGGUAUUUUUGAAGUAUGUAGUCUUGCCAAAUUUUGUUGUGGAGGGAUCCCAUCUGAGACCGCUAUAGGAUUUACUCUUGAUUACCUCGUGCCAAGCCACCUUAAAAAUGCCACGAGGGUUUGAGGUUCCCUUCCAAAGAAUGAGUGGAUUAUAGAGAAGAUGACUUUAGUAAUUCCCUUUGGUAUAGCAAAACCAGGCACGUAGUACAAAGAAGCGAGCUCAAGACUGAUUUAAUUAGACAUAUCCUCCCAGCCAUACUCAGAAAUUUUGUUUCCAAGUGCUUAGCUUUGCUUUGAUUAUGGACAACACUAGUUUCCAAGUUGAGAGUCUGCUGGGAUUGGCUCCAAGAGGUCCAGGUAUCUGACCAGGAAAGUAUCGCUAUGACAUAAAACCAAGGUUGUCAAUUCUGUUCCGGUAAGUGUUUUAUUUUUUCAAUUAGAAUGGAAUGUUUCAGUUGUUGUAACCCAUUUUUAGGUCCCCACAUAAAAAAUAAUAAAAUACAAAAAAUCAAAAAAAUAUAUUAUAAAAAAAUAUAACAGUGAAAAAAUGUCAGAGCGCCCUAAAAAUGCUCAAAAAUUGAUUGAGGAUGUUCAAAAAUAUAAAAAUUAAUUUUUGACAGUAUAUCAUUGACUGAUGAGAGCCCCGAUGACAAAGAAAAAUCAAUUUGAGGAAGAAAAUACAAAAUUAGAGUUUAUGGACUCAUUAAAUUUUAUUGAAGGUUUAAUUGAAUUUAUAGAGGUUUUAAUUGCAAAAAAAUUGAUUUUAGAGUUAAUUUGGGCUUUAAUUAGAAGAAAUUAAUUUUCUGGGGUCAAAUUAUAAUUUUUGGAACUAAAAUUGGUCAAAUCAGGGGCUUAAUUGCAUAAAUAUUGAAGUUUAAUGGCCAAUUAGGGACUUAAUUGAAGAAAUCCGAGACCAAGGACUAAAAUGCAAAACGCGCGCAAAUUGAGGGACUUCUUUGAAUCUGAUGCGUUUUGGCGCCUUUUCCUUUUAAAUGAAACGGCGCGUUUUGACCAAAACGGCGUCGUUUCAUCCACUGUUGCAAAAAAAAAAAGAAAAGAAGCCCAAAACGGUGCCGUUUUGAAGGCACUGUAGGUCUUCUUCUUCCCCUGGACGCGCGAGGCAGGGGAAGAAGAAGAUUUUUCUUCUCCCUUUUCGCCUACUUUCUUUCCCCUUUUUUGCGCAAAAAGACGCCCACCAUUGCCUAACGUUUAUCCUUUGAAACGGUAGUGGAGGGGGCGGCCAACAGUGGCCGCCCCACCAUGACGUCUCCCUUGUUUUUUGCCUAUAAAAACAGGGAAGAACCAAAGAAGGAGAAGAAGAACAGAAGGGAGAAGAGAGAGGGGAGAGAAGGAGAGGACCGAGAGAGAGAGCAGAAGAAGAAAAGAAAGAGGUUCUCACCUCUGCACCGAAGAAGAAAAACAAGGGAGAGGCUGCCACUGCCAUCGCCAGCACCGUCUCCGCCUCCGCUGCCACCAGCAGUCACCGGCGUCGCCGCCUCUCCAGGUAAACACUGCCCCCUUUUAUUUUUAUUUUUGUUUCUUCCCUCGCCAUGCAGGACGUGCACGGUGCACGCCUGCAGGCGAGGUGAAGCUGCUAAGGUGGGCUGGGCCCGAGCCCAGCCCAUGCAUUUGGGCCAGGUUUGGCCCAGCCCACUGAAAUGGGCCGGGUCCGGCCCAUUUCAAUCCAUUUCAAAUUUUUUUUUUUAAUAUAGAAUUUUUACAAUUUUUCCAGCACAUGUUUUUAUCAAUUUUGCUUAAUAUCGGUCUGUAUUUUACAUCGUAAAAAUAUAAAUUCGGUAUUAAAAUACCCGGUUUUCGUCCCGCGGUACUAUCUUUAUCCAAAAAAUUAAAUUUUAACAGCCCAUAAACUUUCACAACAUGGUCAGCUAGGUGAUCGACGAUGACAUUCAUGGCUUUCCUUGUCAUAUAUACUAUGUUGUACUCAGCUAGUAGAACUUGCCAUUUUUCAAUUCAACUCGAUAGAUAGGGGUGGAUUCAGUAGGUAUUGCUUGAUUUUCGUGAAAGCUUCUUCACAUUCUUAUUCCAAAUUCCAAGAUUCUUCUUCCUUAACAAUUAAAGAUGAGGUCAUAAGUCGUGGUUAAUUGGGAUAUAAAUUGAGCAAUGUAAUUCAACCUUCCCAAGAACCUCCUUACAUCCUUCUUAGGCAUAGGUUGAAUAACCUUUACUUAAUCAGGGUCCACUUCUAUCCCUUUGUCACUCAUCAUAAAUUCCAACAACUUCCUAGAUUUCACCCCGAAUGAACACCUUGCAUGGUUAAACCUCAACUUGUACUUUCUUAGUCUUUCAACUAAUUCCUUCAAUAUUUGGACAUGAUUCUCUCCUUCUCUAGGUCAUGUCAUCCAUGUAUACUUUAAUCUCUUUAUGCAUCAUGUCGUGAAAUAGAGUCAACAUAGCCCUUUGGUAGGUGCCCCCAACGUUCUUUAACCCAAACGGCAUGACCUUGUAGCGGGUUUCCAAGCUUGUUCAUGUUGUUCGUUUUUGUGAAUCCCCUAAUGUUAUUUUCCUACCAUUCUUCCUCUUCUACAACUAAUAUGGAUUCUUUAAAGUCCAGCCAUUCAUUCUUAGUGUAAAGUGCAGGUGUAGUUAUGGAAGAUUCGUUUUGAAAAGAAAAAUGAUGUGUAAAAACACCAAGAUGAACUUUUGAAAAGGCAUUUGGAACCUCAAUUUUAAAAGUUGAAAAAGGAAAACAACACAAUAUCAUGAUCAAAUAAGCAUUGUUGAUUAAAUUUUGAACACCAAUGGAGCUUCUUGGGUCUCCCAAUUCUAGAACAUCUCUCCCUUGGCUAGCUUUUGAAUAAAGGUCUUGAGAUUCAAGAUGCUUUGAGCUUAGGCUUGUUUGGAUGCAGAUGCAUACAUCCUAAGGAUAGGCUCUAGUUCCUUUAUUGAGACAUUGGGUAGGUUUACUACUGGGUCUCUAAAAGAAGGUCUAGCAGAUAGUGGGAUGGUACGUGUACCAAUCACAAUCAGUCUAAACACUCAGCAAAGAGUUGGGGUUUACACAAACUUAAACCUUGACUCAAGUCAUAAGGCAAGCUGCUAGUCCUCCACUUAAUCUUAAAGUUACAUGUGUGUGCCCUCCAAAAUAAUAAUAAUAAAGUGAUGCAUGACUAUGCCAUGUAUGAUAGAAUGUAAAAUGUAUGCUAAAGCUUUUAAACAAAGAAAACCAUUCAUAGUAAAAAAAGAAAAACAACAACACAUAGCAUAAUAAAAAAAAAUUACCAAGCUUAGUCCUAGGGUCCCCAGUGGAGUCGCCAUUCUAUCGCACCCCAUAAAAAUUCCUGGCGCGCGGCAUCGGCUGGCGAUUUUUCUAGUAUGUUGCGUUUGCUUUGAAUUCGUUCGUUGGAGUCGCCACCUAGUAUUUUGGUCACUAGGAACCCUAACUGGUCUUUCAGAGAUUCUAAGGUAAGAGACUGGUUGCGUAAAGGGAAGGUAUUAGCACCCCUACCCUAAGGUAAGCUGCUUGGUGUUUGGUUUGCUCUAUAAUUGCUAUGGUAUUGGUGUUUUCUAAUCCCAUCAAUUUUCCUAGGUUUGAUUCAAAUAAAAUUUAUUUGGAUAGAAAUCCAAGGAGAUUCCAUGUGCUUUGAAAGCUCAUUUUUCCCUUAGUAUUUCAAGAGUUUGAGACUCGUAAAUCGCAAGAAGGAGGGACAAAAAAUUUAGAAAUCUAAGGAAAUUCAAAGCGCUUUUAAAAGCCUCCUUUCGCCUUAGUAUUUCAUACUUUCAUGGCUCGUAAACCGUGGAGUAAAAAAAUUUAAAGUUUUGAAAUGUCCUCGAUUAUAAUCAAGGCUUCUUUCAAGGAUGUGUGCGGAUUUACUACUCCCAAUAAUAUUUUGGAUAUUCGUCCUUUAAGGAUUUCUUUAUCCAAACAUUAGCGAUGAAUAAUAGAUGAAUUCCCCCCCCCAUAAAAGAUUUUUAUAGUUUUUGGAAUAUUGGCCAAUACCCUUUGGAGUUCUACAAACAUGUUGUAAAAUCCAGAAAUGAAAGAAAACAAUUUUUGUGGUGUUUAAGAAAUCCAUGCGAAAACACAUUUUCAAAACUUCCAAUAUUUUUUGUAUAUAUAAAAAAAACAUUUAAAACAUGUUAGGGUAUUGGCCGUAUGCAUGAAAACAAAACAUUUUUUUUUUUAAUAAACAUUUUUUUUGUUGACGAAAACCAGGUAUUUUAAAUGCUAGAUUUCUAAUUUUACCAAAAAGUACACAUGCCUUACCCGGUUACUGUUCAAGUGAAUUAAAUUUCUUAAAUGCAAGAAUGCAUGCAAAAGCUGGGAAUAAAAGGCUUACCUGUUAGACAACGGCUGGAGGCGAAAUGGAGGGAGAAGACUGAACGCUGCUCACGAAGAAACGCCCCUGCUCGCUGGCUGAAAGAUGAUUGUCUCAAUGGUGGCCCUUCAGUGUUGCUACUACCAGUGCCACUUCUGCAGGGAAGAGAAGGAUGUUGCUGAAGGAGUAACCUAUGGCUGAAGAAAAAAAAUUUCUCUGCUGCUGCUGGCCUGCGUGCUCAAAGUGGCUGAGGGGUAGAAGAAAACAACGGGAAAAGGCUGGAAUCGGGGAGAAAGGAGUCUUGGAGCUGUGGUCGGGUGUCUGUGACGGUGGUUAGUGGUGGAGUUGGAGGAAGAUGGCGUCGGUUUCCUGUUGCAGAGGAAGAAAGAAAAAGAAGAAAAAUCUGCAGAAAUUGGGCGAAAAUGCUGGUUUUUGGCUGACUUUGGACCCGAAUUUAUUCUCCCUCAGAUCAUCAAAUCCGACUCUAUUUAUAGGCUGUGGAAGAGGGAAAUCUUGUCUACGUUGGGGAAAAAUUUCAGCCCUUGAUUCAGUUGGGAAGCAUCUCAACCGUUGGCUCAAAGUGUGCACCUCGAGCUGCCAAAUUUGGCAGCUCAAGGCUGUGAACUGCCCGAGGUGGCCACUUUGAGCCACUCAACGGAGCCGUUUCUAACUUUUCCGACCCGACCGGACCAUUCUCCGGGAUAAAGGGGUUUCAUUUGGACAUGUUGGUGCAAGUUUUGUCGGAUUUGGAGACCACACGAGCCGGAAAACGCGCCUGGAAAGCAGCCACUCAGGCAGCUUUUUGAGGAAGAAAGUGAACAGUAAAUUAAGGCACCUUUUCCAAAUUGGUCCCUGGUUUCGGAUUUUCUCAAUUAAGUCCCUAAUUGGCCCUUAAACUUCAAUAUUUAUGCAAUUAAGCCCCUGAUUUGACUUAAUAAAAUCCUAAAAAAAAUAUUUUGGCCCCAGAACUUAAAUUUCUUCUAAUUAAAUCCCAAAUUGACUUAAAAAUCAAUUUUCCUUGCAAUCAAAUCCUCUAUAAAUCCAAUUAAAAAUCCAAUUAAGUCCAUAAACAUCCAAAUUUGGGCUUUUCUCCUCAAAAUAUAAAUUUUCCUUCUAAACAGGGCCCUCAUCCUUCAAGAAUAUACUGUCAAAAAUGCAAUCUUUAUAUCUUUAUACUCCUUGACCAAAAUUCUGACCAUUUUCUAAGUGCUUUUGCCUUCCGUUAUUUUUCUAACCUCCUUUGGCUAUUUAUUUUAUUUUUAUUUUUGUGGGGACCCGAAAAUGGGUUACAACAGAUAGAAUAGCCAAAUAUGAUCUGACAGAACUUGGAUAGAGUUACAACUAAUACACAUCGGCGAAGGAUAAUUCUCUCUUCCAUUAACUUUGAAAUGACAAAAAAUUAAGAGAAGGACUUUCACCAUUUGCACUGAAUGCAACACCCGUAACAAACCCCAUGCUACAACUAGGCACUUGCACACUAAUUGAAGAUCCCUUACUUUGAUGGUUAAACCAGCUUGGAAUUUCAUUUCCUGGAACAACGAUACCAAAUCCAGGUCUUGGAUUAGACAAACCCUGUACCAUGAAAAACCAAAAUGUUAGAUAGAUAGAGGGAGUGGGAGAGAGAUACAAAAAGGUUGGGGUAUGAUUAAGAGAAGACCUUGAGGUAUCUUUCAAGCAUCGUCAAUCCCAUGCUGUCUUGGCCAUUAUGAUUGUACAAUUCCCAGCAGUUAAGACAUAUGAACUCUGAUCUUUUGGAACUGCUUAGCUUUAUCAGAUCUGGAAUGCAACUCCGGGCUCGACUUGGCAUUGAAUGGCUGAAAGCAAUUCUAGUGUCUGCGACUCUGAUGCCAGAGAAAAAAUUAGCCAUCCAUUGAUGGUAAGAUGAAAAAGCUAAAGAAUCUUUAUAUGAAGAAGCUGCUGCUUUGCUUGUAACAAUAAAAUGGGCAGAUGAUUGUGAUGUAAUAUAUAGAGAAGAUAACAAACAGACACCACAAUUCUUCACCUUUACUCUUCGCUCGUAAGAAUGAAAUGACAACUCAAUGUUGCUGAAGGAUCCAAGCUGCCAUUCUUUAAGCUCUUUAAGGUAAUCAAAAGAUAGAUAGAAUAGCCAAAUAUGAUAUGACAGAACUUGGAUAGAGUUACAACUAAUACACAUCUGCAAAGGAUAAUUCUCUCUUCCAUUGGCUUUGAAAUGACAAAAAAUUAAGAGAAGGACUUUCACCAUUUGCACUGAAUGCAACACACGCAACAAACCCCAUGCUCCAACUAGGCACUUGCACACUAAUUGAAGAUCCCUUACUUUGAUGGUUAAACCAGCCUGGAAUUUCAUUUCCUGGAACAACGAUACCAAAUCCAGGUCUUGGAUUAGAAAAACCCUGUACCAUGAAAAACCAAAAUGUUAGAUAGAUAGCGGGAGAGGGAGAUGUCAAGAUAUCAAAUGCUCUGCCUCAGCCACCUCAGCUUCAGCCACUCUACUUUAGCCACCUGUCAAAGAGAAUAGAGAAUAUAAUGGUUAGCAAGUUUGUUAAUAUGGUUAGGCAGUUAAUGAAUUCUGUUACAGUUGAGUAGAAAACGUAACCAAGCUUCUCAUCUUCUGUUGAUAUAUAAAAUGAAUGUAACAGUGCUGGGAAUGUAUCAAGUGAAUAAAACAUAUAUACAUUUUCUUCUUCUUCCUCUGCAUUACAACAAUAUCUUUCUCUACUUCUAUUUUGCUUCUUGUUCAUCUCUGUAACAAUUCUUGCUAGUCUUUCAUGGUAUUAGAGCUUAGGAUUGUUAGUAUCUUGUGAUUUUGUGAUUUCUCUGCUUCUAAUCUCUGUUUUUGGCGUUAUUAUCACCAUAUUCAAUAAAAAAAAACCGAUAAUAAUGAUAUGCCUAUCAUCUGUUUGAUAUAUUGUCAAACUGAAAGACUUCUCGUCAAACACUCUUCUCAAACCUGUGAUUCUCUUCCUCUUCUGUCACUUGAACUUCGAAAAUGGUAACAACUUCUCAACUACAGAUUCUCCAAUCUCCCAUUACCUCUUUACUUCGUACAGUUUCAACAGCAGUAAUCAUUAAAUUGGAUGACACAAAUUACCUCAUCUGGAACUUUCAAAUGCAAAUUCUACUGGAGAGUCAUGGUAUUUUAGGAUUUGUUAAUGGAUCAAGAAAGUAUCCACAUCGGUUUGAUGCAGCUUCUGAUAUUGAAGGUGCUGAAACUAAUGAUCAUAAAAUUUGGAAAAUGCAUGACCGGACAUUAAUGCAAUUGAUUAUUGCUACCCUCUCUUCAACUGCAAUCUCCUAAGUUAUUGGAUGUGUUAUCUCUCAUGACAUGUGGAUUCAACUGAAGGAUAGAUUUUCCACAAUUACCAAGGCACGGAUUUUUCAGAUGAAAAGUGAGCUUCAAACCAUCAAGAAGGGCUCCGAUACUGUGACUCAAUAUUUGCAGAAAAUCAAAGAUGCUCGGGAUCAUCUUUCUAUAGCAUGGGUUUAUUUUGAAGAUGAUGACAUUGUCAUCUUGGCUCUCAAUGGUCUUCCUUCUGAUUAUAACACCUUCGGUGUAUGGUUCGCGACCGAGACAAUGUGUUAUCUCUUAUAGAUUUUCGGUCUCAAUUGUUGGCUGAAGAAGCUACUAUUGAGCAAACUUAUUCUACUGCUUCGUUUGUUCCUGCAAUGAUGGCUUAACAUCAAGUAUCUCCUGGCAAAGCUCUUGCUCUUGAUGAAGGUAACUCUCAUUCUCAUCCUUCUAGCUCUAAGUCUGCUCCACCUCCUGGUUUCCAUGGAGGAUUUAAUGGUCAUAACAGUGGAUUUCAUGGUUCCAAUGGUGGAUACUUUGGCAAUCGGGGGUCUCACUUUAAGGGACGUGGCAGAGGACGUCAUUAGUAUCAGUUCAGUCCACGUCCUUAUCAGGUUCCACCUACGUCUCACCCUGGUAUUCUUGGUCCUGGCAUUGACAUUCCUAUAUGUCAAAUUUGCACUAAGAAAGGUCAUGUAGCUGCUGAUUGUUAUCAGCAUCACACUCUACCUUCUAAUUUUGCCUCUUCCAUUCAAUGUCAAAUCUGUUGGAAAUUUGGGCACAUUGUUGUUCAGUGUUACCAUCGAGGUAAUUUCAGCUAUCAAGGUCAGCCUCCCUCCAGUAAUCUUAGUGCUAUGCAUGCUGCGUUUCCACCUCCUUCUCCUCUGGAACAAUUUUGGGUGGCUGAUACUGGCGCCACAACACAUAUGACCUUUGAUUUGGCUCAACUUAAUCUGGCUGCACCUUUCUCAGGAGCUGAUACUGUUACCAUUGCAGGAGGUUCAGGUUUGACCAUUUCUAAUAUUGGUUCUUCUAUUCUGGAUGUCCCUCAUUGCUCCUUACAAUUAAAGCAAGUUUUGCAUGUGCCAAAACUCUCUCAACACUUGUUAUUGAUUCAUAAGUUGUGCAAAGAUAACACUACCAUUUUAUUUGUGAUGCUUUUGGUUUUUGGAUUCAGGACAAAAUCACGGGAAAUGUCCUCCUCAAGGGACUGUGUAGAGCUGGGUUAUAUCCUAUUCCUUUCUCUUUUUCGUUUCCUUCAUAAUCUCUCUUUCCAAAUAAUCCGGUUUGUUAUCUUGGUAAACAGGUCAACACAAGUCUUUGGCACAAGCGUUUUGGUCAUCCUUCUAACAUAGUCACCUCUACUCUGUUAAAACAAUCCCAGAUUUCUUUCACCUCAGACACAUCCAAAUUUGUUUGUACCACUUGUUUAGAAGGUAAACUUGCCAAACUUCCUUUUCUUUAUCCGGCAGUUAAAUUUGUUAAACCUUUAGAAGUCAUUCAUAGUGAUGUUUGGGGGCCUUCUCCCACUGUAUCUGUUGAAGGUUUCAGAUAUUAUAUUAGCUUCAUUGAUGAAUGUACUCAAUUUACUUAGAUUUUUCCAAUGAUUAAUAAAGGAGAGGUUUAUUCCAUUUUUUGUUUACUUUCAUACCUUCUUAGUUACUCAAUUUCUACUACUCUUCGAGUCUUUCAGAGUGAUGGGGAUGGUGAGUAUCUUAGUAAUAAAUUCAAACAUUACCUCCUUACCAAGGGUAUUAUCCAUCAAAUGUCUUGUCCCUAUACUCCGGAACAAAAUGGCCUUGCUGAGCAUAAACAUUGGCAUAUUUUAGAAACAACCAUCACUCUAUUACAAACUGCCCAUUUACCUCUGAAAUUUUGGUUUCAUGCUUGUGCUACUUCCAUUUAUUUGAUUAAUAGAAUGCCCUGUCAAAUUCUUCAACACAAAUCACCAUAUUUCCUGCUAUAUGGUUUUCCACCCGUUGUUAAUCAUCUGUGAAUUUUUGGUUGUGCUUGUUUUCCUUUACUCAAGCCUUAUAAUUCUAACAAGCUUCAGCCCAAGACUUCCACUUGUAUUUUUCUAGGGUAUGCAGGUCAGUGUAAGGGGUAUAUUUGUUUUUCUAUUCGCACCAAUCGUUUCUUUGUCACUAGACAUGUUCUAUUUGAUGAAUCCAUGUUUCUUUACUCUCAUGUGCUUCAUGUAUCCCCUUCCACUUCCUCGUCCCCUUGUCUACAUCCCAUUGUGUUCCCUCUUAUUUCUCCUCCUCCUCCAGUGGCUGCAUCUCAGACUCCACUAUCUUCCAGUUCCUCUUCUCAGUCUGCUCUAUCUCCUAGUUCCUCCACACAGCCUACACUGUCUCCGCCUCUGCCCACUCUAUCACCUACACAGUCUCCUCUCCUUGUUGAUCCUGACUUCCAGCCUGAGAAUCUAUGUGUGGUCUUACCUCUUUCCCCGCUAAAUCUUCAUCCCAUGACCACCAGGUCUAAGAAUGGUAUCUCCAAAAGAUGGGCUUACUCUGCCUCUGUCUAGUUUGUUGCUUCUUUUCAGGUUGAACCCCAUUCCUUCAAGGUUGCUUCCACCAUUCCUGAAUGGCAGUCUGCUAUGUGGGAGGAGCUUGAUGCUCUUCAUGCCCAAGGUACUUGGGACUUGGUGCCUCUCCCACCUGCCAAAAAUCUUGUUGGCUAUAAAUGGGUCUACAGAAUAAAAAAGAAUACGGAUGGUUCUAUCGCUAGGCAUAAAGCUCGGUUGGUGGCCAAGGGUUUCAGUCAAGAGGAAGGUAUUGACUAUAAUGAAACCUUUAGUCCUGUCAUGAAACCUACUACAGUUCGUUUGGUCCUUGCUCUUGCUGCUCAGUUUAACUAGUCUUUACGGCAGCUUGACGUUACCAAUGCCUUUUUGCAUGGUCUUCUGAAUGAGGAGGUUUAUAUGGCUCAGCCCCAAGGUUUUGUGAGUAAGAUUCAUCCUUCUGACUUUGUUUGCAGACUCAAGAAGUCGUUAUAUGGCCUUAAACAGGCUCCUCAUGCCUGGAAUGAACGCUUUACCAGUUUUUUUUACCAAGUUUGGGAUUUCAAGCAUCUUCUUCUGAUCCAUCUUUGUUUGUUCAACAUUCUUCUCUUAGUGUUGUGAUUUUGCUACUCUAUGUUGAUGAUAUCAUACUUACUGGUAGUCAUGCUUCUCUUCUUUCUUCAGUCAUUGCUGCCUUGAGUUAAGAAUUUGAUAUGAAGGAUCUCGGUAGGUUGCAUUAUUUUUUGGGAUUGUAGAUCUCUUAUCUCCCUUCCGGUUUGUUUGUGUCCCAGACAGGUUACAUCACUGACUUACUUGGUAGAGUUGAUUUAUAGCUUUCCAAAUCUUGUGAUACUCCUUGUCUUCCUCAUCAUCAUUUGCUCAAGGAUGAUGGACAACUCUACUCUCAUCCUCAACAGUAUCGAAGCAUCAUUGGCGCCUUGCAGUAUCUAAUGUUCACAAGGCCUGAUAUUGCCUUCUCUGUGAACCAGGCUUGCCAAUUUAUGCAUAAUCCCAUGCAUUCUCAUGUUGUUGCUGUGAAACGGAUCUUGCGGUAUCUUAAAGGUACCCUUGAUGUUGGUCUUCAUUUUCAUGCUGGUCCUCUUUAUCUACAAGCUUAUAGUGAUGCUGACUGGGCCGGUGAUCCCAAUGAUCAACGUUCUGUCUUUGGCUCUAUUGUCUUCCUCAGCUCCAAUCCUAUUUCUUGGGCUUCUAAGAAACAACAUACUGUUUCUCGUUCCUAUACUUAGGUUGAGUAUCGCGCUCUUGUGAUUGCUACUGCUGAACUUGCCUGGAUUCACCAACUUCUCUAUGACGUUCACAUUCCUUUACAUAUCCCUCCGAUCAUUCAUUGUGAUAAUAUCUCAGUUAUUUCCCUUGCUUCCAAUCCUGUUUUCCAUUCCAGAAUGAAGCAUCUUAAAUUGAUUAUCAUUUUGUUCGCGAACGUGUUAUCAAAGGUGAUUUAUUGGUUCAACAUGUCUCUUCUGCUGAUCAAUUUGCUGAUAUUCUCACUAAAGGCCUUUCCACUCCUUUAUUUCGGCGUCACUGUUUCAAUAUUAUGCUUGGUUCCUCCAAGCAUAUGAUUGCGGGGGAAUGUCAAGAUAUCAAAUGCUCUGCCUCAGCCACCUCAGCUUCAGCCACUCUACUUCAGCCACCUGUCAAAGAGAAUAGAGAAUAUAAUGGUUAACAAGUUAGUUAAUAUGGUUAGGCAGCUAAUGAAUUCUAUUACAGUUGAGUAGAAAACAUAACCAAGCUUCUCAUCUUCUAUUGAUAUAUAAAAUGAAUGUAACAGUGCUGGGAAUGUUCAAGUGAAUAAAACAUAUAGACAUUUUCUUCUUCUUCCUUUGCAUUACAGCAGCAUCUUUCUCUACUUCUAUUCUGCUUCUUGUUCAUCUCGUAACAAUUCUUGCUAGUCUUUCAGGAGAGAGAUACAAAAAGGUUGGGGUAUGAUUAAGAGAAGACCUUGAGGUAUCUUUCAAGCAUAGUCAACCCUAUGUUAUCUUGCCCAUUAUGCUCAUACAAUUCCCAACAGUUAAGACAUAUGAACUCUGGGAUUUUGGAACUGCUUAGCUUUAUCAGAUAUGGAAUUUCUUUUAGGCUUAUACAACCAUUCAAAUUUAUUGUUUGAACUUUUGAUGGAACCUCAGGCAAUGAUUCAAGCAUCGUGCAUGUCGCACGUGUGCGGCGUCGCGGCAAUCGUCCACCCUCAAGGAAAAAUAUAAUGGAAUUUAUUCCUGGAAAAUGUGUAGAGACGAGGAAUUCUUGUCUCUUAUCAGUAAAAUAUAGACUGGGAGUCGCCACCUAGUAUUCUGGUUACUAGGAACCCUAAUUGGUCUCAGAGAUCGGGUAUGGAGACUGGUUGCGUAAAGGGAAGAUAUUAGCGCCCCAACUACACCCUACCUAAGGUAAGCUACAUUGUUUUGUCUGAUAAAAUCUAAAGUCAUGUUGUGGUUUCUAAUUGUCAGUUCGUUUACGGUUUAAGAAAAGUCCUCCUCUGUAAGGAGAUCCUUAUCUUAUCGGGUAAAAACCUAACUAUUCUAAGUCGUCAAAAGAAAAAACCUUUUUAAUAUCGGGAAUACGUUUUACGUAUAAAUUCAUAAUCCCUGAUACUAAAAUCAAACAAAAUAAAAUUUUUGUUGCUUUUGAAAUUUUGGCCAAUGUUCUCUUGACUUUAAUAAAUUGGUUAUUAAAGCCAAAAUGUAUGCUAAAACAUUGUUUUUUGGUGUAUGAAAAAUACAAUAUGAUUUUUUAGUUUUGAGACCUUGUACGUAUGCACAAAAACAUUUUUUCUCUUUUUUCACAUUUUUUUGUAUUUUUUGGAAGUUUUGACGAAAACCGGGUAUUUUAAUACCGGAUUUUGUAUUUUAACUACAUAAAAUACCACCCGAUAUUAAUCAAAAUGACAUAAAAACUACGCGGAAAAAUUAUAAAAUGCUGAAACAAAAUUUUUUGAAUUUUUUCUUUGAAAUGGGCCGGGUUAGUCCCAACUACAUGGGCUGGGCUCGACCCAGCAAACAUUAGCUGGUUACAGUGCAUGAGCACAGUAACCAACUUCUCCCCGCCUGCAGACGUGCACUGAGCACGUCUUGCAUGGCGAGGGAAUAAGUGAAUGCCAAGAUAAAAGGGGGGAGGGUUUAUCUGGAGUGGUGGCGCUGCCGGUGGUUCGCGGUGGCUGGCGGUGGCUCUGUUUUUUCCUUCUCUCUCUCUCUCUCUCUCUAUUUUUAGUUUUCUUCUCUACUGCUUCUUCUUCUUCUUCUUCUUCUUAUUUCUCUGUUCUUUUUUUUUUUUUUCUGUCUCUCUCGCCUCUCUACUCUCUACUCUCUUGUCUCUCUUUCUGUCCCUCCUCUCGGUCCGUUCUCUUCUCUUUUGGUCUCACCUCCCCUAUUUUUAUUGGAGAAAAACAGGGGAGGGACGUGGUUGGGGCGGCCACUGUGCUGCCGCCCCUUCAACACGUGGAAAGUGGGCAAGUGGGUGUCCUUGGUCGGCGUCUUUUUGAGCAAAAGCAGGAAGGGAUGUCAGUGAAAACUAGGAAGAAAAAAUCUUUUUCUUCCACUGCCUUGCGCGUCCAGGGGAAGAAGAAGACCCACAAUGCCGUCAAAACAACACCGUUUUGGGCUUCUUCUUCUAAUUUUUUUUUUGGUGAACAAUAUAUGAAACGACGCCGUUUUGGUCAAAACGCGUCGUUUCAUUUAAAAGGAAAAGGCGCCAAAACACGUCAGAUUCAAAGCAGGCCUCCAAUUUGCACGCGUUUUGCAUUGUAGUCCUUGGUCUUGUAUUUCUUCAUUUAAGUCCCUAAUUUUCCAUCAAACUUCAAUAUUUAUGCAAUUAAGCCCCUGAUUUGACCAAAUUAACUCUAAAACAAUAUAAUUUGACCCCAGAACUUUAAUUUCUUCCAAUUAAAGCCCAAAUUAGCUCCAAAAUCAAUUUAAUUGAGUCCAUAAACUUCUGAUUUUGGACUUUUCUUCCUCAAAUUGAAUUUUCUUUGUCAACAAGACUCUUAUUAGUCAACAAAAUAUUGUCAAAUUUUAAUUUUUAUAUUUUUGAACAUCCUCAAUCAAUUUUUGAUCAUUUUUAGGGCACUUUGGCAUCCUCUUCUCACUGUUAUAUUUUUUUGAUAAUAUUUUUUUUUGAUUUUAUUGUAUUUUAUUAUUUUUUGUGUGGGGACCCAAAAAUGGGUUAAAAUGGGUUACAACAAUGCAAUCCUCCAAGACAAGUAUUUCCAGUUCGAAAAGCUAAUUUAUGCUUUGAGGCAGGCUAACAAAGUUAUUCUGGCUCUGAUCUAAAGACCUCCAAGAAGAUAAGAAGCCAAUAUCUUUAGGAAGUGCCCCUUCUCUUAGAUUGCAAGCGCAUAAAUCCAGUACUUCUAAAGAACACAAACCCGACAAAGAAGGCAACCUGUGAUCCGUGGGAUUCACAGCUAUUCUGAUUCGGGACAAUAAAUAAUAAAAUUAAAGCAAGAAAAAAAGAAGCUUUUAGAGAAAGAAAGAAGCUAAAGAAGAGAAGAAAAGGGGUUGGAGAUAUGCAAAGUCUACAAUAUUUUCAUUAAUCAUCCAAAAUUGUCUCUCAAGAUGACAAAGAAACAUAUAAAUAGUAAACCCUAAAACAUCCCGCUAUUGGGCUCGGCCCAUCAAAUCAAACUGUUUAACAUAAAUAAUAAAAUAACAAUAAGCAGGCCCAAAUGGGCUAAAUAAAUAAAAUAGCAAUGAAAUAGACCCAAAUGGGCUUCGUCUCCCAACCAAAGCUUGACAGUUGAGCCAUCCUCCGUUGUCUCCGUCAAUAUACUCGUGUAGUUUGUGGUAUGGGUCUGGUGUCCCCACCAACUCUCCCGGGGUUAGAGAAACUCGACCCCGUCAAGUGUCGAUUGAGGGCUGAUUUGAAAUUUAGCGCGUUCUGGCGCCAUUUUUAAAUGAAACGGCGCGUUUUCUCCAAAACGACGCCGUUUCAUACAUAAAAAAAAAGAGACCGAACGGUGCCGUUUUGAACGGCACUGUUCCCCUUUCUUCUUCCCCUCCCCCGAACCUGCAACAGGAAGGGAGAAAUGGUUUUUUUCCCUUAAACCUGCCUCUCUGUCCUCGAGCCCACCAACCCGAAGCACUGGACCACCGACCAAACUCAAUGGCCGACCACCGGCCGCUCGCCCUGCCGAAAGCAAGGGAGCGGCGCUUUGCUGUCGCGGGUGGUGGCCGAUCAUUCGCCCGCGAAACCCUCUCCCAGGCACACUAACAAUGGUCCCAACACCCUCUCUCUCCUAUAAAUAGAGAAAAGACCGAAAGAAAGAGGGGAGGAUCCGAGAGGAAGAGAGAGAACGAACGAGAGAGAGGGAAAAGAAGGAACAAACGGAAAGGAAUAAAAGAAAAAAAAACUGAGAAGGGACAGAGGGAACUAUUGAAAACGAGAAGAAAAGAGGAGAGGGGGAAGAAAUCUCUCUUGCCGCCGUUUGAACAGCAGCAACACCGUCCGGAGCCGCCGUCAACGAGCCACGCCAGGUACACGCCCUCCCCCCUGCAUUGCCUUUAGCCUUAUACUUGUUUCCUCCUGCAUGCAGAAUUGUUCUGCAUGCAGGAGACGGGGGGGAGAAAAAUAAUUCUCCCCCCGUUGGACGUCAUUAGCUGGGCCAGACCGUUGCUGGCCCAACCCCACAUGUCUUGGCCGGGUCGGGCCCAGACUGAAGAGAUAGUUUUUUUUAUCGGCCGAGAUCGGCCCAAUCUCCUGUUUGGGCCGAGAUCGACCCAAGUUUUGUUGGGGCUGGGUUUGGCCCAUUCACUUGGGCCGGCCUAGCCCAGCCCAUAUUAUAUUAUAUAUUUUAAUAUAUUAUAUAUAUAUAUAUUCUUAAAAAAAUAUAUUCCAAAAGUCCUUAAAAAUAUUGUUGAUUUUUAUUAGGGUGGAUUAAUAUUGAGUUAUAUUUUUAUACCGUAAGAAUACAAACCCAAUAUUAAAAUACCUGAUUUUCGUCAAAGCAUAAAAAAAUAAUAUUUUCCAAAAAAAUUGUUUUUAUUUUAAAAUACGGCCUAGUCUCUCUAAUAUAUAUAUAUAAAUAUUAUAACAUCAUAUUUUCACAUAACAAAGGAAAUUUUCAAAACAAUAUAUGUAUUAGCAUGCAUUUUGGCUUUAAUAACCAGUUUAUUCAAGCCAUGAGAACUAGGCUAAUAUUUCAAAAAUUCUAAAAAAAAUCUUUUUGUUUUCUUUUAGUAUUUGAGAUUACGAAUUUAUAUGUAAAACGUAUUCCUAAUAUUAUUAUUAAAGUUUUGGUAUAGACAUUAGAACGGUUAGGAUUUUACCCGGUAAGAUAAAGACCUUCUUACCAAGGAGGAUUUUUCUUGAACCAUAAACAGACCAACAACUAGAAGUACAAUAACACCUUAGUUUUUAUCAGACAAUAAAACAAUGCAGCUUACCUUAGGUAGGGUGUAUUUGGGGUGCUAAUACCUUCCCUUUACGCAACCAGUCCCCGUACCCGAUCUCUGAGAUCAGUUAGGGUUCCUAGUGACCAAAAUACUAGAUGGCGACUCCCAUUCCAUUUUCCACCCACAAAAGACAAUAUUUUCUUGUAUCCCCAUAUAUAUAGAUAAAUUUACAUUGUAGAUAAGAAAAAUGGAACAACUAUAUUAUUUUCGCCGCGACGCCGCACACGUGCGACAAAUAGUCUUAGGUUCAGGCCAAUCUACAAUCGCUUGGACUUUUUGGGGGUCAACAGAGACUUCUUUCCAUGACACUAUAAACCCUAAAAAGACCAUUUGAUCUGUAAAGAAGAAACACUUUUUGACAUUGCAAACAAACUUGCCUUUCUUAGGGUGGUACAAACUUGAAUAAGAUGAUCGAAAUGCUCUUCCUUGGUUUUGCUAUAAAUGAGAAUAUCAUCAAAGUAUACCACCAAGAACUUUCCCAUAAAUGGCCGAAGCACUUGUGUCAUUACUCUCAUAAAAGUGCUUGGUGCAUUGGAAAAGGCCAAAAGGCAUGACUAGCCAUUCAUAUAAACCAUCCUUAGUCUUAAAUGUCGUUUUCCACUCAUCUCCCGGACAUAUCCUAAUCUGAUGAUACCCACUCUUCAAGUCAAUCUUAGAGAAGAUCUGGGCUCCUGCCAUCAUAUCUAGCAUGUCAUCCAAUCGAGGAAUUGGAAAACGAUACUUGAUUGUAAUCAUAUUGAUGGCUCGACUAUCUACACACAUUCUCCAUGAUCCAUCUUUUUUGGGCGUUAACAGUGUAGGUACUGCACAAAGACUCAAACUCUCAUAUAAAUCCCUUUUGUAACAACUCACAUACUUGCCUUUGCAAUUCAGCAUGUUCACUCGGGUUCAUCCUAUAGUGAGGCAAGUUUGGUAAUGUGGCCCUAGGGAUAAAAUCUAUGGCAUGUUGAACAUCACGCAUAGGGGGUAAAGCAUCAGGUAGUUCAGAAGGGAAAACAUCUAGAAAUUCUUUCAACACUUCUCUUACCUCUUCAGGUGGCUCCUCUAAAAAGUCUUCUACAAUCUCUUUAGCCACUAUAGCAAACACGACAGACUCCUCACAAAUCUCCUUAGCCACUAUAGCAAACACGACAGACUCCUCAAAAAUCUCCUUAUCAAACUCCCUAAGACUUAUUAUGUUAAGCCCUCCUUCUUUCAGUUUAUUCUUCUUCUGACUAUUAUCAUUAGACCUUGGAGGUAAUCCAAUAAGUUGGAUUAUUUUACCUUAAAAAGUGAAUGAACAAGAAUUUGAUCGUUCAAAGAUUGUAACGUCCAAAUCAUAUAACCAAGGCCUACCCAAAAUGAUGUGCCCUACAUCCAUGGGAAUGACAUCACACCAAAUUUCAUCAUGUUAGUAAAAACUCUUAAUGGGAAAAAGACAUCUCUCUUUGACCGCUAUAGAUGUAUCAUUAACCCAAGACACACUAUAGGGUUUAGGGUGUGGAACAGACUUAACCCUAAGCAGGAUACACUACCCGAGGAAACUGCAUUGAUACAACUACCACUGUCUAUGAUAAUCUUACACCCUUUAUCUCCACAUUUAAUUUAAGUGUAAAAAAUAACAGUCCUUCUCCAAUCCUCAGUUCCUUUAGACUGUGUUAAAGCACAUCUAACCACAGUUAACCUGGUUGUCUUGAUUUGAGUGGAUAUAGACCUAACACAUCCUAGCAAGUUAGAUUCAUCAUCCUCAUCAUUUAGAUCUUGAAAAUCAUCGGGAUUGGGUUCAUAUAUCUUAUCAUCAUAAUUAUCUUCUUCACCCAUAUCCUCCUACCCCUUGAUGAACAAAGCCUUAUUAGGGCAGCUAAAGGAAAUAUGACCAAAACCCUGACACUUAAAACACUGAAUUCUUGAAGUUUUAGGUGCUUCAUGAAAAAUACCCUUACCCUUGUCUUCUCUAGGUAUCUGGGAAAUCAAAGGAUUGGGUUUACAAGGUGGGGCACCUAAUAUGGAGUUAUUACUACCAGGUUGAGAUCUAGAAGGGGUAUUAUGAGUGUCCUGAAGUCUUGUCCACUGGCUUUUUGUGACCAAGUCAUAAUUUUGUACUAGGGUAUAAGCUUCAUCAAGGGUGGAAACACCCCUAAGCACAACCUCUCUUCUAAGGGAAGAGGCAUAGUACAGAUGCCUUUUAUUUCUUUACUUUCGGCAUUCCAACGGCAGAGGCAAAGCAAUAGCCAAAAUGGCUUUUUGCUUUGUCAAGAGCCAUUUCUACAUUUAACUGUAGAAAUGGCCAACGGCUAUCAACAACUUUUUUUUUUUUUUUAAACAUAGAAAAUUUUGUCUAGAAAUACAUGAAGAAAAAACUUGUAGUUUUAAAUUUUGUAUUGUGCCUCACCCUUCUCUCAAAUUUUAAAAAACAAGAAUCGAUUAUUCUCCGUUAAUUAUUAACAUCGGUUGUGUUAAUUAGCUGAAAUUAAAAGGUAUGCUUGUUUAAAAGCUUUUUCUAUUUUCGUUUUAAUAUCUCUUGAUUUUUUAGAACUUUUGUUGUUAAUUUAAUAUUUGUGAUGAGUUUUAUUUCUUUAUUAUUUUAUGUUUUUAAUAUGGGUUAAGUAAGACAAUUUUUAUUUAUGUUGUUAUCUUUGAUAAAAUUGAGAGAAAUUAAUAAUGGUAGUUGAUAUUGAUAAAAAGAUAGAGUUGCAUAUUUAAAAUUUAUUUUUGAUUGUCUGUUUUAAUUUGAGGUCAAUUAUAUUUUGUCUUCUUGAAAAUAUAAUUAAACCAGUAUAUCGAUUCUCUUUUAGUUUCAAAAAAUGGUCAAAUUGUUAUGUUAGAACAAGUAGAAGCCAAUGCUUAUUAUUAAUUCGCAUGUAUGAAAACUACAAAAUUGCUAAACAUUGAAUGUGAGCUUCUUGUUAUGAAAUUGAUAUCAAUUCGUAAUACUUUUAUAAGUUUGAAUUUGAAUUUACUUUUAAAAAAUUAAAUUUUUAACAAUAACAUAUAAAACUUAAAAUUAAAAAUAUUCAUAUAAAUAAAUUUUAAAUUAUAUUUUUUAACUUUUAUACUACUUCAUUAAUUUUAUAUUACUUUUAUAAAUUACUCAUAUUAAUUAUAUAAUUAAUAACAUCAUAAUUAUAUUAUAUAUAAAAUAUCUAAAUUAGUUAUAUAAUUAUAUUAAAAUUAAUUUAACAUGAAAUAUAUUAAAAUAUAAAUGGCUUUUCUAAAUAGCUUGUUACCAUUGCAAUGCAUAUAAUACAAAAAGCUAUAUUUACAUUAUUCAAAAAGCUAUUUUCUUCAUUUGGCUCUUCAAAAUGGCAUUUCCCAUUGGAGAUGCUCUAAGGUCAUCGUUUAAGCCUUUUCGAAAUCUGCUUAGGGUUAUCACUUCAUCCUCCCUAACAGCACACCGCAUCCUAUACUCAUCAAAUUGUGCCACAUAUUAAUUAGCAGACUUGCCUCCUUGCCUCAAGUUAUUCCAUUGGUCCAAAAGAUUUCCUCUAUAAGAACGGGGCAAGUACUUUUCUUCUAACUUAGUCUUCAUUUCAACCCAAUCAGUAAGAAGGGGUUGACCUCUCCUAAUCAAAGACUCUUCUACACUUUUCUAAUAGAGCUUAGCGAUUCCACUAAGUUUCAUCUUUGCAAAUCUUACCCUUCUAUUCUUAGAUAGACUAUACCAGCCAAAAAAUUGAUCCAUGUCACAAAUCCAUCUAUCAAAAAUCCACGGGUCAAGUUAACCCUCAAAAGUUGGGGCUUUCUACCUUGAUAUGCCUCAUGACUCGCUCGUCAGUGUCAUCAUAGUCGUGAUGGCCCUAAUUGCGGUUGUAUUGACGAUUCUAGGAUGAACUGGUCUUUGACGGUAAUCAUUGGAACACUCACUGUCAUUAGGGUCAUCAAAGUCAUUAUGACCCUGGUGUUGGUUAUGGUGGCGGUUCCUACGAGGAACUGGUCUUUGAGGAUUCCUAUGGUUGUUGUUGUAACCCAUUUUUAGGUCCCCACACAAAAAUAAAAAUAUAAUAAUGACAAAAAAAAUAAAAAAUAAUAAUAAUAAUAAAUAAAUAAUAAAAUAAUAAUAAUAAAUAAAUAAAUAUAUAGCCAGAAAAAAUUAGAAAAAAUAAUAGGAGGCUAUGCACUUUUUAAACAAGGUUGAGUGGUUACAAAGAAGGUAUCAUAAAUCGGUCAAAGAUGAAAUUUAAGAAAAGCUACCCCUGAAGUAUAACCUUACCUCUAGAUAGCAUAAUGAAUUGAUAAAUCACCUGUAAAUUUCUUUCAAGAUAAAAAUAGAGUUUAUCAAUCCUAACAAUUUGCAUUUUGAAAUGAGAAAAAUUCAUUAUCCCUUCACUCUCUAAAGAGUUUAUCGUUGGUGGUCCCGUUUGAGCCGGAAUGAAUUUCUUCUUUAAAAACCCGAACUAGGAUCACACACCACACUAGGGGCAAUAAAAGAUAUUUCAUGAAAAGUUUUAAAACGGGAUGAGAGUUCGUAGAUUUGAAAAACAUAAGUUAAAGCAUUUGACAAAAGCAUGACAAAGAAGGUAAUGACAAGUCAUACAUUUUGAAAAAAAAGCUACUUGUAAAAAGUCGAAGACUUCUUCUCAAAGAUAUGAUAGGUAAAAAAUAGGCAACACGAGAAAUGAAUCCAGCAUACGACUUCAAAAGUAAGCUCAUGUCAAGAGAGAGUUUCGUGAAAUAGAAGAAGAUGAUGGGACCUAUAUUUCAAAACUAGGUAAGAAUGCAUGCAUGACAUCUAAUCAUAAAUCAUUGCAUAUGCUUUUGAAUUGUUACAGGAUGAAUCCUUAAUGUAAUCCAACAAGAUUGUGGACGAAGAAAGAAUCAUUGAGUUGAUGAUAGCAAAGAAUCACGGCUUUGAUUCUGGAACAACAAUAAAGUGAGAAGAACCUAUUAAGAAAUUUUUAAAAGAAAACGAAAGGUUCAAACCCUGCCAUCAGGAAGAAAGAUACCGAUGUCAGCUUUGGUUAAAGGAGGUCGCUAGAAGGGAUCUCAUGUUUCAGCUUUGGUCAAAGGAGGUCACCAGAAGGGAUCUCGUAUUUCAGCUUUAGUUAAAGGGAAUUACCAGAUGGGAUUCCAGGUUGUCCGAGCUACAUAUAUAGUUUUUUGGUUAAAAGAGGUCGCUAGAAGGGAUCUCAUAUUUCGGAUUUGGUUAAGGGAGGUCGCUAGAAGGGAUCUCAUUUUUUCAGCUUUGGUUAAAGGGAAUCGCCAGAUGGGAUUCCAGGUUGACCGAGCUACAAAUAUAGUUUUUUGGUUUUGGUUAAAGGAGGUCGCCAGAAGGGAUCUCAUAUUUCGGAUUUGGUUAAGGGAGGUCGCUAAAAGGGAUCUCAUAUUUCAGCUUUGGUCAAAGGAGGUCGCCAGAAGGGACCUCAUAUUUCAGCUUUGGUUAAAGGAAAUCGCCCGAUAGGAUUCCAAGUUGAUUGAGCUACAAUUAUAGAUUUUUGGUUUUGGUUAAAGGAGGUCGCCAGAAGGGAUCUCGUAUUUCGAUUUUGGUUAAAAGAGGUUGCCAUAAGGGAUCUCAUAUUUCAGCUUUGGUUAAAGGGAAUCGCCAGAUGGGAUUCCAGGUUGACCGAGCUACAAAAAUAGUUUUUUGGUUUUGGUUAAAGGAGGUCGCCAGAAGGGAUCUCAUAUUUCGGAUUUGGUUAAGGGAGGUCGCUAGAAGGGAUCUCAUAUUUCAGCUUUGGUUAAAGGGAAUCGCCCGAUAGGAUUCCAAGUUGAUUGAGCUACAAUUAUAGAUUUUUGGUUUUGGUUAAAGGAGGUCGCCAGAAGGGAUCUCGUAUUUUGAUUUUGGUUAAAAGAGGUCGUCAUAAGGGAUCUCAUAUUUCAGCUUUGGUUAAAGGGAAUCGUCAUAUGGGAUUCCAGGUUGACCGAGCUACAAAUAUAGUUUUUUGGUUUUGGUUAAAAGAGGUUGCCAGAAGGGAUCUCAUAUUUCGAAUUUGGUUAAGGGAGGUCGCUAGAAGGGAUCUCAUAUUCUAGCUUUGGUUAAAGGGAAUCGCCAGAUGGGAUUCGAAGUUGAUUGAGCUACAAUUAUAGUUUUUUUGGUUUUGGUUAAAGGAGGUCGCCAGAAGGAAUCUCAAGUUAACCCAACCGUAACACCGAUAUUAGCUUUGGCUAAGGAAAAUCGCCAGAUGGGAUUUUAGGUUGGUCAAACUACAAAUAUAGAUUUUUUUUUUGGUUAAAAGAGAUCGCUAGAAGGGGUCUCUGAUGGAAUUCCAUGUUAAUCAAACUAAAGUAAGAAUUCAGAGGAUCGCCAGAUUGGGAUCUCGAGAUGACUAAGUUUUGAUCAUAGUUUUUGGGCUGAGGAGGAUUGCCGUAAAGACAAAGUGUCGGAUCGAUCAAACUUUGACAAGAUCAGUUUCGGAAGUUCAGUUUUGGUUUAUCUUUAUAAAACUUACUCCGCAAAACCUCUGCUCCAUAAGUAUUAUAAGAGGGGGCAUCUGUUGUAACCCAUUUUUGGGUCCCUACACAAAAAAUAAAAAUAUAAUAAUAAUAAUAAUAAAAUAAAAUAAAAUAAAAUAAAAUAAAUAAUAAAAUAAUAAUAAAUAAAUAUAUAGCCGGAAGAAAUUAGAAAAAAUAAUAGGGGGCAGGGGCACUCAGAAAAUGGUCAGAAAAAUUGAUUAAGGAGGUUAAAAAUACAAAGAUUGAAAUUUUAACAGUAUAUUCUGGAAUGAUGAGAGCCCUGUUGGAAAAGAAAAUUGAAAUUUGAGGAGAAAAGUCCAAAAUUGGAUGUUUAUGGACUUGAUUGGAUUUUAUUGAAGGUUUAAUUGAAUUUAUAGAGGGCUUGAUUUCAAGAAAAAUGGAUUUUUAAGUCAAUUUGGUCUUUAAUUUGAAGAAAUUAAAGUUAUGGGGUCAAAUUAUAAUUUUUAAGAGUUGAUUUGGUCAAAUCAGGGGCUUAAUUGCAUAAAUAUUGAAGUUUAAUGGCCAAUUAGGGACUUAAUUGAGGACCAAAUUGGAAAAGGCGCGUAAAUAUAGGGGCUGUAAUUAACAAAAUCAGGGGCCAAAUUGAAGAAAUUGGAGGUUUAUUGAUCAAUUGAGGGUCAAAUUGCAUAAAUCAGAGGCCAAGGAUCAAAGUGGAAAAGGCAGCCAACUAUAAGGGCGGCGAUUGAAGUUUUCAGGGAUGCAAUUGAAAUGAACAAAAGAUAAUUAAGGACUGAUUUGGAAGUUGACGUGUUGGCACCAUAUUUAAAUGAAACGGCGCGUUUUGUUCAAAACGACGACGUUUCAUGUUGAAAAAAAAAGGAGAGGACAGAACGUUGUCGUUUUGAACGACACUGUUCCUCUUUCUUCUUCCCCUGGACGUGCAUCAGGGAAGAGAAAGCGUUUUCUUCCUAUUUCUUCACACGCCACAUGCCUGCCACCUCCCAAAACCCCACACACUCUCAUUGUCGCACGUCGGAAAAUCCCGCGCGGCAUCGACUGAUGAUUUUUCUCAUUGUUGCAUUGUUUGCUUGAAUUUGGUUCGUUGGAGUCGCCACCUAGUAAUUUAUUGAAGGCUACUAGGAAACCGGAUGUACUGGUCUGUCAGAGAUCGCGGGUAAGGAACUGGUUGUGGUUAGGGAAGGUAUUAGCACCCCUAACGCACCUUACCUGAGGUAAGCUGCUUUGCGAAUUCGAUGCGUUAAAGAAGUUUUAAUAAUUGUCUUUUCAUCGAAAAUUAGAAAUAUCACUUACGUAUAAGUUAAUAAUUCUUAACCGUGAUCCAAUCAAAAUAUUAAAUUCUUCUUUAAUCUUUGCAAUUUUAUCAUAAUUAAGAAAAUAAAUAAGACAUUCAUAAAAAAACAAAUACAAAAAAAAAAAACAUUAGUCUUCUUCUCCUCUGUUUCGGGUUGUAGAUCGGGCAGGGCUGAUGACUGAUGGUGAAUCGGUGGACGGCGCUGCUGCUGGAGGAAGAAAGCGGACUGGUUUGGGAUCUGUGGGUGCUGUUGCCGGGCUGCUAUCGGGCGGCUCUGAUCCGGCCUUGGUGAGCUGGCCGGCUGGCAGUGAAGGAGAUCACCUGCGGCUGCUGGGACCGAAGGAGAAGAAGGAGCUGCUGAGGGGAAAGCUGGGAGACGAUGGUUGUCGUUGAAUUAGGAGAGACGAGACAGAUUUGGGAGCCGUUGUGGGCACGAUGACGGUCGGUCUGUGAUGGGAAAAUGGAGAAGGGCUGGAGGUUUAUUUGUGGCAGGGAAGAGGUGGUCGGCGGGAGGAGAUGAAGGGGACACGGCUGUUAGGAAAGAGGGGUUGUAUUGGCCGGUUGCUGAGGGGAAAAAGAAAUUCCAACCGGCUCCGGGCUGCUGUUUAGCCGAUUGAGGGGGAAGAAAAACAAAGGGUGGGGGCUGCUGUGUUUGGCUCUGGGUGAGGGAGAAGAGAAAAAAUGAGCGGCUGUUUGGGGGAGGGGCUAUUUGGCCGGUGGAGGGGCGCGUCCGACUGGCCUUGGUUUGAGAAACGAAGCUUUGGCCGGGCUGUCGGUGGAAAACAAUUCAAGCCAGGGGAGGGCCUGUUUGGCUGCUGUCGAAAGAAGAGAAAAAAGGGUGGGGGGCGGCUGUGUCUUUGUUUUUUAGGGUUUCUGUUUUUUCUUUGUAUUUUCUCUUGUUUCAAAAUUAACCCCCCUCUUUUGUGUGAGUUAAAGACUAGUAUUUAUAGGCAAAAUGUUGCAAGGUUUUUCAACUUGGUCCCUCAACUUCUUCUUUUUUUUCUUUUUAAAUUUUGAUUUUUCUUAUUUGUUUUUGAAUUUUUUUGAAAACGAGCAAUAUCAAUGUCGACUCAAUGAGGAAAAUCAAUGAUUUUUAAAAUGACGCGUGAAAAGUCGCACGCGUUUGAAAAUUUAAAUUUUUUUUAAACCACGCUGAAAUGCUAAAAUGACGAGAAUAUAUUAAAAAACAUAUUUUUUUGGAUUUUCAUUGUUUUUCUCUAUUUUUUGAUUUUUUUUGAAAAUAUAUCAAAAACAUGGGUCAAAUAUUGGGUAGUAACAGAUGCCCCCUCUUUACAAUGCUUACGAAGCAAAAAUCCUCAAUGUUUUGCAUAGGAAGCUUUGUAAAGAAAAACUUGUAUUUCUGUUUGAUCAAUAUCCACUUCAUCAAAAAAACUUUACUCUGUUCUCUUUCUUUCUUUUUUUGUCUCUCUCUCUUUCUCUCUCUUUUUUUUUUAUUAUUAUCCUGAGAUCCCAUCUGGCGACCUCCUUUAACCAAAACCAAAGAAUGUGUGUAACUCGGUCAACCUGAAAUCCCAUAUGGAGAUUCCCUUUAACCAAAGCUACAUGAGAUCCCAUCUGGCGACCUCAUUCAACUGGAACGAAAAUAUAUGUAACUCGGUUAACCUGAAAUCCCAUCUGGCGAUUCCCUUUAACCAAAGCUACAUGAGAUCCCAUCUGGCGACCUCAUUCAACUGGAACGAAAAUAUUGUGUAACUCGGUUAACCUGAAAUCCCAUCUGGCGAUUCCCUUUAACCAAAGCUACAUGAGAUCCCAUCUGGCGACCUCAUUCAAUUGGAAUGAAAAUAUGUGUAACUCGGUUAACCUGAAAUCCCAUCUGGCGAUUCCCUUUAACCAAAGCUACAUAAGAUCCCAUCUGGCGACCUCAUUCAAUUGGAACGAAAUAUGUGUAACUCGGUUAACCUAAAAUCCCAUUUGGCGAUUCCCUUUAACCAAAGCUACAUGAGAUCCCAUCUGGCGAUUCCCUUUAACCAAAACUACAUGAGAUCCCAUCUGGCGACCUCAUUCAACUGGAACUAUAAAACCAUGUGUAACUCGGUUAACCUGAAAUCCCAUCUGGCGAUUCCCUUUAACCAAAGCUACAGGAGAUCCCAUCUGGCGACCUCAUUUAACCAAAACAAAAGAAUGUGUAAAAAUGGUCUCAUUGUAAUGGGUGACCCACUCAGGUGGAAAGAACAUAAAAAAACGGUCUCAUUAUGAUGGGUGACCUACCCAGAUGGAAAGAAUAUGAAGUGCGGUCUCAUUAUAAAGGGUGACCUCCCCAUGUGGAAAGAAUAUGAAAAAGUGGUCUUGUUGUGAUCGGCGACCUACCCAAAUAGAAAGAAUGUGAAGUGCGGUCUCAUUGUAAUGGGUGACCAAAAACUUGACACGACCAAAAGAUUGAUGUCUUCUCCCAAGUGCAGGAGUGUCGAAGUAAUAAAUAACCCGGCAAGACCGGGGUCGAACCAUAGAGAGGUUAAUUGUAUAAAUUAUAAAUAACAAGAAAACAACAACAACAAUAACAAUAACAAUAACAAUAACAAUAAUAAUAAUAGUAAUAGUAAUAGUAAUAGUAAUAGUAAUAUUAAUAUUAAUAGUAAUAAUAAAAAUAAUAAAAGAAGAAGAAGAAGAAGAUGAUGAAGAAAUUAAUGAGAACUUUGAGAUGGAAGAUUAAUGUAAGGAUUAAACAAUGAUAAAAACAAAUGUCAAGGUUAGAGGAUCCACCAAUGGUAUUUCAAACAAGUAUAAUAUAAACUCUUGUUACUCAAUUUGGAAACCACACACAAAGGAGGUUCCAAUCGAAUGAUUUCUCAUUAAUAGCUCAUUAUAAAUUAUUAACAUGAUCAUAUUAAUUAUCUUAAUUACAUAACACCAAACUUUUAAAUAUUGUCAGGAAUUCAUGAUAUUAACUGAUUUUAACAACAAAUCAAGUUAUUUUCAUAGCCCAGGUGUAGGUAAUACCAUACUGUUGGGCUAUGAGAGUGCCAAGCAUUUGAUGUACCAAAUGUUAUACAACACAAAUCUAGAUUAACCAUUUAACAAGCAAGGUAUUAAGAAUUAGUAAGAUAAAAAGAUAAGACAUGUUAAUAUUAAACAUUAAGAUCCAUAUUGAGUUUACACCAUGUUCUUACACCAUUAGUGUAACCUUUUCACCUUGACAUAAUAAACUUAGCUAAACAUAAUGAAGAAGAGAAACAUAAAUAAACAAAACAAGAACAUAAAUAAGAUACAAGUUAACUAAGAAAAGGAAAGGAAAUGAAAAGCAUAAACAAGAUAUUAAUGAAAGCAAAACUUAAAAAUUACAAAAAAAAUAUAAAGAGAGAAAUAAAGAGCAUGAGCUUGAUCUGAAAAACCAAGCCCCAAAAUACAUGGCAAAUGCCUCCUUUUAUAGGCCAAAAUUCGGAAUUAUUGAUUUGAUGACUAAUUGUUGAGUGGGUGACCAACUUUUGACUUGGUGAAAAUCCUUAUCUUCUUGUCUGAAUAAAACAAAAAUGCUACCAUCCGAACUGGGUCCUCUGGUAAACAUGAAAGUUGUAGGAAAUUGACUCAACUUUCCAUGAAAAAAAAGUAGAGGUCAUUUGGACAUCUAGAACUCCAGAUAUGGGCCAAACAGAACAGUGUUCCAGUUUGGACUGCACCAACAUCUCUUUUCUAAGUUUCACCCUCUCUUUAACUUCACAAAUUUCAGUAGUUGAAUUCAUCAAUCAAUCCUUUGAUUUAUGUGAUAAGCCUGCAUUUAAGAUGAACAUUUACCAUAUAUUAAGGCAUUUUAUAGUAUUAGACUUGUUAUUAUAAAACAUGCUUUAGUUAAGGAGUUAUUGAUACUUUAAGUGCAAAAUGAUGAUAUAAAACCUUGAUAAAUAUGCACUUUUAAGUACUAAUCACACCCCCCAACCAGCUUAUUACUAGUCCCUAGUAAUCAAAGAGUUAAAAUAGAAAAACAAUUUGCAAGUUCCACAAAGCAAGGCAUUCAUCAUUCAACUUCCAUUAAUCUAUCCAGAUAAACAAACUCUCAUUAAAUUCAUUUAUCUGCUCAAUACCUCUUAAACAAGAUAUUACUAAACCUUUCUUUUGUGCUCAAAAUAUCAACAUAUAGUUAUGGGGCUUUACUUGGAAGAAAAACAAAUUUUUGUUCUAAUGUUUAAGGCUAACUUCCUUAGGUUAGGAUUAUUAUCUUUUUUUUGUUUUUUUAUAUAUAUAUAUAUACAUAUAACUUAAAACACAAUGCAUCUUUAACCCAUGUAACGAGCUUUUGGCUAAUGACUCCCAGACCAGUUGGUCUUAGGGCAUUAGGUGUUGAGACACCCCUACGAGCUUAGUAACUCGGGUUGCAGAUACUGAUACGCAGAUAGUGCAAUGUUUGAUUCCCUUAAGCUUUUCUCCUCAACCCAUGUAACAAGCGUUGGGCCAAUAGCUCCCAAGUCAGUUGACUUUAGGGUAUUAAGUGUUAAAACACCCCUUCAGGCUUAAUUGCUUAGGUUAGGGAGGCUACGGAACCAAACUUAUCUACCUUUUUAUUAUCAUUAUUUUUUUGUUUUUUUUAUUAUUAUUAUUUUGGAAAUUAUAUACUAUCCCUUUCCUUUAGUUGUUACCUUUAACAAAAGAACAUAAAUAAUAUAAUAAUCCAAUAUGCAACCCACAAUCAUAUGUUAUAGUGUGUGUGUGAAAAUGAAGAUUUAAGAAUACUUGUUAAAUGAGCAUAUGAGCAGAAUCAAGUGCUAACAAUAUGAGAGUUUGUAAACCUGAAUAUUUCAAGAAGUAUUCUGAUAGACCUUGCUAAGAAUGUCUACUAAGAUGCGUCUCAAGAGUCCUUUUAACAAAAGAACUCCUUUUACUCUGCCAUCCUAGUAACAACAGUUUUGCAAAUAGUUUAUGAAAUAGAAAACACAGUUUUUUUUUUUAAAUAUCAACUACUACCCUUUCCCCCCAACCAAAAUGAGACAUUGUCCUCAAUGUCCUAAGGUAGAAAGAUGGAGUAUAGAAGACAUCACCUGAAACAACGAACACUAACAAACCUGAAACACAAUUAAACAAAUAUAAGAAAUAACAAAACAUAAUAAUAAAAACAAAAGACACAAAGUUUUUACAAACUAAGGCUCAAAUCCAAUUUAAGCUUUUUACGGCUUUCCGUAGUUGACCAAUUUAUACGACUCAUGGAGGGAUCAAUUACAGGGAUGAAAGAUUGUAGUUGGUCAAUCAAUUGUUCAGCAGUAGCAGCAGAGAUUAUGAUUUGUCGUGCCAAAGAUGUUAGAAAUUAUUGUUCCACAGCUUGAUCAAGAAAAGAUAACAAAUUAUCAUAAAAACCAUUAACAUUUAACAGACCUAUGGGUUUAUGGUGAAUGUGCAGUUGGGCCCAAGAGGAAAUAUGAAAGAUCUCUUCCAAUGUGCCCAGACCACCUGGUAAGGCAAUGAAGGCGUCAGCAUGGUUAAACAUUGUAUUCAUUUGAUCAGACAUUGUGGAGACCUGUAGUUCCUCUCCAAUUGUUUUUCCAAUGAUGUCCUCUUUUGCUAAAGCUUUUGGGAUGACCCCCAAAACUUGACUGCCUCCUAAGAAUGCAGCUGUUGACACACUCCCCAUUAACCCAAGGUUGCCUCCCCCAUAUACUAAAUGAAUCUUUCUCUCAGCUAGUAUCUGACCAAGAUGAUUUGCGGAUUCUAUAAACUCUUUUUCUUUCCCAGGACUAGAUCCACAAAAAACACAAAUAUUUUUUAUUUUAAGAGCUGAGGAUCCUACCAUUUCAAGAAGUGUUUAUACUUGUAGAAUGUAUGGGUUGAGUAGAAAUGAAGGGAAGAAGAAGAAGCUUUUAUAGAUGAGAAAAAGGAAAUGCAAUCAUAUCACCUAUAUGGAAGCUAGCUGGAGUCUCUCUCUCUUUCUUUUUCUUUUUUUUUUUGAAAAAAAAAUGUAAAAAAUGUGUAUGUACAGGUAGUUGUGCUUGUGGCUCACAUAUUCCCUUGGUUUUACGUCCAAGAACGGCUUAAACGCCCUCUAUGGGUCGAGGAUAGGCUUCCCAUCCAGUUUUCUUAAAAACUAGCAAAAAGGGUCUUUUUUUUUUAGUCAGAUUCCCAAGACUAUGAUGAGCAUGUUCUUUAUGAAAAUGAGGCCAUAAAUCAUGAACUGCACGAUGCACAUCUCCACUAUGAUGAGACUUAAGAGUCAACAGAAGAUUAUCUAAAGACUCUCUAUGCUUUGAAAUAAAUCCCACCUUUUGAUAAUUUUCACAGGUUUUGCAGAAUGCAUAUGAGUGCUUGAACAUGGUGGGCCAGUAAAAUGCACUUUGUAAGAUUUUUGCAGUCAUCUUUUUUGACAAGAAAUGAUCCCCACGUGCCUCAGAGUGACAAAAUUUAAUGACACUACUUACCUCAUUGUCGGGAAUGCAUCUUUGAAAUAUUUGAUCAGGACAAUAUUUGAACAAGUAAGGGUCAUCCCAAUAAAGGUUUUGCACGUCGCUCAAAAACUUUCUUUUAUCUUGGUUAUCCAAAUGAGCUGGCAAAAAUCCUGAAGCAAGAAAAUUGUUAUUUUUAGCAAGCCAAGGCAUUGAACUAAGAGAAAGUAAAGAUUCAUCAGGAAAGUAAUCAUUGAUUGGUGUGAUGUCGAAUCUAUUGUCAACUUUGAUAAAUGAUCCGCGACAACAUUUUCGGUGUCUUUUUCAUCAUCGAUUGCUUCUUGUUUGGUCAUGGCAUGAGGAAAUGAAAGUGCUGGCAGGGAAUCGGCCUUUUCUUUACAAUGUUCAUAUUCAACCCCUUCCUUACCACUGCGAAGAGUGAUGUCUGAUUUAACUUGAUCCAUGUGUUGACUUCUGGAACUACUUGCAUUUACAUUGUAUUUCUCCUUUGGAUUUUGUUGUGGUUGAGAUGGAAACGUAUCGUUCUCCUGAAAACAGAGAGCAGAUGUUAACUUUGCAAGAGUAUCUUUAAAACCUGUCAUGCUUUGAGCAAGUUGAGUGUUGAUUAUCUCUUGCUUUUCAAUGAAUGAAUGCAAUGUUUCCUCAAGAUUUCUUCUAGAAGGUGGAGCAUAAGGAGGUGCAUAUCCAUGAAAAUUUUGGAAAUUAUGGUGUGCUUGAAACGAUGGCUGUGAAGUUUGUGCAUUAUUGUUAUCACUCUUCCAACUAAAAUUUGGGUGAUUUCUCCAACCAGGAUUGUAUGUUUGCAAGUAUGGGUUAUGAUUGGGCCUUUGGAAACUGUUUAAAGCAUGAGCUUGUUCAUGGAGGCAUUCCUUGAAAGAAGGCAAAGUUGGACAAUCAUUGGUUGCAUGUUCAUUUGUUUCACAGAUUUGACACACAAUGUCUUGAACAAAUUUUAAUUGACCACUCCUUUUCAAUUCUAGUGCCUCGACUUUUCUAGCUAAAGAUGCAGUGGAUUGGAGGUCAUGAUCUUCCCUAAGGUUAUACAUACCUCCAUUAGAUGUAUGAGGUUGAGUUUUACCCGGUGCCUCAUAAAUACCUGUGGUGUCCCAAUUUUGAGCAUUUUCGACUAGCAAGUCUAGGUACUCCAUUGCUUCAUUAGGGUCUUAUCUUCAAAGGUUCCAUUGCACAUCAAUUCAACCAUUUGCCUAUCUCUAGGUGUUAAACCUUCAUAAAAAUGUGAAACCAAUCUCCAUGUUUCAAAACCAUGAUGUGGGCAAGUAUUAAGCAAAUCUUGAUACCUAUCCCAACAUUGGUAAAAUGUUUCUCCUGGUUUUUGAGUGAAAGUUGUGAUUUGUCUUUUGAAAGAGUUUGUUCUGUGAGAUGGAAAAAACUUCUUUAAAAAUUGUUGUUGCAAUUCAUCCCAAGCACGAAUGGAUCCUGGUCUCAAAUUUUGUAGCCAUGUUUUAGCUUUAUCUUUUAAAGAAAAAGGAAAAAGCUUUAAUCUGAUGGUGUUCAUGCUACAAUUUGAGUCAUUAUAAGUGGUACAAACUUCCUCAAAUUCUCUCAAAUGCAAGUAUGAAUUUUCUAGAUCUAAGCCAUGAAAAGAAGGUAAAAGUUGAAUAAUGCCUGGCUUAAAAUUAAAAUGAGAUGCAUCAGGAGGAAAAAAUAUACAUGAUCGCGCAAUUGUUCUUGUUGGAUUCAUGUAGUCUCUAAGUGUUCUAACCCGAUUAUUCUCAUUAUAAAGCGAUUGAUUAUCCUCUUCGGCCAUGUUUUCUAAAAACGAUGAGUAUACUUUACAAAGUUUAUCAUUUCAUGUACGUGACCAAACUCUCAUGCACGUGUAGAAAGAAAAUAAAAGGAAGAAGAAAACAAAACAAAAAGAAACAAAACAAAAGAAACAAAGUUAGAAAAAAAAUAAAAUAAAUACUAUAAUUUAUACAAGAAUUUACCUCCCCGGCAACUGCGCCAAAAACUUGACACAACCAAAAGAUUGAUGUCUUCUCCCAAGUGCAGGAGUGUCGAAGUAAUAAAUAACCCGGCAAGACCGGGGUCGAACCACAGAGAGGUUAAUUGUAUAAAUUAUAAAUAACAAGAAAACAACAACAACAAUAACAAUAACAAUAACAAUAACAAUAACAAUAACAAUAACAAUAACAAUAACAAUAACAAUAACAAUAACAAUAAUAAUAAUAAUAAUAAUAAUAAUAAUAGUAAUAUUAAUAUUAAUAGUAAUAAUAAUAAUAAUAAAAGAAGAAGAAGAUGAAGAAAUUAAUGAGAACUUUGAGAUGGAAGAUUAAUGUAAGGAUUAAACAAUGAUAAAAACAAAUGUCAAGGUUAGAGGAUCCACCAAUGGUAUUUCAAACAAGUAUAAUAUAAACUCUUGUUACUCAAUUUGGAAACCACACACAAAGGAGGUUCCAAUCGAAUGAUUUCUCAUUAAUAGCUCAUUAUAAAUUAUUAACAUGAUCAUAUUAAUUAUCUUAAUUACAUAACACCAAACUUUUAAAUAUUGUCAGGAAUUCAUGAUAUUAACUGAUGUUAACAACAAAUCAAGUUAUUUUCAUAGCCCAAGUGUAGGUAAUACCAUACUGUUGGGCUAUGAGAGUGCUAAGCAUUUGAUGUACCAAAUGUUAUACAACACAAAUCUAGAUUAACCAUUUAACAAGCAAGGUAUUAAGAAUUAGUAAGAUAAAAAGAUAAGACAUGUUAAUAUUAAACAUUAAGAUCCAUAUUGAGUUUACACCAUACUUGUUCUUACACCAUUAGUGUAACCUUUUCACCUUGACAUAAUAAACUUAGCUAAACAUAAUGAAGAAGAGAAACAUAAAUAAACAAAACAAGAACAUAAAUAAGAUACAAGUUAACUAAGAAAAGGAAAGGAAAUGAAAAGCAUAAACAAGAUAUUAAUGAAAGCAAAACUUAAAAAUUACAAAAAAAAUAUAAAGAGAGAAAUAAAGAGCAUGAGCUUGAUCUGAACAACCAAGCCCCAAAAUACAUGGCAAAUACCUCCUUUUAUAGGCCAAAAUUCGGAAUUAUUGAUUUGAUGACUAAUUGUUGAGUGGGUGGCCAACUUUUGACUUGGUGCAAAUCCUUAUCUUCUUGUCUGAAUAAAACAAAAAUGCUACCAUCCGAACUAGGUCCUCUGGUAAACAUGAAAGUUGUAGGAAAUUGACUCAGCUUUCCACGAAAAAAAAGUAGAGGUUAUUUGGACAUCUAGAACUCCAGAUAUGGGCCAAACAGAACAGUGUUCCAGUUUGGACUGCACCAACAUCUCUUUUCUAAGUUUCACCCUCUCUUUAUCUUCACAAAUUUCAGUAGUUGAAUUCAUCAAUCAAUCCUUUGAUUUAUGUGAUAAGCCUGUAUUUAAGAUGAACAUUUACCAUAUAUUGGGGCAUUUUAUAGUAUUAGACUUGUUAUUAUAAGACAUGCUUUAGUUAAGGAGUUAUUGAUACUUUAAGUGCAAAAUGAUGAUAUAAAACCUUGAUAAAUAUGCACUUUUAAGUACUAAUCAGUGACCUACCCAAAAAUGGAAAAAAACAUGAAGUGCGGUCUCAUUGUAAUGGGUGACCUACCAAAAGAUGGAAAAAAUAUGAAGUGUGGUCUCAUUGUAAUGGGUGACCUACCCAAAUAGAAAGAAUGUGAAGUGCGGUCUCAUUGUAAUGGGUGACCUACCCCAAAAUGGAAAAAUAUGAAGUGCGGUCUCAUUGUAAUGGGUGACCUACCCAGAUGGAAAAAAUAUGAUGGAGUGCGGUCUCAUUGUCAUGGGUGACCUACCCAGAUGGAAAAAAAUGAAAAACGUCUUAUUAUGAUGGGCGACCUACCCAGAUGGAAAGAAUGUGAUAUGACAAGUGUGAAAAAUAGGACUUACCUGGCGAAGUCCUGAGGGGAUGACAGAAGAAGGGCUAGAAAACUUGGUGCUUUCUGAUAAUUCCCGAUCAUAGGGUUUGAAAACUCGGUGUUUGCUGACUGCAAGGGUUGAAAACUCGAGGCUUCCCGAUUCCAAGGUUGAUCUUUUCAUUUCCUUGGGAUUUUCCUAAUGGUAGGGUUCAUCCCAUCUUCUUUUUAUUUCAUGAUCAAAACCGAUUCUUUAUUAUCAUCACCACAAUGCUUCUUUCUUCUUCUUUUUUCACCAUCUUGCUGGACCUCAUUAAGGAUUUUCCUAUAACAAUUCAAAAAUAUGUGCAAAUGUUUUUUUUUUUUUUAGGUUAGAUGAUAUGCAGGUAUCCUUACCUGAUUUGAAAUAUAGGUCCCCCCCUCUUUGAUGCUCCAUCGUCAUAGGGUGCCCUUGUUUGCAUCCCAAAGCUUUCUUUGUCCUUCUGAUGCAUUGACUCAUUCAUGUGCUAGUCAUCCACUCAGCUGUAAAUGCAGUGCCCAUCCCGGGCUGUCUUUGACAAUUACUGCUCGCAUCGUUCAUCAAGCUUGACCUUGCCCCUAAGUGUGGUGGUUGCUUGAUCAUCAUGAAGGAUUUUCUCUCCUGGUUCUUCUGAGAAUUAUCUUCUGAUUGAUUGUGUGCAUCAUGCCAACACCCAUCAAGAUUGUUAAUCAGUCAUGAACUUACCUUCGGUUGAAACACCAUUCAAGUAUAUAUGGUCACCAGCCUUCAUGGAGCUACCAGUCGUGCCGACAUGCAUCUCAUACUUUGGCAGGGAAAGGCUCAUCGUUGUAAGCUCAAUGCUUUCCUCAAAAAGUUCUUCUCACCCAUCUAAUCAGAUCUUGAAAAGAAAUGUAUUGGCAUCAUCAAUGAUGUUCAUGUUAUCACCCAUAUUCAUGCGGUGAAGUGUGCAUUUGAGCUUCAAAACAAAUGGUCCCACAGUCAGUUGGUGGGUGCAUCCUUCAAGCAUUCAUGCACAUACAACUAUGUGAUAACAUCGUUCAAAAGUCAUAACCAUGUUGAAGAUGAUAAACCAAGAUGAAAAUAUGAAAAUAUCCUUCUAGUGCAGUGUUGCUCAUCAAUUGCUGCUGAAGUGCACUUGAUCAUGGAUUGUCUUUGAACAACAUUGCCCCCAAUAUGAUUCGUAGGUUCGUUCAUCGAUUUAUACUCAAGAAGGUUUUUCCUUAUCAUUGUCAGAUGCUAAACAUAACUUUGAUGAACUUUGACGACUCAUCAUCUGAUUCUUUCUUUGCCCCCAGGUGAUCAGAAUGUUGUUUGUGUAUUUUCUUCUAAGGGUCCACUGUAUUGCCCCCAGGUGAUCAGAAUGUUGUUUGUUUUUCUUCUAAGGGUCCACUGUAUUGCCCCCAGGUGGUCAACUUUCAAGGAGUUUUGAGAAGAGUUGAUGUCAUUUCAUGUCAAGGAUUCCGCAAACUCAACGAGUGUUCUUCUUUGUUUGACAACCUUUCUUGUUCUAGAAUCAAAUCUCAUACUUCAAAGGUCAUGUCUAUUCAAGUCUAAUUGUUGAAAUGAAAUCAAAGAGAUAUCAUUUUUUGAAAAGUAUUUUUGAAAUUCAAGCUUCUUUGGUCAAAGACCCAAGACACGUCAUUCAAUGUAGUCCUUCGAUUGUCUUGUAUUUUGAAAACAGAAAUCGACUUGUUGUAAGAUUAAAAUGGUCUUUCCCAUGGUUCUUUAUAUCCACUUUAAACUCUGAUUUUGGGUAUAUCUCUUUUUUUUUAUGGUUUGUGAUGAGGUGAUAUUUUUGUGAACUUCAAAUGACUAGAUGCUCAAGCUUGAUCAAGAAAGGUUGUUUCUUUUCUCAGUAUUUAUUUUAUCAGCAUGCAUAAUAACCAAUAGCUUAAUUCAUGAAGUCACGACCCUUAUGGAAAAGCUCUUCAAGUUUUGAGAGCGCCAUUUAUCGGUUCAGAUUGCUUACUUGAUCAAAAAGGGCUUUUAAAAAGCACGUAAUGUAGGCUAUGGUUCAUGGCUAUAAAAGAAAGGAAUUUCAUAGGCUCAAAAGGUGUUUGAGGGUUUCAACGACAUAGGACCAACAUUAACUAUUCAUCGAUUCUCUUUCUCUUGUUGUCAUUGUAGAGAAAGUGACAUACAACCUUGUUAAUCUCAAAUAUCAGAAUUCUCUUAACAUAGGUCAUAAUGCAAAUCCAACUUUUUCUUUGAUGAAUAACUAAUCUAAUUUUUUUAUUUUUUUUGAAGACAUUAGAGGCUCUAUCUAAGACACACCAAAAGAUAUGAAGCAUCGAUUUUUCUAGUGUUGACUUUUGGCAUUUGCUGUCUUUUCUCAAUUUGAAAAUUUUCUUGCCUCUCUUAGAAUUGAUAGGCAUUCUCCUUCUUUUAUCUUUAACUUGUCUUUAAGUGAAGGCAAUUUCAACUCAUAGCCUUCCUCAAAAUUUUCUUAUAUGCCCCUAGUCUAUGUGUUUUCUUUUAGCCCUCUCUCAAUCAUUGGACUUUUGUUCUAAGCCUUCCCUUUAUCCAUUAAUUAUAUUAAUACCUUCAAAAUAUCUCUCAUUUGCCCCUAGUGUGGGGUGUGAUCCUAGUCAGGGUUUUUAUGAAAAGAAAAGUCUAUCCAGCUCAAAAUGGGACUACAAGGGAUAUAAUCUUUAGAAAGUGAAGGGAUAUCAAAGACGGCCUUUUCUCAUUUCAAGCAAGGUCGGUUAGAACCGAUAAAUUUUGACCCCAUCCAGUGAAUGAUUGAGACUUGUAAGAAUCAUGAUUCAACGAGUCCAUAACUACUGAAUCCACUACAUGUCAUUAUGCAUACUGCUAAAACUUAGCUAUAUAAUGUGUGGUUCAGUUUCAAGAGGUAUGAGUUCAAAAUUGUUUGGUCACCUCAUGUCAUUUUCAAGCAUCGAGUCAUUUCUGCAAUCAAAAUAAUUUUAAUCUUCAGGAUUGAUUAUCCUUAAUUUUGCAUGUUGGAGUUUGAUCAAAAUAUUUUAUCAAAAUACCCUUUGAAAGAAGUAUCUCUUGAUUUCAAAACAACAAGAAGACAAAGGGAAUACCUGUUUCAUUCAAGGAUGAGAUGCGCCCCAAAACAAAAUGCAAAACUCCAUAACAAUAUGAAUGACAGCUCAUCACCAUUCUUGAAUCAGCUUUUCUGGCAAUAUCUGUGUUUUGCCAAGCACCUUCAAUCAAAUGUCAUUCUGAAGAUUUUCGGGAGGCAAUAUAGCCAAUGACACCCUCCUUCACAAACUCUACUUGUCUCUUGCUCUCCAACUUCAGGACUCGCUUCUUGAAAUUCUUGCAACUGUUCAAUUGAAAUGGUUGAGGACUCCACCAUGACAUCACAUCUCUUGUAUGGAUUAUACCACAUGGCAAAUGAACAUCUAUCUUUGGCAAAGACAUUGGAGUAGUCAAUGAUACAGGGAGACUUGGCUAGACCACAUAAUCAAGGUUUCCCACCGUCAGAGUCUUCUUUUGAUUCAUCUCUCAUCAUUGUUCUGGAAUCCUUGGCAGAACCUUCAAUCUUUCCUCUCUUCAUAACUUGUUCAAUUUCGUCAGCAAUCCUCACAACAUCAUGUCAAUCUUCCAAUGUUGUUGUGGUUUGAGGAUUGUUGGAACCCUCUUAAUAUCUAGGUAAUCCUGGCAGUGCCCAAAACAAAAGGGUGUGGAAUCACACAUUGUCAAAAUUAGAAGAGAACCCGAUGAAUCUACAACAUCUUCUAUUUCCUCUUUGAUUCCUCAUUGACGGUGCAGCAAACAACUACUUUUGUGUUUUAAUGCCAAUACUGGAAGGAAACAAUUAUGGACAAUUUGAAACCCCUGCAUCCCUUCUUGGAUUUCCCACUGCAUAUCCACAAACAGAUUCCUGCCGAGAGAUCUCUGCUACAUUGAAGUUUGAUAUUUGCUCAUGUUUUUUCAAACAAAGUUUGGCUCUUCAACCUGCUACAGUUUCUUCGUGCUAAAAUUGAUGAGAGAAAUAUUUGUAGCAUAUGCAAUUAGUAAAUCCCUUCUUGCACUCUUAACUUGCAGCAUCAUAAACAGAUUUUUGUAGAGAGAGCUCUUCUGCCUACUACUCAUAUUUUCAGACCAGGUCUGACUCUUCUGCCUACUACAAUGUUUUGCUGGUGCCACUGGUGGGAGAAAGUUUCAAAGUAUAUGAAAAUACUACAUCCCCUCUUGCAUUCCCCACUAGCAGAUCCAUAAAUAAAUCUCUACAAAGAGAGCUCUACCACGUAGAAGUUCAGUGUUUAAUCAUGGUUUUUUUUUUUUCAGACCAACAUCUUGUGCUGCUGAAAUGGAAUUGAGCUCAUAAUUGGGGUAACUUCAAAGAAGCCUAAUGCACCAUGUACAUGAGGCUAGUAGUCGUUUGGUUACAUUAGAUGAUGUGGAGGCGAUGAACACUUAACAGUGCAACUGGACAAGAAUCAGAGUUGUCAUUAGUUGAUGACUGAAGGCAUUGUUGCUAUUGUUCAUGACUAAAAAGGAGAAAUACAGCUUCAAUUGGACGUGAACAAGCAAUGUUCCCACAGAAGACUGUGCAAACACUCUCUUUCCAUUUGAUGCUCAACACUUGUUCGAGCAAAUCUGAGUCCAGCUACUUCACCUUUGAUGCUCUCAACCUUAAUCUGAUAAUGAGACUCUAUCUGACACCUUUCUUCACUUCCAUUAUCUUUCUUCAAUCACGUGCAGCACAGCUUGUGUGGGGGACCUACCUUUCAACCCGGUUCAUACAUGAUAAAUGUAUGAACAUGUAAUCUAUAUGAUGAACUCGCCCUUCGAGGGGUGACAAUACGGUCGUAACUCUUGUAUGAUGGAACAAGAAUCGUGAUUCUUGCCCAAACUCUACAAUGAAAAUUUUCGGAGUGACGGCCAAUGUGUCACCCACAAGUCUUCAGUUCAAGAUGCUUCAAGAAGGGUUUGCCCUAAUGCAAAUAACGAUAGCACAUACAACCUAAGGACAUGUUCUAUUCAUUAUGUGAACAUGGUAGGUUUUCUAUCUGGUCUCAAGAGGGUCUCAUAUCUGCCCAGUGACGUUCUUCGUAAAGACAAUAUGGGGGCGUUGCAAGGGAUGGUUAAGGCAUGUAUACCCACCAUUACCAAGCAGGCACUCAGAUAUGAUUUGGGUGUUUCACGCAUCUAAACCUUGACCAAUAGUCUUAGGGCAGAUCGCUAGUUCCCCACCUAACCUAGAAGCUUGUGUGUGCUUUCAAAAAAUAAAUACAGGUGAUGCAUGAGACAAUUCUAUAAAAUGCAUGGGAAAAAAAAUUAACAAAAAGAUAAAAAUACAAAAACUAAAACACAUCAAAUACACAAAGCUUAGUCCAAUAAUGUUAGAAACAGUACCUUCCCCAGUGGAGUCGCCAUUCUGUCGCACGUCGGAAAAUCCCGCGCGGCAUCGACUGGUGAUUUUUCUCAUUGUUGCAUUGUUUGCUUGAAUUUGGUUCGUUGGAGUCGCCACCUAGUAAUUUAUUGAAGGCUACUAGGAAACCGGAUGUACUGGUCUGUCAGAGAUCGCGGGUAAGGAACUGGUUUGGGAUCUGUGGGUGCUGUUGCCGGGCUGCUAUCGGGCGGCUCUGAUCCGGCCUUGGUGAGCUGGCCGGCUGGCAGUGAAGGAGAUCACCUGCGGCUGCUGGGACCGAAGGAGAAGAAGGAGCUGCUGAGGGGAAAGCUGGGAGACGAUGGUUGUCGUUGAAUUAGGAGAGACGAGACAGAUUUGGGAGCCGUUGUGGGCACGAUGACGGUCGGUCUGUGAUGGGAAAAUGGAGAAGGGCUGGAGGUUUAUUUGUGGCAGGGAAGAGGUGGUCGGCGGGAGGAGAUGAAGGGGACACAACUGUUGGGAAAGAGGGGCUGUAUUGGCCAGUUGCUGAGGGGAAAACGAAAUUCCAACCGGCUCCGGGCUGCUGUUUAGCCGGUUGAGGGGGAAGAAAAACAAAGGGUGGGGGCUGCUGUGUUUGGCUCCGGGUGAGGGAGAAGAGAAAAAAUGAGCGGUUGUUUGGCCGGUGGAGGGGCGCGUCCGGCUGGCCUUGGUUUGGGAAACGAAGCUUUGGCCGGGCUGUGGUGGAAAACAAUUCAAGCCAGGGGAGGGCCUGUUUGGCUGCUGUCGAAAGAAGAGAAAAAAGGGCGGGGGCGGCUGUGUCUUUGUUUUUUAGGGUUUCUGUUUUUUCUUUGUAUUUUCUCUUGUUUCAAAAUUAACCCCCCUCUUUUGUGUGAGUUAAAGACCAAUAUUUAUAGGCAAAAUGUUGCUAGGUUUUUCAACUUGGUCCCUCAACUUCUUUCUUUUUUUCUUUUUGUAAAUUUUGAUUUUUUUUUUUUUUUUGAAUUUUUUGAAAACGAGCAAUAUCAAUGUCGACUCAAUGAGGAAAAUCAAUGAUUUUAAAAAUGACGCGUGAAAAGUCGCACACGUUUGAAAAUUUAAUUUUUUUUUUAAACGACGCUGAAAAUGCUAAAAUGACGAGAAUAUAUUAAAAAACAUAUUUUUUUGGAUUUUCAUUGUUUUUCUCUAUUUUUGGAUUUUUUUUGAAAAUAUAUCAAAAACAUGGGUCAAAAAUUGGGUAGUAACACUCAUGAUGAUAAACCGAGGGAGUCAGCAAUAGGGCGGCAACCCGCUGUUGUGGCAGGGCAGCCAGCCUUCAUCCCCAGGCGCUGCCAUAGGCGGCAAUAGGGACGCCCCCGCUCCCUUUGCCCUAUAAAUAUGACCAAGCACCAGCACACGGGGAAAAAAAAAGAGGGUGAGGAGAGAACGAGCCAAAGAGAGAAAUGAAAUAAAGAGAGAAAGGAAAGAGUAAGGGGAAGCUUGAAACCGGGAGGGAAGUUUUUUAAAACAAAACCGAGAGGACAAAGGGAUAAUCACGGGUAAACGAAACAUAGAAAGAAAAAAUGAAAAACCAGAGGAGAGGGGAAGAGGAAGAAAUCUCUCUCUCUCUCCGCCGCUUGAACAACAACAUCACUGCUUGGAGCCGCCGUUCGUGAGCCAUGACAGCGCCACUGCCUCCACCACAGCACCCCAAUGAAGCAGUCAGGACAGCAAAGCAUCGCCUCCUCCGCGCCAGGUAACUCUUCCUUCCUUGCCGCCUGUAUUUAAUUCUCGGCUUCAUUUCCUCCUGCAAAUAAUUCCCCUCCUUGUUUUUACCUUCCUGGGCCAGGCCGAUACCAGGCCGACCCAGUCCAGAAGAAGCAGAAUGAACUGUUGGGCCGAUAUCGGCCCAACCCCAUUUUGGGCUGAGAUCGGCCCAACCUUUUUGGGGAUGAGUCCGGCCCAGUUAUUUGGGCCGGCCUAGCCCAGCCCACCUAAUAUUAUAUAUUAUAUAUUAUAAUAUUUUAUAUUAUUUAUAUAUAUAUAAAAAAUAAAAAAACAAUCUGAAAAAAUCUUUGAUUUUUUUUUUAUUUUCCUGCAUAUUUUUAUCAAAAUUGCUUAAUAUUGGUUUGUAUUUUUAUACCGUAAAGAUACAAAUCCAGUAUUAAAAUACUCGAUUUUCGUUAAGACAUCAAAAAAACAUAAAAUUAAAAAACAAAAUUUAAAUGCAUACGGCCUAGUCUCUCCAAAUUAAAGAAAAAAAAUAAAUCAUCACAUCAUAUUUUCCUAUAACAAAAAAAUCAUAUAUUUUUUUACGCAUAAAACAAAAACAUUCAAAAAGGUUUUAGCAUGCACCUUGGCUUUAAUAACAAGUUUGUUAGAGCCAUGAGAACUCGACCAAUAUUUCAAAAAUUCUAAAAAUAUAUUUUUUGUCUUUUUUAGUAUCUGGGAUUACGAAUUUAUACGUAAAACAUAUUUCUGAUAUUAAAAAUAUGAUUUUUUUGUAUAGACGUUAGGACAGUUAGGAUUUUAUUCGAUAAGAUAAGGACCUUCUUAUUGAGGAAGACUUUUCUUGAAUCCUAGACGGACCAAUAGUUAAAUAACACCAUAGCUUUUUAUCAGACAAUCAAACAAUGCAGCUUACCUUAGGUAAGGCGUAUUUGGGGUGCUAAUACCUUCCCUUUACGCAACCAUUCCCCGUACCCGAUCUUUGAGACUAGUUAGGGUUCCUAGUGACCAAAAUACUAGGUGGCGACUUCCAUUCCAUUUUUCACUGAUAACAGACAAGAAUUUCUUGUCUCCCCAUAUUUGCUAGAUAUAGAUACAUAUUUUAGACUUGAAGUGGAAUAUUUCGCCGCGACACCAUACACGUGCGACAGUUGUCAUUAGAAUGCUCAGUCUCACUAGACUGUCUUAUUUGCAAAGUUUCUAUGUACUCCAUCCUCCCAGAAAGGUUGUUCAUUUGAUUGGACAUGUUACUCAUUUCCGUACGCAUAAGUUGUAAUUGUUCUUGAAUAUCUCUAAGAACAUUACUAGAGUUCGGGUCCAUGAUAGCUAUGACUUCUAGAUUGUGUACUAGACGAUCACUACGUAAAUGCAUGGAAAAAAUAAUCCUGAGACUGAGAUCACAAAAUAACACUUGCAAGUAAAACGUAAAAUAAAAUUAUAGCUAAUAAUAAAAUAAUAAUAAUAAAGAAAAUAAUUUUUUUAAAAAUAAUUUUAUUAUGAUUAUUAUUAUUAUCUUGGAAACUAAGUAAUGACAGAUUAAACCAGGAAAAUGCACACGCAUGCAAUGUAAGUCCUCUAAAUGCACACAAGUAAUCUAAACACAAUGUUUUAGUUUUCCCACUAAUUUAACCAAGCUCCAUAAUAAUUAAAAGGAUCAGAUCUUCAAUGGCUCAAAAUUAAGGUAAUUCAAUUUAAAAAUGGGCUAUGUAAUUUAGUUAUGGGCAAGCACAAAGAAUAAUAUUAAUGCUAAAUCUUGGUUAACAAGUGUAAACAUACCAGGAAUGAUGAUUUUCAAUAGGUAAAAAAUUCUGACUGGAUGAUGUGGCAAUUAAGGCUUACGUGGCAGCUGACAUGGCAGGCUAUGCUGGUAAGGCAGAUGAUGUUGCAGGAUACGCUGAAGUGGCUGGAACUGAUGUCGUGGCAGAUGACAUGGCAAGAACUGGUGAUGUGGCGGAUGACGCGGAUUCUCUAACGUGGUUGGGUUAAUUAUUUUACCAGCUUCUGUUUCUGUCUUCCCUACCUCCUUACUUCUUAUUGCUGGCAACGCAGUGUGACUGCUGAAGACGAGGACCACUGCAGUCUGUUGAGGGUGGUGGUUGCCGCCGGUCGGCUCUACUGCUCUGUCUGUUGCUCAUGGUGGUUGUCGAUGGUACUGUGCACGGUGCCAGCUGAAGCUCAAUCGCUGGUACCGAAGAGGACGACAAUGGCUGAGGCGCUACCUUUGCUGGGAGGAACCAUUAGUCGGUACUGGCAGUGAUAGGUUUGUGGGUGGCUGUGGCUGAUGGUUUUGUGCCGAUGGUUUGGCUGCUGAAGUCACAGGUCUGUUGUGGUUCUGUGGUCCUGUGGAGGCGCCGCUGAAUACGAUUUGAUGUAAUCUGUUGGUGGCAUGGGGAGUGGCCUUCUGUAGGAGAAUCUGUCGUCGUGGGUCUUGGUGUGACCAGCGUUGAGGUAGAGUUUCCAAUCGGCGUUGAUGCACACAAUUUUGAUGAUGAACAAUGAUUUUUUUUUUUUGUAAUCAACACAGUAGGUGUUUUUUUUUUUUUUGAAUAGUUAAUGAAUUUUUUUUUUUUUAGAUCAAACCAAAUCUAGGGUUUAGCAUAAACAUUGUGGGUCGUUUAAUUGUAAGAACAAUUAAAACCCUAGCUCUGACAUUAAAUUUGAUGCGGGACAAUAAAUAAUAAAAUUAAAGCAAAAAAAGAAAGAAGCUUUUAGAACAAGAAAGAAGCUAAAGAAGAGAAGAAAGGGGGUUAGAGAUAUGCAAAGUCUGAAAUAUUUUCAUUAAUCAUCCAAAAUUGUCUCUCAAGAUAACAGAGGAACAUAUAAUAGUAAACCCUAAAACAUCCCGCUAUUGGGCUUGGGCCAUCAAAUCAAACUUUUACCAUAAAUAAUAAAAAAACAAUGAGCAGACCCAAAUAAGCUAAAUAAAUAAAAUAGCAAUGAAAUAGACCCAAAUAGGCUUAGUCUCCCAACCAAAACGUGACAGGCUGAACCAUCCUACGUCACCUACAUCCAUAUACUCAUACAACUUGUGGUGUGGGUCUGGUGUCCCACCAUAUUCUUUUGCACCCAUCAAAAGAUAAUACUUUAAACUCUUUAAAAGAAAAAUGGAUGCUGGCAGUUGUCUUAUUGAAGUUUCACUUACAUCGAACUCCUCCAAACUUCCAACUUUCCCCAAAUUCUUCCAAUUUUUAAGUUCAGAGCAGCCAGACAGAUUGAGUUUUUUAAGGGAUUUCAAACAACUUAUACUACUCGGAAUGCUUUCAAGGUUCUUAUAGUUGUUCAUGCUCAAUAGACCUAAGCCAAUCAAAUGAUGAAUCGAUGAAGAUAUUUUAGUAAUACCAGCCUCAUCAAACAGUUCAUGUUUCCUACUACAUCUAGAAACUUCUCAAGUUUUGAGCAACCAUUGUUGUAACCCAAUUUUUGAUUCACUAAGAUUUUCUUGAAUGUUAUUUUAUUUAUAUUAUUUUUCAUAAAAAUCCAGAAAAUAAAAAAAAAAGUUUAAAAUUCAAAAUAUAUUUUUCUCGAGUCAACUGCAUCUUUCCAUAAAAAUCGAUUUCACCGGGUCAAACCAUGUCGACCAGGGUAAAAAAUUAGUUUUCAUGACGUUUCGGCUCAAAACCGUAAUUUUUUAUCAAAACCGAGUCCACCGGGUCAAUACGAAUCAAACAAGUCGACCAGUGUAAAAAGUGAGUUUUUGUGACGUUUCGGGUCAAAACCGUCAUUUUUAGUCAAAACCGUCAAUUUUCAUAAAAAACCGAUUUCACCAGGUCAAUAUGGGUCAAACCAUGUCAAGCAGGGUAAAAAAUGAGUUUUCAUGACGUUUCGGGUCAAAACCGUUAUUUUCGGUCAAAACCGUUAUUUUCGGUCAAAACCGUCAUUUUCGGUCAAAAACCAGUUCACCAGUUUGAUACCCAUCAAAUGUUUUUUUUGUAUUUCAAUAUAACUUUCGGUAAUUAAAAUUGGUUUUAAAUGGUUGAAACAGGCUUUUCUAAUACUGAUUUGAGUUUUUAGUUUUACCCAUUUAAUAUUUAUUAUUAUAUAUAAUAAAACAAAAUUAAUAAUGCAAAUUUCUUUUGUCAUAGCAGGCAGGGCAGUUGUGCCGACAGUUUUUUUUCUUACAAUCAGAUAAUGAUAAGAUUUUAUGUCCCCUGCUCAUUGGCUAUAAAUAGCGAGUGAAAAUUCGCUAGAAAAGAGAAGAAAAGAGAGGAGGAUGAAAAAAGAAAGAAAGAAAAGAUAGCAUCACUGUUUGAAUUUUUUUUAGUUUUUCUUCGCGAGAUUAAGAUAUUGUUUUUUAUUAAAAACAAUUUGAAAAAAUACCAAAAAUAUCAUAACCGUUCGAUUAAUCGUGUUAGUUCUGGACCUUUGAUUUAAUAGGAUACAAAAGGGCUCACUACACUACAUUAAAACCCAAACCCAUCUUAGCCUUUGAAAUAAUCUGCCCUUUGAUCCCGUUGUGCCACGUCACUCGGUGUAUCGAGCUUUCGGUGCACUGCGCCACACCAGAACAAGCCAAUCACUGUCGAACGAUUGUUUCAUCCGAGAUCCAACGGCUCACAGCCUUCAGCUGCACCAGCGUACCAUGCUAGCAUUCACACCGUAGCAAAACCUCAAAGCCUCUCUCUCCUCUCGCCGGCAACUCCCUCUCUCUCAUUCGAUCUCCCAUUUCCGGUCGUCUUAAGCCUUCGAACCACCAUAGAACGGUUAAUAGCCUCCUAUGAAGCAAACCCCCGGCUAUUUUUAGCGUUUUCGCCGCCUCAUCUGGCCGAAAAAAGGUCGCGAUCUUCGUCGGCCACCGACACUUCAAGUCGACCAUUCUCCCUCGUCAGCCAUCAACGACCAUUGAGACCACCAUUAUCAGAAUCCUCUACCUCAGAUCUACCAUAAUCGACCAUUCGUUGGCCAGAAAGCUCGCCAGAAAAUUUCACAGCUGCCAACAGUAACUGCGCGUGAGCCACACGUGCCGCUAGUGGCAUUUUCGUAAAUUUUUGAGAAAUCUGAGGGUAUUUCAGUCUUUUACCUAUACAGUGGCACUCAGGUAAUUUUUUUUGGAUUUCUAACAUUUUUUUAUUUUGUAUAUAAAUUUUCUUGCAUGUAAAAAAAACAAAAAUAAAACCAAAAACAAGUAUAAAAGGAAUAACGACGCGGGUCCAACACCUAUCUUAUCAUGUUAUUGUUCGUGGGUCCAAAGCCCAAUUCUCGAAUAUGGUUAUACCUAUUUCUCAACGAUAUCAAAAUAUUUUUUGUUUUAUAAAUGAAUAUUAUUUGUCGACACGUCUUUUUUUACAGAAAAGGACCGAUGUCAAAAGUUUAAAUACCAAAUAUGGAUUAUGUCCAUAAUUGUUUUGGUAACUCAGACGUACUUCUCCUUUUUAGGGUUAAACAUCACUAUUUUAGACAAGUCUCCUAUUUUUAGGGGCUGAUGUCAUCCAUUUUUUGAUGCAUCUCCUACGAAUAUUGUCUUUCAACAUGUCUCUUUUUACAGAAAAGGACCGAUGUCAAGGGUAUUUAUACCAAAUAUGGAUUAUGUCCAUUAUUUCCUUUUGGUAACUCAUACGUAAAUCUCCCUUUUAGGGAUAAACGUCGAUAUUUUAGACGAGUCUCCUAUUUUUAGGGAUUGAUGUCAUUUUUAACGUGUCUCCUAUUUUUAGGGACCGACGUUAACCAUUUUAAAAAAACAAAAUUGCAAAUAAGCUCGAAAUAUAAUAUCAUUUGAAACAAAUAGAAAACACACAAGUAAGGGUAACCUUUCUCUUGAAAGGAUGUUUUAAGGGUGGUGUCUACCUUCCCUUAAUCAUAACUAACCAGUACCCGAAUCUCUGAGACCAGUGUCUAAUUUGGGAUUUCUAGUUCCCUCAUAUUACUAGAUGCCGACACCAAUAAAAUCUUCAUUUCCCCCAAAUCAAAAAAAAAUCUUUUUGUUAAAUAAACAAAAAAGUGGAGCCGUCGUCCGACGUCGUGUAUCGACAUUUAUUAUUGUGGUAAUAUUAUUGUUAUAACAAUUAUUUUUUAAAAUAUUUUUUAUUUAAAAAUACAUUGAAAUAAUAUUUUUUAAUUUUUUAAAAAUUAUUUUUGAUAUCAAUACAUUAAAAUAAUAAUAAAAAAACUUAAUUUAAAAAAAAAAAAUAAACUUAAUUUUUUAAAAAAUAUUUUUAAUAUAUAAAAACAAAGAGACAAUCUACCCGACAACCUUCAAAUCAUUAGGAAAGGCGGCAUCUUUAAUUUGUUACUUUUACGUAAAAAGUGUUAGUUUUUUCCUUCUCGAAAACAGAAAACCACCUUCGAUGUGCAACGCAACAUUUCAUGCCCCAAGUCAGCUAGCUGCUGUCAAAACCCUGAAAUAUUGGAAAUUAAAGUUUGCUGGUAGUAAUUUUUGGUUCUAUCUUUGGUGAACACCUUGGAUUCAAUUUGCCAAAUUCUCAGUUAUUCUUGAAUUAAUAUAAAUUUUGCAACUCAAGAUAAUUUUUUAUUUUUUUUUACAAAGACUUAUUUUUCAAGUUGAUACAAUGAAUGAAUUAAAGAGUUUUUCAAUUUUCCUUCUUUUGAAAAUGAUUUGUAAACAAGCUGAAUGUUUUUUUCUUCCUCUAUAUUUGUGGUUGGAUUGCUCGAAGUUCACUCACUAUUUUUAAAUUCAAUAAAAAAUGGUGUUUGAUUAUUAUUAUUUUAAAAUAAAAAAAUAAAAACAACAAAAACAGAGAAAAUGUAUGUACAUAUAAUUUAUGUUUUGGAUUUUAUAUAUUUCCUUUUAUUUUUUAGUUAAAUAUAUUUUUCUUUUUUUUACUAAACAAACACAACAUACAUGUAAAUAUAAAUUCAAAAUAUCUUUACUCUAAUAAAAAAAAUUAAUUUAGUAACAAUUGUUAUUAUAAGCCUACAAAUUGUCGCUUCGGUAGGCAUGCUUUUCUAUGUAUUUCUUUAUUAAUUAAUAAACUUCUAUACUUUUCUCUUAGAUGCACCAACAAUUUUUAUUAUUAAUAGCUUUAUAUUUACAACUAUAUAAACACACAAAUUGUCGUUUGUAACUGGUUUGAGACAAGAAUAAUAAAAUUUAAUUCUACAUUCCUAAUUAUGCUCUGCAAAUUACAAACAAUAAACAUUAAUAAAAUUAUAUGCCAAAAUUAUUUUUCUUUGUUAUUUCAAAUUGGCCCAACUUUCUCUUAAGAAUCAAAUUUUGAGAAAUAGUGGUGGAUUUUGUCCAAGAGGGUAUGUGAGUGUAGCUGAGGCAUUGUCAUCAACAGAUGUUGAAGAUAAUGUGUCUGGUGCGGAUGAAUUGCUGCCAGAAAUGAGGAAAGAAGAGGAGAAAGAGGAGCACUUUAGGAGGAGGAGGCUACAUGCUAACCCUGGAAUAGGGUCAAGGAAGCAUAGGGUCUUAAGGAGAAGGCAAGUGAAGAUUGAGGCGAAGCAUGGGAACUGACAACGAAAGAAUAUAAGGAGCUUUUGAAGGAUAUGUGUGAGCAUAGAGUUGGCUCCUAAUUUGCCCAUAUAUGAAGAAGUUUGUUCCUUGGUUGGUUUUGAGCCUUUUACAGACACAAUUGCGAAAAGAGCAGGAGUUGAUUAGAACGGGGAAGAGUAGGCAAGGUUAUGCUCCGUAUUUUGAUCUGUUGCCAGCUGACAAGAUGUCUGUUAUUGCAAUGCAUCAACUCGCAGAAAUGGUAAUGACAGGUGGGGAACAUGGAUGUGCAAGAGUUGUGACUGCUGCUUGUAUGAUUGGUGAUGCAAUUGAGCAGGAGGUAAGUAAUUUUUAAUGUUUUAUUUGCUUAUUUUUACUUGCGGUUUGAUUUGUAGACAGAGGAUAAUGAGUGCCCGUAUAAAAGUAUUGAAAGAUAAGGGAAAACAUAAAGUUUCUUAAAUUUACUUUUAGACAACCUUCAUCUGAGGUGAUGAACUAGGAAGAAAGAUGAAAGUUACUAUGUACACAGGGGCGGAGCUAGGAUUAUUUGUUAGGGGAGGCCAUAAUUAAUAUAAUAAAAUAUAAUAUUUAUUUUAAUUUAUUAUAUAUGAGUUGUAAAAAAAGCAUGUAUAAUUUAGUUUUAUUUAAAUAACUUACUACAAAUAUAUAAUGAUCUUUGUAUAAAGUAAAAGGUUCGUAACAAUAUCAAAUUGAGUUAAAAGCAACGAAGUUAAUUUCAUCUUCAUAAUAUGUUCAUCACUUUAAUGUUGUUAGUCUUUAUAUCUAACAAAUAUAAUUAUACAAAGUAUAUAAGAAACAUUACCUAAAGCGAAGUAUUAUUUAUGUUCGAUAAACUUUGAAAUAAAGCAAAAAAAUAAUAAAGAAUGAUUCUCACUAAUCAACACGGGUUCUUUGUAAAUUGAAGUGCAUUGGAGUUGCUCAACUAUAACUUUAACAUUACACACUGGAGUUGGUUCACUAGGUUGCAAGUUAUCAAUAUUUUUUUUCAAAAAAAAAAAUCAAAUUCUUUUUAUUUUAUUCAUGGUUCAACCUAAAAUCAAAACAUAUAUCGUGAGAAAAAAUUGAUAAUUUGGAUGGCUCUGCUAAAAACAAAACAUAAAAAAAUCCAAGUAUAAUCAAAACAAACCAAUAAAAAAUAUAUAAUUAAUUAGAAAAAAAAAGCAUUAUAACAAGAAUUCAAAAAACAAUUGGUAAAACUAACAAAUCUAAGAAAAAAAAUAAAGAGAAAAUGGUAGAAUUAUAUAUAAAAAAACACCUAUCAAAUUAUUAACAAACAUCUCAAAACAAAACAAAAUAGAUUUUAAAAUUAAGUUACCUUGUUUUAUUUGAUGAAAAAUAAAUUAAUUGAUGGCUCUGCUUCAAUAUUUUCAUUGAAAAUUUUUACUUGUGAUUUAUAUUUAUAUUUUUGUUUUUGACCUGCUGCAAAAUUUAUUGUGCAAAGUAAUGAUUUUAUAUUUACUGUAUUUAUAUUAGAGCUGCGCAAAUUAAUUCAAAAAAAAUCAAGUUGAAAAAUCACACUUAAUUACGGUAAGAAAACUCACAUUUGUAGAAUAAAAAACCUCCUCCACACUUUAUAUAUAUAAUAUAUAUAUAUAUAACCUAGUAUGGUUUUGGAAAGACAACGUCUUGGUUUUGUUUUAUCUCACGUCUUACAUUUUGUACAUAAUGCUCAUAUGGCACUAAGUCAGGAGAUGCAUUAGUAUUAUCAACAGGGGCGAAGAUGCAUUAUAUAUGCAAGCAUGGAUGGAAGUAGAGGGGGGGCCCGGGCCCCUGCUUGCCCCCCCUUCCCUCCGCCCCUGUAUGUACAAUUAUGAGAUAAAAAUCAGCUAUGGAGCUAGUAGUGCCUGGAAAAUUAGAUUUUGAAGUUACGUUCCGUAAAGUUUUGUCGAAUGUUGAAUGGGGUUUUUCUGGAUAUCUUUUUUAUAUAUCUAUAGUUUUUACUUUCAGUCCAAGUUCUUCUGCUGUUCAUGGUUCCAGGGAGGACACUAAAUGUAGGUACGAAAAACAAUGCAGUGUAAGAUCCUUUAGAUAGUAAGUUUUUACAAUUUUUUAUUAUGUGUUAAACUUUUCAUAUCACGGGCCUUAUUAAGCUGAAUAUUCUAUUAAGCCUUUCUUUUUUGAGCUACAAUUUCUUCAAAGCAUGGGCAUGGUGGACUCAGCUGUGAGGAAGAUUGUGAAGGGGAAGGAUGAUUCAAAACCAUGGAAUGCAGAUGCUAGGGUUAAGGUUUGUGUGCUUAUAAUCAUUGAUAAAGGCUAAUUUUCUUGAACAGAUGUAUCAUGUAAGAAAUUGAUUUCUGUCCUUGCACUUUGCAGGUUGGAAGCCGUCUAAUUGAAUUGCUGUUACAAACAGCUUAUAUACAGCCUCCCUGUGAUCAGUUAGCUGAUAGUCCAUCUGAACCUCGACCUGGAUUUGUACAUACAUUCAGAACUGUGUCAAACGAAAAUAAGUAUGGAGUCAUUCUUUAAUUUAUCUUUUCUUCCUUGUAAUUGCUCCUAACUGAUGCACAAUGGCCUUUUCUUAAACAGGGAGGGCGCAAAAAAAUAUGGUGUUAUUCAAUGUGACCCAUUAGUCCUCAAAGGCCUAGAGAAAACUGUGAGUAACCCUAUCAUAUCUAGUUUUCAUAUUUUAUCAUCCUUUAUGACAUGAACUUGUGUCGGGUGCCAUAUACUUUCAAAGCAGAUAGGUUAGUUUCUAGAUUUUAGAGCUGAAACAGAUAAGAUUUGCAGGCAAUUUCCAUAGUGCCUCUUAAGCUGCAGAUGUUUUUCUUUCAUUCUUUUUUCUUGCACAAGCAGCAACGUGAAGCAGUUAAGAGGGCACCUAGGAAGCAGCUACAAGCAGUUUUUGAGGUCUGUACAUAUUAGAUGCAUUGCAUGGUUACUGAUGCAUAUUGUAUUGUUUAGACUAAAUCAUAUUUUGGUACUAAGAUGUGAUGUUCUUUGAACAAAAUCUCAUACUGAUAAUUUUGUAUACCUUCACAUGUGUAGAUUUUACCAGCUUAGCUUCUGGUUUAACAAGGAUUCUCUUUUGUUUGAAUUAAUUUUCCAGGCCCUGGAUACACUAGGGAAUACCAAAUGGAGUGUAAAUAAGAGGGUACUUAGUGUUGUUGAUAGAAUAUGGAGUAAUGGAGGCUGUCUUGCUGAUUUGGUAAACCACAGUGAUGUGAGUAUCUUUUCUAACUUUCCUCAAUGUAACUCGUGCUUUUUUUUGUAGAAACUCCUUUACCUUUAUGUUCCAAGAAUUGAUCAUGAUUACUAUAGCAAUUAAAAAACCUUUCUUGUUUAAUUUCUUCAUUCUGGUUUCCUUUACCUGAGAGGCCAGAAACAGAGUUUCUUAAUUUUCCUUCUUUUGGAAAUGAUUUGUAAAAAAACUGUGUUUGGAUUGCUCCAAGUUCACUUAUUUUUUUAAAAUUCAAUAAAAAAAGACAGAAAAUAUAUCACAAUAUAAUUUAUGUUUUGAAUUCUAUAAUUUUCUUUUUAUCUUUUUUAUAUUUAAAAUACUAAACAAACACAACAUACAUGUAAAGAGAAGCCAUCGCCGGACGUCGUGCAUGGACAACCAUUAAGAGUGAAAACUUUAAGCGAUUCCAUUUCAAGGUUGCUUGGGAGAAUCCUAAUACUUUCGCAAUUCACAAGAUUCACAUAUUGAAGAUUCUUCUGACUUCCAAGUGAUGGAUGGACCUCAAACAAACUUGUACAACCUUCAAGAAUCAGACUCUCGAGAUUUGAAAUUCCAGUAAGAUCUAGAGUACUGGACAGUUUAGUGAGUUGCUGAGAUUGAUGAUUUUCAAAUUAACUGCACUCUGCAAUCAGGCAGGAGAGAAGAAAUGUGGAUGCUACUAUCAUACAUACAUAGAAAAACAAUAAAAAGAAAUACAAAGGCCCUUAAAUUAAUUGAUCUCACCUUAUACUCAUACCAUAAUUGAUCAAUACUACUAUUAGCCAUGUGAAGUUCAACUAGCUCAUCCACCUAUAAACUAGCUGGCAACGAUUUUGAAGGGUAAGAAUGCCAUGCAAGAAAUCACAACUUAUUGGAAAGAUCUUCAGGUCCUUUAGAAAGCUGCACGUUGUCGACUUUGAGCAAUCUUAGUCUGCUCAUUUUAGAGAAGGCUUCCAUGUUCCAUUGUGACUCUUUUAUUCCAGGCAUGUCUAAGAAAAUGGCUUCUAUUUUUUCUUUUCUCUGUCAACCAAAAGGGGAAUAUAUGUAAAAAAAUCAAAUACAAAGUAGAGAUGGAGCAUUAUGAAAUAAACAUUAUGAAAUCUUAUGGAUAAUGUUCUCUAUCAGCUACCCAUUAAAAAUACUAUUAUUUAUAUUAUAAAUAUUAUUACCCCAAACCAAAACCAUGUGCAAAAACAAGGACCACUACUAGCAUGAUUAAAAUCCUUGCUAUGUUUUUUCCCUCGUGUUCGCUGCUUUGAUGAACAUGCAAACAAGAAGGAAGAUCACAUGAUGUCUUGCAAUCACUGCUCACUGUACUUUGAUGGUAAUUAACAAGGGAAAAAAAUCAAGAGCUGAUAAGAAAUUAGAUCCAUGGAAAACUGACGAAGAUCUUCAAGCUAAAGCAAGUUAGAUUCCUAACCAAAACUCAUACUGCUGCUCCAGCUGCUCAAGCCGCUGCUCCCCAAGCCGCUGCUAAUCAAGCCGAUGCUCCCGCGCCAGCGGAUGCUGAUCAAGCCGCUUCUCCAGCGCCAGCCGCUGCCCCCGCACCAGCCGCUGCUCUCUCGCCGCUGCCUCUCCCGCUCCCGCUGCGGCCCAGCUCCCGCAGCCUCCGCCACUCCCGCAGCCGCUGCUUCCGCAGCUGCUCGCAAUUCUGGAUCCAAUGGAUCCGCUCCUCGAGCAGCUGGAGCCAUCCCUGCCGCCGCUCCUCGAGCAGCUGGAGCCAUCCCUGCCGCCGCUCCUCGAGCAGCUGGAGAUGCUGGAUUCGCUGCUGCUGCUGGUGGAGCUGGAGCUGGUGGUGCUCGAUCUGCCGCUGGAUACACUCGAUCUGCCGCUGCUGCGUUGCUGGAGCUCCUAUGCCGCUAAGAGUGAGAAGGAGAAGUCAGAAGUGCUCUGUGUGUGUGUAUAUAUGGCUUGGCAUAAUGGGAAUUUUUUCAAACUUUCAAAUUAUUAAUGCAUUUUGGGAAGGAGUGAACAGUAUCCCUCCAGACCCAAAUGAAUAAAAGAAAUUUAUAUCUUUCGGUUCAAGUAAAAUUGUCAUAAAAAAUAGAUUAGAUAAAAAUCACGUGAAAAUUAAACAUUCUUUUUCCCAUUAAACUAUACAUGGAAUUAAUUAUUGUUAUUUUAAAAUUCAAAUAGUAUAAAGUUUAAAUUUUUCAAUUAUGAAAUGAAUAAUUUACUAUAUAAUUUAAAACUCAUGUAAGUAUUUAACAAUUCAUGACUUUCAAAAAUAUAUUUCCUAAUGGUCAUAAAAAUAAAUAGAUUAGAUUUGUUAACAUUAAGUUCUGAAAGCAACACUAAAUAGAUUAGAUUUGUUUCGUUUAUUACCUUUUCAAUGAUCUCGUUCCAGAUGAUAUCUCAACUGCACUCAGAAUAUUCAUCCAUCUUUGUACCUUCUCCUUGUUUUCCCUGAAAUUAUCUUCAUUCUUAUCAAAGACAAUUGUGUAACUCUCUGUUUGAUCAUCUAUCUUUGAUUCUUCGACAUCAUAAGAAACUGGAAACACAGUGUCCGAUCUCAUCUCAUCCAUGAAUCCGACAAUCUUGACAAGCUCUUCAAAGCACCAAGGUAAAGAAGCACAAUCUCUUGAAAAUAUAAUAAUUGACAGCACUGAUUCUUCAAUGGCCUCAAAGAGUCUUGAUCUAAUUGCCAUUACUUUCUCUGGUUCCUUCUCGACUCGCAUAAUGAAUCUCGGGGCUAGAUCUGCGACUUUGGUGAUAGGGAAGACAUUGGCCAUCCAUUGAUGGUACGACGAAGAAAAAGCUAAAGAAGCUUUAUAUGAAGAAGCUGCUUCUUCGCUUGUAACGAUAAAAUGGGCAGAUGAUUGUGAUGUAAUAUAUAGAGAAGAUAACAAACAGACACCACAAUUCUUCACCUUUACUUGUUCCUUGCAAGAAUGAAAUGACAACUCAAUGUUGCUAAAGGAUCCAUGCUUCCAUUCUUUAAGCUCUUUAAGGUAAUCAAAAGAUAGAUAGAAUAACCAAAGAUGAUCUGACAGAAGUUGGAUAGAGUUACAACUAAUACACAUCGGCAAAGGAUAAUUUUCUCUCCCAUUGGCUUUGAAAUGACAAGAAAGAGAAGGACUUUCACCAUUUGCAUUGAAUGCAACACAAGCAGCAAACCCCAUGCUCCAACUAGGCACUUGCACACUAAUUGAAGAUCCCUUACUUUGAUGGUUAAACCAGCCUGGAAUUUCAUUUCCAGGAACAGCAAUACCAAAUCCAGUUCUUGGAUUAGACAAACCCUGUACCAUAAAGAACCAAAAUGUUAGAUAGAUAGAGGCAGAGGGAGAGAGAGAAAAAAAAAGUUGGGGUAUGAUUAAGAGAAGACCUCGAGGUAUCUUUCAAGCAUGGUCACCCCCAUGCUGUCUUGGCCAUUAUGAUUGUACAAUUCCCAGCAGUUAAGACAUAUGAACUCUAAUCUUUUGGAACUACUUAGCUUUAUCGGAUCUGGAAUUGUUUUUAGGCUUAUACAACCAUUCAGAUUUACUGUUUGAACUUUAGAUGGAACCUCAAGCAAAGAUUCAAGCAUCGUGCAAUCCUCUAGGACAAGCAUUUCCAGCUCAAAAAGUUGAUUUAUGCUUUGAGGCAGGCUAACAAAGUUAUUUUGGCUCAGAUCUAAAGACUUCAAUGAAGAUAAGAAGCCAAUAUCUACAGGAAGUGCCCCUUCUCUUAGAUUGCAAGCGCAUAAACUUAGUACUUCUAAAUAACUCAGACCAGGCAAAGAAGGCAGCACAUCUAUUCUUUUGCAUCCAUCCAAAGAUAAUACUUUAUGUUUCUUUAAAAGAAAAACGGAUGCUGGCAGUUGUCUUAUUGAAGUUCCACUUACAUCAAACUCCUCCAAACUUUCAACUUUCCCCAAAUUCUCUGGUAUAUAUUUAAGUUCAGAGCAGCCAGACAGAUCAAGUUUUUUAAGGGAUUUCAAACAACCUAUGCUACUGGGAAUGCUUACAAGGUUCUUGCAGCUGUUCAUGCUCAAUAGACCUAAGCCAAUCAAAUAAUGAAUUGAUGAAGAUAGUUUUGUAAUACCAGUCUCAUCCAAACGUAGCACCAUCAAAUAGUUCAUGUUUCCUACUAUAUCUGGAAACUUUUCAAGUUUUGAGCAGCCAUCAAGAGUGAAAACUUUAAGUGAUUCCAUUUCUAGAUUGUUUGGGAGAAUCCUAAUACUUUUGCAAUUCACAAGAUUCACAUAUUGAAGCUUCUUGUGAUGUGAAAGUGAUGGAUGGACGUCAGACAAACUUCUACAACCUUCAAGAAUUAGACUCUCGAGAUUCGGAAUUCCAGUAAGAUCUGGAGUCCUGGACAGUUUUAGUGAGUUGCUGAGAUUGAUGAUUUUCAAAUUAACUGCACUCUGCAAUCAGGCAGGGGAGAAGACAUAUGGAUACUUCUAUCAUAUAUAAAUAGGAAAACGAUAAAAAAAAAUAAAAAAAUAUAAAGGCCCUUAAAUUAGUUGAUCUCACCUUACACCCAUACCAUAAUUGAUCAAGAGUACCGUUAGCCAUGUGAAGUUCAACUAGCUCAUCUACCUGUAAACCAGCAGGCAAUGAUUUUGAAGGGUAAGGAUGCCAUUCAAGAAAUCACAACUUAUUGGAAAGAUCUUCAGGUCCUUCAGAAAGCUGCACGUUGUCGAUUUUGAGCAAUCUUAGUCUGCUCAUUUUAGAGAAGGCUUUCAUGUUCCAUUGUGCCUCUUUUAUUCCAGGCAUGUCCAAGAAAAUGGCUUCUGUUCUUUCAGUUCCCUGUCAACCAAAAAGGAAUACAAGUAAAAAAACAAAUACAAAGUAGAGAUAGAGCGUAAAUUAAAAUAAACUUUAUGAAAUCUUAUGGAUAAUGUUCUAUAUCAGCUACUCACUGUGUUGUCCAUCAGUGCAAGGCAGACAUCCUCGUAUGUCCACAAUCUACUGCGCCUUCCAGGCUCUUCAGGGGAUUCACAACGAACAAUUUCCUUACCCAUUAUCUGUAAUAAAUUAUGCAUCCAGACUUGAUCCCCAUAGAUACUUAUGAGAGAUCUCUCAAUAAGUACUGGUAUUCCAAUACCUGCAUGGAAUCCACGGCCGUCAAGUAUCCUUAUUAUUCGAUCUUUUUUAAACCCCUUCAGGAAACAUGCAAUGUCUAAAAAUAUUUUCUUCUCUAAUUCAUGGAGGCCAUUGAAACUAACGCGAAGCACAUCAAUAAUUUCACGGUUAGGAAUCUCAUUUAGUCUAUUAAUCGCACUUUCCCAUUCAAGGAUACUUCUUCCAUGCAUGAAUGAACCUAUAACUUCAAGAGCCAGUGGAAGGCCAUUAGCAUAACCCACGACUUGCUUGGAUAGUUCCAUGAAAUCUUCAGCAGGUUGGUCAUUUAUGAAAGCUUUCUGGCUAAACAACAUAAGAGCAUCAUCAUCAUUCAAUUUCUCAGCCUCAUAAAUUCUAGCAACACCAUUUCUAGUCAACACUUGUCUAUCUCUGCUUGUUAUGAUAAUUAUGCUCCCUAGACCAAACCAUUUACUCUCCGCAGCCAGGGAUUCUAGUUGUUUAUGGUCAUCUACAUCAUCAAUAACAACAAGAAUCUUUUUACGUUGUAACCUCCGCUUUAUCAUUUCAAUUCCUCUAGAAGAAUCACAUAUAUUAGCACGUUCCAUUAAGAUUUCAGAAAGAAGUUGCUCCUGCAAACGGAGUCGUCCAUCUUUCUCAGCAAAAGCUUCUCUGACAUUUGCUAAGAAGCAGCUACCUUCAAAUUGCCAACGAAUCCUAUCAUAUACUACCCUUGCAACAGUCGUCUUACCUAUGCCACCCAUUCCACAAAUCCCUAUGAAGAUUGCUUCGCCAGUUUCUUCACCUAUAUAACCAUCUAAUACCUCUACACGAGAAUCCAUUCCAACCAAUUUUUUGCUAAUUGUUGAUAGAGUGAUUCUUAGUUUGUACGAUAUGUAUUCAGCAAUUAUUUGAAUUAAUUCUGAUUCAUUCCUGCAUAGGAGGGUGCAAAAUAUUAAUCAUCCAGUGUGCAGAAAUCAAAUCAGAUAGUGAUAAUGGGAAAAUAAACAUUAGCAUAUUGUAGCUCGAAAAUGUAUUGUUGUUAGCAAGAAAUUAAUACACCAAUGUUUGAGAAAGAUAGGGCCCUGAUAAUAGAUAGCUUCAAGAACAUAGAAGAAAAGGAAAGAAUAAACUGAAAAAGGAACUAGGAUUGUAUUGAUGCGAAGAAUGAUUCGUACAAUAGCUAUCUUAUUGCCUAUAGAAUCACACAGUUACUAAAUAAGCAUGCAUACAAGAACAAAAGCUAGGAAAUAAAAUAUCCAUUAAGUUUGGUUUUAACAGACCAAAAGUCAAAAGGAAUUCUAUCAUAUUUUUUGUCGACCACUAAGUUAUUUUUAUAAUUAUUUUUAACAAAAAUUUCAAUUAUCUUGCAUAAUUAUAUGCUUCUCAAGUGGUUGCGCAAAUUCAAUCCACGCACCUUGAGAUGCACUGAUAUCACAUAUGCUUCUCACAACUCAAAUUUUCACAACCCAUUUCUUCGUCUUUCUUCUCUAUUUAAUAUUUUAUUUGGUCUUUCAAUUUGUAUACAAUCUUAAUAUUAAUUUCAAUAUAAUGAUCAUUUCAUUAAUAUAAACUUAUUUUUAUUUAAGUUGGGCAAAAACAUAAAAAUAUUUUAGGCAAAAAUUAACUCGUUUUUAGCGAUUGCAUUUGAAAUAAAUAUUAACUUUAAUUCAUAUAUUUUUUGUGUGCAAAAGAAUAGAUGAAAUGAUCGUCAUAUUGGAACUAAAGUUAACUAAAUAUAAAAAUUGAGGGACCAAACCAACAAAAUAAAAAAGAAAUGAAGAUUUUUUUGACAUGUGAAGACCUGCAUGUGUCAAGUUGCGUAAGUUGAGACCUAUGCUAGUUUGAAAAAGUUUUUUCCCACCUAUUAGUAUUUUGAGAAAUAAUUUUUUUCAUGGGAAAAAAUUAAUAUAGCUUGUAUGUCAUACCUUAAAAACUGAACCAUAGAUGAUAAACUAUUAAAAUUACUAAUGAUAAGUUGCCACUUGUUGAAAACUUCACUUUAAUGUGUAGUUCUUUAACUAGAUUUUUGGCCUCAAGGGUUGGAUUAUAUUUUUUUAACCUUUUAAAAAUAUAAAUAUUUGAAAGUAAAAAAAUUCAACACAUGCUAGAAAAAACACUUUUAAAAUAUUAAGAUAAUAAUAUAUUGGAUGAUAUAUUUAUUUAAAAAUAUAAUUGUGACGACAACACACUAGAUCGACCUAGAGUAACUUUGGUUAACUUGGAAACUCGCGAUCCGAAACACAAAUCCAUGAAAACUACGUGGAACCAUAUCAAAAUAAAAUUGCGCCCGAUUUCAAUCAACCAAAUAUUUAAAUCUAAACAUAAAAACAUUAUUCAAUUAAAAAAGGAUUUUAAAAAAAAUAGCAGCUAAAUUUAACAAAGAAUGAGAAUAAAAGACUUAAGAUAACCCUGAUUAUUUUUAAAUUUAUUUAAAAUCUUAUAGAAGCAAAUAAAAAAAAUUAAUAGAGCUUAGUCUUUAAUUAAAUUAAAUAUUGAAUAAUGAAACUGGAAAAAAAAUGAGUUUUUUUUUUUAAAAAAAAAAAAAAACAAAGCUAGACAAAUCUCCUAAAUCUAGGUUAGUGUCUCAAAUUCUCAAUCCGUUAAAUCCUAAAUCCAGACUCAACCAAAAACUUAAUUCAAUGUUAAAGUAUGAAAUCAGAAAUAAUAUAUAUAUGCCAAAUAAAUAAUAAUAAAAAGAAUGAGAAUCAAAUCUAAUAGAUUAAAAAAUUUAAAAGUAUAAAAUUAACAACAAAUUUCAAUUCUAAAAAAUAAUUCAAAUAAAAAAAUAUCAAUUGAAAGAAAAUAAACCAAAUAUAUAGAAAGAAAAACUAGAUUUAAAGGUUACUAUACAAGUUUAGAAGGUCAGGUACGGAAUUCAAGUAUAAAGACAAAAGAAAAGAAAAGAAAGUUAUUUGGUGCCAAACCAUAAAGAAUUACUCCACACAUGCAACACAAAGAGGUAGGUCAUGUUAUGGUGAAUCAAAAAACAUCAAUGAAGGGCUUUUCAUGGGUGUCAUAAGCCAUUGCUCAUGCUGCUUAAAUAAGUAGUUUAUUGUUUUUAGAAGAAAAAUUAGUAAAUUCAUUGUUACAAUCCAUUAGUAAAAGAAAGACUGAUUAGUACUUAAAAGUGCAUGUUUAUCAAGGGUUUAUAUCAUCAUUUUGCACUUAAAGUAUCAAUAACUCCUUAACUAAAGCAUGUUUUAUAAUAACAAGUCUAAUAUUAUAAAUUACCCUAAUAUAUGGUAAAUGUUCAUCUUAAAUGCAGGCAUAUCACAUAAAUCAAAGGAUUGAUUGAUGAAUUCAACUACUGAAAUUUUGAAGAUAAAGAAGGGUGAAGCUUAGAAAAGAGAUGUUGGUGCAGUCCAAACUGGAACACUGUUCGGUAAUUGGGUCAUAUCUCGAGUUCUAGAUAUCCAAAUGAUCUGAAAUUUUUACAGAGAUUUGAUAAGACAUAGGCCUACAACUUUCAUUUGGACAUCAAGAUCUAAGAAGGCCGUUUUCAAGUCCAAAUAAUAGCAACAACGGAGAAGUCCGAAGCUGUCCUGCAGCCCAAACACUAUUCAGUGUUCAGCCCAUAUCUUGAGUUCUAGAAGUCCAAAUGACCUCAUCUUUUUUUUUUUCUGGAAAGCUAAGAGAAUUUCGCAGAACUUUCAUUUGGACAUCUGGACCCAGUUCUGAUGCUAGCAUUUUUGUUUUAUUUAGACAAGAUGAUAAGGAUUUUCACUAAGUCAAAAGUUGGCCACCCACUCAACAAUGAGUCAUCAAAGCAAUAAUUCCGAAUUUUGGCCUAUAAAAGGAGGCAUUUGCCAUGUAUUUAGGGGCUUGGUUGUUCAGAUCAAGUUCAUGCUCUUUAUUUCUCUCUUUAUAUUUUUUGUAAUUCUUAAGUUUGCUUUCAUUAAUUUCUUGUUUAUGCUUUUCAUUUCCUUUCCUUUCCUUAGUUAACUUGUAUUUUAUUUAUGUUCUUGUUUUGUUUAUUUAUGUUUCUCUUCUUCUUUAUGUUUGGCUAAGUUUAUUAUGUCAAGGUGAAAAGGUUACACUAAUGGUGUAAGAACAAGUAUGGUGUAAACUCAAUAUGGACCUUAAUGUUUAAUAUUAACAUGUCUUAUCUUUUUAUCUUACUAAUUCUUAAUACCUUGCUUGUUAAAUGGUUAAUCUAAAUUUGUGUUGUAUAAUACUUGGUACAACAAAUGCUUGGCACUCUCAUAACCCAACCGUAUGGUAUUACCUACACCUGGGGCUAUGAAAGGUACUUGAUUUGUUGUUAACAUCAAUUAACAUCAUGAAUUCGUGAUAAUAUUUAAAAGUUUGGUGUUAUGUAAAUGAGAUAAUUAAUAUGAUCAUGUUGAUAAUUUAUAAUGAGCUAUUAAUGACAAAUCAUCCGAAUGGAACCUCCUUCGUGUGUGGUUUCCAAAUUGAGUAAUAAGAGUUUAUACUAUACUUGUUUGAAAUACCAUUGGUGGAUCCUCUAACCUUGACAUUUAUUUUUAUCAUUGUUUAAUCCUUACAUUAAUCUUCCAUCUCAAAGUUCUCAUUAAUUUCUUCCUCCUCUUCUUUUUAUUGUUAUUAUUAUUACUACUAAUAUUAUUAUUAUUAUUAUUAUUAUUAUUAUUAUUAUUUACAUUUUUGUUAUAUUUUAUGUAUGUUAAGUAUGCUCUGUGUUUGAUCAAGGAUCCUGACAUUGUUGGUCUUGCCUUGUUCAUUCACAUCAGAAAUCUGUUUAUAUUAUAUAAUAUAUCUCUUUGAUCUUUCCAUAAACUCAGUAUAUAGGCUGGAAACCUGUGACCCGAUCUUUUAGAUCAUUCUCAGGUAUAACAACGCCACGUACUGAGUAUUAUUAUUAUUAUUAUUAUUAUUAUUACUAUUAAUAUUAUUAUUACUGUUAUUGUUAUUAUUAUUGUUGUUAUUUAUAAUUUAUACAAUUAACCUCUCUGUGGUUCGACCCCGGUCUUGCCGGGUUAUUUAUUACUUCGACACUCCUGCACUUGGGAGAAGACAUCAAUCUUUUGGUCGUGUCAAGUUUUUGGCACCGUUGCCGGGGAGGUAAUUUCUUGUACAAAUCAUAGUAUUUAUUUUGUUUUCUCUUUUCACUUUUCUUGUAUCUAACUUUGUUUUUCUUUUUUUUUUUUGUUUCUUUUUCUUUUGUUUUCUUCUUCUUCUUUUUUAUUCUCUUCUACACGUGCAUGAGUGUUUGGUCACGUACAUUAAGUGGUAGACUUUCUAGGGUAUCCUCAUCAUUUUCAGAAAAUAUGGCCGAAGAAGAUAACAAUCACUUCAUAAUGAGAAUAAUGAGAAUAAUAUGAGAACCGUGUUAGGACACUUAGAGACCACAUGAAUCCCACAAGAACAAGUGCACCCUCAUGCAUAGUUUUCCCUCCUGAUGCAUCUCAUUUUAAUUUUAAGCCAGGCAUUAUUCAACUUUUACCUUCUUUUCAUGGCUUAGAUCUAGAAAAUCCAUACUUGCAUUUGAGAGAAUUUGAAGAGUUUGUAACACCUAUAAUGACUUAAAUUGUAGCAUGAACACCAUUCGAUUAAAGCUUUUUCCUUUUUCAUUAAAAGAUAAAGCUAAAACAUGGCUACAAAAUCUUAGGUCAGGAUCCAUUCGUGCUUGGGAUGAAAUGCAACAACAAUUUUUAAAGAAGUUUUUUCCAUCUCAUAGAACAACUCUUUCAAAAGACAAAUCACCUUUCACUCAAAAACCAGGAGAAACAUUUUACCAAUGUUGGGAUAGGUAUCGAGACUUGCUUAAUACUUGCCCUCAUCAUGGUUUUGAAACAUGGAGAUUGGUUUCACAAUUUUAUGAAGGAUUAACACCUAAGAUAGGCAAAUGGUUGAAUUGAUGUGCAAUGGAACUUUUGAAGAUAAAGACCCUAAUGAAGCAAUGGAGUACUAGACUUGCUAGCUGAAAAUGCUCAAAAUUGGGACACUAAGGGCACUUAUGAGGCACCAAGUAAAACCAACCUCAUACAUCUAGUGGAGGUAUGUAUAACCUUAGGGAAGAUCAUGACCUCCAAGCCAAGUUUACAUCUUUAGCUAGAAAAGUCGAGGCACUAGAAUUGAAAAAGAGUGGUCAAUUAAAAUCUGUUCAAGACAUUGUGUGUCAAAUCUGUGAAACAAAUGAACAUGCAACCAAUGAUGUCCAACUUUGCCUUCUUUCAAGGAAUGCUCCAUGAACAAGCCCAUGCUUUAAACAGUUUCCAAAGGCCCAAUCAUAACCCAUACUCGCAAACAUACAAUCCUGGUUGGAGAAAUCACCCAAAUUUCAGUUGGAAGAGUGAUAACAAUAAUGCACAAACUUCACAGCCACCGUUUCAAGCACACCAUAAUUUCCAAAAUUCUCAUGGAUAUGCACCUCCUUAUGCUCCACCUCCUAGAAGAAAUCUUGAGGAAACAUUGCAUGCAUUCAUUGAAAAGCAAGAGACAAUCAACACUCAACUUACUCAAAGCAUGACAAAUUUUAAAGAUGCUCUUGCAAAAUUCACAUCUGCUCUCAGUUUUCAAGAGAAAGGUAAGUUUCCAUCUCAACCACAGCAAAAUCCAAAGGGGCAAUACAAUGCAAAUGCAAGUAGUUCUGAAGCCAACACAUGGAUCAAGUCAAAUCAGUCAUCACUCUUCGAGUGGUAAGGUUAUUGAAAAACCCACUCUUGAACCUUGUGAGAAAGAUGAUGAGUCAAUCUCUGAGGGUAAGGAAGGGGUUGAAUGAACAUUGUGAAGAAAAGACUGAUUCUCCGCCAGCACUUCCAUUUCCUCAUGCCAUGACCAAACAAAGGAAAGUCAAUCACAAUUGAAAUCUUUGAAAUUUUCAAACAGGUAAGGAUCAAUAUACCUUUGUUGGAUGCUAUUAAACAGGUACCUUCCUAUGCUAAAUUUUUGAAAGAUCUAUGCACUGUGAAGAGAAAACUGAAUGUGAAAAAGAAAGCCUUUUUAGCCGAACAAGUAAGUGCCAUUCUUCAGAAAUAAUGCUUUGAAAUAUAAAGACCCUGGUUGUCCUACAAUUUCUUGCUUUAUUGGAGAACAUAAAAUUGAAAGAGCUUUACUUGAUCUUGGAGCUAGUGUGAAUUUACUUCCAUAUUCGGUUUUUCAAAGUCUCAAUCUAGGUGAGUUAAAACCAACUUCUGUAACUCUUUUACUUGCUGAUAGAUCUGUAAAAGUGCCUAGAGGAAUAGUUGAGGAUGUGUUAGUACAAGUUGAUAAAUUCAUUUACCCUGUAGAUUUUAUUGUCUUGGAUACACAACCUGUUGAAGCAUGUAAUUCAAUUCCUGUUAUUUUAGGACGUCCAUUUCUUGCAACUUCUAAUGCAUUGAUUAAUUGUAGGAAUGGACUGAUGAAACUAUCAUUUGGAAACAUGACAUUGGAGAUGAAUAUUUUCAACAUUUGCAAGCAACCUGGAGAUGAUAAUGAUUUACAGGAAGUGGACUUUAUUGAAAAAUUAGUUCAUGAUCAAUUUCAAACCACUUCUAGUGAAACUAGAUUGAUGAACUGACGAUUUGCAAAUGGUUUAUUUUCAGGAAGAAGCAAAGGCAUGUAAUUGGAGACCACAAAUUGAAGAAUUGCCAUCACGAUCAAUUGAGUCUAUACCUUCAAGUGUUCAACCACCAAAACUGAUUUGAAGCCGUUACCAGUCAAUCUCAAAUACUCAUUUUUGGGAGAAAAUGAAACUUUUCCGGUAAUAAUCUCUUCCAAACUUAAUGCACAUCAAGAAGGUAAGUUAUUACAGACUCUGAAAAUGCACAAAAAUGCAUUAGGAUGGACCAUAGCUGACAUAAAAGGAAUUAGUCCUUUGAUUUGCACACACAGGAUUUAUUUGGAGGAAAAUGCUAAACCAUCUAGAGAAAUGCAACGAAGACUUAAUCCUAAUAUGAAAGAAGUAGUGAAAAAUGAAGUCAUUAAGCUUCUAGAUAAUGGAAUCAUUUAUCCUAUUUCUGACAGCAAAUGGGUAAGUCCUACCCAAGUUGUACCCAAAAAGUCUGGAGUCACUGUGAUAACAAAUGAGAAAAAUGAGUUAAUUCCAACUCGGACUAUUACUGGUUGGCGCAUGUGCAUUGACUAUAGGAAACUUAAUUUAAUGACUAGAAAAGAUCAUUUACCUUUCAUGGAUCAAAUCCUAGAAAGAGUUGCAGGUCAUGAAUUUUAUUGUUUCCUAGAUGGCUAUUCAGGUUACAAUCAAAUUGAAAUUGCAUUGGAAGAUCAAGAGAAGACUACUUUCACUGUCCAUUUGGUACUUUUGCAUAUCGAAGAAUGCCUUUUGGAUUAUGUAAUGCACCAGCCACGUUUCAAAGAUGCAUGCUUAGCAUAUUCAGUGAUAUGGUUGAACGUUUUCUUGAGAUUUUUAUGGAUGAUUUUUCUGUUUUUGGUGAUUCAUUUGAUGAUUGUUUAACUAACUUGGAAAAGGUUUUGAACAGGUGUGAAGAGAAGAAUCUUGUACUGAAUUGGGAAAAAUGUCACUUUAUGGUAACAAACGGCAUUGUACUUGGUCACAUUGUUUCAUCGAAGGAAUUGAGGUUGACAAAUCUAAAAUCGAGUUAAUUGCCAACUUACCAACACCAAAAUCUGUUAAAGAUGUUAGAUCAUUCUUAGGACAUGCUGGUUUUUACAGAAGGUUCAUCAAAGAUUUUAGUGUAAUAUCUAAACCAUUGUGUAACCUUCUAUCAAAGGAAAUGUUUUUGAAUGGACUGAACAUGUGAAAAAGCCUUUGUUAAACUUAAAAACUUGCUUACUUCUGCUCCUGUCAUUCAACCUCCUGAUUGGUCAUUACCUUUUGAAAUAAUGUGUGACGCUAGUGAUUAUGCCGUGGGUGCUGUCUUGGGACAAAGAAAAGAUAAGAAACCUUAUGUGAUUUACUAUGCAAGUAAAACUUUAAAUAGUGCUCAAAUGAAUUACACUACCACUGAAAAAGAAUUACUUGCAGUAGUAUUUGCAUGUGACAAGUUCAGAUCUUAUCUUGUUGGCUCACCUGUUGUUGUUUUUAGUGAUCAUGCAGCAUUGAAAUAUCUUCUCUCUAAGAAAGAUUCUAAGGCUAGAUUGGUGCGGUGGAUUUUGUUACUUCAAGAAUUUGAUAUCACAAUCAAAGACAAGAAAGGCACCGAAAAUGUUGUCGCGGAUCAUUUGUCAAGAUUGACAACCGAUUCGAGAUCUGACAUCACACCAAUCGAUGACUACUUUCCUGAUGAAUCUUUAUUUUCUGUCUCUACGAUGCCUUGGUUUGCUAAUAUUGUUAAUUUUCUUGUUUCAGGACAAUUGCCAGCUCAUUGGAGUACCCAAGACAAAAGAAAGUUCUUGAACGAAGUGAAGAACUUUUAUUGGGAUGACCCUUAUUUAUUCAAAUAUUGUCCUGAUCAAAUAUUUCGAAGAUGCAUUCCUGACAAUGAGGUAAGUAGUGUCAUUAAAUUUUGUCAUUCUGAGGCAUGUGGGGGUCAUUUCUCAUCAAGAAAGACAACUGCAAAAAUCUUACAAAGUGGAUUUUACUGGCCCACCAUGUUCAAAGACUCACAUGCAUUCUGCAAGACUUGUGAAAAUUGUCAAAAGUUGGGAUCUAUUUCAAAACGUCACAUGAUGCCUUUAAAUCCUAUUCUUGUCAUUGAGAUCUUUGACUGUUGGGGUAUAGAUUUUAUGGGUCCAUUUCCUCCAUCAUUUGGUUUCUUGUAUAUAUUGGUCGUAGUAGAUUAUGUUUCAAAAUGGAUAGAGGCAAUUCCAAGUCGAACCAAUGAUCACAAAACAGUGAUAAAGUUUUUGAAAGAAAACAUUUUAAGUCGAUUUGGAAUCCCUCGAGCCAUGAUAAGUGAUGGUGGAACACAUUUCUGCAACAAGCCAUUUGAAUCUUUAAUGAAGAAAUAUGGAAUCACACACAAAGUUUUCACCCCUUAUCACCCUCAGACAGUGGACAGUAGAGCUUGCUAAUAGGGAGAUCAAACAAUCUUGGAGAAAACGUGAACCCUAAUAGGAAAGACUGGUCUUUAAGACUUAAUGAUGCACUUUGGGCUUAUCGAACUGCUAUAAAACAUCAUUAGGUAUGUCACCUUAUAGACUAGUCUAUGGAAAACCUUGUCACUUGCCUGUGGAAAUUGAACAUAAAGCUUAUUGGGCUAUUAAAGCUUUCAAUUCAAACAUUGAUGAUGCUAGUCAGCUGCGAAAAUUGCAAAUAAAUGAGCUUGAGGAAAUAAGAAAUGAUGCAUAUGACAAUUCAAGAAUUCAUAAAGCAAGAAUCAAAGAGUUUCAUGACAAGAAAAUACUGAGAAAAACAUUCAAUGUUGGUCAAAAAGUCUUGCUUUAUAAUUCUCGACUCCAUUUAUUUCCUGGAAAACUAAGAUCAAGAUGGAGUGGUCCUUUUAUUGUGAAACAUGUGUAUCCAUAUGGGGCCUGUGAUAUCGAAAUCCAAAGAAUGGAAUGUUUUCAAGGUAAAUGGGCAUCGUUUAAAGUUUAUUUUGACAAUUUUUCAGUUGAAAAUGACUCUAUUGAAUUGAGUGAUCCUGUAUAUAAAGAUUGAUUCUUUUUCUCACAUUGUUUUUGUGUGACUUUUUUUUGCUAGUCUCUCACCCCGGUCAAAUGGCGGAUAACGGUACUCCGUGACUUAAGUCGGUUCUUUCAGUUUCCCAAUAACUGAUAUCUGUGUAUAUAUUUUGCAAUUCUUGCUCUUUCUCCUUCUUUGAAUCUCUCCCCAAUUCUCAGUUGAAAAUGGACACCACUCUUGAAAAAUUGAAAAAUAUUUUCCCGCUCUGCCUCAAAUGCGAUUACAAAAAUUUACCGUGCUAGAUGUGCAAGAUUGAGGUUGUUAAUGAACAUGGAAUUCCUGAAGAUAUUCGCUGGCUAUUGAAGCAAAGGUCCGAUUAUCAGGUGAGUCCUCCAAUUCUUUCAUUUCACACAUGCCUGGAACAGGUAAAGCACUUUUGCAAAGAAACGUCGUGCAAAACGACUGAAAGUCUGUCACGAUGUGCCAGAUGGACUUGUAAUGCGACAUGUCGUUCUUUAGGAAUGGUAUCUGUAAACCGUGAAGAUAAAUACAAUUCAUUAAGGAUGGCCUGAGUAAGGGGUCUUUAGAUAAUCUUUUAUUGACCUUGAGACGCACCUAGUGGAGAUGUGCAUCGUGCAAUUCAUGAUUUAUGGCCCAAUUCCAUAAAGAACAUGCUCGACUUAGUCUUGGGAAUCUGACUAAAAAAGACCCUGUUUGCCAGUUUUUAAGAAAACUGGAUGGGAAGCCUAUCCCCGACCCAUAGAGGGCGUUUAAGCCGUUCUUGGACGUAAAACCAAGGGAAGAUGUGAGCCAUAAUCACAACUACCUGUACAUACAUGCUUUUUCAAAAUAAAUAAUUAAUAAAGAGAGAGAGAGAGUGUGUGUGUGUGUAGACUACAGCUGGCCUACAUAUAGGUGGUAUGAUUGCAUUUUCAAUUUCUCAUCUAUAAAUUCUUCUCUUCCUUCCCUUCAUUUCUACUCAACCCAUACAUUCAUCAAAUACAGAAGUGUGUAGAAAUGGCAGGUUCCUCAAGUCAUCACAUAAAAAAAUUUGUGUUUUUGGUGGAUCCAGUCCGGGAAAGAAAAAGAGUUUUUAGAAUCAGCAAAUCAUCUUGGUCGGUACUAGCUGAGCGAAAGAUUCAUUUAGUGUAUGGAGGAGGAGCCUUGGGUUAAUGGGGGGAGUGUCAAUGGCUGCAUUUUUAGGAGGUAGUCAAGUUUUGGGGGUUGUCCCCAAAGCUUUAGCACAAGGGGACAUCAUUGGAAAAACAAUUGGAGAGGAAUACAGGUCCCACAAUGUCUGAUCGACUGAAUCCAUGUUUAACCAUGCUGAUGCCUUCAUUGCCUUACCAGGUGGUCUGGGCACAUUGGAAGAGAUCUUUCAUAUUUCCUCUUGGGCCCAACUGCACAUUCACCAUAAACCCAUAGGUUUGUUAAAUGUUAAUGGUUUUUAUGAUAAGUUGUGUCUUUCUUGAUCAAGCUGUGGAACAGGAAUUUCUAACAUCUUCGGCACGACAAAUCAUAAUCUCUGCUGCUACUGCUGAACAAUUGAUUGACCAACUACAAUCUUUCAUCCCUGUAUUAUCCCUCAUGAGUCGCAUAAAUUGGUCAACUCAGGAAAGCCGUAAAAAGCUUAGAUUGGAUUUGAGCCUUUGUUUGUAAAAACUUUGUGUCUUUUGGUUUUAUUAUUGUGUUUUGUUGUUUCUUCUAUUUGUUUAAGUGUGUUUCAGGUUUGUCAGUAUUCGUUAUUUCAGGUGAUGUCUUCUAUACUCUAUCUUUCUACCUUAAAACAUUGAGGACAAUGUCUCAUUUUGGUUGGGGGGAAAGGGUAGUAGUAAAAAAAAAAAAAAAAAAAAACUGUGUUUUCUAUUUCAUAAACUAUUUGCAAAACUGUUGUUGCUAGGAUGGCAGAGUAAAAGGAGUUCUUUUGUUAAAGUGACUCUUGAGACGCAUCUUAGUAAACAUUCUUAACAAGGUCUAUCAGAAUACUUCUUGAAAUAUCUAAGUUUACAAACUCUCAUAUUGUUAAAACACCCCUUCGGGCUUAAUUGCUUAGGUUAGGGAGGCUACGAAACCAAACUUAUCUACGUUUUUAUUCAUCAUUAUUAUCACAAUUUUUUUUUGUUUUUUUGUUUUUUUUGUUUUUUUUAUGCAAAUUAUGUACUAUCCCUUUCCCUUAGUUGUUACCUUUAACAAAAGAACAUAAAUAAUGUAAUAAUCCAAUGUGCAACCCACAAUCAUAUGUUAAAGCGUGUGUGUGUGAAAAUGAAGAUUUAAGAAUACUUAUUAAAUGAGAUGUUGGAUGCUAUUGUGGAGAGGAUUGGAGAGGAAAAUAUGGUGCAAGUAGUCACUCACUGACAAUGCUGCAAAUUAUAAGGCAGCAGGGCAAUUGUUGAUGGGAAAAAGAAAAAGAUUGUUUUGGACACCGUGUGCUGCCCAUUGUAUUGACUUGAUAUUGGAAGAUUUUGAGAAGAAACUUGAGGUCCAUCAAGUAACUAUUGCUAAUGGGAGGAGAAUCACCUCAUACAUAUAUUUAAGAACUAUUCUCAUUUCCAUGCUCAGACACUUUACAAAAGGAAAGGAUUUGAUUAGGCCUGCUGCCACUAGAUUUGCUACUGCAUACUUAACUCUUGGAUGUUUGAGUGAUUGUAAGAUACAAUUGAUGACAAUGUUUACUUUCAUCCAAUGGAGGUCAUGUAGGUUUUCAAAAACAGAAGAAGGGAAGCGAAUUCAAAGUUGUGUUUUAGACAACAAGUUUUGGCAUGAUGUUACUACAUGUAUUAAGGCAGCAUAUCCUUUGAUAAAAGUUCUUUGAUUAGUUGAUUCAGAUGAAAAACCAGCUAUGGGUUUUAUAUAUGAAGCAAUGGAUCAAGCAAAAGAGAAAAUACAAGUGAAUUUUGGUUCUGUGAAAAAAAUGUAUUGAUUAUAUAUAUUGCUAAUUAUUUAUUUACUAUUAUCAGUUGAUUAUAAUGUUUACCAGCUAGGUCAUAUAAUGUUGAUGAUAAUAUUCUUAUUUUUAUUUUGUAGUUAUAUGCCUAUAUGGAAUAUCAUUGAUGCAAGAUGGGAACUUCAACUUCAUAGACCUUUACAUGCAGCAACAUAUUACUUGAAUCCUCAUUAUCAUUAUAACUCUAAUUUUAAAGUUAAUGCCAACAUUAAAAUUGGAUUAUAUUAAUGCUUAGAAAGGAUGGUGCCCGAUGCAAGUGAAAGGUGUAAAAUUGACUUGCAACUUGAUUCAUUCAAGGAUGCAAGUGGGUUGUUCGGUAUUAAGGCUGCCAAGAUAACAAGGGAUAAAAAGACUCCAGCUAAAUGGUGGGAUUCUUAUGGGGAUGAAUGUCCAAAGCUACAAAAAUUUGCAAUUCGAGUUUUAAGCUUGACUUGUAGUUCAUCUGGAUGCGAGCGAAACUGGAGUGCAUGUGAGAUGGUAAGUUUUUUCCUUUUUAAUUUUAAUGUUUUUAUAUUUUAUAAGAAUCUUAUAUGGUAUUAAUUUGAAUUUCUUACAUAGGUUCAUACAAAACGAAGAAAUCGUUUGCACCAGAAAAAAAAAGAAUGACUUGGUAUUUGUAAUGUGCAAUAUGAAAUUAAAUGAUAACCAAGUCAAAAGGCAAGCUAAUGAUUUUGGUGAAGUUUUUUAUCAUCUCUCAUCUGAUGAUGAUUGGAUAACCGAGGGAGAGAAACAUGAUGGUUCAUCCAACUUUGACUUGCUUGGUGUCAUUGAUAGUGCAACACGAAGGAAAAACGGCAAAGACGAUGAAAGUGAUGAUGAAGAAAAUCUUAAUGAUGUUGGGAUGGAGUGUCAUGGAACUGAAGAUGAUUUAGAGAUUCAGAAUGAUGUCAAUCCAAAUAAUUCAAGGAGCUUGGAGUUAAAUAUUGUUGACAAUAUUGGUGUUGGUCCUGGUACUAGUAGUAGCACUAAUGUUCCUAAUAUCGGUGUUGGUAAUAGUAGUAGCAGUAAUAAUCCUUUAGAUGGUAAUGAUUUUGAUGACUGUUUUAGGAAUAAUGAGGGAGACAAAGGCAAUGAGGGUGUGUUUAGUUUACAUGACACACCUACAAACUGUUUAUUUUAGAUGUGUUAACUUUUAGUAAUUAUUGAAAUACUAUGGACAUGUAUGAAUUAUGUAUUUUAAGAUGUUUGGAUAUUUGUAUUGUUUAUUUUACUUUUAUUUGAAUUAUGUAUUUUAAGAUAUUUGGAUAUUUGUAUUGUUUAUUUUACUUGUAUUUGAAUUAUGUAUUUUAAGAUGUUUGGAUGUUUAUUUUGCAAUUUUACGAUUUUAGUUAAAAUAUUUUACUUGCGAUUUUACGAUUUUUAGUUAAAAAAUUUUACUUCUGAUUUUACGAUUUUACGAUUUGAGUUUACGAUCGAGUUUAUAUUGUAUGUUCCGUGUCGUGUCAAAAAAGCGUUUUUGACAACCUUGCUUGGGGCUAUAAAUUGCAAGUCCUGGGUGGAUUCUUAUGAUAAAGUUGGGCCAAUUUGAAAUAACAAAGAAAAACAAUUUUGGCAUAUAAUUUUAUUAAUCUUUAUUGUUUGUAAUUUGCAGAGCAUAAUUAGGAAUGUAGAAUUAAAUUUUAUUAUUUUUGUCUCAAACCAGUUACAAACGAAGGAAGUCCAAUUUUGGAGUAAGUGAUUAUACAUAUUAAUAUUUAUGUGUUUAUAUAGUUGGAAAUAUAAAGCUAUUAAUAACAAAAACUGUUGGUGCAUCUAAGAGAAAAGUAUAGAAGUUUACUAAUUACUAAAGAAAUACCUUCCGAAAUUCAUAUUCUAUUUAAGAGCAUGCCGACCAAAGCGAUAAUUUGUCAGGCUUAUAAAACAAAUUAUUACUAAAUUAAUUUAAUUUAUUAGAGAAAUACCUUUCGAAAUGCAUCAUUAUAAGUAUGUUGUGUUUGUUUAGUAAAAAAAAUAAAAAUAUAUUUAACUAAAAAAUAAAAGAAAAUAUAUAAAAUCCAUAACAUAUGUCCAUACAUUUUUUCUGUUUUCAUUGUUUUUAUCUUUUUUAUUUUAAAAUAAUAAUAAUCAAACACCAUUUUUUAUUGAAUUUAAAAAUAGUGAGUGAAGCAAUCCAACCACAAAUGUAGGGGAAGAAAAAACAUUCAACUUAUUUACAAAUCAUUUUCAAAAGAAGGAAAAUUGAAAAACUCUUUAAUUCAUUCAUUGUAUCAACUUGAAAAAUAAGUAUUUGUAAAAAACAAUUAAUAAAAAAUUAUCUUGAGUUGCAAGAUUUAUGUUAAUUCAAGAAUAACUGAGAAUUCGGCAAAUUGAAUCCAGCAAACUUGGGGCAUUAAAUGUUGCAUUGCACAUCGAAGGUGGUUUUCUGUUUUUUGAGAAGAAAAAAACAAACACUUUUUACGUAAAAGUAACAAAUUAAGGAUGCCGCCUUUCAUAAUGAUUUGAUAAUAGGUUGUCGGGUAGAUUGUUUGUUUGUUUUUAUAUUUUAAAAAUAUUUUUUAAAAAUAAAUUAAGUUUAUUUUUUUAUUUUUUUAUUUUAAAUUAAGUUUUUUAUAUAUAUUAUUUUAAUAUACUGAUAUCAAAAAUAAUUUUUAAAAAAUAAAAAAUAUUAUUUCAAGUAUUUUUAAAUAAAACAUAUUUUAAAAAAUAACUGUUACAACAAUAAUAUUACCACAAUAAUAAACAGGCUCUUAAAAAAAAGAACCGUGAGAAUUGUUUAGAAUGAUUAGAAUGCAUGCAUACAACUCGGUCGCAUGUAAGAUCAAUUUUCAUUUAUUUUGAAUGUAAAAUGCAUGUCGUUGGUAUUAAAAAUAAUAUAAAUUAUAUCUUGAAACCUCACUUAAUAGUUUAAGCAACCAAGUUACAUAGGUUUUUGUCAUUAUAUUAGAGCCUUGAUGACCAAACGAUCACGAGUUCAAAUCUCAUCAUUCUCAUUUAUUUAAUAAAAAUUAAAAACAAGGUAAUGUGGCCUUAUGUAAAUUCAAGUCUAAAAUGCUUCCACUUGAGAGGGGUGUUAGAAAAUAAUAUAAAUAAUAUCUUGAGACCUUACCUAACAAUUUAAAUUAUUGGAUUGAAUUAAUUCUUUAACAGUUAGGAGAAAUUAGUUUUAAAACGUAGUUAUUGUAUUUAAAUUAAUGAAUUAAGAUUUUGUUGAAAAAUAUUUUUUUGCAUGAAUAUUAAUUAUAACAUGAAAUAUUAAAAUACUUAAAAUUAAUUAUAGAUAAAUAAAAAAUUAAUUUCAAAGAAUUCUGAAUGAAAUUGAUGAAAAAAAAAUCAUAUUUUUUUUGGAUAAAAAAAAAAUCAUAUUGAUAAGAAAUUAUUGGUUUUAUCUUUUAGAAAUAUAUAUUAUUUUUAAUUUAAAUCUAACACAUACACCCAAAACCAGAGUUACAAAAAUAGGCAGACUAGCGUUUCCAAAAUAAUGGUAUGGUUGAAAUUUUCCAGAGCACGUGCUUUCCGCAAUGUAAAAGUUUUAAUAUGGAAACAAUCCUUCCAUCCGCAAACAUGGGAUUAUCCUAAAUUUAAGAAGAAAAUCCAUACAUAGUAAAAUGUGAAUCUAAUUACCCCAAACCAAAACCAUGAGCAAAAACUGAUGAAGAUCUUCAAAACCCAGGUCGCUGCUGCCGCCGCUGCUGCUGCCGCAACUGCUGCCGCAACUGCCGCACCAGCUGCUGCCGCAGCUGCUGUCGCUGUCGCCGCUGCCGCAGCUGCUGUCGCUGUCGCCGCUGCCGCAGCUGCUGUCGCUGUCGCCGCUGCCGCAGCUGCCGCACCUGCUGUUGCUGUCGCAGCUGCUGGAGCACCCGCUGCGGCACCGGCUGGAGCACCCGCUGCUGCACCGGCUGGAGCACCUGCUGUUGCUGCUGCUGCUGGAGCACAUGCUGUUGCUGCUGCUGCUGGAGCACAUGCUGUUGCUGCUGCACCAGCUGGAGCACCCGCUGCUGCUGCGGCACCGGCUGGAGCACCCGCUGCGGCUGCGGCUGCUGGAGCACCCGCUGCGGCUGCGGCUGCUGGAGCACCUGCUGCUGCUGCAGCCGCUCCUCAUCAUCAAGCGGCUGCUGCCGCAGAUCCUCAGCAUCAAGCGGCUGCUGCUCCUCGAGCAUCAGCUCCAUCUUAGGUAUAGUCGAACUGUACAUGGAAUCGAUGUUACAUGUUUUGUUGGGUGUUAAAUUUUUUUUUUAAUAAAACAUUAACAGAUAAAUAUUUUCAACAUGUUUUUGUAUUUAAAAAAUUCUAGUGAAAAAAAAAUAUAUACAUAAAUGUAAUCAAAUAAAUCAAGAAUUAUGUGUGUUAAAAAAAAAAACAAUCAUAAACUAUAACUAAAAAUAAAAGUGGAAAAAUCGAGAAACAAGUGUAGAUUAAGAUAUUUAAUUUCAAAAGACGAGAUAUUUACGCGAUUGUAUUUACUAAAUUUAUUAAUUAAAAUAAGUUUUUUAUUCAAUCAAACGAUAAUAAAAAUAGAUAUACACAUUAAAUUGAUUGAAUAAAAUAAAAUAAAAAAAAUAAUAUACAAGGCUGCACAUAUUAGAAAUAUUAUUUGAAAAUAAAAAUUUUCAAAUAAAAAAAUUUAAACUGUAAAUUAAAAAGCUUAUACAUACAUGUAAUCAAAUAAAUUGAUAACUAUGUGAAUUAAUAAUAACAAAAAUAUAGUAACGAUAACUAAAAAUAAAAUUAAAAAUUCAAAUGUGUUAAUAACAUAACAUUUACACAGUUAUAUUUUUUUAAUUGAUUUAUUAAAAUUAAUCUUUUUACUCAAUCAAAUGAUAUUAAAAAAAUACAUGUAUUAAAUUGAUUAAAUAAAUUAAAAAUAGAAAAAAAUAUUACACAAGGUUGUUGUACAUAUUAUGUUAUCUGAAAAUAAAUAUUUUUUUAUUUUUUAAAUAAAAUUCUUUUAUACAAAAAGAUAAAAAAAAAAAUCAUUGAUGAAUCAUAAUACAUUUUUCAAAAAUUAAAUACAAACAACACCAUAAAAAAAUAUCUAUCCAAAAAUAAAUAAAUAAACAAAAAAAUAAUCAGAGAUGAGGAAUAUUAAUUAAAACAUAAAUUUAAAAAAUAUAUAAAAACAAUAUCAGAAAAAAUAAACAUUGUUUUGUUGUUGUGGCUUAACUCGUUAAAUCCAUGACCUGGAGUAUGAACUCAAUCGGGUUCAAUAUUGUUUUUCCUUUAAAUUCGUAUUCAACCUUUAACCAAAAAGAAAUUAAACAUGUGACCCAGACCAUGAACUCAACCAGACUAUAUUAUUUUCUCUUAAAUUUAUAUUCAAUCUUUAAAAACAAAUACAUACAACACUAUCAAAAAAUAAUUUAUAUUAAAAAAGGAUAUAUAAAAAAAAUAUCAGUAAAAAAAACAACAUUAGAAAAAAAAUAAUUGUCCAGUUAUUGUGGCUUAACUCGUUAAACUCAUAACUCAGUUCAUGAACUCAAUCGGGUUCAAUAUUUUUUUUCUUAAACCUUAAAAAAAAUUAUUAUAUGACCCGGAUCAUGAAUUGUUCAAUAAUUGUUUUUUCUUUAAAUUUAUAUUCAACUUUAAAAAAAAUUCAACAAUUAAAAAUGCACAACACUAUAAAAAGAUCAAUCUUUAUAAAAAAAACCUCAACCGGGUUGAAAUUUUUUCUUCUUAAAUUUAUACUCAACUUUAAAAAAAACUCGUGCCCUAGAUUAUACACUCAACCAGUUCAAAAAAAUUUCCCUUCGAAUUUGUAACAAACCUAAAAAACAAAAAUAAAGUAAACAAUAAUGUCCAUAUUAAAGCAUUUUGGUUUAAUCGAGACCAUAAACUCCAAUGAGUUUAAUAUUAAUUUUUCUGAAAUUCAUAAUCUACCUUGAAAAAAAAAACUUGUAACCCCAUUGUGUACUGAACCUUGCGUGGUGCUUUUCCCAUGCAAAAAAAAAAAAAAAAACAAAUUUGUUAACAUACCUUUGCGAUCCAGAUGAAAUCUCAAUUUCACUGAGAAUAUCCAUCCAUCUUUGUACCUUCUCCUCGUUUUCCCUGAAUUUUCUUCAUUCUUAUCAAAGACAAUUGUGCAACUCUCUGUUUGAUCAUCUAUCUUUGAUUGCUCGACAUCAUAAGAAACUGGAAACACAGUGUCCGAUCUCAUCUCAUCCAUGAAUCGACAAUCUUGACAAGUUCUUCAAAGCACCAAGGUAAAGAAGCACAAUCUCUUGAAAAUAUAAUAAUUGACAGCCCUGAUUCUUCAAUGGCCUCAAAGAGUCUUGAUCUAAUUGCCAUUACUUUCUCUGGUUCCUUCUCGACUGGCACAAUGAAUCUCAGCUAGAUCUGACUUUAAAUAGGUGACAGCAUUACUAGGGAAAACAUUGGCCAUCCAUUGAUGGUACGACGAGAAAAAGCUAAAGAAGCUUUAAUGAAGAAGCUACUUCUUUGCUUGUAACAAUAAAAUGGGCAGAUGGUUGGUGUAAUAUACACAGAAGAUAACAAACAGACACCACAAUUCUUCACCUUUACUCCUGGUGGAAAGAAUGAAAUGACAACUCAAUGUUGCUAAAGGAUUCAUGCUUCCAUUCUUUAAGCUCUUUAAGGUAAUCAAAAGAUAGAUAGAAUAGCCAAAUAUGAUCUGACAGAACUUGGAUAGAGUUACAACUAAUACACAUCGGCGAAGGAUAAUUCUCUCUUCCAUUGGCUUUGAAAUGACAAAAAAGAGAGGACUUUCACCAUUUGCACUGAAUGCAACACAGCAACAAACCCCAUGCUCCAACUAGGCACUUGCACACUAAUUGAAGAUCCCUUACUUUGAUGGUUAAACCAGCCUGGAAUUUCAUUUCCUGGAACAGCGAUACCAAAUCCAGGUCUUGGAUUAGACAAACCCUGUACCAUGAAAACCAAAAUGUUAGAUAGAUAGAGGGAGAGGGAGAGAGAUACAAAAGGUUGGGGUAUGAUUAAGAGAAGACCUUGAGGUAUCUUUCAAGCAUGGUAACCCCAUGUUGUCUUGGCCAUUAUGAUUGUACAAUUCCCAGCAGUUAAGACAUAUGAACUCUGAUCUUUUGGAACUGCUUAGCUUUAUCGGAUCUGGAAUUUCUUUUAGGCUUAUACAACCAUUCAAAUUUAUAGUUUGAACUUAGAUGGAACCUCAGGCAAUGAUUCAAGCAUCUGCAAUCCUCCAAGACAAGCAUUUCAAGUCCAGAAAGCUGAUUUAUGCUUCUAGGCAGGCUAACAAAGUUAUUCGGCUCAGAUCUAAAGACUUCAAUGAAGAUAAGCAGCCAAUAUCUUCAGGAAGUGCCCCUUCUCUUAGAUUGCAAGCACAUAAAUCCAGUACUUCUAAAGAACACAGACCGACAAAAAGGCAACCUUUGAUCCGUGGAUUCUCAGCUAUUCUUUUGCAUCCAUCAAAAGAUAAUACUUUAAGAUUCUUUAAAAGAAAAAUGGAUGCUGGCGGUUGUCUUAUUGAAGUUCCACUUACAUCAAACUCCUCCAAACUUUCAACUUUCCCCAAAUUCUCUGGUAUAUUUAAGUUCAGAGCAGCCAGACAAUCAAGUUUUUUAAGGGAUUUCAAGCAACCUAUGCUACUGGAAUGCUUUCAAGGUUCUUGCAGUUGUUCAUGCUCAAUACUUCUAAGCCAAUCAAAUGAUGAAUUGAUGAAGAUAGUUCUUCAAUACCAGUCCCAUCCAAACGAAGCACCAUCAAACAGUUCAUGUUUCCUACUAUAUCUGGAAACUUCUCAAGUUUUGAGCAGCCAUCAAGAAUGCAAACUUUAAGUGAUUCCAUUUCAAGGUUGUUUGGGAGAAUCCUAAUACUUUGCAAUCCAUAAGAUUCACAUAUUGAAGCUUCUUGUGAUAUGCAAGUGAUGGAUGGACCUCAGACAAACUUGUACAACCUUCAAGAAUAGACUCUCGAGAUUUGGAAUUCAGUAAAAUCUGGAGUCUUGGUCAGGUUAGUGAGUUGCUGAGAUUGAUGAUUUUCAAAUUAACUGCACUCUGCAAUCAGCAGGGAGAAAAAUAUGGAUACUAUCAUACAUAUAUAGGAAAACGAUAAAAAGAAAUACAAAGGCCUUUAAAUUAGUUGAUCUCACCUUACACCCAUACCAUAAUUGCUCAAGACUACUUAGCCAUGUGAAGUUCAACUAGCUCAUCCACCUGUAAACCAGCUGGCAAUGAUUUUGAAGGGUAAGAAUGCCAUUCAAGAAAUCAACUUAUUGGAAAGAUCUUCAGGUCCUUCAGAAAGCUGCACGUUGUGAUUUUGAGCAAUCUUAGUUGCUCAUUUUAGAGAAGGCUUUCAUGUUCCAUUGUGCCUCUUUUAUUCCAGGCAUGUCCAGGAAAAUGGCUUCUAUUUUUUCUUUUCCCUGUCAACAAAAGGAAUACAAGUAAAAAAAAAUACAAAGUAGAGAUGGAGCGUAAAUUAAAAUAAACUUCAUGAAAUCUUAUGGAUAAUGUUCUCUAUCAGCUACUCACUGUGUUGUCCAUCAGUGCAAGGCAGACAUCCUCGUAUGUCCACAAUCUACUCCCAGGUAUUCACAACGAACAAUUUCCUUACCCAUUAUCUGUAAUAAAUUAUGCAUCCAGACUUGAUCCCCAUAGACACUUAUGAGAGAUCUCUCAAUAAGAACUGGUAUUCCAAUACUGCAUGGAAUCCACAGCUGUCAAGUAUCCUUGUUAUUCGAUCUUUUUAAACCCCUUCAAGGAAACAGCAAUGUCUAAAAAUAUUUUCUAUCUGAUUCAUGGAGACCAUCAAAACUAAUACGCGAAGCACAUCAAUAAUUUUGCCGUCAGGAAUCUCAUUCAUUCGAUUAAUUGCACUCUCCAUUCAGGGAUACUUCUUCCAUACAAAAACGAACCUAUAACUUCAAGAGCCAGUGGAAGGCCAUUAGCAUAACCCACAACUUGCUUGGAUAGUUCAUGAAAUCUUAGCAGGCUGGUCUUUUUGAAAGCUUUCUGGCUAAAUAACAUAAGAGCAUCAUCAUCAUUCAAUUUCUCAGCCUCAUAAAUUUUAGUAUCAUCAUUUCCAGUUAACACAUUUGUAUCUCUGCUUGUUAUGAUAAUUCUGCUCCCUGGACCAAACCAUCCAGGCUCCUCAGCCAAGAAUUCUAGUUGUUUUUGUCAUCUACAUCAUCAAGGAUAAGAAGAAUCUUUUUAAGUCGUAACCUCCGCUUUAUCAUCUCAAUCCCUCUAAGAAUCCAUACAGAAGCACGUUCCAUUAAGAUUUCAGAAAGAAGUUGUUCCUGCAAACGGCGUGGUCCAUCUUUCUCAGCAAAAACUUCUCUGACAUUUGCUAAGAAGCAGCUACCUUCAAAUUGCCAACGAAUCCUAUCAUAUAGUACCCUUGCAACAGUCGUUUACCUAUGCCACCCAUUCCGCAAAUCCCUAUGAAGAUUGCUUGCCUACUUCUUCACCUAUAUACCAUUUAAUACCUCUAGACGAGAAUCUAUUCCAACUAAUUUUUUGCUAGUUGUUGGCAGAGUGACACUUAGUUUGUACGAUAUGUAUUCAACAAUUUUUGUAAUUGAUUCCAACUCAUUCCUGCAUAGGAGGGUGCAAAACAUUAAUCAUGCAGUGUGUAGAAAUCAAAUCAGAUAGUGAUAAUGGGAAAAUAAACAUUAGCAUAUUUUAGCUCGAAAAUGUAUGGUUGUUAGCCGGAAAUUAAUACACCAACCUUUGAGAAAGAACAGAGAGGAAAAGGAAAGAAUAAACUAAAAAAGGAACUAGGAUUGUAUUGAUGCUAAGAAUGGUCCUAACAAUAGCUAUCUUAUUGCCUAUAGAAUUAAUCACACAGUUACUAAAGAAGCAUGGACACAAGAACACAAGCUAGGAAAUAAAAUAUCCAUUAAGUUUGGUUUUAACAGACCAAAAGGCAAAUGGAAUUCUAUCAUAUUUUUUGACGACAACUAAGUUAUUUUUAAAAUUAUUUUUAACAAAAAUUUCAAUUAUCUUGCAUCAUUAACUUUUAAAAAAUAGCUUUAAAUUUAUUAAUUUUUAAGUUUUUUCCCAUAUUAGCAUAGUCCUUAAAAAUUUCCCAGACUAACAUAGUUUAAGUGGUUGCGCAAAUCCAAUCCACGCACCUUGACAUGCACUGAUAUCACGUAUGCUUCUCACAACUCAAAUUUUCAUAACCCAUUUCUUCGUCUUUCUUCUCUGUUUAAUCUUUUAUUUGGUCUUUCAAUUUUUAAACAAUCUUAAUAUUAAUUUCAAUGUAAUGAUCAUUUCAUUAAUAUAAACUUAUUUUUAUUUAAGUUGGACAAAAACAUAACAAUAUUUUAGGCAAAAAUUAACUCGUUUUUAGCGAUUGCAUUUGAAAUAAAUAUUAACUUUAAUUCAUAUGUUUUUCGUGUGCAAAAGAAUAGAUGAAAUGAUCGUAAUAAUGGAACUAAAGUUAACUAAAUAUAAAAAUUGAGGGACCAACCCAACAAAGAAAGAAAGGAAGAUUUUUUUGACAUGUGUGAAGUUGCCUAAUAAUGAUCGUAAUAAUGUGAAGUUGCCUAAGUGAGACCUAUGCAAUUGAUGAAACCGUGCUAGUUUGAAAAGUUUUUUCCCACCUAUAGUAUUUUGAGAAAUGGUUUUUUUUCAUGGGAAAAAAUUCAUGUAGCUUAUAAUUUGUCAUACCUUAAAAACUAAUGAUAAGUUGCCACUUGUUGAAAACUUCACUUUAAUGUGUAGUUCUUUAACUAGAUUUUUGGACUCAAGUGGACUAUUUUUUUCUAACCUUUAAAAAAUAUAAUAGUAUUUGAAAGUUAAAAAUUCAAUACAUGUAUAUUAAGAUAAUAAUAUAUUGGAUGAUAUAUUUAUUUAAAAAUAUAAUUGUGACGACAACACAUUAGAUCGAACUAGAGUAACUAUGGUUAACUUGUGAAACUCGCGAUCCGAAGCACAAAUCCAUGAAAACUCCAUGGAACCCAUAUCAAAAUAAAAUAGAGUCCAAUUUCAAUCAACCAAAUAUUAAAAGCUAAACAUAAAAAAAUUAUUCAAUUAAAAAAAGAAUUUAAAAAAAAUAACGAGAAAUAAAAAGACUUAAGAUAACCCUGAUUAUUUUUAAUUAUUUAAAAAUCUUAUAGAAAGAAAAUAAAAAAAUUAAUAGAUCCUAGUCUCUAAUUAAAUUAAAUAUUGAAUGAUAAAACUGGAAAAAAAACAUGAGCUUAAAAAAAAAACCUAGACAAAUCUCCUAAACGUGUCCCAAAUUCUUAAUCCGUUAAAUCCUAAAUCCAGACUCAACCAAAAAAAUUAAUUCAAUGUGAAAGUAUUAAAUCAAAAAUAAUAUAUGCCAAGGUAAAAAAACAUAACAAUAAAAAAUGAAGGAUGACAUCGUAAAAAAAAUAUUAAAAAAUAAUCUCACAUAAAAUAAAUAGUAAUCAAAAGAAUGAGAAUCAAAUCUAAUAGAUUAAAAAAUUAAAAAGUAUAAAAUUAAAAACAAAUUCAAUUCUAAAAAAUAAUUCAAAUAAAAAAUAUCAAUGGAAAGAAAAUAGACCAAAUAUGAAAAAAAAAAAAUCAAAUUAAAGGGUUACUAUACAAGUUUAGAAGGUAGAGUGCGGAAUUCGAGGAUAAAGACAAAAGAAAAGAAAAAAAAAGUCAUCUGGUGCCAAACCAAAAAGAAUUACUCCACACAUGCCACUAAGGGAGGUAGGUCAUGUCGUGGUGAAUCAAUAAACAUCAAUGAAGGCCUUUUUUGGGUGUCAUAAGCCAUUGCUCGUGCUGCUUAUUAGGAGUGAUCAUUUUCGGUUCGGUUUGGGUUCGUUUCGGUUCGGUUUUUUUCAGUUUCAGGCUUAAAAAUCUGAAACCGAACCGAACCAAUCGGUUUUUUCAAAAUUUUAAUCGAUUUUUUUUCAUGAUUUAUUUUUUUAGUUAUUUUUCCGGUUUCCGGUUUUCCUGUUUUAAUCGGUUUUCAGUUUUUUUUCUUAUCCCUACUGCUUACAUAAGGCAAAACAACUUACUCGCUUGUGUGUUCUACAAAAAAGCCAACCACUUUUCUUCUUCUUCUUUUUUUAAUCACAAAAAAAACAAAAAAACAAAAGCAUGAAUAAGCCAUUGAAAAAAGGUAAGUAUUUUUAAUUUUAAAAGAAAUAAAGUUAUUUUAUUGCACCCCGAAAAGUGAAAAAUCUUUAAAAAGCCCAUAUAGCUAAUUUAUUUAUUUUUACUUUUAAGAGCAACUAAGUAAUUAUACCGUAAAAAACAAUACCUAACUAUCCCUAUCAAUUCUAUAAUGACUAUUGGCCCUUAUAAGAAGACCCUAUUAUCCCUAAGUAGUUUAUUUUUUUUAGAAUGAAAAAUUAGUAAAUUCAUUGUUACAAUCCAUUAGUACAUCAAGACAUUUCUCAAGGAUUUUAAAUUUUUGUUAAUACAAUCGAUAAAGUUAUCCUCUAUUAUUCUAUAAUACAAUCAGGACAAAAAUAUUCUAAUGAUACUAAAAAUGUCUUUGUAAUAUUGACUUUUUCUAAAGAUGCCUCAAUAAAUUCAAUUUAGAUAAUUGAAAUUUUAUUAUCGAUCUAUUAAAUAAUAGAAAUUAGCAAAAAGUUCAAGAAUUUUUUUAAUUUGUUUUCAAUUUUUAUUUUAUAAAAAUUGUGACAAUUGAGAUUUGAGACGUGCUCUCUUUUAUUUUAAAAGUCAAAAUUAAAGAAAAACUAGGUUGAUCAUAGACAAAUGGGUCGUUAAAAAGCUAUUUAAUGAAUCAAAAAUAUAUACUAAUAAUUAUUUACUCAAGAAUUAGUUUUGAAACUCUUGUUGCAUUGUGAUUAUUUUGAUAUUUAAUCACACGUUUAAUUGAAAAACAUUGCAAAAAAAAGCUAUGAUCAUCAUUGAAACAAUACAGGGAGGAUUUGAGAAUAAGAAUAAGUAAAUAGAUGUUUACCUAUUCCGUACGUCCCAGCCUGAUAGAUUGGUCACCGUAGAGAGACAAUCUUUCCAGAUCUGAACCUUCUCCAAAUUUUCCUUUUGUUCAUGCUCAGCGAAGGCUUUCUCAUAAGUAUCUGAGGGAUCCACAUCAUAAAAAACUGGCAGAACAGUGUGCCCCAUCUCUUUCAUGCACUGAACGAUCUUGACAAGUUCAUCCAAACACCAUGGUGAAGAAGCGUAAUCUCUUGAAAAUACAAUGACAGAAAACCUUGAUUCUUCGAUGGCCUUCCAGAGAGCACGUUCUAUGGUCUUUCCUCUCUCGAGCUCCCUAUCAUCCAUGUAUACAUCGAUGCCUCUCUGUUUCAGAUUAGAAUAUAGAUGACUAGUAAAGUUGUCCCGGGUGUCUUUGCCUCUAAAACUAAGGAACACAUCAUACAUAUAUUGUGGAGGAGAAGAAAUGAAGAUGAGUAUUCCUUGCAUGCUGCUGGAAGCCAUGAAAAUCCCUAUAGCGAUAAAUUAGUACCGAUCCCUUCUAGCCUCAACUAGCUAGCGUGUAAGGCCUGCUCCUGUGGUCAAACAUGAAGCAGAAUGUAAGAUCGGGAAAUUUGGCAAUUAAAUCUACCAAUUAGCAAUUUCAAGCUCGAACAUGUACAAUUCUACUUAGAAAUCAGAAAACACCAAAUUUCUACGAGUAUUUCACGAAUCUAGACGAAAACAAACCGUGUGGUAAGUGUCGACUAAAGAGGCACAAGAUCCAGCCAAGCCCAAUAUUUUUUCUUCUUCUGGUAUCUUAGUAACCAACUUCGAAGCCCUUUUCUUUCUUUUUAUUCCAAUGACUUCGAAUUUCUUCCGGUUUCUUUAGAUCAAGAACUCGUACUGGUAAGUUUCCUGGAUUUUCUUACGGAUCUUUUUCUUACACUGUAAAGAAGAUGGAGUUUCGGUGGAGAAAAAGCAAAAAGAGAAAUGAAAGGGAUAUCGAAAUUUGAGUUGCACUGGCGGCAGAGGCACCUUCCUGUCAAGAGCAGGGGUUGGGCCACACACAUCACAAUUGAGUUGAUUUAUAUAUUUAAAAUAAAUAUUUUUGGACUUCUUUUGUCUCUUUCCCUUUGUUGCCUUCCUCUCCCUUAUAUAAUUCUGCACAAGAGCAACUCCAAUAAAACAUGCUAUUUUAAAAAGUUGAAAAUUAAAUUGAUAAAAUGGUUUUUAAAAUAAUAUAAGUAUAGUUUUAUUUAUUUUUGUGUAUUUCAAUGGUAAAAAUCCAUUUAGAAGAGCUAAUUAUAUUUUAAUAUAUUUUAUAUUAAACUAGUUUUAAUAUAAGUAUAUAACUUAUUUUUUAUAUAAUAUAAUCAUGUUAUUUAUUAUACAAUUAAUAUGAGUAACUUAUAAAAUUAAUGAAGUAAUACGAAAGUUUAAAAAUAUAUUUUAAAAUUUUAAAUUUUAAACUUUUAAAAUCAAAAUUUUUUAUAUUAAUAUUUUUAAUUUUUAAUUUUAUAUAAUAAUGUUAAAAUUUUUAGGUUUUGAGGUUGGCAAGCUUCUUUUCUUCUUGUUGUUCUGUUUUUAAAGAGAGAAACAAAAGCCAACCAUAGAUAAAGAGAUGUUGGCUAAAGGGUAUAUAUACUUUCUCCUUGUUUUUGACUUUUAUAUGUAAAUAUUUAAAAAUAGUAUUUUAGUAGAAGAAAAUAUAUUUUGGUUUUCUCUUUCCAAUGACCUCUUGCAUUGUAGUUGCUCUACUGCUUUUGAUGCUCGAUAACUUUUCGAACAAUUGACUUCAAAUUAUAAAUUGGAUGACAAAAUUUAACAAUUUAAGGCAUAAUAAAAUAUAAUUCAUAAUAAAUAUCAUAUUAAUAGCUUUGUUUUAAAUAUGUAUAUAAUUUUGUUGGUCUAGUAGGAUCGAAAAAGACCCUUUAAUGUAUAAAUUAUUGUUGUUGUUUAAAACAAUAUAUUUAGUCUAAAAGUUAGAAAAUAGCAUUGUUUUAAAUAUUUAUAUUAUUUUUUUCACAUAAAAUAUAUUAGUUAACAAAAAGCUAAAACAUGCAGUGAAAUUACUGUAACUAAUAAAACACUGUAGGUUUUGUCUUUAGUUUGUUGGAAAGUAAUGCCUUAUUUGUUUAAAGGAAACUCAAUUUCAGGAAUUUAUUUUCCUCAUUUUCCCUUGUUUCGCAACCAUCCGGAAAGUUAGUCAAAGGAAAGUUAAUUCCAGUCAACAAAAAAAUUGCUUUUACCUGCAGGAAAGUGUUUUCAUUUCCUUGUCAAAAGGAAAACACUUUCCUUUACUGAUAAAACACAUCUCAACCACUCUUUGUGUCUCUUUCUGAGAACAGUUGAAAAGCAAAGAAGAUCUGGAGAAUCACACUAACAUUUCAAGUAUUUUUUCCCUCAAAUUUCUCUAUUAUUUCUCUUUAUGUUUUUAUCUUCUUCGUAUUUUUUAGAUCUGUAAGAAUUAUAGCAAAAAAUCCUUGAUAUUGUUUAAUUUGUUGUUUGUUCCGAAAAAAACUAUUUCUUUGUAUUUGUAUAUGCUAUGCUAACAAUCCAUCAUGGUUGGGGAAGCUGCCUGUCAAUUUUUUCCCAGACCCAGUUUUCUUCUUCAUCUCCUCGUCACAUUCAAAUAAGCUCACAGAAAAACCCAACCAAAUUCAGCACAAGCAAAACAUAAAAAACACAAUUUUUCUUGCACAUUCGACAGCUUCCCCAACCAGUUAUACCCUGUUUCCCCGAACAAAGAGAGAUACGCAAACAGGAGGGGAAACUGCCGGGGGAGAGAGGGAUGAGAACUGGGACUGAGGAGCAGAUCCCUGAGAUAUUAGUUGUCCUGCCCAUUGCCCCUUGAAUCUGUGAUGUUGUCCUGCUUCUUCAGAAAAUAGGGGAAUGGCGAGAGAGAAUCGAGAGAGAACAGGGGAAGAGAAAGAGAGCCGAGAGAGAACAGCCACGAGAGAACUGUGUAUGCAGGAGGGGAAACCGAAUGAGGGGAAACCCAUGGGAAUGACAGGGGAAUGAGGGGAAACUGAAUGACAGUGGAAUGAGAGGGGAAUUAGGGGAAACCGAAUGAACUGGGGAAUGAUAGGGUAAUGAGAGGGGAAAUGAGGGGAAUGACAGUGGAAUGAGAGAAACCGAAUGAGAGGGGAAUGAAGGGGAAUUUGUGAGAAACCAGAAGAACUGGGGAAUGAGGGAAUUUGUGAGAAACCGAAUGAGAGGGGAAUGAAGGGGAAUUUGUGAGAAACCGGAAGAACUGGGGAAUGAGAGGGGAAUGAGGGAAUUUGUGAGAAACCGAAUGAUGUCUUUAAUUAAGUUAUGGGAGAGAGUUAGAGACUUGCAAUGCAAGAGCUGGGAACAGUGGGGUUUUUUUUAUAAUGCAAAGAUAUAGGCUGCUAUAGUUUGUUCAUGUGGUUGUAGUAGAACGCGGCACAUAUCAUGAGAACUAAUUAUAUUAUAUUUGUAAUUUCAGUUAUAAAUUAUGUGUUUAGUAACAUAAUGAAAUAUAAUGUAAUACAACUCUAAGUAGGUAUUGUUCCCCUAAAAAUAGAAAUUAACAAUAAAAUCUCUCUAAUUUGUAAUUGAUGAUUGGGUUGAUUAGUUUGUUUAUCAUACAAAUAUUAUGGACCAGCCUUGCCUAUCUAUUAGUGCCUAAACUCAACAAUCUCCAUUGUUACAACUAACAAAUCAAAAUAAAUAGAAUUGAACCUGGCCAUGAACUCGAUCUUGUGUUGUGUUGCUGCAUCACGAGGUGAUUUUCAAACUUAUGUUUAUUUAAUUAUUCGAUAAUCACAUUAUUUUUAAGAAUUAAAAUGAUUGAUCUUAUUGAUCGUUGUGAACUUAUGAAUUGUAUAUUGUCAGCUUCUUUGAGUAUAAUUUAUUGUAUUGAUUAUGUAAGUAUUUUAUAUGGAUUUUUUAAUAUUUAUUUCCCUAUAUUUUUAGGUUUUGUUAUCGGAAAACUUCACUUUCAUGUUAUGGAUAGUAAGAUAAUUCAUGCAGCAUGCAUUGGAGCAAUUGUAACUGUGAUAGCUACAGGGGUAGCUAUUAUUGAACAAGAAAAAAAAUACAAUUUAUAUACCAAGAGAACCAUGUAUAAAUGCAGUUGCUCAACGAGAAUUCUAUAUUGACAGCAUUUUGAAUCGAGGUGAUAGACAUUGCGUUGAACAAAUUCAUAUGAAACCUGUUAUCUUAUAUAGAUUGUAUGAUGUUCUCAUAAGUCGUGACCUGUUAUGAUCAACUCAAAAUGUAUCUAUUAGGGAGCAAGUAAUUGUGUUCUUACAAAUUGUAGGCCAAAACCAAAGAUUUCGGGUUAUUAGUGGUAUAUAUUAUAGGUCUGUUGAAACUAUCCAUCGUUACUUUAGAAUUGUUUUAAAAGCAAUUCUUAAGUUAUACAAACACCUUAUUAAAAAUCUAGAGGAUAUAGUUCCAGCAGAGAUAAUGAAUAAUAGAAGAUUCUAUCCUUAUUUUAAGGUAUGAAAACAAUACCAAUAUUUUUAUGAAUUAAUUAAUUACAUUAAGAAGAAAAGGUUAUAAAUUAUUUUUUCAUGUUUAUAUAGGAUUGUGUGGGAGCAAUUGAUGGUACCCAUGUUCCUACAAAUGUUCCUGUUGAGAUUCAAGGAAAGUUUCGAGGUCGAAAAGAAGGAACAACACAAAAUGUUUUAGCAGCUAUAACUUUUGAUUUGAAGUUUAUAUAUGUUUUAGCUGGCUGGGAAGGAAGUGCCCAUGAUUCACGGGUUUUAGGUGAUGCAUUAUCAAGAUCUAAUGGUCUAAAAAUUUCAAAAGGUAUAUAAUAAAGUAUGUAUUAUAUGCAAUAAACAUAUAAAAUGUCUUAUUACAUAAAGAUAGUAAUAGUUUUUUUUUAAUUUGUAGGGAAAUAUUAUCUUGGUGAUGCUGGUUACAGUAUUCGAAAAGGAAUUAUUUCUCCUUUUUGUGGAGUUCGAUAUCACUUGAAUGAUUUUAGAGAACGUUCACCAGAAAAUAAAAAGGAGCUAUUUAAUCUUCGACACUCUUCAUUGAGAACCGCUAUUGAGCGAGGGUUUAGUGUUUUGAAGAGUCGUUUUAGAUCAAUUGAUGGAAAAUCUUUUUGGUCUUAUGAAACACAAGUAGAUGUUGUGCUUGCAUGUUGUAUUAUUCAUAAUCACAUAAUGGGGGUUGAUCCUUACAACUUUCUUAUGGAAGAAAUAUGUUCGGAUAGUGAACCAAUUAGACGAACAAUCAACUUAAGUCAACGGGAGGAAAGGGAAGAGAAUAGGGAGUGGAUAACAAAAGGAGAAAUGAUUGCCUCAACCAUGUGGAAUGAUUAUAACACUCAAAGAAAUUAGUAAUUGAGUGUUAAUUAUAUGUGUUUGUUUAUAUUAUGUCUUGCUUGAGUUUGUAUUAUAUUUGUUAUGUAUUUGGAGUAGAUGUUGACCUUAUUAUAAUUUCUCUUUUAAUCAUUAAUUAUAGUUUUUAUAUGAAAUUUAUUAAAUCUAAAUAUUGUAUGAUUUUAUUUUGUAUAAAUUUGUAAUUUCUUUUUUGUAGAAAUGAGUUCCACGCAGAAUGAAAAAUGCAAGGGCAAGCACUUCACAUGGUCUAAGCCUAUGUCUCACAUGUUGCUUGAGAUAUUAGCUGAGGAGGCACUUAAAGGAAGCAAACCAUCUUCCACUUUAAAGCAGAAUCUUUUGUUAAGGUGGCUACAGAAAUCAGUCAAAAGUUCAACGUGCAAUGCGAGCCUAAGCAUGUGGACAAUCAUCCCAAGACUGUGAAAAAAGAAUGGGGAAUAAUAACCAAGCUUAAAAAUAAAAGUGGCUUUGGCUAGGAUGAUUGUUUGAAGAUGAUUACAGUUUUGAAAGAUAUAUAUGAUGAAGAAGUAAAUGUAUGAUAAAUAUUAUACUCUUUGUAAUUUUUAUAUUUACUUUUGUUUCUAAAAUGUUAUACAAUGAACUAAAAAAUUGCAUAUUCUAAACUUUAUGAACAGACACAUCCCAAUCAUGACAAGUAUCUCAACAAAAAACUUGAUAUGUACGAGGCAAUGAUAAUUGUUGUUGGAAAAGACAUGGCAACCAGAAAUUAUGCCAAAUUAUAUGUUGAUGUCAACUUGGAAAAGAACACUGAAGAGCAAUCAAUUUCAAUUGAAAAUGAAGGGAAUAUGAAGAAACUUCUAAGGGAAAAGAGACAUCUUCCUCUAGUACACAAAAGAGGCAAUAUAGGAAGAGAAAUCGCAAGUAUGAAGAUGAUGGUGUUGAAAAGUUGUCUAAACAGAUUGGAGAUGUAGCAUUUGCAAUUCAAAGUCUCAGCAAAAAUUAACUUGAUGUUAAUGCGUUGUAUGCGGAAGUGAUGAAAGUUGAAGGCUUUGAUGAGAUAACUCUUGGGGAUGCAUUUGAUCAUUUUGUCCAAAAUGAAAAGUUGGCAAAAGCAUUUAUGGCAAAAAAUGCUAAUUUGAGGAAAAUUUGGGUUCAGAAUUUUGUGAACCAACACUACUACAGGCCUGCUUGCUAAGAUGGUUUGACUAUGUUCAAAAUUUGAGUUCAGACUAUGUUUGUUAUUUGACAAGUAUGUUUACUUGUUUAAUUCGGUCUAGCAUGUUUAUGUUUGUAAUUUGAACUAAUAUGUAUGUAUAUGACAUCGAAACGUAAUAUUUAUGCAUGCCUAUGUUUGAUGUUAGGUAUUUAUAUUUAUUUCUUGAUGCUUAUUUGAUAUAUAUUAAAGGGAUAAUGACCUUUACCCGUAAAAAAAAAUAUUUAUCCAAAAAACCCAUCAAAAUAUUUUUGUAUCUAUUUAUCUUUUAAAAAAUACUUCAUACCAAAAAAAAAACCUAAUAUAUAAAUCUUACCAUAAACUAAUUUGGCUUUCUUCAUAUGAAAAAAUAAAAAACUUAUUUUAAGCUUUUAAAAUUAAAAAAUAUAUAUUAAUAGGUUUUACUUCAAAAAUAUUUCACAAGCUUAUUUCUAUAUAAUAUGAUAUGACAUAUAUAGUUAUAUUUUAUAAAAUAAGCUAUGUAUGAAUAUAACAUAUAAUAAAAAAAAAUUCAUCAUUAUACUUUUUAGAUUUCAUUCUUUUAUUGUAAGUAAUUAAAUAUUUAUAUUAAAUAUUAUAUAUAUAUUAGAUAAACUUGAAAAAAAAAUUAAUUCAUUAAUAAAUUAUUUUCCAGUUUAUUUUCCAUAACAUAACCAAACACUGGAAAGUAUUUUCCAGUUCAUUUUCCAUAACACUACCAAACAUCAAAAAAUACUUUUCCGGAAUUCACUUUCCCCGGAAUUCACUUUCCAAAAGGAAACAACUUUCCUGCAAACAAACGGAGCCUAAGGUUAUUUUUUAGGGUUGUUUUGGUCUUUUUAACAGGGAUAAAAAAGAGAGGUGAUGAUGAUUUUUGACCUAAGAAAAAGAAGAAUAGGAGGAAAGACGAGCUUGGAUUCAAUAGCUAUUGCGUCUUGUUCCCAGUUUCUUAUUGGUCAGGGCUUGUGCACUUUGAUUUACAGUUGGUUAGAAAAAAAAAAUGUUCAUCUCUAUGGCAUGCAGGGCGUUGUUUGUAAUGCUUCCUGUUUUUUGGAUCAUCAAUUUCCAAAUGAUUUGGAUGAACACCCUAUUUAUAUAUAUGGAUUGUGUUGUUCUUGCUAUUUUAGUUAAUGAAAGCAAAUAUAGACCCCUAUAACUUGCUUUCUGAAUCAGUUUUUUUUUUUUGUUGCUAUGAACAUGUUUUAUAAUGAAGUCCAAAAAAAUCCAAGUAUUUUAGAAAUAGGUUUUCAAGUUGAAUAAUUAGUUAAUUAAAUGAUCUUAACAAUCUGAUUCAUUAAUAGCUUCUGGUUAGUACCAGCAAAAGAUCUAAUUUGAUAAAGGUGAGAACCCUUUAAUACUUAAAUAAGUAUCUUUUAAAAAAAAAAAAUACAAUAAUAUUCUAGAGAGAGAUGCUUUGAAAUAUAUAUAAUAAAAAAUGAAGAUUAUGAACCUCUCUGUUUUGAAGGUCUCAUUGAGAAUUAUGUGUGUUAAUAAGUGAAAAAUAUCAUAAACGAAGACUAAAAAUAAAAAUGAAAAAAAUCAAGAGACAAGUGUAGAUCAAAAUAUUUAAUUUCACAAGACAUGCCAUUUAUACGGUUGAGUUUGCUAAAUUUAUUAAUUAAAAUAAUUUUUUUAUUCAAUCAAAUGAUAAUAAAAAUAGACACACAUAUUAAAUUGAUUGAAUAAAAAAAAAGAAAAAAAAUAGUAUGCAAGACUGCACAUAUUAUAAAUAUUAUUUGAAAAUAAUUUUUUUAUUUAAAAAAAUAAAGUUCAUCUAUACAAAGAUUAAAAAAAAAAUCAGAAAAACAUCCAAAAAAAUUAAAAAAUAAUUGUCAUUUCAAUUAGGCUUUCUGAAUAUCAUAAAAGAGAAAACACAUAUUGAUCUAAAUAUAAAUAAAAUAAGAUUAAGAUAAAUUUAAAAAAAUUGAAAAAAAUUUGUUAGCUUUUUCUUCUUUUUAGAUAUUCAAACAUAUAAAGAUUUGAUAUUUGAGGGUUUUGUUCAGGUUUUUAAGUGACUGUAUCAGUUAUUGGGAUUCUCAAUGAAUUGUUAAUGAGGUUAGAGGAAAAUAAUUUCAUGAGAACUGUCAUAACCCAAUUAUGGGUUAUUCCCCAAAAAUAACUUUUUUUGCAAAAUAAAAAUAAAAUAAUAAAAUAAAGGCUGGAAAUAUGGAGAAAGCAGGCCGGGGAAUCAAGCUGUAAUUUUUUUUUUGGAGGCAAUUCAAGGCCUAAUUGUACCCCAUCAUACCAAAAAUGGAGAAAACAAUGCAAAUUCAAGGUCAAAUUAAAUGAUUAUUGGACAAAUUUGCAUAAACAUUAAGUCUAAGGAUAAAAUUAAAUUUUUAAUAGGCCAAUUUGAUUUAAUCAUGGGCCAAAUUGAAUUUUAAUUAUGUUUGAGAAUUAAUUUUGGUUCAAUUAAAGGAUUUAAUUAAGUGCAAGGACUUAAUUAUACUUUAAAUGAGUCAAAUUAAUUUUAUUUGGGGCUUAAUUUGUGAAAAUAUUAAGUCCAAGGACAUAAUUAAUUUUUUAAUAGGCCAAUUUGAUUUAAUCAUGAACCAAAUUAAAUUUUAAGAAUUACUUUGGGUCCAAUUGAAGGAUUUAAUUAAGUGCAAGCACUUAAUUAUACUUUAAAUGGGUCAAAUUAAUUUUAUUUGGGGCUUAAUUGGUGAAAAAUUAAGUUUGGGAGCUUAAUUUGGGUUUAAUUGAGAAGAUUGGAAUUUUAAGAGACCAAAUUUAAUUUUUUUACCAAGUUAAUUGGUUGAAAUUAGGGUCCAAAUUGCAAGAAAAUUAAAGUUUUGGGGUCAAUUAGGGGUUAAAUUGACAAAAUUCAAAGCCAAGGACCAAGAUGCAAAAGGCGCCAAACUAUAGAUGCUUAAUUGACAAAAAUCGGGGGGCAAAAUUGAAGAGAUUGGAAGUUUGAUGGUCAAUUACGGGUUAAUUGGCAAAUUCCGAGACCAAGGACCAUAUUGUAAAAGUCGCGUAACUUCGGGGUUCCAAUUGAAGUUCAUCCAGGGGGUUAAUUGCAAUAAAUUAGAAGUUUAGGGUCAAUUAAGGGUUCAAUUGAAAGCCAUUGAAAGCUUGAGGACUAAAUUGAAAAUCAGUUUAAAUCCCUAAUUACCCCGAAACGGCGUCGUUUUAUGAAAAAAAAAAAAACAAACGACGCGUCGUCUAGCAUUGUUCAUUAUCUUCCCCGAUUUUGCCCGUGAAUGCUGCCUGGGCAGCUACUUUUCAGGCGCAUUUAAUGCUUCUUUUCUACAUCAAAUCUAACAAAACGUGCAAGCAAAUGAUCCCCCACAGUUUCCUUACAACCCCAACUGAGCAUUUCAGUCUAAAUAUCAACCAGACGGCGCCGGCUUGAACAGGCCAACUCGGGCAGCUUUUUUCUGCAAAUUAAACAGCUCAUGAUGCUCACUUUGAGCCAACGGUUGGGAUCCUUCUCGACCGAAUCAAGGGCUGAAAUUUUUCCCCAAUGUAGACAAGAUUGCUCUCUUCCACAUCCUAUAAAUAGAGGCAGAUUUGAUGGUCUGGGGGCGAAGAAAAUUGAACCCAAAGUUGGCCGAAAACCAGUCUUCCCUGCCUCGUUUUCCUACAACCAACCCUUUCUCUUCUUUCUCUCUCCGCCGUGGCCAUCAGCCACCACCACCAUCAUCACUUGUCUUCUCGCCGUCAUCUCCACCUCAAGCAGCCGUCAAAACAUCACCUGUGGUGGUUGCACCACUUAUCUCUCUCUCUCUCCUCUGUAAAACGCUUCUUCUCUGCCACCGUGGCCCCCGCAGCAGCCGCAGCAACCACCUGGCCCAGAAGCUUUGGUUCUUCCCAAAGGCCGCCAGGACAGUAGCAACCCUCUCCACAGCCACUCCAACAGCUCCAACCGCGAGUUUCCCCUCUCCUUUGCAAGCCUCUGCUUCUUUUUCUUCCAACUGCAACCAGAGCUAGCUGCUGACCUCUCCACUUCCAGCCGCUCCAGGGGCCACCAGCCAGGCCGUCAGCUCCUUCAGCGCCAGGUAAGUCUCCCUCCUCUCUUCUCCUUCUUCUUCCCUUCACUGCCAUUGCUGCACAUGAACAGUGCAACAUGAAUUAUAAUUCACGUUGCACUGUUUCAUGCAACUUAGUCACUGGGCUGUACAGUGACUAAGUUGCUUCGGGCUGGACCUGCCCUAGCCCAGCCCAGUUGGUUGGGCCGGGUCCAGCCCGUUCCUAAAAUACAGGGAGAAGGAUAUGUUGCGCCGAGUCUGGCCCAACUAGUUUGGGCCGGUAUCAGCCCACUUGUUCAUGGACCUGUUCUGGGUCCAGCCCACCGGUUUUAAUAAUGUUUAAUUAAUAUAUAAUGUUAUAUUAUAUAUAUUUUCUUUUUUAAAAAAAAAAAAUUCAAAAAAACGAAAACAAUUCCAAAAAAAUUCAAAAAAUCCUUUGAAAAAAAUUGUGAUUUUCUCAAAUAUUUUUCUACCAAUUUUGCGUAAUAUCGGGUUGUAUAUUUACACUGUAAAAUACAAAUCCAGUAUUAAAAUACCGUUUUCUCCGAAAUAUUUCAAAAAAAAAUCAAACAUUUUCAAAAAGAAAAAAUAUUUCAUUGCAUACGGCCAAAUCCUAAAAUUUUUCCAAGCAUGUUUUGCAUAAAUAAUAAUAGAAAUAAAAUAAAAAAAAAAAUAGAUAUCGUAACCAGUUUAUGAUUAUCCCUUAGGAUUUGGCCAACAUGUCAAAAAAAGUUUUCCAAUAUUUCUUAAGGUCUAGAUGUAAACUUUAAUAUUUGUGGGGUGUAAAAUUACACGAUAAAGUACACCCUCAAGUAUUAAAGAUACAAGAGGUAAAUAAAUGCGAUGCUAAUAUGCAGACUUUAGAACGGUUGGGAUUUAACCCAAUAAGGUAGAGACUUUCUCAUGAAGGGAGAUCUACCUUAAGCCUUAGAAAAGACCAACGAUUUGACACCCGACCUAGAAAAACAAUCAAACAACAAUGCAGCUUACCUUAGGUAGGGUGCACUGGAGGUGAUGCGUCUUCCCCUUGCACAACCAGUCCCUUAUUCAGACUCUUGCAGACCAUAGGUUCCUAGUGACCAUAAUACUAGGUGGCGACUCCUAAACAUUAAUCAUAAUUUUAUGAUUAAAUUCAAAAACCUUUCCCAACGCACAACACCUCUCACACAGGAGGCACGACAGAGAGCCUCCGCCGUUGCCAGACGAUGUCCCCCCGCGACAAGAACAACCAGACAGUACUAUUGUGCUUCUUAUAAUGAUUCAGGAGUUGCUUAGAGUUCUUGAAAACGGGCAUUUCUUGCAUUGAUGGAUGUCUGCUGUAUAUUUGUUUAUGACUUUUUAUUCUUUUGUGUGAAUAGCCCCCUUAUUCAUAAAAGCCUUAUGUAAUGUUGAAUUAAUAUGCAUAUCAAAAUAUUAAAAAAUGAAGGAGAAGGAGAAUAUGCUUUGUGGGAUUCAAUAGCUAUUGUAUGUUGAAGACAUUUUCAGAUAUAAGGGGUCCCAAAACAAGCGUGGUGGAAAACAGGUGUAUCUGUGGGAAGUUCAAAGCAAGCUGAUUCAUUGCAUUUAUGAGUGUUUGAUAUGUGGAAAAGUUAUUGUUGACUUUUAUAUAUCAUUUAUCCCAAAUUUAUUUUUAUAAAUAAAGAGUAAUAUUUUCUUUUGAGCCUCGGUUAUCUGCCUCUUCCUCUUAUAUAAAUUUCUCUUAAGUCUAGAUAAACAAGUAAUUUCUUUUGCUUUAUAUUUUAGGUAAAUUUCUUUCAUCUUUUCUAUUUAUUUUAUUGUUUAAUUUUACUUUUAUUCUUUUAUAAUUAGUUAUUAAAAAUAUUAGGGUUUAUGAUAAUUUAGGGGUUUUGAUAUGAAUGUAUUCAAAUAUAUUCAAAAUAAAGGUUUGAAUUUACUAAUUUAAUCAAUUAAAUGUUUCUUUUAUUAUUAUAAAUUAAUUAAUUAAUGUUCAUGCAAAACUACUAUUCUUGACGUUUCUUGUACUGACAAGGUAGAUUAUUAAAAUUAUUUAACUGAGAUCUCUUAAUUUACAAUAAUCAUGGAUUACUUAUUUUAUUAAGGUCUCUUAAUUUACAAUGUACAUAUAUUGAUUUUCAUUUUAUAUCACAAAUUUGUUUGUAAUUAAUUGUUAAUGAGAUGCUUGGAGUUAGGAUAGGGUAUCGGUUUAAAUCCCAUAAGCUACACUUUUUCCAUCUUGAUAUUUUGUCUUAUUUGAAAUUAGAGUUUAGUAUUAAAACUUGUUUCACAUAUUUGACUUAGUGAGUUCAUUCAAUUUUUUUGUGUUUGUCUAGAAAUAAUUUAAAUGUUUAGAAAUGAUUAAGUAUAAUUUUAUCAACAUACUUAUUAUAUGCAUAUAGAUAUGAAUUGAAAUGAGUUUUGAUAAAUUGAUGCGUAUUUUGCUAUGAAUUUAUAUAAAAAAUUUAAAAUUAUUGUGUAAUUCAACUAACUUUUGUUUAACAGUGAAUUAUUGUGUAGUUAUGUUGAUUAUUAUGUAGACAUUAAUGAUAAUAAAAAAAAUCAACAGGUUCAAUUAAAUCAACAUGUUACUAGACAAGUAUUUCAAGCAUAAAUCCCUCGAGGAUGAAGAGUUAUUCAAAGCUUCAAAUUAUGUAACUCAAUUAAAUUCAAAUAAAAGUCAUAUUAAAAAGUUAUAUAAUUUUUUUUUAGUAAUUUUCCCUCUCAUCUAAAAAACUUUGGCUCCGCCACUGUAUAGGCACUUGGAGCUUUUCCUGAAAAAGUUGUUGAUUGUGAUGGCGAAAUCAUCUAUAAUGUUUUUGAGGUGUUUUAAAAGAAAUAUAUAAAAUAAAAAUAUAAUAAAUUAAUAUAAAAUAAACAUAGAGAUCAUUUUUAGAAACUAAUAAAAAUCUAAAUCACAAAUAAAAUAUAAAAAACUUCAUAUAAAAAUAUAUAUAAAAAAGAAAAAUCGAUGUUUUAGCGAUGCUUUGAUAGCUAGAAAAUCGAGAGCCACCAUUCCUGGGCAUGCAAAAUGCCAUUUUCAAUUAUUUUUCAACUUUAAAAUCAAUAGCUAGAAAAUCGAGAGCUACCAUCUAAAUUUUUAAUUUAAUUAUUUUUUAUAGAUUAAAACUGAACUUAACUGAAAAUAAUUGCUUCUAAUUUUUAGUAUAAAAACCUCAAACCCAUCCUAAUAGUUUUUAUAGACCCAUUUUCAACUUCAAAAUCUAUUCUAAUCCACUUUAAAUGGUUUUAAAUUGAAGUUAAAGUUUCGAAGCAAAAAACAUAUAGGCUUUCAUCUAAAUUUUAGAUCAUGGAUUGGUUGUUCAUGGAAACUAAUCAAUUCAACUCAAUCAUAUGACUUAUAUUAUAUUUUUUUAUUUUAUUAUUAAUUAAAAUAGAUAUAACAUUUUAAAAUUCUUGAACUUUCUUAAAAAAAAAAAUUGUUGAAUUGUGGCCCCCCUAUCUUUUUCUCUCUCCUCAUCCAAUAUUGAGUGACUUUCUUUCUUCUCUUUCAAACAUAAGAAAUAUUGAAAUAUAAUUUUGGAUCAAAACUUAAAAUGCUAAAAUUAUAGAAACAAAAUGAAAAAUAUAUAAAGAAAAAGGAACAAAAGUGCAUUUCACUCUAAACUUUAGAAAGGUCAUGUGUUUUCUUUUAUCUUUUUUUUUUUAAUUUUGUCUUUAUGGAACAAAUUCAAACAUCAUCUUAUUAAAUUUAAAUUGAUUUCAAAUCAAGUUUCAAAAUCUAAUAAUAGAAAAAAAAGUAUGAGGAUAAAGAAAGGAAUCACUAUGAAUAAUUUUGUUACACUAAUAUGAUUGAAAAGACACUUUAAUGUAUGAACUGCUAGCUAUUGGUUAGUGCAAUAAGUGUUUAUAUAAUUAUUUUCACGAGAUGUAUGUUUCUAAAACUCAAUAUUUAUAUUUUUCAAAUCACUUCACGUCUGCUACAAAGAACAUUCAUCACAUUAAAGACGAUUAAUGACCUCUCUGACUGUUUUAAAAACUAAAACUGAAUUGAACUGGAAAUUUUUUAUUUUUUAAUUAAUUAAUUUGAUUUUUUUAUUUAAUGUUUUCAGUUGAUUUUUCUUAAUUGAUUUUUAAGUUUUCUUGAGUAUCAUUAAUGCUUAUUAUACUGAAAAUCAAGAAACCAAAUACCUUGAUAAAGUCUGCAAAAAAGCAAAGGGAUAAUUUGAUAUUAUCAGCAAGGAUAAUCAAAGAAAAAAAAGAUUAAAGCAUGCAAAACAAAAUAGCCAAGAAAAAACUAUCUAACUAAAUUAAGGAAGUUUACUUUUCAAAAAUAAAAUAAAAAUAAAAAUGAGAUGAACCAAUUAUAAGCACCUAAUCUAAUUUCAAUUCACAUAAAAGAGCAUAAGAGAUCAUCUCAGUGGGACAGUAUAAAAAAGCAAAAGAAAAAUUUAUUCAAGAGCGCAUGAGUGAUGAAAGUUAAUUUUUUGGUUACAAGAGAUCAAAUAUUUUAAAUUAUAUUUAUCCCUCAGUUUUUCUUGAUUUAGUCUUCACUUUACAUCAACAUUAUAUUCUAACAUUUAUUUUUCUAUUAACAAUAAAAAAAUAUUUCUUCAACCUAAACAAAAGUUAACAGUGCUAUUUUUGGUUACAAGAUGAAGAUGAGGUCAUUCAUUGCGCGCUGGUGGAAGCCAUGAAAAUCCCUAUAGCGAUAAAUUAGUACCGAUCCCUUCUAGCCUCAACUAGCUAGCUUUGUUCAGCCAUUGCUUUCCACGCUAUUGUGUAAGGCCUCUCCUGUGGUCAAACAUGAAACAGAAGGUAAGAUCAGGAAAUUGGGCAAUUAAAUCUACCAAUUAGCAAUUCCAAGCUGCAACAUGUACAAUUCUACUUAUAAAUCAGAAAACACCAAAUUUCUACAAGUAUUACACGAAGCUAGACGAAACAAACCGUGUGGUAAGUGUUAACUAAAGAGGCACAAGAUCCAGGCAAGCCCAAUAUUUGUUUAUUCGUCUGGUAUCUUAGUAACCAACUUCCAAAGCCCUGGAUUUUCUUACGGGUCUUUUUCUUACACUGUAAAGAAGAUGGAGUUUCGGUGGAGAAAAAGCAAAAAGAGAAAUGAAAGGGAUAUCGAACGCGCAUUGGGCAGCAGAGGCACCUUCCUGUCAAGAGCAGGGGUUGGCCCCACACAUCACAAUUGAGGUUUGCAGGCUUCUUUCUUCUUUUGUUUUUGGUUUUUAAGAGAAAAACAAUGCCAACUGUAUAUGUACUUUCUCCUUGCAUUUGGUUUUUUCUACAUAGAGAUGUAAAAAUAGUAUUUUAGUAGAAAAAAAAAGUAUUUUAGCGAUUCAAAUAGCUAUGCUCCAAUGACUUUAAAUUAUAAUUUGGAUGACAAAAUUUAACAAUGAAAGGCAUAAUAAAAUAUAAUCUAUAAUAAAUAUCAUAUUAAUAGCUUGUUUUAAAUAUUUAUAUAAUUUUGUGGGUCUAGUAGGAUCGAAAAGACCCUUCAAUGUAUAAAUUAUUGUUGUUUAAAACAAUAUAUUUAGUCUAAAAGUUAGAAAAUAGCUUUGUUUUAAAUAUUUAUAUUAUUUUUUUCACGUAAAAUAUAUUAAUCAACAGAAAGCUAAAACAUGCAGUGAAAUCACUGUAAAAUACUGGAGGUUUUGUCUUUGGUUUGUUGGAAAGUAAAGUUGUUUUUUGAGGGCUGUUUUGGUCUUCUUAAGAGGGAUAAAAAAGAGAGGUGAUGAUGAUUCUUGACCCAAGAAAAAGAAAAAAGGGAGGAAAGACGAGCUUGGAUUCAAUAUUGCGUCUUGUUCCCAGUUUCUUAUUGGACAGGACUUGCGCAAUUUGAUUUACAGUUGGUUAGAAAAAAAAAAGUUAUAAUCGAUCUUUCAGUUUUUCUUGAUUUAGUCUUCACUUUACAUCAAUAUUAUAUUCUAACAUUUAUUUUUGUAUAUAAUUCUUGAUAUCACAUGCAUCAAUUCUUCUAUUAACAAUAAAAAAAUAUUUCUUCAACCUAAACAAAAGUUAACAGUGCUCGCAUAUUUUUGCAAGAACAUGGUGUGCUGUGGUUUCUUCGAUGGUCAGAAAAUCAAGGGCCAUCAUCCAUGGGCAUCCAAACACCUUUUGCACUGUAAAGAAGAUGGAGUUUCGGUGGAGAAAAAGUGAAAAGAGAAAUGAAAGCGAUAUCGAACGCGCACUGGGCGGCAGAGGCACCUUCCUGUCAAGAGCUGGGGUUGGGCCCCACACAUCAAAAUUUAAAAUUUUAAAAUUGAAACUGAACCGGAGAAUUUUAAAACUGUAACUGAAUUGGAUUGAAUUUUUAUUUUUUUUAUUUAGUUUCUUUUCGUCAUUUGGUUUUUCUAGUUGAUUUUUUUUUUAGUUUAAUCAAUUUUUCAGUUUUCUUGAAUAUCCCUAAUGCUUAUUAUACUGAAAUAUGAUACUUGAAACCAAGGUUGUUAAAAUCGCGAUUUUAGAACGAAACGAAAAGCCGUUCACAAAAUCGAAUCGUAAAAACGGAUCGUAAAAUCGUAAAAUCGUAAGGAAUUUUAAAAUACAUUAAAAAAUUCAUGUUUCAAAUAAAAAUUCAUACAUAGUUCAAGCAAAUUAAAAAACAUGUUUCAAAUAAAACUUCAUACAUAUUUCAAGCCUUCAAAUAAAAAUUCAUAUAUAGUUCAAGCAUCUUAAAAUACACCAAAUAUUUAUGACAUUAUCUAACAUAAUAAAUUAAUAAAUUAUUUUUUAAUUUAUUUUUUAUGACAUUAUCAUAUAUUUAAAAAUAUUUUUCAAUUUAUAUGUUAUAAUAUCACCAAAUAUUAAAAAGUAAUUUGCCUUUCAUAAAUCCAUUUUCUAUGAAAAUUAUUUUCCACUACUUUUAUGAAGCAGUUUAGUUCUUCUUCUUGCUUACGUGCUCUUACACUAUUUUGCUGAACAUCACAUCCAAUCAUGUUUUCAGGUCUGUGAUAGGCUAUUCAGUAAAUUGCAGGAAGCAAUGAUGAGGCAGCCUGACAGGUGGAAUACCGAAGCAGACGUUAAUGGGAUGGGAUCAUUAAAUUAACUUAAUCUGAAGACCGAAGCGAAGACCGAAGACUGAAGAGUCACGUAAAUGGGAAAAGCAAAUUCCAAUAGGCGUCUGACAGGUGGACAUUAGGGGGGAAUUUUCAGUGCAGCAAUUCUAUUGAAAUCGUACAAUCGGUCCUGAUAUCGCGAUUUGACGCGAUUUCAUUUGAUUUUAACGAUUUUACCCGAUUUCAACUCGAUUUUACUCAUUUUUGAUUUUUUCAACCGAUUCAACCCGUAAUGCAUGUUUUGACUCGUAAAAUCGUACGAUUUUACGAGUCAAAACGCGAUUUUGACAACCUUGCCUGAAACAUUUCCGCUUUCUUUAUAAAGGUUAUAAAGCGCAUAACAAUCCUGCACAUUUGUGCAUCCUUGAGUUCUUUUUUAUUCAAAUUAUAUUCUUUUGAUCAGUAUUACUAGUUAAGCACAAUCACAUUAAAUAAUAAAUAAUCAUCAUUUUCAUGUAGUAUUAAGUAUACCUUAUUUGCAGAAACAAUUCUUGUGGGAAUUGGCCGAAAAUUUUCUUUGAGAGUGUAUUUACCUCUAUUUUGUUCUACAUUCUUUUCUUUUCAAUGUUUUUUUUCUUACUUGUCUAUUAAUACUGUAAUGUGGGAUUAAUACUGUGAAUAUAAAAUAUAUAUACUAAAAGACUUCAAGCAUAUAACAGACAUAAUUACAAGGGUGAAGAGUGGUGAAUUAGAAUUAUAACCUUUAACGCUUAUUGUCAAGAUGUAACUUUUAUCUUUUUUUCUUAUAUUACUUUAUUAGUAUAAAUAAUAUUACCCAAAUCCAUUUUUCUUCAACAAUAUUCUCUCCGUCAUCUACUAUCUCCCUCGUCUUCUUUCCUAUUCUACAUCAAUAGAAAAACUGACUAGUUCAAACACAAAUAUGAAAAAUUGCAGCCUAAGUGGAGAAUUGAGUCAUUCGCCCAUCUGUUAGAUUACUGUUAGAAAAUAACUAGGGGAGGAGGUAAGAAGAAAAGCACGGUACGUGAUAAUAGAACUCUUUCAUAUCAUAUACCGUAUUAUAAUUAUAAUUAUAUAUAAAAAAAACCCUAAAAGAGCUCAUGAAAACACUAUAUAUCUACUCUACUUUUAUUAUUUUACUGUGAAUUCUAGUAGUAUUUUUUUGUUUAUAUCGCAGGCUUUCUCACAUUUUUUUUUAACUCUCAUCUCUUUUGUUUUUCUGAACUUAUGUUGCUUGAAAAGAGUUGUUGGAUGCCCACCACGUUUAUUUUUUAAACUUUGUGUACUCUCUCUCUCUUGCCAUUUAUUUUUUGUUUUUUUUUUAAAAAAAUCGAAAUUGAUAUAUUAAAAGAUUAACCAGAAGAUAGCUAAAAAUAAAAUAUACAAAAGAAAAAAAAUUACAAAAACAUAAAGCAGACGAAAAAAGAAAAAAAAUAAAGAAAACAAACCAACAGAAACAUAACAGAAUGAAAAAUACAUCAAGUCUUAGCCCUUUCACAUAAGGGAAUGUGAGUUAGGGAAAUACUCGGUGUUUUUCUUAAAAUACACGUUUUUUUAACUCUCAUCAAGCCUUUGAGGACUAGUCGGUCACAUUGAAUAACACCAUAUUUUUUUGCGCCCUUCCUGUUUAAGAAAAUGCCAUUGUGCAUCAGUUAGGAGAAUUGAGCUCAUCGAGUCCUAAUGGGCAUUUUACAACCAAAAGCAUGUUUCUAAAACUAAUUAUUCUAAAACUAAUUAAAGAAUUGAGCUCAAUAUUUAUAUUUUUCAAAUCACUUCACGUCCGCAAUAAAGAACAUUCAUCACAUUAAACACGAUUAAUGAAAUUUAUGGUUAGAUUUUUCAAUAAUCACUGCUCACUGAACAAAGCUCAAUUUUUCAUUCAAAGAAUGAGCGAAUAUUUUUAGACCUGACUUAACAGCAUAAUAUAUCUAUUGUUCCACUUUUUACGAGCUAAUUUCUUGACACAUGAGAUGUAAUAAACACACAAACAACAAUUCAAAAUCACACUCAUGAACAAUCACAUAAUACACUCUUUUAGGUUCUUGUUCUCAUUGUUAUACAUUUGUUUUCUCAUGUGUGGUUGUUAACUUAGUUAUCAGAGAGUUGAGUUCUCUGUCCCAUGAAAAACUUGUUUUGUAGGAAUUCAUGAACCACAAGCCUAACCCAACUUAAAAAUUUUCAAAAUUCAUUACACCAGUCAUGUAAAAAUGGAACUCUCGUAAUUAAGGCCGCUAUUUUAUUAUGUAAAAACUCACAAGGAGGAAGAGAACCAACCAUCAGCGGCAUCACCCUCUUUGGGACCUUGAUUUUCAUCGGAUUAGCACACAACACAUCAAGUUGGCUGGAAAGGACUGCCAAGGUGUGAUUCUGCAUAAUUAUUUUGCUAUGAUUUUUUAAAUUAAGAUAGAAAAAAGAAGUAAAAAAAUUACAAAUAAAAAUAAUAAUUACAAAAUGGAAAUUUGGCAGAAGACUCCUUAUUUAAUUCCGUUCUCUUUCAUGUCUCUCUCAGAGUUUGAUUUCCUGUGUUGUUAUGAUCCUCAUACAAAUGAAGAGAGUAUGGCUAUUGCUGGUAUGGAUUGAUUUGUAAUGGUGAAUCUCAAAUGCGGCUAUCUGGUGGUUGUUAGUGUUUUGUUUUCUGUAUGUGUGGUGGCUAACGGGUGUUGCUUUGGUGGUUAAGAAGAUGCAUUGGAACUAUGGUGGGUCACAAUGAUCACAAGUCUCUUCAUUCAUUCUUGUUCAAUGCAAGAACCCAGCGAAGCCUAUUCCCAGAACAAAAUAAAUAUGCUUGCUAUACAACAGCAUUCAGAGCUGAGUCAAAACUCACAGACCAAAUGAAGAUCUUCAAUGCUUGACGACUCCUUUCAAGAAACUAUAUACAAUAGAGAGGCUAGUCUCUAGCAGGCAGUUCUUCAUUAGAUCACAGGUUUCCAUAGCCAGGCUUGGCAAGGAACAAAGAAUUAAUGACACCCAUAAAAGAAGGGGGCCACGUUGGUGUAGCAAUGAGAGGAGGACCCCUUGCACUGAAUCAGUUAAAGAAAUAAGGUGAUUCCAACACUUCCCUCAGCUCAAAGUCUCCCCGGUCAGGCAAAGGCGGAAAAGACAACGUGGGAAAAGACUUUUCAAAGCUCUCCAACAACUGCAUACAAAUCCAACAGUAUAAAUGAUGAGUUCUGCUAAAAAAGAAAAAACCCUCAGACUUGGAUUUGACACUGCACAAUUCUUUUAAAUGCUAAUUCAAGUUGAAAUUUAUAGGCAUUUUGUUUUAUCCCAAAACAUAAUUGAAACAGCAGAUGAGAACAUAUUAUAAGGAAUGCUUUAAUUAACUGCAACAAGUGUUGUUUCUUUAAACAUAUGGUACGUAUCUCUUUUCUUUGUUCUUUUAUUCACAACCAAAACAACCGCAAUCGAAUAAAGCUAGUAAAAAAUAAUUAAUUUCCUCUUAUCCGCUCUGACAAAUAAACUUCAAAAAUAUUGUAUUGGGUUUUUGCCUUCUACAAAUAUAUAAUGAUGCCAAUGAAUGGGCCAUUGCCCUUAUGAGUUUUAGAACAAUAUAGCAGUGCUAAUACUUACAUUCUCCAAUAUAGGUGUUUCAUAGAGUUCAACAAACUUUUCCCUCAGUAUCCUGUUCAUUUCAUCCACAUCACAUGCAUGCGUCCAAUAUGAAUCGUGAACUCCUGUGAUGGUAUGCCAAUAUACAGUAAUGAGAAAUCAAAACUAGGAAUAGGACAGCAAUUGAGACAAAAUCCAGCAAUGAGUGAAAAACCUGCAAAGUUUAAGCCUGCCCCUUUGCAGGCAACUGCAGUCAUCAUCAUAUGAGAACUAUCAAGGGAAUGAACAAAAUUUGGUGGGAAAGCUGUUCUCUGUCGUUGGACCAUAACCUGUAACAGUAAAAGAACUGCCAAACUUUGAGAUCCAAGAGCCAGAAGGUACAACCUUUUCCCCCUUUGUUUGAGUAUUUUGGUCACAGUCCAGACUAAAUAAAGAAAAAAAAUCAGGGCAAUUUAGCUAGACAAAAAGCCAAGGCACCCACUGAAGUCUACCAGAAGUCAUGUUCAGAAAAAUUGGUUCAGAAAAUGGGGAAACAGCUAGCAGAAUGUACCAAUGUAAGAUACUAUAUCCUCAAACAACAUUUCAGCAAUAAAAACAGGUUAUUUCAGAUUUUUCACAAUUUCAUGUGUUAUCAACAUCUUAGCACAGACUCGAAGUCAAAGUAAAUAUUAUGGAAUCUUGAUUACCAAAGCAGAAACAAGCAACAAAGUUAAGUAACGUUACCUUGUCAGUUUCUUUUUGUAGUAUUAAAACCUGUAGGGAAGUUUUGAUCUGCAGCAAUUGCACAAAAGGAAGAUAAGAGUACUCAAAAUGCCCUCUCUAUCGAUAUGAAUGUAACAAAAUGCCGAUCAUUUUUUUUUUUCAAGACUUUGAGAUCCAAGACUAAAUAAAGUAAAAGAACUGCCAAACUUUGAGAUCCAAGAGCCAGAAGGUACAACCUUUUCCCCCUUUGUUUUAGUAUUUUGGUCACAGUCCAGACUAAAUAAAGAAAAAAAUCAGGGCAAUUUAGCUAGACAAAAAGCCAAGGCACCCACUGAAGCCUACCAGAAAUCAUGUUCAGAAAAAUUGGUUCAGAAAAUUGGGAAACAGCUAGCAGAAUGUACCAAUGUAUACUAUAUCUGUGAUGUUUUGUAAUAAAAAGGAAUGAGAAAAUACAAUAAAGCCCUUGGAGGCUUAAAGAGAGGGUAAAUGAUUGAAGGGUAUUGUGGUAAUUGACCAAUAGUUGAUAAAUAUAUAUAAGAAAAAAAAAAAAAAGAAUGAUCUGAUUUUGAGAGAAAGAGAGUUACGGGAGAAGAGAAGAAAAGAGGAAGAAGAAGAAAAGAAAGGAGAGAAGGAAAGAAAGGAGAAAAGAAGUAGAGGAAAUAAGUAAAAAGGUAAGAUUUAUGGUUUUAAGUGUAUAAUAUGUUAAAUUUCGGUUUUGAUUAAUUUUGAGAGUUUUGAAGUUUGUAUUUUGAGUUAAUUGAUGAAUUAGUUUGAAUUAAGGGGUUGAUUGAUGUGGAUAUUUGAUUAAUUAGUUGAUUUUGAGAGAUUGAAUUAAAGGAUAAUGAUUUUGAGUUAUGAUUUUGUUUAAAUGGUGAAAUUGUGUUAGAAAUCAGGGGAUAACAGUAGGUGAUCUGUUGAAAUUCUGAGUUUGAGGUUGAAGAUGACGAAAAUUCAGUUUGGUCCCUCAAUUUAUGGAAAUUGCAGUUUAGUCCCCGAACUUUGGAAAUUUUACAGAUUGGUCCCUGGGGCAUAAAUUGAGGUUCUGAACAGAACUGAGGAUGAUUUAAGGACAAAAUUCCAGUAUAAUUAAUAUUUUCAGUUUGGUCCUCCAAUUUGACAAAAAGUAUAAUUUGACCCUAAAAAUUUGGUAAAGUUCCAGAAUGGUCCUUGGAGCAUAAUGAUAUAUCCUGGACAGAAUUGAGGAUUAAUUAUGGACAGAAUUUCAGUAUGGUUAUAUAUUUACAAUUCAGUCCUCAAAUUUUGGUAAAAUUACGUUUUGGUCCCUGUUUUGGAAAAUUGUCGUUUUAGUCCCUAAACUUGGGAGAUUAAGCCCGGUUUAUUUUAUGCUUUGGGAUCUUUUGUUUGAUCUGUUUUUGAGUAUAUUUCAUAUAUUUAUUGUAGGUUCUCCUAACGAUCCUUAAUCGGAUUUCCGGGUCUUUUGUCUGACAUUCCUUUUAGUUCUAUAUUGUCCGGGUGAGUGGAAUAAUCUUUAAUAUGCAUAUAAUAUAAAUAAAUAUGUAUGUUGAUUAUACAAUGAGUACGACUAGUAAGUUUCUUGAAUAUUUAUAUAUGUUGCUUUAUUUUUCGAGUACUCAUUUAUUCUUGAAUUUGCAUUCGCAAUCUGUCAAAGUAAAUUCUAUUUGAUAUGAUAUACGUUUCUUUGAUGAUUAUGUGAAUAUCUGUUAUGCCUUGAUAUGGGACUUGUCAGUACUCCAUGCUAACGGAGAAUAGUUAGCCUGUGUGCACAUAGUAUUCUGUUACCUAACUGGUGAGAGAGGCAUCAGCCUGUGGCGAUUGAUCAUCCCAUAGUGGUCACCGACGGGUGUCAUCUGGUCACCUUCGGGUGUCAUCUGAUCUCUGACAUGUAAUCCACUACGUUAUGAUAAUAUGUUACGUUAUGAUAAUAUGUUUAGUAAGUAUAUGUAUACGUAUAUGUAUAUUAAGAUAAAUCAUCUUACAAAUUAUAAUAUCUGAAAUAUCUGAAAUGUAUAUUAAAUGUUAUUCCCCUCACUGAGUUGGUUGAACUCACCCUCAUUUUUAAUAUUAUUUCAGGUUCUUAUUCUUAGUUUCUGAUAGCAGUUGGACUUUGUUGAGUGUUUCCGCUUCUUCAGUUCUGGUCGGUAUGCCUUGCUUGUUCGCGAGGUUUUCCUUUCAGUUUUGAUUUGAUGUCUUAGACGCUCCACUAUUACCUUAUUUUAAUUACGUUUGGAUUUUGACAAUGUAAAUGUAUUAUGAAUUAUUAUUUUUGUUUUAAUAACUAUCUUUCGGUUUUAUCAGUAUUUGAAUAAUAUAAUAUUUCUGAAUAUUAUGAGCCGCUGCGUAUUUUGGAACAAAUUGUUCUUUUGAUAUGUCUGUUCUGAGGCUUAGCGUAGGUGAGGUGUCCUUUCGACACCGCUCCUGCGUUGCCGGUCACGGAUCCGGGAUUCGGGUCGUGACAAUAUCCUCAAACAACAUUUCAGCAAUAAAAACAGGUUAUUUCAGAUUUUUCACAAUUUCUUGUGUUAUCAAAAUCUUAGCACAGACUCGAAGUCAAAGUAAAUAUUAUGGAAUCUUGAUUAUCAAAGCAGAAACGAGCAACAAAGAUAAGUAACGUUACCUUGUCAGUUUCUUUUUGUAGUAUUAAAACCUGUAGGGAAGUUUUGAUCUGCAGCAAUUGCACAAAAGGAAGAUAAGAGUACUCAAAAUGCCCUCUCUAUCGAUAUGAAUGUAACAAAAUGCGAAUCAUUUUUUUUUUUCCUGUCAGUACUAUAUGAUCUACUAUGCUUCUGCAAAUGUUAUAGAACUCACACUUCGCGUCCCUAAUUUACGAUAAGGUUGUACAACAGGAAGUCCUAGGGGAGUUGUCCACCGCACUGGCUCAUUUUCAGAUGCGAUAAUCUGGUCAGGUAAAAUGCAAAGAGAAAAUGUAAACAGAAUGUCAGUUGUUGGUAUAGAAACUAGAUAAAAAAAUAACCAAAAAAGGAAAAUCAACAUAAAGGAAAAACAAAUAAAUUGAGACAGACUCACCUUUGCACAAUCCCCAAGCCAGUUCAUGAUACUUCGUGCAGCUUCAAACAUCUCUCCUAAGGCAGUUAAGGUCACCUGAUCAAGCAACAAUAUAAAAUAUUGUCAGUGACAUGUUCUAUGAAAAAGAGUAAAGCUAAGGAAUUAUGAAUCAUCACUGUUGGGACGCUCCCUUCACACCUUUGCAGCAUAGCAAGAACAACCAAAGAUAUCUGACUCCUCUGUGAUACCACGCUCCUUUAACCUCCUUUUGAUCUGGUCUCUAGCACCAAUGUAAGUUACACCAUAUACAGAUGUCAUCACUGUCUGUUUCACCAAUUUCCUAUCCACCUAGAUGGAGUCAAACCACCAUUAGUUUGAAAGUAAAAGAACUUAUUCACAUUGAAAAAUGGCAAGGUACACCCUAUCUUUUGAAUGGGCCAAAAAAAAAAAAAGGAAAAGCAUGAAACAGUGUUGACCCAAUAGUAACUAAGCAAUCCCUUAGUGACAGGAGACCACUAUGAUCAACAAUCAAAGCAUGCAAAAAACCUGGUUUAUUAAUUCUUUUGCACGCAAUGCAUCAGGAAAAACAUCUGGAUCUUUCUGUGCAUCCCUCCGCAUGAUAUCAAGUACUCUGCUUCGCAAAAGUGCAUGUUUAUCAUAGCAUCCUUUUGCAGAUAUCUGCUUGCUUCACAUCUAGAAAUGCACUACAGAAAUAUAGGAUUGAAAAAGAAAAAUUCUUGUAGAGGCUUUACAAAUUUGGCUCCAAUCAAACAUAUCCAAUGAAUACUACAGGACUUUGACUACUGCACAUGAAGGGCUAACAUAUUUAUCUGGUCAAAGGCCAUGAAAUAAGAGCAUUGCUGACUAAAGUUUUGCUUUGAUUGAAUUGAAACAAAUUAAAGUUCCUAAUUUAAGCAGAAAUAUGAAGCUUCAAUUGGAUGUUACUACUUCAUUACAAAUACCUGGAUUUCCUUGAAAGCCAGAAAACUCGGCCAGUGAAAUACAUUCUUCUUUUAGUUUUGUGAGAGUAGGGCUUCCAAACUCUUAGUCUUUGGGAUGAUAAUGUUAAUUGCAGAUUUCUAUUCGAUCCAAUACAUGCUGGUAGGUAUGCUUCAGAAAAACUCGGACCCAAUUAGGAAGCAUUUUUGGUUUAUAUCCCUAGGAUCAUAUUUGCGGGUCAUCCUAUUAAGAGUUGGUUAUAAAUCUAAAAAUUCAGAUUCUGUCCUCAUGUAAUUAAAUGGAACUUCAGAUUUAAAGAAGAGUAUCCCUUUAUUAAGCCCUCUAACCAAGAGUUUCCACAAUUUUCAGCACAAGUUCUUUAGUUCCUCAAAAAAUCUCUGCGUUUUCAAAUCUUCGACCUAAUCUUUAAAUCAGUCUGAGUAAAAACAACCAGCUCCAUUGGUUUGCUUCAACAAAAGCUCAUCUUAGCUCAAAUCUUUUCUACUGUAUCAUGAGGAAACCCCUUACCUAGCAGCUAUUCCCGAGUAGACAUCUGCAGGCUUCUCUCCUGCAACUAGAUUAACAGCAGCUGCUCCCAACUGUUCAAGAUUCCAAUGAUUUAACAAAAGCAGAGGGAUUCAAAAUAUAAUCAAAUGCAUUACUUUCCUAUUCAAAAAUAAAAACGAAGUUCAAAAAAUAAAAGUUUGCAGACCACUUCUAAAAAACACGACUUGAAUUCAACAAUGAUUGGCAUCAGCACAGUGCCUUAGGAAACGAAAAUCAGACAAAAAGAUGGUUUUGUUUAUCAGCAGUAAUCAUAAAGAAAAGAAAAACUUCAUAACAUCAUCCAAUUCAAGUUAAGGACGUUACCUUGUCUCUUCCAAGUGCAGCGUAGUGUUGUAGGCCAUUGCAGGAACCAUCCUACAAAAAACCAUAAGAGGGAAGGUGUACAUCAGAAGGCAGAACAGGUUAUGAGAAAAAUUAUAGGCCAGAAGAACAAAGAUAAGCCCAGGGAAGAGUACUUAAGUUGAUUGUCCCACAUAGUCCAACAGUUUUUUAUGUAAUAGAACCAAUAGAAACCACUUAAGCUUAUCAUUUUAUUUGUUUUCCUAAAGCAUACAAGGUACAAUAACAAAGAAUUUUGACUCUCCUUUUACCAUUCAUCUUCCUAACACCUCUGCCUCUCUCAAUCCAUUCCCUAACAUUCCAGUAAAAUUGUGCUCAAUUGGGUAGGAUGCUUUACAAUCCUUAAAAAAUGUCCAUAAAAAGUUUAUAUGAGCACAAUGCAAUACAUUGAUAAGAUAUACCUGAUGAACAGGAAUAUGUGAAAUAUAUGUUUCUGGCGAGGAGCUUCUCAAAGCUUCAGUCAGGUUAAUGCACACAGCCAAGAACUGAAAUGGAUCUUCUGCAUGCAACCACCAACGCUUUCCGUCAAGUGGUUUGUCUGCAGAAUCAAAUAUAUCAUCAAGGUGAUUCUCAGUAAAAGCUAUCCGUCCCUCAUAAGAUAGCUUGUCUACACCACCAGCAAAUAGAUUUGCAAUGUGUAUCUUCAGCCAGCGUAAGCCUGACUUUCCAAGAGGGCAUCCCUCUGCGAACUCCAAAAUCCCCCGGCACAGAUCUGAUCCAAGAUGGUUUAAGUAUGGGUGCAUGGGGUAGGCACGCCCACGAAAGUCAAUAUUGUGUGGAUAAUAGAAACCUUCUUCAUCUUUCAUCUUCCGUGCUACCUGGAGCCAAUUAAGAAUGAUGGCAUGAACGCCAUCAAGAAGAUUGAAAGUGUACUGUCUAAAAUAAAGUAAAAUGAGUCUUACAGCAAGUUUAAGUUCUAUGUCACAACGCUGUGCAUGUCUUUCCCUGUUCUCUUUUUUCACUCCUCUGAGUUUCCACUUCCACUUCUUAAGUAGUGCUUCAUCUUCUGUUUCUGGCUUCUCAGGCAAAGGAACCUGAAAUAAAGAAAUUAAAUGAGAAAGGUUUUUUAGUUGCUAUAGACAUCAUGAUCAAUUCUUGGAAUACAAAGGUAAAGGUAAAGGAGUUUAUCAGAAAAAAAAAAGUUACAUUGAGGAAAGUUAGAAAAGAUACUCACAUCACUGUGGUCUACCAAAUCAGCAAGAUGACCUCCAUUACUCCAUAUUCUAUCAACAACACUAAGUACCCUCUUAUUUACCCUCCAUCUGGUAUUCCCUAGUGUAUCCAGGGCCUGGAAAAUUAAUUCAAACAAAAGAGAAUCCUUGUUAAACCAGAAGCUAAGCUGGUAAAAUCUACACAUGUGAUAGCAUGUGAAGGUAUACACAAUUAUCAGUAUAAGAUUGUGUUCAAAGAACAUCACAUGUUAGUACCAAAAGAUGAUUUAGUUCAAACAAUAAAAUACGCAUCAGUAACCAUGCAAUGCAUCUAAUGUGUACAGACCUCAAAAACUGGUCGUAGCUGCUUCCUAGGUGCCCUCUUAACUGCUUCACGUUGCUGUUUAGCACCAUGUAUCCGCAUGACAUAGGAUGGUAAGAACAAGUGAGCUCCUUUAUCAUAACUGCAAAGGGCAUUGAGGUUAUGCUCGACAUGAGUAAGAGAGAGGUAAAUAUCACAAGCUAUGACACAAUUAUCUAAGAAGAGCUUAGAACACACCAAAAAGCUACUUAAAUGUCAGGUCCUGAUUUGUUACUAGAAGCAAUAGUGGUGUUAAGAGUUGCUACAACUACAUGGGAACCAGAAUCCAACCACAAACUCAUUAAAUGCCAGAUUAAAGUAGCGUAUGUAAGGAACAUGUAUGAAGAAUUUGUAUCUUCCAAAUUUGUAUACAAGGAUCUAAAAUUAAUUUUAGUGGGGACUAUGCUAAUGUGCCUCCUGCAACUUGCAUGAUGAUUGAGUGAAAUAGCCAAGACCCACUAUAAACUUGCUGGUAAACAAAGUGCUCUUUCCCCAAAACCAAUUCAUGAAAUGGUUUUCGUCUGAUGCUCCAUCUGAUCAAAUUAAGAUAUUCAGAGUGCAAUCACUGGUUUAAAUCUUUUCUUUUUGUAGAUAGAAAGUGUGUCCAAGAAUCUCAGUCCUAAUGGGCAAUUUACAACCAAAAGCGCUAGGGAGCUUAUCAGAUUUAAAGGCAAUAGGUUGAAUGGCAGAAGCUGCCAUAGAGGCCUCUUCAUAUUCCAAAGCAUGUGUAGUUUUUCCAAUGAGGAUUGUGAUCACCUAUUCAAGAAAAACUUAACCAAAGUCCAUGAAAAACAUAUCCUAACUAACUUGCCAAACAAUAAGGUUCAAAAAUCUCAGUUUGACAGCAGAGAUCUGUCUGUGCCCAUUUCUCCCAUGUAAUCAUCUGUUGUCUCCUUGCGCUUCUGGUACAUUUGAAAUUUGAAAUAAAUACCUAUAUAUGAAUCAUCACCUAAAGAAACUAAACUACUACAAUCAAGUUCUCUAUGUACUAUCCUAAUCCUAAAUUAACUACAUGUCUGACUUCACAUGAAAACAACAAUUCGAUACUCUUAUCUUUUCUUGAGCUUAAACCACAGCAUCCUUGUAGAAAACCUAACACCUUUUCUUUCUCUAUAUUUUAUCUCUAACUGCCAGCCAUUCUUUUCCAUGAAGUAUACCUCUCCCUUUAACAUCAAAAACAUUAUAAUAAAGAAUUCCAUAGCAAUCCCUAAAUUCUCCUGCCUGUGGCAAUAAUGUUCAUUUUCCGGUAUUAGACAUGGCUGUGAUUAGCAAAUGCUCUUCAAUGUUUAAAGACAGUGUUCUCUGUUUUGUUGAGAAUCCUAGACAAAACCUUCCAUCUCAUAUCUCACAUUCACCAUGUUUUGAAUAAACACCUGCAAGACAAUUAGUUUCCCUUCCAAUGGAGGUUACAGAAAUGGAGAGGCAGAGCCUUGAAACAUGCUGAAAUGUUAAUUUCAAUUAACUGAAAUUGGGAUAGGAAUUCCAGUCUUUAUAAUCAGAGAUUCACCCCUUCAUCUAUUAUACCAUUUUAAGCAUUUAACGUGACAUGAAAAUUGAAAACAGCUCCAGGCAUCAAGCAGAAGUAACCAAAACACUAUGUUAAUAUUUCUGAACUUGGAAUAUAUCCAACUAGAAAAUAUAAAAUUAAAACAAGACAAUCGUGGAAAAACUGUAAAUAUAAAACAAGCUAACAUACCCUCUCCAUCUAAGUGGUGGCACCAACAUUGGCAUAUAAGGAAUCACCAUGUGCCUAGCCUGUUUGGAGAAACAACAUUUUUAUGACUUCUUAUGCAAGAAAAAAGAAUGAAAGACAAACAUCUGCAACUUAAGAGGCACCGUGGAAAUUGCCUACAAAUCUUAUCUGUUUCAGCUCUAAAAUCUAGAAACUAAUCUAUCUGCUUUGAAAGUAUAUGGCACCCUGACACAAGUUCAUGUCAUAAAGGAUGAUAAAAUAUGAAAACUAGAUAUCACUAGAAGAACAAAAUAUGACAGGGUUACUCACAGUUUUCUCUAGGCCUUUGAGGACUAGUGGGUCACAUUGUAUAACACCAUAUUUUUUCGCGCACUUCCUGUUUAAGAAAAGGCCAUUGUGCAUCAGUUAGGAGCAAUUACAAGGAAGAAAAGAUAAAUUGAGCUCAUCGAGUCAAUUAAAGAAUGACUCCAUACUUAUUUUCAUAUGACACGGUUCUGAAUGUAUGCACAAAUGCAGGUCGAGGUUCAGAUGGACUAUCAGCUAACUGAUCACAGGGAGGCUGUAUAUAAGCUGUUUGUAACAGCAAUUCAAUUAGACGGCUUCCAACCUGCAAAGCGCAAGUACAGAAAUCAAAUUCGUACACAAUACAUUUGUUCAAGAAAAUUAGCCUUUAUCAAUGAUUACAAGCACACAAACCUUAGCCCUAGCAUCUGCAUUCCAUGGUUUUGAAUCAUCCUUCCCCUUCACAAUCUUCCUCACAGCUGGCAGCUUUUGUUUUUUAAUCAAAUCAGUAACCUUUUUUCUUAGGUUUUCUUGUUCCUUCAUGACAGCAGGGGAUUCACCUUCUACACCAUUCUUGCUAUCAUUAGUAUUUUCCUUUUUCUUCCUUGUUUUCUCCAAGAUAUUGUGUAUUCUAAUCUGUUUCAUCACAGAAACUGUUACAGAUUCAGUCCUCAGUUCAAAGAAAGAGAACAAGACUGAAGAGUUAGGAGUUCCAAAAAAUGGAUUAAGAAUGGUACACCUAAAUAUCUCUUCAUUGUAUAGUUCUUUUUUUAAAAGAAAAAAAGGAAACGAAAAGAGGAAGCAGCUCCCAUAGUCAGAAGAGACAGUAGAGCAAAGUGUUGCGCAUGCCCUUAACAUCUAAACUAAGAGAAAAACUUAAACAACUUACAAAACAAAGGCACAAACAAGAACACACAUAAUUGCAUUGAUAAAGAUAAUUGCUGUCCCCAACAGGGAAAUGCAAAAGUAUAAAUCCAUAGUGAAACAAUGUCGAAGGAAAGUUGAAUGUCACUCUUAUUAGUCCACCAUGCCCAUGCUUCGAAGAAAUUGUAGCUCAAAAAAGAAAGGCGUAGUAGAAUAUUCAGCCUAAUAAGGCCCGUGAUAUGAAAAGUUUAACACUUAAUGAAAAAAUUGUAAAAACUUACUAUCUAAAGGAUCUUACACUACAUUGUUUUUCGUACCUACAUUAGUGUCCUCCCUGGAACCAUGAACAGCAGAAGAACUUGGACUGAAAGUAAAAACUAUAGAUAUAUAAAAAUGAAAUCCAGAAAACCCCCAUUCAACAUUCGACAAAACUUUACGGAACGUAACUUCAAAAUCUAAUUUUCCAGGCACUACUAGCUCCAUAGCUGAUUUUUAUCUCAUAAUUGUACAUAGUAACUUUCAUCUUUCUUCUAGUUCAUCACCUCAGAUGAAGGUUGUCUAAAAGUAAAUUUAAGAAACUUUAGGUUUUCCCUUAUCUUUCAAUAUUUUAUAUGGGCACUCAUUAUCCUCUGUCUACAAAUCAAACCGCAAGUAAAUCUAAAACAUUAAAAAUUACUUACCUCCUGCUCAAUUGCAUCACCAAUCAUACAAGCAGCAGUCACAACUCUUGCACAUCCAUGUUCCCCACCUGUCAUUACCAUUGCUGCGAGUUGAUGCAUUGCAAUAACAGACAUCUUGUCAGCUGGCAACAGAUCAAAAUACGGAGCAUAACCCUGCCUACUCUUCCCCGUUCUAAUCAACUCCUGCUCUUUCGCAAUUGUGUCUGUAAAAGGCUUAAAUUGUUAAAACUUUGUGGAAUUAUCGAAUUACAUGUUCUGUUUUGAAAUAAUUAAUAGCUUGCUUAAUGAGUCAUUUUUAAGUUUUAUCGAUGGUAUUGCAGAGUGGUAAUUUCUGCUAAUUUAUAUAUAUUAAUUUGUAUGGACGUUGAUAAAUGAUAAUGAAUAUUUAAUAUUUAUGAGAAGUUGUGAUUGGUUUGUUGGAUAAUCUCGAGGUAAAGUAAUAUUUUUGCAAGUUUAUUUACCUAACUUAGUUAAUUAAUACAUGAUGUCAUCAUAAUUUUAUAGAGGUUCGAUAGAAGUCAUGGAUGAUCGUUCAUGGAUGUAUCUAGAUUCACCCCAAGGAUUGCGGAGGAUGGAUUAUUGUAAUGGGGUUUAAGGUUUUAUUAAUUUCGCAACAUCUAUUCCCAGAAAUUUUAUUGGAGGCGGUAUUAGGUGUCCAUGUAGGAAGUUAAAAUAAAAAGUAUAUGCAUCCAGAUGUUGUAAUGAUGCAUCUUCUACAGAAAGGGUUUAUGGAGGAUUAUCAGUGUUGGUAUGCACAUGGAGAGGUAUUUGUUAGUAAUAGGAGAAUGGGAGAAACGGUGGUUGGGUCAACUUCUAGUGCUAGCAACGUGCAUGAAGCAGCAAAUGACAAUACUAAUCCUUACAAAAAUAUGGUUAUGGAUGCAAUGAGAAUGAAUCAAGGUAAUGUCAGUCAAUGUCCAAUCAUAAAAGAAGAACCUAAUGCAGAGGCAGCUAGGUUUUUUGAUUUGUUGAAAGAUUUUGACGAACCAUUAUGGGAUGGCUGCACAAACCACAGUAAAUUAUCGGCGUGGCACAAGUGUUCACCAUCAAGUCAGAUCAUGGGCUGAGUGAGGCCGGGUAUGACAAAAUUAUUGAUUGGGCAAGAAGCAUUUUACCUGAAGGGAACAGGCUGAAAGAGAACUUCUAUGCUGCCAAGUCCAUGAUGAAACCCCUUGGUUUAGGAUACUAGAAAAUUGACAUGUGCCCUAACUUCUGCAUGUUAUACUACCUUGAAAAUGCUGAGAUGACCGAGUGCAUAAAAUGCGGGCAUUCCCGUUACAAACCCAGAACUGGCAGGGGAAAAACUCUAGUGGCGUAUAAAAAACUUAGAUAUUUUCCGAUCACACCUAGACUGUAGAGGUUAUUCAUGUCACGAAGGAUUGCUGAGCACAUGACAUGGCACCAAACAUAUGAUGCGGUUGAUGGUGUAAUGGUGCAUCCUUCUGAUGGCGAAGCAUGGAAACGCUUUAACAAUGUGCAUCCUGACUUUUCAACUGAAUCAAGGAAUGUCCGUCUUGGGUUGUGUACAGACGGAUUCAACCCAUUUGGGUCAUUUGCUGCUCCCUAUUCUUGUUGGCCGGUCAUACUCACAGUUUAUAACUUGCCACUGGGAAUGUGUAUGAGGCCGGAGUUCAUGUUUUUAUCUACUAUCAUACCUGGUCCAAGUAGCCUGGGGCGGAAUAUAGAUGUUUGUCUUCAACCGUUGAUUGAUGAGCUAGCGCAGUUGUGGUCCUCCGGAGCUCUGACUUAUGAUAUAUCGAGGAAACAAAAUUUCCUUCUGAGGGCGGCUUUGAUGUGGACUAUCAAUGAUUUUCCAGCUUAUGGAAUGCUUUCUAGUUGGAGCACACAUGGGAAACUCGCAUGUCCAUAUUGCAUGGAAAACAACAAGGCAUUCACGCUAGCAAACGGAGGUAAAGCUUCUUUUUUUUAUUGUCACCGUCGCUUCUUGCCACUUAAUCACAGGUUCAGAAAGAACAGAAAAGAUUUCUUUGUUUCCCCGCGUCUUUCUGGUGAAGAAUUGCAUCAUGUUGUAUCAGAGUACGAUGACAUUGUGUUUGGCCUUCAAUCAGGUAAGCAAAAGUUUCCUGGUUUUGGUUUGACCCAUAAUUGGGUAAAGCGAAGUAUCUUUUGGGAGCUUUCUUAUUGGAAGACCAAUCUUCUCCGCCAUAACCUUGACGUCAUGCACAUCGAAAAGAACGUGUUUGAGAAUAUUUUUAACACCAUCAUGGAUGUGAAGGGGAAGACAAAGGACAACAUCAAGUCUAGAUUGGAUAUAGCUUUAUACUAUAACCGUAAAAAUAUGGAGUUGGUUUAUGAGGAGUCAUAGGUCGCAAAACCAAGGGCAAGCUUCGUGUUAGAGAAAAACGCACAACUGCUAGUCUACAAAUGGCUUAAGAGUCUGCGUUUUCCGGAUGGACAUGCAUCGAACAUAUCAAGGCUUGUUAACAUAGAGGACUGCAGAUUGUAUGGAAUGAAGAGUCAUGACUACCACGUGUUUAUGCAAACACUCAUCCCAUUAGCUUUUCGUGAUUUGUUGCCAAAGGGAAUAUGGGAUACACUGACGGAGAUCAGUCAUUUAUUCAGAGAUAUACCAGCAAGUUGAAUGUUGAGCACAUUGAGAGGCUUCAAACGAAUAUCAUCGAGACACAAUGCAAACUUGAGAUGAUAUUCACUUGCCUUCUCCUUAAGACCCUAUGCUUCCUUGACCCUAUUCCAGGGUUAGCAUGUAGCCUCCUCCUCCUAAAGUGCUCCUCUUUCUCCUCUUCUUUCCUCAUUUCUGGCAGCAAUUCUUGCACUUCAUCCGCAGCAGACACAAUAUCUUCAACAUCUGUUGAUGACACUGCCUCAGCUACACUCAGAUACCCUCUGGACAAAAUCCAGCACACCGACUCCCAUUAGUACCUUCACUAUUUCUCAAAAAAAUAGAACUGGGUUUUCCCAUAAAAUCUUCAUGGGUUGAUAUUUCGCCAAUUGCUCGAAAACCAAGUCGUGGACUUGUGUUAUUAAGCGAAUGGAACUUGAGUUUCUAAAAAAAGAUGGGUUCUUUAGAGGCUCCUAAAAAGCUGCAAGUUCUUGGAAAUGAAGGGAAAUUGAGGGACUUUGAUUGGGAUUUCAAAGUGGCUUGUUUUGCGAUGUUUCUCCACAUAACUGUGGAUGGUUUAGAGAUAGAAUUGUGGGUUUCUUAUCAAAAGUAAUCAAAGGAUCAAAAUUUUUGGUAGAAAAUAUAUGGGAGCUGGCCCUCUAAUUAAAGGAAAUUAAAAAAAGAAAAAGAAAUGGAAUUGAAGUGAUUGAGAGAUGAAUUGAAAUGCGCGGGUAAUGCAGCUUGAGAAAAGAAACGAGUUCAUAGAGAGGUAUGGUAGUGGUAUUAGCAUACCGGCCGCUUUAAACCCUGCAUAAAUUGCAAGGGCUUGGGGUUAUAAAUUGCAAGUCCUGGGUGGAUACUUAAGAUAAAGUUGGGCCAAUUUGAAAUAACAACGAAAAACAAUUUUGGCAUAUAAUUUUAUUAAUCUUUAUUGUUGGUAAUUUGCAGAGCAUAAUUAGGAAUGUAGAGUUAAAUUUUAUUAUUUUUUCUCAAACCAGUUACAAACGAGGCAAGUCCAAUUUUGGAGUAAGUGAUUAUAUAUAUUAAUAUUUAUGUGUUUAUAUAGUUGUGAAUAUAAAGCUAUUAAUAAUAAAAAUUGUUGGUGCAUCUAAGAGAAAAGUAUAGAAGUUUAUCAAUUUGUCAGGCUUAUAAAAAAAAUUGUUACUAAAUUAAUUUUUAUUAAAUUAUUGGAUUAAAUUAAUUCUUUGAUAAUUAAAAGAAAUUAUUUUUAAAACGUAGUUAUUGUAUUUAAAUUUUAAUCAAAAAUUAAAUUGAUGAUUUAAGAUUUUGUUGAAAAAUAGUUUUAUGCAUGAAUAUUAAUUAUAACAUAAAAUAUUAAAAUACUUAAAAUUAAUUAAAGAUAAAUAAAAAAUAAUUUCAAAGAAUUCUGAAUGAAAUUGAUGUAAAAAAAUUCAUAUUCAUAAGAAAUUAUUGGUUUUAUCUUUUAGAAAUAUAUUAUUUUUAAUUUAAAUCUAACACAGACAUCAAAACCAGAGUUAAAAAAAUAGGUUGUCAAAGAACCAUCUCAAUCCAAUAGCUUAACUUGAUAGGUAAGGUCAUGCUUAAGUGAAAGUUCUUUGAGCUUGAAACUUGUACAUGUUCAUAUUAUCUUGUGCUUUAAUGCUUAUUAAAUAAAUAAAGAUAAUGAAAUUUAAACUUAUGACUGUAUACCACGUCAAAAAACCAAUUCAAACUAAUAAAAUUUUAAAAUAUAAUUUAUAUCAUUAAUCCAAAAUAAUGGUAGAAAUUUUUCAAGGAUGGGCUUUUCGCAAUGUAAAAGUUUUAGAGCUUGUUUAAUAUGGAAACAAUCCUUCCAUCCGCAAACAUGGGAUUAUCCUAAAUUUAAGAAAAAAAUCCAUACAAAGUAAAAUGUGAAUCUAAUUGCCCAAACCAAAACCAUGAGCUAAAACUACCGAAGAUCUUCAAGCUAAAGCAAUAGCUGGAGCAGCUGCCGCUGCUCCUGCUGCAGUUGCCGCUGCUCCUGCUGCAGCUGCCGCAGCUGCACCUGCACCUGCUCCUGUUGCAGCCGCUGCAACUGCACCUGCUCCUUCUGCAGCCGCUGCAACUGCACCUGCUCCUGCUGCAGCUGCUGUUGCCGGAGCACCUGUAGCAGCCGCUGCACGAGCACUUGCCACCGCUGCCGGAGCACCUGCCGCUGCUCAUCAAGGUCCUGCUGUUGCCACUGCCGCCGCCGCUCAUGGAGGUGCUGCUGCCGCUGGAGCACUUGCUGCAGCUGCUCCUCCUCCUGCUCGAGCAGCUCCUCCUCCUGCAGCUCAGGUAUAGUGAAACUGUACAUGGAUUCGAUGUUACAUGUUUUGUUGGGUGUUAAAAAAAAAAUUAAUAAAAAAAGUAUAGAUAUAUUUUUUCAACAUGUUUUUGUAUUUAAAAAAUUCUAAGUGAAAAAAAGAAUAUAUAUAAAUAUAAUCAAAUAAAUUAAGAAUUAUAUGUGUUAAUAAAUAAAAAAACAACUAUAAACUAUAACUAAAAAUAAAAAUGAAAAAAUUGAGAAACAAGUGUAGAUUAAAAUAUUUAAUUUUAAAAGACGAGAUAUUUACGUGAUUGUAUUUAUUAAAUUUAUUCAUUAAUUUUUUUUUUAUUCAAUCAAACGAUAAUAAAAAUAGACAUACACAUCAAAUUGAUUGAAUAAAAUAAAAUAAAAUAUGCAAGGCUGCACUUGUUAGAAAUAUUAUUUGAAAAUAAAAAAUUUUAUUUUCAAGAAUAAAGUUUAUUUGUACAAAAAGUUAAAAAAAUUAUAAAUGAAUUAGAAAAACUUUCUCAAAAAUUAAAUGCAUAACUAAAAAAUGAACAAUCAUUUCAAAGAGGAUCUCUAAACAACAAAAAAAAAGAAACAAGGGAUAUUAAUCUAAAUAUAAAAUAAAAAAACAUAUAAAAAUAAAAAAAAAGAAAAAAGAAGAAGCAAAGGUCAUUCGUUGUUGGGACUACUAAGUUAAGUGAGUCCAAUUGCCGUAUUUUGUUAAGGCCCCUACUCACUAACCUUUUUUUUUUGUUGCAAGAUGUUUGCAAAAAAAAAAAAAGAUGACGGUCUUUUAUAGACUAUAUUUUUUUUUCUCUUACAAAAAAGAUGUGCAUGCAUGUUUUUUCGAUGCCAAUUUAUUCAUAAAAAAAUUUAAAUGUAAAUUUAAAAGCUCAUACAUAAAUGUAAUCAAAUAAAUUGAUAACUAUAUGAAUUAAUAAUAAAAAAAAAUAUUAACAAUAAAUAAAAAUAAAAUUUUAAAAAAUUCAAAUGUGUUAAUAAACGGAACAUUUACCUAGUUAUAUUUUUGAAUUUAUUUAUUAAAUUUUAUUUUUUUAUUCAAUUAAAUGAUAUUAAAAAAAACACACACGUAUUACAUUGAUUAAAUAAAAUAAAAAUAGAAAACAUAUUAUGCAAGGUUGCUGUAUAUAUUAUGAUAUAUGAAAAUAAUUUUUUUAUACAAAAAGAUAAAAAAAAAUUAUCAAUGAAUUAUAAUAAGUUUUUUAAAAAUUAAAUAUGAACAACACCAUAAAAAAUAAUAUCUAUCCAAAAAUAAAUAAAUAAAUAAAUAAUAAUAAUUACAAAUGAGGAAUAUUAAUUUAAACAUAAAUUUAAAAAAUAUUUUUUAAAAAAUAUAUAAAAAGGAAGAAUUAAUUAUUACCUUUUCGAUACAGAUGAAAUCUCAACUUCAUUAAGAAUAUCCAUCCAUCUUUGUACCUUCUUGUUUUCCCUGAUAUUUUCUUCAUUCUUAUCAAAGACAAUUAUGUAACUCUCUGUUUGAUCAUCUAUCUUUGAUUCUUCGACAUCAUAAGAAACUGGAAACAUAGUGUCCGAUCUCAUCUCAUCCAUGAAUCUGAAAAUCUUGACAAGUUCGUCAAAGCACCAAGGUAAAGAAGCACAAUCUCUUGCAAAUAUAAUAAUUGACAGCCCUGAUUCUUCAAUGGCCUCAAAGAGUCUUGAUCUAAUUGCCAUUACUUUCUCUGGUUCCUUCCUGACUGGGAUAAUAACUCUCCGAGCUAGAUCUGACUUUAAAUAGGUGAUAGCAUUACUAGUGUCUGCGGCUCUGAUGCCAGGGAAAACACUAGCCAUCCAAUGAUGGUAAGAUGAAGAAAAAGCUAAAGAAGCUUUAUAUGAAGAAGCUGUUUCUAAACUUGUAACAAUAAAAUGGGCAGAUGGUUGGGAUGUACUAUACAGAGAAGAUAACAAACAAACACCACAAUUCUUCACCUUUACUCGUCGCUCGUAGGAAUGAAAUGACAACUCAAUGUUGCUAAAGGAUCCAUGCUUCCAUUCUUUAAGCUCUUUAAGGUAAUCAAAAGAUAGAUAGAAUAGCCAAACAUGAUUUGACAGAACUUGGAUAGAAUUACAACUAAUACUUAUUGGCGAACGAUAAUUCUCUCUUCCAUUGGCUUUGAAAUGACAAGAAAGAGAUGGACUUUCACCAUUUGCACUGAAUGCAACACACGCAACAAACCCCAUGCUCCAACUAGGCACUUGCACACUAAUUGAAGAUCCCUUACUUUGAUGGUUAAACCAGCCUGGAAUUUCAUUUCCUGGAACAACAAUACCAAAUCCAGGUCUUGGAUUAGGCAAACCCUGUACCAUGAAGAACCAAAAUGUUAGAUAGAUAAAGGGAGAGGGAGAGAGAUACAAAGAGGUUGGGGAUUGAUUAAGAGAAGACCUUGAGGUAUCUUUCAAGCAUGGUUAACCCCAUGCUGUCUUGGCCAUUAUGCUCGUACAACUCCCAGCAGUUAAGACAUAUGAACUCUGAUCUUUUGGAACUGCUUAGCUUUAUCGGAUCUGGAAUUUCUUUUAGGCAUAUACAACCAUUCAAAUUUAAUGUUUGAACUUUUGGUGGAACCUCAGGCAAUGAUUCAAGCAUCCUACAAUCCUCCAAGACAAGCAUUUCAAGUCCAGAAAGUUGAUUUAUGCUUUCAGGCAGGCUAAUAAAGUUAUUCUGGCUCAGAUCUAAAGACUUCAAUGAAGAUAAGCAGCCAAUAUCUUCAGGAAGUGCCCCUUCUCUUAGAUUGCAAGCGCAUAAAUCCAAUACUUCUAAAGAACACAGACCCAACAAAGAAGGCAACCUGUGAUCCGUGGGAUUCAUAGCUAUUCUUUUGCAUCCAUCAAAAGAUAAUACUUUAAGAUUCUUUAAAAGAAAAAUGGAUGCUGGCGGUUGUCUUAUUGAAGUUCCACUUCCAUCAAACUCCUCCAAACUUUCAACUUUCCCUAAAUUCUCUGGUAUAUAUUUAAGUCUAAAGCAGCCAGAUAGAUCAAGUUUUUUAAGGGAUUUCAAACAACCUAUGCUACUUGGAAUGCUUUCAAGGUUCUUGCAGUUGUUCAUGCUCAAUAGACCUAAGCCAAUCAAAUGAUGCAUCGAUGAAGAUAGUUUUGUAAUGCUAGUCCCAUCCAAUCGAAGCACCAUCAAACAAUUCAUGUUUCCUACUAUAUAUGGAAACUUCUCAAGUUUUGAGCAGCCAUCAAGAAUGAAAACUUUAAGUGAUCCCAUUUCUAGAUUGUUUGGGAGAAUCCUAAUGCUUUUGCAGUCCAUAAGACUCACAUAUUGAAGCUUCUUGUGAUGUGCAAGUGAUGGAUGGACCUCAUACAAACUUGUACAACCUUCAAGAAUAAGACUCUCGAGAUUUGGAAUUCCAGUAAAAUCUGGAGUCUUGAUCAGGUUUAGUGAGUUGCUGAGAUUGAUGAUUUUCAAAUUAACUGCACUCUGCAAUUAGUCAGAGGAGAAGAAAUAUGGACACUACUAUGAUACAUAUAUAGGAAAACGAUAAAAAAAAAUACAAAGGCUCUUAAAUUAGUUGAUCUCACCUUAUACCCAUACCAUAAUUGCUCAAAACUACUAUUAGCCAUGUGAAGUUCAACUAGCUGAUCCACCUGCAAACCAACUGGCAAUGAUUUUGAAGGGUAAGAAUGCCAUUCAAGAAAUCGUAGCUUAUUGGAAAGAUCUUCAGGUCCUUUAGAAAGCUGCACGUUGUUGAUUUUGAGCAAUCUUAGUCUGCUCAUUUUAGAGAAGGCUUCCAUGUUCCAUUGUGAUUCUUUUAUUUCAGGCAUGUCCAAGAAAAUGGCUUCUAUUUUUUCUUUUCCCUAUCAACCAAAAGGAGAAUACAAGUAAAAAACAAAUACAAAGUAGAGAUGGAGCAUAAAUUAAAAUAAACUUCAUGAAAUCUUAUCAGCUACUCACUGUGUUGUCCAUCAGUGCAAGGCAGACAUCCUCGUAUGUCCACAAUCUACUGCGCCUUCCAGGCUCUUCAGGGGAUUCACAACGAACAAUUUCCUUACCCAUUAUCUGUAAUAAAUUAUGCAUCCAGAUUUGAUCCCGAGAUACACUUAUGAGUGAUUUCUCAAUAAGAACUUGUGUUCCAAUAUGUGCAUGGAAUCCACAGCUGUCAAGUAUCCUUAUUAUUCGAUCUCCUUUUAAAUCCCUUAAGGAAACAAGCAAUGUCUAAAAAUAUUUUCUUCUCUAAUUCAUCAUCAAAAACUAAUGCGAAGCACAUCAAUAAUAAUUUAGUCUAUUAAUCGCACUUCCCCAUUCAAGGAUACUUCUUCCACGCAUAAACAAACCUAUAACUUCAAGAGCCAGUGGAAGGCCAUUAGCAUAACCUACAACUUGCUUGGAUAGUUCCACGAAAUCUUCAGCAGGUUGAUAAUUUUUAAAAGCUUUCUGGCUCAUCCAUCAUCAUUCAAUUUCUCAGCCUCAUAAAUUCUAGUAACACCAUUUCUAGUCAACACUUGUUUAUCUCUACUUGUUAUGAUAAUUCUGCUCCCUGGACCAAACCAACUCUCCGCAGCCAGGGAUUCUAGUUGUUUAUGGUCAUCUACAUCAUCAAGAACAACAAGAAUCUUUUUACGCUGUAACCUCCGCUUUAUCAUUUCAAUUCCUCUAGAAGAAUCACAUAUAUUAGCACGUUCCAUUAAGAUUUCAGAAAGAAGUUGUUCCUGCAAACUACGUGGUCCAUCUUUCUCAACAAAAACUUCUCUGACAUUUGCCAAGAAGCAACUGCCUUUAAAUUGCCAACGAAAGCUAUCAUAUACUACCCUUGCAACAGUCGUCUUACCUAUGCCACCCAUUCCACAAAUCCCUAUGAAGAUUGCUUCACCAACUUCAUUACCUAUAAAACCAUUUAAUAUCUCUAGACGAGAAUCUAUUCCCACUAAUUUUUUGCUAACUGGCAUAGUGACACUUAGUUUGUAGGAUAUGUAUUCAACAAUUAUAUUAAUUGAUUCCGAUUCUUUCCUGCAUAGGAGGGUGCAAAACAUUAAUCAUGCUGUGUGCAAAUAAAAUCAGAUAGUGAUAAUGGGAAAAUAAAUAUGUAGCUCGAAAAUGUAUGGCUGUUAGCCGAAAAUUAAUACAUCAAUCUUUGAGAAAGAUAGGGCUCUGACAAUAGAUAGCUUCAAUAACAAAGAGAAAAGGAAAGAAUAAACUAAAAAAGGAACUAAGAUUGUAUUAAUCACACAGUUACUAAAGAAGCAUGCAUACAAGAACAAAAACUCUCCAUUAAGUUUGGUUUUGACAGACCAAAAGGAAAAUGGAGUUCUAUCAUAUAUUUUUGCCGACCACUAAGUUAUUUUUAUAAUUAUUUUUAACAAAAAUUUCAAUUAUCUUGCAUAGUAAACUUUUAAAAAACAACUUUAAAUUUAUUAAUUUCCGAGUUUUUUCCCAUAUGCUACCCAAAAAACAUUUCUUAGACUAACAUAGUUUAAGUGGAUGCCCAAAUCCAAUCCACGCACCUUGAGAUGCACAAAUAUCACAUAUGUUAAUAUUCUUCUUUUUUUUGCAAAUUAAUGGAUGAAAUAAUCGUAAUAAUAGAACUAAAGUUAACUAAAUAUAAAAUUGAGAAACCAGAUGAAUAAAUGGGCCAAUAAAAAAACAAAGGUAGAUUUGAUUAAAACGAUCAAAACGAUUUGAAAACAUUAAAAAAAAAUAAUUCAAAAUAAUUCAAAAUUUAAAAAAACACGGCAAACCACGUUCCCAAACGGAUUCUACAACUCGUGAAACAAUGCUAGUUUGGAAAGUUUUUUUACCCACCUAUACUAGUUUGAAAUUGUUUUUACAUUAAUUUUAUAUUUUUUUUACAAAAAGGCACCUAUCAAAAUUUAAUUCCAAAUUAAAAAGGAAAACAUAAAAAUAAAAAUAUUCACAAUAUAUAUAUAUAUAUAUAAAUUUCUCUUUUAUUUAUAAAUAGUUGGAAUUUUUUAAUUAAUUCAUGAUGGAAAAUAUUUUUAUUUUAUUUUGAAAAGUUAAAACCAAUAUAUUCAAAACAUUUAGUCAAUUUUUUAUUCUUAUGAUGAAUAUGUUGUCAUUUCUUCACAAUUUGUUUUUAAGCUAACUUUUUAUUUGUUCUUGCUAGAUUUGUUUUUCAAAUUUUUUAAAAAAAUUUCAUUUUUCUAUCUGAUAUUUUUUUUAUUUUCAAAAUAUAAAGAAAAACCAAAGAAAACAAAGGAAUUUUAUGUAAAUAUAAGAAUGCUUGAUCACAUAAGAUCAAUAUUUCAUAAGAAUUAAAUUCUAAAAAUCAUGCAUAUGAAAAAAUAUACAUUUACUACCAACUGUUUCAUCAUGGAAUCCAUAAUUUUAUCAUUCAUUGAAUAUUAUUUACCAUUUUUUUAUUAACAAAACUCAAAGAACACUAAAGCAUUUGCUAAUUGAUUUGCGAUAAAGAAUAUAUAAUAAAUUGAAAAAUAAAUUUUCUAGUGUGAACAAAACAUUCAAAAAAGAUUAAAAAAAAACAAACAAAAGGAUUUUCAUUGGUAAAUAAAUGAAAAAUUAGCAAGAAAUUUGAGAUUUUUUCUUUAAUUUUUUGUUCAAUAUGUAUUUCUUAAAAACUGUAACAAUUGAAAUUUGAGACGUGCUCCUCUUUUAUUUUAAAAGUCAAAAUUAAAGAAAAAUUAGUUAGAUCAUAGAGAAAAGAGUCGUUAAAUAGCUAUUUAAUGGAUAAAAAACAUAUACUAAUAAUUAUUUAUUCAAGAAUUAGUUUUGAAAUUCUUGUUGUAUUGUGAUUAUUUUGAUAUUUAAUUACACGUUUUAAUUGAAAAACAUUUUAAAAAAUAUAAAAGAAGCAAAGUUGAAACACUACAGGGUGAAUUUGAGAAUAAAAAGUUGUAGGUAGACGAUUUACCUAUUCCGGACGUCCCAGCCUGAGGGAUCCACAUCAUAAAACUCUGAGGGAUCUACAUCAUAAAAAACUGGCAGAACAGUUUGCCCCAUCUCUUUCAUGCACUGAACAAUCUUGACAAGUUCAUCCAAGCACCAUGGUGAAGAUGCGUAAUCUCUUGAAAAUAUAAUGACUGAAAACCUUGAUUCUUCGAUGGCCUUCCAGAGAGCAGGUUCUAUGCUCUUUCCUCUCUCGAGCUCCCUAUCAUCCAUGUACACAUCGAUGCCUCUCUGUGCCAGAUUAGAAUAUAGAUGACUAGUAAAGUUGUUCCGAGUGUCUUUGCCUCUAAAACUAAGGAACACAUCAUGCAUAUAUAGUGGAGGAGGAGAAGAUGAAGAUGAAGAUGAGGUUAUUCCUUGCACGCUGGUGGAAGCCAUGAAAAUUCCUAUAGCGAUAAACUAGUACCGAUCCCUUCUGGCCUCAACUAGCUC